This 179594-nucleotide long non-coding RNA is filed under the name Populus trichocarpa (black cottonwood). Its description in RNAcentral is "long non-coding RNA (PTRI_LNC000832)". The record is from RNAcentral. Lineage: Eukaryota; Viridiplantae; Streptophyta; Magnoliopsida; Malpighiales; Salicaceae.
CAGAAGACGGUAGAUUUUGCUGGUCAAUCUGAGGAGAUGAAUGUUGUAAUUGAGGGGAAGCAUGCUGAGGUAGUUGAGGUGAAGAAAUAGGAAAUGAAGGUGCAGGUUUCAUGUGUUGACGUGGGAAAGCUGUGCGUUGAGCUGUUGGGAGAUGUUGUUGGAAGACUGCUGGCUUAAUUCCAAUCCCCUGUCUCAUCUCAUUUACAUCAUUCAUCUGUUGCGGCUGUGGAAUUUGGUGUGUCUGCAUCUGUGCAGGCAACUGCUGCUUGGCUUGCUGGUGUAAUUGCUGCUGCUGCUGCAGCAUCUGUUGAUUCUGCAUUAAAUUCUGGCGUUGCUGCAUUCGUUUAAGCUGUUGUGUUUGUAGCAUAUGUUGUUCAUGCUGCUGCUGCUGUUUUAGAUGCUGGUGUUGAAUCAUAUUGGAAUUCGACUGAAGGGGCAUAUUUGGCUGCAUCAUACUCACCCCACUUUGUGUUGACAUUGUGUUAACAUUGGUUGGUUGGGAAAUGCUCACGAGAUUCUGUUGUACAGAUCCUACAGGUGUCUGCUGCAAUGAGCUCAGUGCAUUUCCUUGUCCAGAAUCUAAAUUGGAGCCUGGUUGUAUUGGAUUCAUCAUGUUUGAUUGUGACGUCGAAUCCCCAGAUAAAGUUGAAAGAGAAUUAUGCAGCAAGCUUGACAUAUUGUUCUGCUGCAUCUUUGGUACAGAACCUUGCAUAUUUAUUGAUUGCAACUGGGAAUUCAGUUGAUUUUCAUGGGACUGCAAUUGAGGAACUUGAGAUUGGGGUUGCUGCAUAGGUUGAAUAUGAGGUUGGGGAAGUUGUCCUUGCUGAAGAUUAGGAAUAGGCUUCCUGUAUCUGCUUGGGUUUAGAAAACCUAGAAUCUGCUUCUCAUAGGAACCCAAUUUCUCCUUGAAAUUAGGUGUGAUGUUGUUUUUAGGGACCUGUAAGAAUCCUAUCAAGCGCUCCAACAUGACCUUGAAUAACUUCAGCUUUUCAAGCUGUUCUGACUUCGGUUGUUGCGGAAGAGGGUCAUGCUGGAAAGCAAAGUUAACAUACACGAGAAUUAAAAAUUGCAUUGACCCUUUGUAGCAAAACUAGUAAAACAUUAGUGAAAAAAAUGUUUCUAUUCCAAUUCUUCUGUGUCAAUGCAUGGUUGUGGGGUGGUUGGGGGUGGGGGAGGUAAUUAGUGCAGAUGAUACAGUGACAAGCAAUGCCGAUGGGGAAAACAAAUUAAUACAAAAGCUCAACUGUGGGGGUUUAUGAAUCAUGUGUGGGAAAAUAAAUCGGAAAAAAUUACAGACAAUUUACCUGCUGUAACUUGGUAGCAAUUCUCUGGUACAUUUCAUUUAUUUCAGGCAAAUACGUUUCCUUCAUAACUUUGAUCUAGGAAGUACAUAUAACCAGCAAGACAUUAUCAAUCAUAUGCUUGAUUUCUUCAGGUGCCAGAGUCAGAAAGAAACAUAAGCAAACUUGAGAGAACUGAUAAAUAAAUAAAUAAAAUGGCAGACGACAGCAUAUAUUGUUUGAGAUAAAAAUAGCAGUGGAAUCAAUGCCGAAAACUCAAAAGAGAAUAUCGUUAUUGAUUGCAUGCAAAGAUGCAAAGGAUUGUGUAGUUACCUCUUCAGACAAGAUUCAGGGGUUGGUCAAGUUCAGUUACUUUGUCUCACAGCAAACUACUCACCAUUGUUUUCUAUUGUUCUAACUCAAGUCAAUGGAUGUCACGACUUUGGUAAACACUUCCUAGCUUUAUAACUUUGGAUUUACAACCCUUAUAUCCUAAUUAUCAACAACCACUCCUAUUCCCGUUUUAGUACCCUCCCAGGCACAAAAAAAUUGACCUCAUCAAAUAUGCAGUUAUGAAUUGCAACUACAGCCAUUAAAUGAUUCAGAAUUUCAACCUCGUUUUCUAUAAAAUUCAACAAUACUGGACAUGGUCAUGAUUCAAUGGAUUAGGUCCACUUAUUUUCCUUUCUUCCAUUGUCACAUGUUUCAGAACAAAUUUGAUUGUAAUCCUGAAAAUAACUGUUCACUUAACCAAAUAUAACGAUGACUAUUCAGAAACAGUUCACUCUUGUUUUCAAGUCGGUCUAUUACAGUAAGAAGUAUUGUCAAUUGGACUUGUUGGAAAUAAUAAAAUAAUAAUUCACCACACUAAAUGUAUGGAAAUACAGGGAAAAAAUUGAAAGGGAGAGAUUUGCAAUAGAAAAAAUUGUCGUGUCAAUACCAAGAAAAUAACCCUCUUGACCUAGAAAUCUGAAUAUUUUACCUUUAAUCAUCUUAUCAGUAAUUUAUCGUUUCUUAGUUGCUGCAAUCAUGGAACUUACAAUGCUUCCUAACUAAUCACAACCAUAGCUGAAUAAAACUCCCUUGUACCAUAUUCCAGGAGACCUUUUCCAUUGAAAUCUUGCAAGACUAUGACAUACAUGAAUUUCAUCUAAUGAACAGUAAACCAUAGAAAUUACCUUUUGGUAGAUCUCCUCUUGCCAAUCAGCACCAUUUGCAUGUCCAGUCUCUGCUGUAGAAUCUAGGGAUGCUACAAAAAUUUUGAUGCAGCCAACAAAAGAUUAGAAUUCAUGUAUUUUUUGAAUGUUUUCCGCACACAAGGGUAUUUCUGUAAUUUUCACACUUGCUGAAAAUUAUGGAAUAUUGUAGGUCUUGGUUUUAUUUCUAUUUAGUAUUUUAUUGUUCCUAAAGAAUAAGGAGCUUUAAUAGGUUUUCCCUAUCCUAGAUAGCACCAUUAGUAUUUUCUUACAUAGGAAUACAAGUCCUUUUUGGACUUGGAGUACUAGGAACUCCAUCUCAACGAUAUGUAAUCAUUCAAAUAAAUGUAUGUGUGAUUGCAAUGGUUCCAAUAGCAGUGGCAUUUCUGAUGCAAUAAGUGGCAGCCAUAGCUCAUAAAGCUACCUAAAAGAGCAUUACUGACUUGAACCAUUAUUGUAUUUUCAAAAAAUUUAAAUAAAUAUGUUAUAAUCUAACAUGAAAGCACAAAGCUGCAAAAUUAAAGUUGGAGCAAGGCUAGAAAGCUGCAAGGAUGAGAAAAACUUACUUGAGGACGUUUCUGGAAGGGCUCUUUGAGGUUGAUAUAACUGCUUUUGCUGAUCAAUCACAUUCGGCUGUUGAAGCAAGGAGCCUGAUGCUUGAAGCCUUUGCUGCAGAUCACGUUGUAAUGGAUUUGAUUGCUGUUGCAGCUGUCCAGGCUGUGAUUGAAUCUGUGCCAUCAAUUGCUGCUGUGGCAGCUGUGAGUGUGACUGCUGCCCUUGAUUCGGCAACAAACCACUUCCACUUUGUUGUGCUUGCUGCUGCAGCGUAACCUUGGGCUGUUGCAGCAUGUGUAGAGAGUGCUGAUUAGAUUGCAUGCUUGAGUUACCAGGCUGAGCUCCAUGCAACUGCUGUUGCUGUAAACCAGUGACAUUACUUUGAGGGGCCAACUGUUGCUGAUGCAUGCUUGAGAGGUUAUUUUGUUGAGCCAUUAACUGCUGCUGCUGCUGCAGAUUUUGAAGGUUAUUCUGCUGCCCUAGCAAUCUCUGCUGCUGCUGCUGCUGCAAGUCCCCAACAAUGUUUUGUUGUCCAAUUAACUGAUUUUGCGACAUGUUAGUGGUACUUGAUUGUUGCCCCAUUAGCUGCUGUUGUGGAGGCAAUAGUGGCUGCUGCAUCAUUGGUGUUUGCUGCUGAUGAAUACCAGCAGACUGUUGAGGUUGUUGCUGCUGCUGCCUAAGGACUGAUUGUGGAUGUUGCUGGUGCAUUGGUUGUGUUGACUGUUGAACAGAAGAUGGUUGGUUCUGUUGAAGGCCAGAGACAGUUUGCAUCAUUGAAGGCUGCAUAACAGUUGAUGUUUGCAAACCAGAUUGCUGAGAAGAUUGCAACUGAUUUGGCUGUAACAAAUUUUGCUGCUGCUGCUGGUGGAUGUGAGAUUGCACAAGUGAGUGUGGAUGAUUUCCCUGUUGAAGCUUCUGCUUUAAAAGCUGAUGUUGCAUCUGCUGCUGAUAAAGAUACUGCUGAGGAUUUUGGGACUGCUGCUGUUGCUGUGGAGGAACAACCUGUUGCCUGCCUGGCAUUUGUCUCUGAGAAUUGACAAACAUAUUGGGGGGAAUCCCUUGUCCCAUUGAAUUCCCCACUGGGUUCUGUGAAACACCAGAGAUACUCUGCAUGUUAGCAUUCUGUCCAACAGUGUUUGGGAUAGUCUGGGUUAAACCGGAGACAGAAGGCAUUGCUGAUUGUAAACCAGCAGAACUUUGAACUCCAUUAGAUGACAUACUAUUCUGCAUGUUCUGUGAUAACUGCUGACGUGCUUGAGACUGAUUAGAGGACAAUGAGUUAGGGAGCGACUGCCCUUGGUUGUGAACUUGAGGCGGCAUACUAUGAGAUGCUGUUCAAGAUAAAAGGCAAAAAGGAAAACCAUGUCAAAGGAAAAAAAAAGAAGGCAUUGAACAAGAAAAACAAAUGAAACAAUGACAGUUCACACGUAAAGUUAUGAGGGAAAUAAUUAAGAUGGUUUUACCUCAAAGCAUAAGUGUCAUUUGACUUUUUUUUUUUUUUUUGUUGUGGGGGGGUGGGGAGCAGAAAACAAAAAUAAUCUGUAAUUUUUUUUUGAACAUUCAUCAAUUACUCGACUCUUUUAUUAAAGCAUGGUAUAUACAUAGCAAAAUGCAGCAAUAAAAUGUAAAAGAGUUUGAUAACAACGCAAAAUACAAAACAAAAGGUAAGGAUGUUUAGAAAUCCAAUGCUUGGCUGCAUUAUUACCUCCUGGAUCCAGGGUUUUGUUACCAUUGCCAGUGGGUAUGGUAUUUUGAGACUUGGUCUCCAUUGUAAGCAUCUUCAGAGAUAUUUUACGCAGAUAAUCAGACUGAAAUCAGAUAUCAAUAACAAAACAUUAGAUCUCUGCGCAGUCCAUGUUACAAGAGAAGGGGGAAAAGGGAUAUAUGCUCUUUCUAAUAUGCUAGGCUUUCUGUAUUUGCAUCUUCUGUGAGGAUAUACUUCUGUGUCCUUUCUUUUUAUUUAAUUAUUUAUGUAUUGAUUCGUUAUUUGCAUUUUGCACACUUCCCUUGUACUUGAAAAGGACCUUGGUCACUCUAAAUAAAACACUUGUCAAGAGAAAUAACGAAAAGAUGAGAACUUCUACAGAAUGACCAGUAAGGAAGUGUGGACACACUACACACACGUGUACAUGCAUUAAUCCACAAACUUAUGCAUGUGUAUAUUCAUGUCUAGAGAAUAUCGAAAUCAUUGAACCUAGCAUUAGCCGAAUACCUGAUUGGUGGCGGCAGUAUAAAUCUUUUCCUCAAACCGUACGGCAAUUUUCUUGAGUUCUUGUAAUCCCUCUUGACCAGAAAACGGAAGAUGCCUCUUUAAUGUCUCCAUUCUGCACAUGUAAAACAUUACAUUUAAUUUUUAAUGACAAGGCAGGUAUAGAGAAGUUAGCAGCAGUGAGAAAGAACCGUGAACUCAUACACCACACCAAUAUCAGAAAUGUAUACAACGGAAUCAUUAGGAAAAAGUAAAAACAAAUAAUGAUAUAGCCAAGUGUCGGUCAAGUAAUAUAUGGCAUCAAAAUACACAUCUAUUUUUACUUCCUUUCCCCGUAUUAUUCCACAGGUACAGGGUAUAGGAGUUCACUUGGCCACCCUUAUGUUUAAAAUUCUAGCUAUGAGCUUCAUGGUUAAUUUUCUUGAACUGGAAGAACCUUCCAUUUAUGGCUAUGGCUAUGCUCCAAGAUAUAUAAAUGAAUUAGCUGCAAACCAAGGGAACUCUGUGAAAACAUUACAACAGCAUUUACUCUAAAUAAGAAAACCUUUAUACAUGCACUGCAAUUAACAAAGAAAAGAAGAGAAAUCCUUUUAAUUUAUGAAAAUGCAAUGAGUUAACCUUAUCUCACGCUGCAAUAUAUACUCAACAGUGCUCAUUGGCUACUGCAAAUGCCAACAGUAGCUGUCUAUAUGAAUUUGGAUGUAGAGAUAUCACCAAAACAUUCCACUUUAUACUGAGAAACUAGGAAACCAUGCACUAUUGUGACUAAUUGAUUUUUGUCUGCUGCUUUUGUACUUUAAGAUAACUAUCAUUUCAACCCUGUAGAAGUUAAAGCAAAUGGAAGGCUCAAAUCCAACACUGUUCAUUUAAGUUCAGUUGAUACUCAAGGUUGAAAUUGAAACACCAAUGCUCAUAGCAAUAGAUUAACCUUGAAAUUUAAAGCGGAAGAAGCUUCAUGCAGCCAUCCUAGAGGUCAUCAUCGAAAGAUGUUACACAAGAAGUUCCAACAAAAAUUACUUCCCAGCACUUUUUAUUCCCUCAAGUUCACUUCUUGUGAGAAACACGUGAAAAAUGAAAAAGACAAAAACAGAGGUGUAUGAUACUUGAGGUUGCCUCAUGGCAGUCCUGCUGAUUUUAAUUAACCUUUUUCCCUUCUCUUUUUCUUUCAUUUAAAUACAAGAUUUACUAUUUUGCAGCACUUGCACAUAUUAGGAAACAGAGACUUACAUUUUGUUGACUAUUCUUUGCCGUGAGUCAGGCUGCAAUUGAGUUCUCCAAUCACCUGUGUCCAUAACAGGUUCUCCGCCUGGGGCAGUGGGCCUCCAAUUAUUGGCAUCCAUGGGGUUUUGGCCAACCAAAAAAAUCACUUCAAUCACCAAAAAAAAAAAUAAUAAUUAUAUUGCAUGUUAGAAUAGACCCUAAAAAGAAAGUCAGGAACAACAGAAGAGUAAGAGCAUAUCAAAGUCAUGAAAAUUGGAAUGUCAGUUUAUUCAGACUUGAAUAGAUUUAAAAAGAACUUCCAUCCAAUAGCAUGUACUUUAUUAAAGAAUUCUACCAAAUAUGGAUGCAUAAAAUCUGAACAGCCAUAACAAAUAUACACGACCAUUCAGGGCAAGGUGCUAGGAUCUUGGGUAUUCAGGUAUUAUAAGCAAGAUUUGGGCCUGAAUCUUCAUGGUGCUUCUAAAACCAAGGAAGCAAAAAACUAGCCAGCUAGUUCAUAACUUGCCACACCAUCAGAUGGUGAGUGUUGGUAAACCAAGCCAUGGAGAAACUCAUGGUGCUUCAAUUUUAACUUGAUGUUUUCUAGCAACACUCGUGAUACAUCAUUGAUGCAAUGUUUACAAUGACAAACUUGCAUUUGUAUUCAUUCUGAUCAAAUAGAUAUUUAAAGUUCCAAAAACAUUGUAUACGCAUUUAAAUGCUUUACUUCAAUAGAUAGAUUGUCUAGGAUGUUUUAAGCUAGUAUAUAACAUCUUACCAAUUUAGAUUCAGCACAGGACCUUUUUCAAGUGCUUACCAAUUUUUACUCGCAAGCAAAUACAUACCGUCAAACCCCAACACCCCCCCCCCCGGCCCCUGUUCUUGUUAUUUAUGUAUGUAUUAACUUUUCUAACGUGCAAUAAAACAAGGCUUUUCAAUCAGCAGUACUCUAAAUACCCCAGCAAAUAGAACAUGAAGAGGCCACAAACAAUAACCCAUCUAGGGUUAUCAACCAAACAAUGAGUCAUCAUAAACUAUUAUUUUUAUUUUUUUCGCGUUAACAUGACCAAAUUAUAAAAUGUAAAGUCCUUUUCUUUCUUUCUUUUUUCCAUGUGUGAGCGAGCAUAAAACCCAAGGAUAUCGUAUUGUUGUUAAGAACACAAUAAUUUUGAAGAAUUCAGUAAAUUCCAAAAAAGAAGAAUCAACCAAACAGCUCAUUUUUCGGCCAUUCCGGCAGAAAAAUCUCUUCCACUCCAGCUGCUGCAUAAACUAAUUAACAAAUUAUCGAUCGAGCCUAAAAGAUUUGAAUUGAUUUCUAUUCUCCACUAAAAAAUAAAAUAAAAUAAAAUAAAAUAAAAUAAAUUUGGGUUCAAGAAUUCAGGGCUUGAUUAUUACAACAAUAACUGUGAGAAAAAUCGGAUAAUAUCAUGUAAAUUAAGGGGAAAAAUUGAAAAAGAAAAUAUUAGAAUCGGCUGAUUGUGCGUUUCUUUGAAUUGCGUUCACGAGCAGCGAUUUCAACGGAUCCGAUUAUAUAUUUUUUUAAUUUACUUAUUAAAAUCGAAUUGCGUUCACUAGCAGAGAUUUCAUCGGAUCGAUUAUUUUUUUUAAUUUUCUCAUUAAAAUAGAAUUUCUGUCUCUGAAUAAUAAUUCCAAUAGAAUAAAUGAAAACACCCAUAAAUUUUAAAAACAAAAACAUGAUAGAAAUAGAAGCACCUGGCAGAAAUCUGAAGCCUUCUUGGCGGCGGCGGUUUCCGAGAGGCGGAGGAGGGAGGGAGGGAGGGAGGGAGGGAGAGCUCUGGCGGGGAGAGGUGAGGAAUGCUGGACCAAAGUGAAAUGGAUGACUUUAUUCUUUUCCAGAUUCCUUCUAAAAAAACAUUAACGAGUAAACACUCGCUCGCUCGCUCGCACGCACGCAUAUGAUGAUUAAAAUUGGAGUUAAAUUCUAUUUAACUAGUGUCUGUAUUUUUGUUAAACAAACAGAUUAAUCCCUCAAGUUCAUUUAAAUAAUUGAUUGAUCCUUGAAUCACAUUUUACCGUUAAGUUAGCAGCACAAACUAAGGAAAUAUUGCUGACAGCUCAACAUUUUACUAACGAAAAAUUAAUGAAGGGACUGAAUUGUAAACAUAUUUAAACGUAUAGGGAUUAGUUAGAACAACUAGUUAUCACUGCCUCUGAGAAUUAGUAUACAGCUCAGCAUUUUGUUGAAGGGACGGGCAAAGGUACAUUUAUUUCCGUUAACUUUCUAAUAUUAGAUCUUGCUUCAGUAUAAUUUAUUAAAUUUAUUUUAAUAUAUUAAAUAAUAUAAGGCACAAAACAGAUCAUAAUAGAAUACAAUAAAAACAAGUUGUGAUAUAUUUGUUGCACAUGGCAAGCUAUAAAAUGUUUGAUAUACUCUUUGGACAUCACAAAGAUUGAUCAUUGUCUUGUCCAAAAAUUAUUUUUUCUUAAUUUUUAUAUUAUCUAUUAUUUAUUUAUCACUUAUUUAUUUUUUAAUUUGGAAAACCAAAAUUUGACCAAUUUUUAAUUUGGAAAACCAAAAUUUGACCAAUUUUAUUAAAAUAAAUAUGUACAUGUAAGAGUUUAAUUGCAAAAACUUUUUGAUUUAAGAACUAGAUUGUUCUAGAUGACAAAGAAAUUCUAGUAAGGACUAAAAUAUCAUAAAAAUAAAAUGCAAAGACUAAAAUAAAUGAUUGAAAAAAUCUCAAUGAUAAAAACAAAAUUAUUUGAUCUUAUCUUUAGUGCACCAAACAUAGAAUAAAAACAUAUGUUGUCUAGUUCAAUUCAAUCUAAUUAAACAUUAUUUGGUAUUUAUAUUAGUAUGUUCUUAUCUAACACAUUUUUAGUUUCAAUUGACAUCCAUUCAAUAUGGAAUUCCAAUAAAAACAAAUUCUAUUGGAAAAAUGUUCUAUCAAAAUAAAAGAAACGUGGAAAUAUACUUGUAUAUUAUAAAUUAAUGGAUAUACAUCAAAAUACUCAUAAUGUCAAAAUGCUGCAUGGCACCGUAAUCACAUGUCUUCUUCUUCUUCGGUUACUUCUAUUUUUGAAGCAAAUCACAAAAAAUAAUUAUUUGAUAAUUUAUAAAACAUUAUUUACUAUUUACGAGACCCACUUGAAGUUGCUUCUCCUCUUCCUCUGUUGUCUCCACUUUUUCAUGUGAACAGUGGAGAAUGUCUCUAUUAUUCCGGCUGGACUGGAUCCGGUCCAAAGCUAAAUAUAUUGAACCGGGUCCGACCUAGUAAAAUAAAAAAAUCAAUUUUUUUAUUUUUAAUUGUGUUUUAUUCGAAAAACUAGUGUUUAACAUUAUUCAAUGACACUACAUAAAUUAUAAGGAGAUUGCUUGAUGACGUAGCAUUUGCAGAAUUUGAUCGCAAUCCUAAUUUUGUUCCUGAUGAUAUUUUACCUGAUGUUGUUGCGGGCUUAAGAAACCAAGAAAACUGUAGUCCUUGUCGAAUGAAUUUCGUGCGUGAUGGAAUUGUAGAUAGUUUAAUGGAACAAUAAAAAAAUAUUUUAUAUAAAGUAUUACUUAUUUCAUGAUGUAAUAGCAGUAGUUAAAUCUAUAAUAUUUAAAUUAAAAACCAUCAAUAUUAAUAUAUAUAUAUAUAUAUAUAUAUAUUAAUUAUUUUAUAACCUCGAUUUGAAAAACAUUCUUAACUAAACACAUUAAACUACUUUUUGUUCAACCUCAAUUUCAACCACAAUUUUAACCAAACACUACUAAAAAAUGGAGUAAUUAGCAACGGACUAUUCCGUUGCAAAUAAGACUACAAUCCGUUGCUAAAACAAUUUAGCAACGGAAUCAGCAACGGCAAAAAUCCGAUGCAGAUUUGUCGUUGCUGAUUUUUUAGCAACGGAUAAAUCCGUUGCUGGUUUUGUGAAUCAGCAACGGAUUCUCCGUUGCUGAUUCAUAUUUGUAUUUAUUAAAUUAAUUUUUAUUUAUUUAUUAAAAUAACUUUUAAUUUAUUUAUUUAAUUAUUUAUGGAUAUUUUAAAAGUUGUAGAAUUUAUAUAACCAACAUAAAUUAAUUAAUAUUAAAAAUAAUUAUAUCAUUAAUAAAAAACAAAAUAAAAAUAAUAUUCAUAUUAUAAAAAUUUAGUUAAACUUGCAUUAAUACAAUUAAGUUCAAAUACAAUAAAAAAAAAAACAACAAAAGAUACAAUCAUGGUGCUGGUUGCGAAGACGAACCAUGAUAUUGUGGAUCAACACAAGAUUGAUCAGGAUAUAAAGGUCGAGGUAUAGGUCGAAAAAUUGGUUGAGAUGCGGGACCCAUAGGUGUCAUUAUCUGAGGAGCCAUAGGUGGCGGUAUUGAUGGAGUCAAAGGUGGUGGCAUACCUUGAUCAAUAUUUGAUGUCCCACCAUGGUAUCCAAGAUUGUUCACAAGAUAUUCUUUCAUGGAAUCCAUCUGCCGUUUCAUUUCAAGAAUAAAAUCAUCUUUUUUCUUUAUCUCCUCUUCUUUAUCCUUUAUUUCCUUUUGCAAUGCUCGAUACGAUGAACUGGGAUAUGAUGACUCCACCGAGUAGGAAUGUGAUGAAGAGCUUGUACUAACUUUUGAUUUUGGCAUACGAGGUGCACCAUAUACCCUACCCUUUGUAACUCCUCCUGAAGCCACACACCAAGCUGCUCCAUCAAAUGAAGGAUGAUUUUCCCGAUCAGUUCCAUACUUUGAAAUCAUCUCCUUUUUAUAAUUUUCCUACAAAUAAAAUACAUGCAAUAAUAAAUUAAUUUCAAUGUUGAAUAAUACUUAAGUUAUAUUAAGAAAUAAUCAAAUAAAAAUACAUACAACCACUUUUUUAGACUUGUUGUCGACGAAGCUACUAGAUUGCUUAGUAUUUUGAUGCAAAGCUGAAAAGACAUCAUCCCAUGGAGGUUCUUUUCCACCAGCUUCCUCUUGCUUUCAAGAUUAAUAAAUAUUAUAAAAGAUAAAUAUACAAAUUUUAAUUUAUUAUCUUAAGCAUUAAAAAAAAAUCCUUACCAUGUUAGCUCGAUAUGAUGCAAAUGACACUGUUCCUCCAGAAUGAGUGCUUAUUUUGCCAUCUGUUUUGGUUAAUCGAUUCCUCCUAGCAGAUUCAGAUCUCUUUUGAAAUUCAGGGGUGGACCAAACAUAUUUGAUCAUUUGAUUCCAGUCAUCAUUGUUUAUCCAGGCAGGACCUUUAUCAAGACAAUCUAUAAUAUUUGUAGUGUUUUCUUUUGACAUGGCUUUCUUGCGAGCUCGUGUCAAUUGUUGAUUCAAAGCUAUCCUAGCCUUAUCUUCCCAAAUAUUACGAACAAUCGACUCAUCUUCCUCAGGAAAGGAAUAUGUUUUCUACCAAAUAAUAUAUAUACCAAGUAAAAAGAGUGCACAAAAUUUCAAAUUAUAUAAAUAAUUAAUCAUAUUGUGUUAUCUUGUUCAGAAUUUGCAAGAUGAUGUAAUAACUAAAGAAAUUAAAUGAUAUUAAAGAGUAAACAAGAAAUAAAAACAAAUUAUAACACAAAUCAGUCAUAGCUAUUCAGUUGAUAAUUUUCAUAAUUCUACAUUAAAGUGAUCAAAAUUGAAAAGAAUAUUAUAGCAAUUAGUGUUGGUUCUUACCUUAAACUCUUUAAAGAGUUCAUCCUUGCACAUUGGAUCUACUUUUUCCCAAGAGUGCCAUGCUCCCUUAAAAUUGGACCUCAAAAUAUCUCCGAUUGCACGGCCACACGAUGCGUUAUUGAACCUGAAAAUAUAUAAUAACAAACUUAUAUUAAACAAAUAAUUACACAAUAAGAAGUAAUUUUUUUCAUACUUGAAAAUAUAACCUUAAUAAGUUAGUUAUUAAAAGUUUGAACUUACUCUGUUAUUCCAUACAAACAAAGCUCUUUUUUUCUUGUUAUUGGAUCUAUUGGCGUGUCAAAACCCUUCCUUUUAACACUUUGAUCAUAAUUGUAUGGAGAAGAUGUUGAACCGUGAUAUGAUGGAACACCAUCUUGAUCCUCAUCACAUACAUCUCUCUCAUCACAUACACCUCUCUCAUUACUACCGUCUCCCUCAUCUUCAUUUCUAAUGUUCACAUCAUCAUCAUUACCAUCAACUCUCCCAUAAGUCCCAUAUAAAUUAUGUCCUCUAUAAACAAGUUGGUUAUCUCGAGAGAAACCUCCUUGAGUUUGAAGCAAAUCUUGAAAACGAAAGCCGUCACAAUAUUGAUAUGCAUCUACCCUCCCAUAAUCAUGUUGAGGAGGAUGUGUACUCCCCAAAGUGGGUAUAUAAUACUCAUUUGCGUUCUGAUACACAGGUUGAUGAAAUGUGGAUCCUUUGUUAUUAUGCCUUGAUGUAGUUUGAAAUGACUUGGAUGAAGUGGACCUGUCACUCCUUGAUGUGGACCUGUCACUCCUAGAAUCUAAUAUGGAUCCUCGUCGAGGCAUGCUAAAAACCAGAAAAAAUAACUAAUAUUUAAUAUGAAUAUAUACAACAUAACAAUAAAUUAGCUCAUAGUUAAACUAUCAGGAACAAAAAAUUCACAUAUAUUUUCCCAAGACUGCCAUAACUAGAAUGAAAAUAAACUGUUAAAUAACAUUUUUUUCCCAAUUCAUUACAAACAAUAUCUAGUUUAUGAUGUUCAAAAUCAGUAUGGAUUGUCCACUUAAUACUCAUCACUCCGAAAAAUAUUAUACUUCAAAUAAAAUAAUUACUGUAACAAAACCAAAUAUAUAAAUAACAUCAGGACAAUUUCAUUAAGCAUUCCUUGCAAUGACAAAACUCAACCAUGAAGUUUAAAUUGUCAAAAGCCAAUUAACACAAACAAUAAUAAUUAAUUAAGCAGAAAACAAAAUUUAUAAGUAUGCUUACCUUAAUGUUUGGUCCUAUAAAUCAAAACAUUGAGUAGGAAGAACCCUUUCUUUCACACUUCAGCAUCUGUAAGCAAGAAAAUGAAUCACAAAAUAAAAUAUAACAUCAGAAUCACAAUUUAAAGAUUGAUACUUGAAAGGUUAUAAAUGGUUUCAAAGGUGAAUGAAAAUGAUUUAUGUAAUGUGAUGCAUAACACACACUUGAAUAAAAUAAUAAAAAAAAAACAUUGAAAGCCUAAAUAUUGUCAAAUAAUAUGAAAUCAUUCAUACAUAUAAUAAAGAUAAUUCAUUACAUAUACUACAAAAUAUAAUUAACUUGUGCUACUCAUUAUUAUCAUCAUUCCUAACCAUCACCACCAUAACAAUCAUCCUCAUCAUCAUCAUCUUCUUCUUCUUCACCAUCACCAUCACCAUCACCAUCACCAUCACCAUCACCAUCAUCAUCUUCUUCAUCAUCUUCAUCUUCAUCAUCUUUGUUUCCCCAAUUCAUGUCAAGUUGAAUCAAUUCAUGUUGCCCGAUUUCUUCAUAAUAAGAUGAUUCAACAAGUAUAUUUGGAUCAUCAAGUGUUGGAGUAGGAAGGACACGACAUGGUUGAGAAAUCUCAUCUGAUUGAUCAACAUCAAAUGAUCUCACAUUGUUGGCAUCUUCAAUAAAUUCACCCAUGUCAACAUUAUAACGACUUCUAGCAGUUGUCUUAAUAACCGUCCACCAUUCAGAUGAUUUAUUACCAGGUGGAUAUGUAUAGUAGACUUGUUGACAUUGUUGUGCUAACACAAAAUCUUCAUUUCCAUGUAGUCGAGAUGUAUGCUUGAUUUCAACCAAACCAUUCGAAGGAUGCACUCUAAUCCCUCGUUUUGUAUCAUACCAAUUACAUUUAAACAUAAAUAACUUGCACUUACUCCCCAAGUAUUUUAGCCGAACAACUUCUUUAAGCAUUCCAUAAUAAUCACGUUCAUUAUCAUCAUAGCAACUUCCUUUCACACAAACUCCACUAUUCAUUGUCUUUUUAAAACGGCCAUAACGUUGAGUAUGAAAUUUAAAACCAUUCACAUAAUACCCAUUAUAACAUUUCACUGAAGUUGAAGGGCCCAUAGCAAGUCCAAAGAGUUGAUUUUCAAUUCCGUUAGAUUGGUAUUCCACCUAGCAUAAUAGUUAACUCCAUAAGAAAUAAUGAUUUAAAAGAGAUUAAUAAUAUUUUUAAAGUAGCUAAUUGACAUAAAAUAUAAAUUAAUUUUAUUAAAAUACUUACAUUAUUUUUUAACCAAUUUGGAAAGAUCGUUUCGCAUGAUUUUUCUAUUUCACCAUCACUCGCAUAUGGUUGUUGUGACUUUAGCUCUUGUCGACAUUGCCUAAAAUUUUAAAAUGUUAAAGUUAACAAUAAAUUAUUAUAAAUUUAGUACAAAAUAAUAUUUCAUACUUACUCUAAAUAAGGCUUCAGUUCUUGACAAUUGAAUAUCACAUAGUUAUGCGCAAUUUGCAUUUCAGCAUGUGACAACUGCCUUUUAUAAAAUCUUUUGGAUAAUUUUUUCCCUGGAUAGGAAAAAAUAGAGAGACAUCCAUCUACACUUCUAAGGCCACCAUCAUCAUUCCGUGGAACUCGAUUCCAAAUUGUUUGCACAUCAUCACCAAAAUAAUGAGAUGCAAAAUUGGUAAUUUCAUCAAUCAAGUAUGCUUCACAUAUGGAACCCUCAACUUUAGCUUUAUUGGUCACUUUCUUCUUCAAAUAAAACAUAUACCUAUAUCAUUUCUGUCAAUUAGUUUAUUUUUAAAAAAUAAAAAGUGAAUAAAAUUAACAUAGUAUGAAAACAUACCGUUCAAAUGGAUACAUCCAUCGAUAUUGAACUGGUCCACCAACUUUUGCCUCGUAAGGUAGAUGUAUCGUCAAGUGUUCCAUGGAGUCAAAGAAGGAUGGAGGAAAAAUCCUUUCAAGUUUGCAAAUUAUUUCAAUUAUAUUCAUCUGCAUUAACUCCAUGUGCUGGGCAUUUAAAUUUGUUGAACAAAUAUCUCGAAAAAAUACGGACAGUUCAGUUAAUGCCUCCCACAGUGGCCUAGGUAAGUAAGGUCGGAAAGCGGUUGGAAGAAGUCUUUGAAUGAAGACAUGACAAUCAUGGCUCUUCAUCCCCGAAACCUUACAUUGUGCCUCUUUCACACAUCGUGAAAUGCUUGAAGCAUAACCAUCAGGAAAUGAUAAUUCCUUCAUCCAUGACAAAACUUCUUCUUGUUGUUUCUUGUGCAGACAAUAAGUGCCUUUAGGUUUGUAAAGCCGACCACUCAUAUCUUGUUGCAAAUGUAAAUUUGGCUUCUGACAAUACAAUUGAAUAUCCAACCUAGCCUUUAAAUUGUCCUUGCUUCUAUUCGGACAAUCCAUUACUGUAUAAAAAAUAUUGUCAGACAUUUUUCUCAAUAUGCAUGACAUCAAGAUUAUGACGAAUCAAAUUUGUAUGCCAAUAUGGAAGCUCCCAGAAAAUGCUCUUCUUCACCCAAUUGUGCUUAACACCAAAGCCAGGAAUUUUAGCAUUAUAUGAUGAACCUCCAUUAUGUCCCUCAGUGUACUUGGACACUUCAUUUAACAUUUCCAAACCAGAUGGACGAGGUAAAGGAGGAAGCCUUUCAAUUACUCCUUUCAAAAACUUAUCAUAUUGAAAUCUAUAUGGGUGGUUCAUGGGUAGGAAUCGUCGAUGACAAUCAAAAAAUGUAGUUUUCCCCCCAUUUUUUAAUCUAAAAGUCUUGCUAUGCUCCAUACAAUAAGGACAAGAUAAAUUUCCAUGAGUACUCCACCCCGAUAACAUGCCAUAUGCUGGAAAGUCACUAAUGGUCCACAUCAAAGCUGCCCUUAAUUGAAAAUUUUCCUUUCUGUAUACAUCAUAUGUUUCAACACCAAAAAACCACAAAUUCUUUAACUCAUCAAUCAAAGGUCUUAGAAAAACAUCAAGCUUUUUACCCGGAUUCUUUGGCCCAGGAAUCAUCAUUGUCAAAAACAUGAAUGGUCUAGCCAUGCACUUCCACGGAGGCAAAUUAUAAACAGUCACAAUUACUGGCCAACAAGAGUAUGUAUUUGAAGACAUGUCAAAUGGACAAAACCCAUCAGUGCACAACCCUAACCGAAUAUUUCUCGGAUCUGAUGCAAAGCUUAAGUGGACACGAUUAAACUCCUUCCAUGCCUCCCCAUCAGAUGGGUGCACCAUAACCCCAUUAUCAGACUUAUGAAAAUGAUGCCAUGUCAUAUCUUUGGCAUGAUAUGGAGACAUGAAUAGUCUUUGAAGCCUUGGUGUUAGAGGAAAGUAUCGGAGUUGCUUCUCCGCCUUAUUGGAACCUUUACUAGUUGGAUUUCUAGGUUUGUAUCGUGAACUUCCACAAAAAUCACAAUUUAUUUUCAUUGCAUCUGCCCCAUAGUACAACAUACAGUAAUUAGGACACACAUCAUAUUUCUCAUAACCAAGUCCAAGUGGCCGCAUAAAUUUCUUGGCAUCAUAAAAAUUUGAAACCAAAUUUUCAUCAUUAGGCAUGCAACUUUUUGUAAAGUCAAUGAAAUUGUUGAAGGCAUUCUGAGUCAAAUUUAAAGUUGACUUCAUAUUAAGCAAUUGUACACACGCAGAUAAUUUGGAUUGCUUGGUACACCCAUCCCACAACGGCUCCUCCGCAGCUUUCAAAAGCUUAAAAAAUUUAGUUGCCUCCGGAUUUGGAAUUUCCCCUGCUACCAUAGGACUAGACACAUUAUCAUUAUAGAAUGCAUCACCAACCCCCAUUGCAUCCAUAACCAGAUUCCUAUAUGGAUUCUCUAGACAAACAUCAUUCACAUCAUGACUCAUUAUAAUCGAUGAAGGUCCAGCCAAUAUUGGUUUUGCGACAUAAGGCUCCCCAUGUACAGUCCAAUUUUCAUAACAAGGUAAAAAACCUUUUGUCAAUAGAUGUUUACAAACAUCAUCUUCCUUUAAAAACUUUUGAUUUUUGCACCUCACACAAGGACAUCUAAUUUUUCCCCCAGAUAUAUUUUUAUCAAUUGAAAAUGCAAAAUUGAUAAAUCUUCUAACACCAGUAAUGUAUUCAGGACGAAGACGACCAUCCAUAAGACGACGAUACAUCCACGAUCGAUCAUCCAUGUUAAUCUAAUUAACAUGACAACACCAAUAAGCAUUUUUUGAAAUACACAUACUUCUUUAACUACUAGUACUUAAACAAUCCUUUAAAAUAAAAUAUGUACCACAUGAAUAAACUUUAAUUAUUUGUCUCUUAUCAUAUACAUUGUAUCUAUCUUUUAUGUCGUAGUGAAAUAAUAAUUAGAUAAUAAUUAUAAUACUGGUGGAUGAAAAUAUAAACACAUUUGUUUUAUAAAUUCUUUAAGCACAAUCCAAAUUAGUUAAUUUCAUGUACUAGUAGAUUUGUUGCCUUCUUUCUUCUCUUAAUAUGUAUGGAGCAUAAUAUUAUUGUUAAUUAAUUGACAUGAGCAGACCGUAAGAGAAAUGUUGUCUUCUCAAUCUCAACGUCACAAUAUGUUUCAAGACUUGACAAAUAGCACGACAUUUAAAUUUGCAAUUAAUUGAUAUAUUAUUCAGCCACCUCUAGGUUUCAUUUUGGUCUCAUAAUUUCCAUCCAAAAUAAACUCAAUAUCAGAUUUAAUAAAAGAAAAUCAUUCAAUUAGUUUUCUUAUAUAAACUAUCAAUAUUGUCCCAAUGAAAGGCAGAGUUCGAACUACUUGAAAAGAUUACAAUAGGCAUGCACAACAAAAAAAUUAUGCACGAUAUAAUUAAGCAACCAUGUAAAAAUGGAGCAAAAUAGACUUACCUAAGCCCCAAGAAUCAAUGGCACAAGGUGGAGGUUUUCUUAUUGCAACCCAAUCAGAUUUAGCGAACUCUAUUGGAUUAUAUUAUGAUCCAAUAAGCCAUUCAUAUUGCUGGAAAAAUAAAAAACAUAAACAAUAUGUUACACCCAUAAAGUUAUAACAAUUGCUAGUUUUUAAAAUAAAUCCAAGUUAAAUUGAUUCCAAGGAUGCGUCUGAGAGGGUGGAAAGACAUGAAGGGAAAUAAAAUGCACAGAGGGAUCGGAUGCUUGCUUUGUGUAAAAAGCUUGAAAUGAUCCAGAAGACAAGGUCUUCCAGAUAAGUGCUAGCUAAUUGGAAUCUGUUGGAAUUUAGCCGGAGAAAAAAGCAGACAUCUCCAUUUCAAAUGGGAAAUCAUUAAAAAAAAAAUACUAUUGAAUGCAAAAUUAAAGCUUGUCACCUUUCAACUCAACAGAAUUGGUGCAUUUAAAUAAAAACCUACCAUCCGGUGAGCUAGUCGUACACACGUAGCUAGCCUUUUUAAUGAAAGAAGAAAAAAUAUAAUGAGUUCAUAAGCUAUAACUCUCAGGGAGUCAAGAGAAAUGGCAAAGGGCGAAGAUAGAGGAUAUAUAUAUUUUUACGUGUUUUUUCAUUUUUUUUAAUUAAACAUAUUUUUAUCUAUAUUUUUAUCAUUUAAUUAAACAUAUUUUUUAUAUUUUUUUUAAUUUGCCGCUGAAUAUGGAUUUGCUUCAUGCUCUACAAAGAAUACAAUCAUGUAGCAUUGAUGAGAUUGCGCUUCUUGGCUUCAAAAAGAAGACAUGCUGAACAGUUCACUGUGAGUUGGACUCAAAUUUUCUUCACUGUUUACAAGAGAAAUUUCUGCAUGAUAUCAAUCAAAAGUAAACAACCACAUUGUUCGUUUCAGUCCUCAAAUUUCUGGUAUUGGAAAUUCAUUUAGUUUAUAUGAUGAUCUAACUACAUGCUUAGUUCUGUUUUUUAGAAGGCUUGCUUCUUGUUAUUUUUUUGGUGUAUUUGACAUUUGAAGAGACAUGAUCAAGAAAGAAAAGAAGUAGAAGCAUCUCAUGAGUAAAUUAAAGCAUCUCACGUAGUGGUGAGAAAUGUCCCACAUGUUUCUGGCUGGUUAGUAUUAGCCACAGUGGAACAAUUUUUUCAAACAAACCGUCCAAAUACUUAUCUUUUUCAGCAGGUAUUAUAGUUUUAUUACGAUUUAUCUUGACUAAUUUAUCUUUUAUUUUUUCUGUAAUUUUAAUUUGGUUAUGUGAAAAUGGUUUUCUUAUGGAUUUUAUGUUUGAAUGAUAUAUGCAUGAUUGCGAGUUCUCUUGAUUAAUUUUCUGACUAUUUUCACAGUAAUUUGAUUAAAAUGAAAAUAAUCUUUGCAUGGAUUUUAUGGAAGGAUGGUAUACGCAUGAUUGAUGUGCUUAAUGUUUCCUUAGCCUUAUAAUUUAUUGAAGAGAAUUUGAAUUUUCUUUUCAGGCCGUCUAACAAGUCUUUCACCACUGAAAAACACAUAAAUAAUUCAAGUUUCCCAAGUAAUAGUAAAAUUUAUUUCAUUUCAAUUUCAGGUCCAUCCAUCCAUGACCAAUAAACCUUUUAACUUUGUAGCUUGUCAAAUGAAUUAUAGUUUAUAUGUGUGCAAAAUUUUACAAAUUAGGACAUUCCAAUUGAUUUGAAAAUUAAUUCACGUGAGUUAUAAACAUCAAGUUCAAUGAUUGAAUCAGUGGUAGUCAGAUGUCAUGGAAUGGUGUAAAUCAUGGAAAUCAUACAAUUUUAGUGCAUGGUUGAUGAAAGCAAUAACUCCUAUUUUAAAUUCAUUUUUUAAAAAUGUACCAAGGACGUCUGAAUCAAUAUUCCUUAGUUGUAGUCAUUGGUAUGGUGGUUGGAUAGUUAUUUACCAUGUUUAUGAGCUAUGAAGGUGCACAUUCAACACAGAGGGGGCAAAAUAACGAAGGAAAAAAAAAGUAAUUCUUACUACCAUGAAAAUUAAAAGCCCUCAUCACGCAUUGAUUGUGUAAUCACUAAUUAUUAACUUAGCUAACUAGCCAAUCAUCAACAGACAUGUCAAUAAUUUUCCCUUGUAAGGUCAGUAAAAAAUAUAGAUUUUAACCUUCAAUAAUUAUGAAUAUUGGCCUAAUGAUUAAACAAGUAUCUGCUGCUAUCUUUAUCACCAAUUCUGUUGGUUUUUUAGGAGCGCAGCUUGAUUAAAGGAUUUUUUAAAUAAUUAAAAUGUUGCUAGAUAAUUACAAAAUACUUUUUAUAAUUUAUUUGUUUUUUCAUUUUGCUUCUAGUUCUUUAAAAAUUACACUUUGCAUUCUAAAUUAAUACAAUAAUAAAAUUACCAACAUAGCAAUCCCAAUUUCAAACCAAAACCCUAGUCACCCUUGCUAUUUUUACACAAUCUGCAUAUCAGAAAUCAAAGUUCUAAGUAAUUCUAAUAGAUUAGAAAGCUCAUUUCCAGGUAGAUUUUAUUGCUGGAAAUCAAAGUAAAGAAAAAACUUAUCCCGAAUAUAUCAUGUUAUGUUUUUUUUUUUUUUAACAAAAAUCAAGCAACCCCACAACACAAAAUUCAUUAAAAAUACACAACUUACUCUUGUAAUGUUCCCCAUAAGAUUCCACCCUUAAAUAUGUCCUUAUCACCUCUUACCCCAUUCUUUUUACUCUUGUAAUGUUCCCCCCCCCCCCACAGCUUAUUGUAAAAAGCAUUAAUUAUUAUUUUUUGAACUACCCACCCAAAGUUCUAAACUACCUUGUCAUUGAUUUAUAUUGUCUAACCAAAUAAUCAAAAUGGGAUUUGGGCCUCUAAAUGCCUUCAUGGUUUUCAAAUUAAAUAAAGAAGACCGAGGUUUAUUCUUAUUCUUCUUAAGAGGAAAAAUACCAAAAACAUGAACUUCAGGAAGCAAUAUGUAAAAGCAGAAAUAAAAAAGACAGUACUAUGCCCAGAAAAGUUAAUUUAAUAUAAUCCCAGCAUCAUGUUCACAUAAACCUCCAAAACUAGGAUCUACAAGGACAAUAAAUUUAAAUAUGAAUAAUCUUAUCCCAAUGAAAAGCAGAGUUUCAAUUAAUUGAAAAGAUUACAAUAGGCAUGCCCAGCAGACAAAUUAAGCAUAAUCUAAUUAAGCAACCAUCAAAAAAUGGAGCAAAUUUGACUUACCAAAGCCCCAAUAAUCAAUGGCCCAAGGUGGAGAUUUCCUUGUUGCAACCCAAUCAGACUUAGCCAACUCUAUUGAUUUAUAUUGUGAUCCAAUAAGCCAUUCAUAUUGCUGGAAAAAUAAAAAACAUAAACAGUAUGUUAAACCCAUCCAGCUUUAUCAAUUGCUAGUCUUUAAAACAAAUCUAAGUUAAACUAUGAAAAACAGAAAGAAUAUCCAAGUUAAAGUACUGUUUAGUUUUCAUAUUUUCAUGGCAAUUGUCUUCUCAUAACAAUUUUUUUUCUGAAUUGAAUAAGGAAAGAAAAAAAACAGUCCUAUGCCCUGAAAAUUUAAAGAUGCAUAUUUAAAUUUUGAUACAAGAGAAUCAAUACACACCACUUAAUCCCGUCUUUGGUAGCUAUUGCAAUAUCUGAAUUUUGUUUGCUGAAAACAGGAACUCCAUCAACCCUCCUGCUCCCAUAGCUAUGUGGAAUAGUCUUGAGAAGUUGGUGUGCUGCCUUGACCUGUGAGAGCAUAAAUCAGAUAAACAACAUUAUGAAUCUAUCACAAUAAAUACAACUUUGUUAAUACAAUGUGGUCUGAACAAAUGGUACCUGCUUUUAAUUUGGAACAAACUGAAAUAGUUGAGGUUUCUCCUGCAUAACACAGCAAAAUAAAAGGUGGAUUAUUCCAGAAAAUGAUACGAUAUUACAAAUAUGAAUAGGAUCGCAAAAUUUGAAUUUUGUCAAGGAAAAUAAGUGCGUAUAAGUUUUGCAACUAAAACUAAUAAUUGCAUAUUUUGAAAUAAUAUCUACACGAAUCAACAACCACCACAUCCUAGUCAGUUGGAUUGGCUGUGACUAAAAGGCAGCACUAAAACUCUGCAAGCAUGCUCAAUCAAAUCACAGCAAGAAAAAAAGAAAAAAAGAAACACUUGGACUGCUACAGAAGAAGAAAAUGCAUCACAGGUUAACCAGUUGCUAGACUCUCUAGAUUUUAACAGCAUCCAUACGCUGCUGUAACACUUCAAAAUUAUAGAAGUAGAGCAUUACAAUGUAAAAAGUUGAAGCAACAGGGUAGCAAGUUACAACAGGGUAUAAUAUUCAGAGCCAAUUUCAGUGGGGCAAAGAAGGAGUUAUUUAGCCAAAAAGCCUUGCUUUGUUUAAAGACAAUUAUAUGCCUGAGGAGAUGAGAAAAUGUGGAGAUAUAACAUUGGAUCUUACAAAACAGUAGUUUGAACAGAAAAAUACAUCCCACUUACACGAUGAUAUGAAGGUAUCUCAUGGGGGAAAACAACUAUCUACUGGCAAAAAGAAACCAAAGGGAAGCAAAAAUGAUUAUAGCUCAACUGCUGGGACAUCAAAAAAUUUAUGAACCGUAACCCUAAAAAUUAAAUUGGGGGUUUUGAUAAAUUUUCAAUUACACAUGCAUAACUAAACAUUUCAUAAACCCCUAUAUUAUCGAAUUAAUAGCCUAAAACCAUUAUUCAAAGUAUUGAAGAAAAAAAAAAGUUACCUGUGUUCUUGAGUUACAGGUGACCGAGAUCGUUCUACAGGGACAGAAAGAAACCUGGAUUGGGAAAGUUAGGUGAAAAAUUUUUAGUGCAAGUUAAAUUGCAACAAACAAAAACAAAAACCCUUAAUUACUUACCUGAACUAUUGAAGAAAACCGUGAAACACCCAACCCGUUUACAAGGAGAUACCUUAAAUCAGCAUGUCCGAUGGUGAUAAUGAUGGGUCUGGUUCGAUUUUGUUCGGAUGAAGGAGAAGAAGAUGAAGAAAAGAAAUUAGGGUUGCUGAAGACGUGAAGAAGAUGAAAUGUUUGGGAUAAAGGAAAAUCAAAUCGAUGAAGAGAGAUUGAUUUUUCUACAGUUAUGGAUCGAUGUUGUUAGGGACGAAGGAGACUGGAAGAGUGGAAGAUCAUUAAUUUCAUCUGUUGGUUUUGUUCAUUUCGUCUCUGUAAACAUGAAUGGUGUGGGGGGAGAGCAAUCCUGGUGUUAAUUUACAAAGCCAGCGAAAAAUAGACGGUUGAGAUUUAAUAUUUGUAAAUGUAAUCAACGGUGUUCGUAAUUUUGGUUUUAUAUUAAAAUUUAAAUAAUUAUUUUUUAAUUAGCAACGGAAAAUCCGUUGCUAAAUUCAACGUAAAUUUUGCAACGGAUAAUCCGUUGCUAAAUUCCGUUGCUGAUAUUAAAAAACUAAUAUAUGUGUAAUCCGUUGCAAAUCCGUUACUGAAUUUAGCAACGGAAUUAUCCGUUGCUAAAUUCAGAUGCUAAUUACCCCUUUUUGUAGUAGUGAAACAUGUAUAAAUGUCAAACCAACCCCAACCAAAAGUACUUUUUAUAAAACAACAGUUUUCAAAUCACAACCACAAAAGUUAACACGAUACGAAACACACUCUUCUCCUCGCAAUUGUGUUUCAAUUUAUUUAAAAUGGUAAGAGAACGGCUUGAACAUGACAGCUUGUAUGUUUCUAUAUGUUAUAACUAGGCAAUAUUUGGUUACUGUUAUAAAUAAAAAAGAAGAAGACCAUGAAAAUAAAGAAAAAAAAAAGAUAGAAAAGGAGAUGAAAAUAAAAUUAUGUUUGACAGUAACUAUCUCUAUAUCUUAUUUGAUAAUAAUAAACAAAAAAAAUAAAAUAUAAAAAAAUUAUUUUACUUUUAAUAUGUAUUAUUGAUAAACUUACAUAUUUAUACAAAUAAUUAGAUUUUUUUUUACUUUAGUUUAUAUUAAGUGUUGAAAUUAAUAAUAUUAUAAUAAUCCUAGUUAUAAAACCUAGACUGAUCUAAUGAAUCUAUUCAGGAUCUAGUCGUCUCUAAGCCCGGAUUAAUUUAAGUUUAAGAAAAGAUAGGUGAUUUAAAAAACUGAGUUGAUUCGGGAUAAAACACAAGACAAAACCUGUUAUUUAAAAAAAAACAAAUUGGUCAAAACAAGGUUGUGUUGAUUCUUUUUUUUUUUAAAAAAAAUUGGGUCAACUCGAGUUGACCCUCUCAACCCAUAACCUAGGCUUUGUCUCAGGUCGACUCUUGAAUCAAGUUUUCAAACUAUGAUAAUAAUUAUUUUUAUUCAUGCAUUAACCCUCCUAGCCCAAGACCUGAGCUAACCUCAGGUCGAUCUCUAAGUCGAGUUUUAAAACUAUUGUAAUAACCACUUUUAUCCUUACAUUAACCCGGUUCCACCAGAGUUGACCCUCCUGACCUAUGACCCGGGCCUUGCCUUGAGUCGACCUCCAAGUUAAGUUUUAAAAUUAUAAUAAUAACCACUUUUAUUUUUUUAUUGACUCGGGUCAAUGGUCAACCCAAACAAUGACCCAGGCCUUGUCCCAGGUCGACCCUCGAGUUAGAUUUUACAACUAUGAUAAUAACUAUUUUUAUUUUUACAUUGACUUUGGUCAACAAGGAUCACAUAUCUUUCUACAAGUCAACCCCCAAGUUGGGUUUUAAGACUACGAUAAUAACUAUUUUUAUUUUUACAUGUUUUAAUUGGGUAAUUUUGGAAUUAAAAGUUUUUUACAAUGAUAUUUUAGGAAUAAAAAAUAAUAUUGUUUAUGAAGAUAUGUCUUAUUUGUACUUUCUAUUUUGAAAGUAUAUAAAUUCACUCUAAAAUUAUCCCAUGAAAAAAAUUAUUUUUAUAUCUAUGUCUUUUCAACCAAACAUAUUUUUGUCUUUACUAUCUUUAUUCUUUUUAUCCCGAGAUAAUAACUAAAUGUUACCCUAGAGUUUAAUCAUGAUAUAAAUGUGAACAUCUUAACUUCAUAAAAAAAAGUCAAAUGAGUAAAUAAGAAGACAUAAAAGGGAAGUUCAUAGUAAUUUUAUAAAAUCAUAGUUAUUAUAUAUGGCUUAAAGCUUGAUUCGGCUAAAAUCCUAGAUCAGCAGGUUAUAGGUCAUCCUACUAAGUUACUGAGUUGAAUAGUAUAUCAAUCAUGAUAAUAAAUUAUACAUAUAAUAUUAAAUCUAAAUGUUUCAUACAGGUUUUGGUGAGUUGGUAAUUUUUUUGAGCCAAUAAAAAACACCAAGAUUCAAACAUUACUCUAUGAAUAUAUUUUUUCAAAGUCAACCUUUGAAUCAACUAGGUUUUGAUCAAUUGCCUCCACAAAUAGGUGAGAUAUCAUCGAGAAGAAAUCAAAGAUGAAAUAAAGCCAAGUUCAUCCUUGUCGGUUGUAGAUCUUUAGGUAAUGUUUGGUCAUUGUCCUAUAAUAUAAUAGAAAGGAUAAAAACAAUAAAUACAUAAAUAUAUUUGGUUGAAGAGACAAAGACAAAUACAUAAAAAUAAAUUUGUUUCUGGAAUAAUUUUGGAGUGAAUUUUUGUACUUCCAAAACGUAAGGUAUAGAGGAGACAUGUCUCUAGAGAAAAUAUUUAUUAUUUUUUAUUUCUAAAAUAUUUUUAUAAAAAAACUCUCAAUUUCAAAUUGUCCAACUAAGACAUAUAAAUGUAAAAAUAAUUAUUUUCAUGGUUUUAAAAUUCAACUUGGGGGUCGAUCCGGGGCAAAUUCUGGGUCACUGGUUGAGGCUUGAGUCAUGAGUCAAGUUGACCUGUGUCAGUAGAAGAAUAAAAAUAGUUAUUAUCAUAUUUUAAAACUCGAUUUGGGGGUCGACCUGGGCAAUUCUUGGGUAACGAGUAGGGUUGAUCAUUGACUUAGGUUAAUGUAAUGAUAAAAAUAAUUAUUAUCAUAGUUUUAAAACUCAAAUCAGGGAUCGACUCGGGAUAAAACUUGGGUCAUGUGUUAGAUGAGUUAAUCUAGAUUGACCCGGGUCAACAUAAAAUAAAGAUGGUUAUUAUCAUAGUUUUAAAAUUUAAUUCGAUAGUCAACUUGGGGCAAUGCUUGAGUUACAAAUUAAGAGAGUUGACCCAAAUUAAUGUAAGGAUAAACAUUAUUAUUAUCAUAAUUUUAAAAUCCGACUCGGGAGUCGACAGAAGCAAGGCCUAGGUCAUGGGUCGAGAGGGUCAACACAGAUUGACCUGAGUCAAUGUAUGGAUAAAAAUGAUUAUUAUCAUAGUUUUAAAACUCAACUCAGGAGUUAAUCCAAGAGAAGGUUAACCCGAUCAACCCAAUUUUUUUUAAAACAAAUAGUCAAAGAAACCUUGUUUUGAACAAUUUUCUUUUUCAAAAUAUUUAAUGGGUUUUGACCCGUUUUUUAUCUUAAGUUGACUCAUGUUUUUUACUAGGUCAGGUCGAGUUAAUCAUUUCUCUAUUUUUCUGAAACUUGGACGGCCUCGGGUCAACCUGCCAAGUUAAUCCUGGUUUUAAUACUAGGGUUAUCAUAAUAUUAAUAAUUUCAAUACUCAAUAUAAACUAAAGUAAAAAAAUAAAACUAAUUAUUUUUUAAAACAUGUAAGUUUGACAAUAAUACAUAUUAAAGGUAAAAUAUUUUUUUUAUAUUUUAUUCUUUCUUGUCCAUCAUAACCAAAUAUGAUACAAAAACAAUCACUUUGUCUUAUACAUUAUUAGUGAACACAAUUCUAUCUCCAUCUUCUUUUAUGUCUUGUCUCCUCUAUCUCCAUUGUCUCUGUCUCUACUAUCUCGGAUAGUAACUAAACGCUGCCUUAAAAAUAUACAAGUUUGUAUGCUAGUGCUAUACUGUGGAGAUCAAAAAAACUUUAAAUGUAAAACAAAAUAUCCAAGUCUAAGGGGACUCUUUGACAUUGUUAUUAAACUUGAAAAUAUAGUCGUUUUGAAUUUUUCUCUAUCAAGAUAAAAUUUUUUAUUAGCAUAGUUCUUGUUUUAUCUUGGUGAAUAUACAAGUUUUUUUCUUAACUAGAAUCAUUUUUUAUAUUAAAAGAAUAUUCUAUAAUUAUCAGAACAAAUUAAAAAAUAUAUCAAAAUAGUAUGUUCAUAUUUUUAUGUGUGAUUGAAAGUUAAAAAAAUCAUAAAUAUAAUAAAAUCAUGCUCAAAAUAUAUUUUAAAAUUCUAAGAUUAAAAAAGUGAUUUAAAUUGAAAUUUCAUGAACAAAUUUUUAUGUCAUAUACAUAACAAUUAAAAAUAAUUAUUAAAAUUCAAAUAAAAAUUUACAAAACAAGGCUCACGCAUCUAACCUUACUUUAUAUUUUUUUAUUAAACUCUGCUCGAAUGCUGGAGCUCUAUCAGUUAUUCCUCUAUUUUUGUUAUCUAAGCAUUAGCUGUUGAAAAAAAAAAACUGGAAACAUCCUCUCGUGGUUGCUAGGAGGUUGGGAAUCACAAAAAUUUACAUGACCGGAUGACAUAACAACAACAUCCUUGUAGAAGAGGUUGCCGAUGCAUUGCGGUUGCUGCUCAUUGCGAUGUCUUUGCAGAUGAAACCCACUAGCUGUUGAUGCAAAGCUUGUUGAAUUUGCCACAUGUUGAGCUUGAGCUUGAGCUUGCAUAAAAGCAUUAGCGUAGAUUAGUUGAGCCUGUUGCAGUGCAUACUUUGUUAACUGCUGCUGCUACUGCCGCUUUGAACAAGAUUUUGAGGAAAUGCAAAAGUGCAUUAGGUAACUUGGUGCCCAUAGAUGAUGAUGAUGAGAUGUGGUCCGAAUAAACACUUCCAUUACUAGUUGUUGGUGUUUCACUACGAGUGGAAGCUGCAGCUGCAAAUUGUUGACGCUUCUGAAGUUGAAGGAUUUGCUGACUUCGUUGCUGCUGCUGCUGAUUCCACUGCAUCUGUUGUUGUAUACUUGGUGCAUUUACACUGCCAAUAGUAGCUGACAUAACAGGGCUUGAGGUCCGAGCAAGAGUGGACCCAAGGUUAAGAGUUCGGGCUGAGCUAUCAACAACAUUGUUCACAGGCAUUGUUGAAACAGAGGAGUCUGUUAAAUCUAGCCGAGAGAACACAAUUGACUGCCCACCAGUUAAUGGGGUCUGUCCUCCAACCAUAUCGGCCUUCCUCUCUCCUUCCAUAUUUGAAGUGUCAUUUCCUCCAUUUUCCCCUUCUUCAGGCACACGGUAAUUCAUCUGCUGUGUUGCUUGGGCCGCAGUGAUGAAGUGAUAGCCAUGACUUGCUGUCUCUGGAGGGCUUUGGAGAAGAGCAUGAUUCUGUACCAUCAAUGAAACAUCAAGACCUGGGGAAGUUGUGGUUCCGUUGAUGGAGCAAAUGACAUUGCAAAAGGAGGAGGUGUUCGUGAGUAACAUUCUGAUUUUGCAUCAGCUGCCGCUGCUAGUUCGGCAGGGAAUGAUUCUGCUGAUGAUUCUGUAAUUGGUUGGAUCUUGAUGACCACUGCUGAUUCCACCUAAUUCUGCAAAUGCUUCUGGGAUGACGAGGAGCCACUAGAAAUACGUGGAUUUUGAUGACCCUGUUGGCUUUGCUGUGUCUGUAUGAAUGGUUGCUGUCGCUGAAGCUGUGAAGGAUGAAGCAUUCAAGAAGAAUAAAAUUGAUCCAUUGAAGAAAGGCAUAGCCUAAGGAUGGGUUCCUCUGUAGGCUAUUGUGGCCCCCAACAUGUUCAGGGAUUGGAAUCUCGUACGCACCAUUCUACAAUUUUGCCAGGGAAGUUAGGGUAGAAGCUCAUUGUUGUAGCACCAGUUAUUGCUGAUGUCGUGGUAUUUAUUGAAGCAAAACUUUAGCUACUUGAAGAAGCUCCAUUGCUAGCAACAGGGGAAGGCCUCCCACUGGCUGGUUGGAUAGAAGCUUUUACUGCUGCAGUAGCUACAGGGGAGACAUGAUCUUCAGGUGGACUAUAAAGUCUAGGAAAUUGAACUGCAAGACAAGAAUCUACCAGCCAGACAUCAUUCCAUAAGUUAAUAUCUCUACCAUUGCCAACCAAACCACAAACUUCUUUCUUGGCAAUAUUUUGAAGUCCCUCGUUCUUAUAAAAAGUAAUGACAUGCCUAGACCAUGUACUACCCUUUAAAUGAACACAAACUAAAGGCAUGUUCAAAUAUGCUUUUUGGUUGUGGAUGUUGUAGAUAACAUCUUUUCAUAGUCUUGUAUUAGACCUCCCAAACCUCCAUAGCCAUUUGAAAAACAAGGCUUUAUUUUUAUCAAUAAUGCAGUCUAUACCCACCUUUUUUGUUUUUUUGGAGGAACCACUGAUGCCCAUUUAACAUUGCAUAGUUUUUUCCCUCCUUCCUCCUGAGAACCAAAGAAAGAUAUGAUAUGUUUCUCAAUUUUGGUAGCAACAGUGGAUGGGAUAGGAAAUAAAGAAAGAUUAUUUAUAAUUGAGUUAAUCAAGCAAUAGUUUUCCAAACGGAUGUAUGAGAUGAAGAUGCAUAAAUAGGCAGACCCAAAUACUUAAAUGGCAUCCCCUCCAUCCUACAUAUUAGAUUGCUAGCAGUUGAAGAAAUAACAACAUCAUCAAUUCUAGUUCUAGUGAUUGAGCUCUUGUGGAAAUUAACCUUCAGCCUAGGAAUCAACUCAAAACAUCACAUCGUUCUUUUGAUGUUUUGAAGAGAUGGAAAAUCAUAUGAACUGAAGAUGAGUGUAUCAUCUACGAACUUGAAAGUGACCAAAACAAAUUCCUUUUAUAAGUCCCAAAUCACAUCUGUUUUAAUUUUAGCAUUCUACUAAGACCCUUAGUUGCUAUAUUGAAUAAAGAUGUUGAUAAAGAGUCCCCUUGUCGCAAUCCCUUUUCGAUAAAGAACUAUUUAGUUGGAGAGCCAUUCACAAGAAUUGAAAGUUUUGUUGUCGAAAUACAUUAUUGUAUCCAUCAUCUCCAUCGUGAACCAAAACCCACACAAGCCAUAACUGUGGAAAUACCUGGGCAGUAAUUGAUUCUGCCUUGGGGGUGCAGGCCAAGGAUUGGGGGUUAGGCGAGUGGGUUCUCAACGCAUCUUUGUUGCCUUUGAGAAUCAAGGUUGGUUCAUAUUAUUGUGUUAUACUAAAAUUAAAAAUGAAGAAAUGGCUGCUGUUUAACGCUACUUAUUUUGCUUUGAUAUUUCUCUUGCAGGCUUCGGAGUGUUGAAGCCUUGUAUUAAUUUUCGUAAGUUCUCCAACUUUAGAAGAACUUAGCACCACAUAGGUAUCCUUUAACAUGAAAACCUAUUGCUUAGAUUAAAACUCUAUAAACGGCUUUUUUUAAUUAAAAGAUAUGUUGAUAAAAAGAUGAUGAAUUGUAUCUAGAUGAAUAAUGGUUCGACUAUUAAUAUACUACCUUUUAAGAUUAUAAAAGAGCUUUGAAUUUAUAUUUAUGUUUAUAUAUAAAAAACAAUAUUGUUUUAACACAAGCAUAUUGAUCCAAGUUGAUCUUGAAUCUGAUAAAAAACGAUGAUACAAAUCUUACUCUAAGUUAACCCCCGAGCCGGCCUAACGAGGAUUGUUUGGAAAAAGAUUAUGAAAGACCGCCAGUAUGCACCAGGAAAUCACCAGGAAAUUACGGCAUGGUUGUGUUUAAAAAUCAAAAUGGUACACAGCAAGUCAAGCAUCCGCGUUCACGACAGUUUCCAUUAGAUAUUCAAUAAUUUAUAUAUUCUUUUUGGAGAAGCGACUCAUUUGCACACCCUUGUUGUAGUUUUCUAUAUAUUCAAUUUCACACCCCAGUUGCCACCCUGCUUUUCUUUCCAUUCACCCCAGCACUUCGACAAUAAUUGACUCCCAGUCAAUAAGGCACAUAACUAAUUUGAAUAUUUUUCCCAACCUGGCGAAUAGACUAAGUGCUAAACAAUAAAAUAAAAUAAAAUAAUAUUCAAAUCCAAAAAUAUUCCAAAAAGAAAUGAAAUAAAGAAAACAUCUCAAAACAUAGAACCUGCACAAGAUGUGCGGAUAAAGUCAUGGAAAUGGACAAGGUGUAGUAUAAAUAGGACCUCUAUGGUUGCCCAAAGGCACAUAACAAACAACAAUAUUCUACGUAGUAGUUCAUAGAAUUAUCUACGAUGAUGUUGAAAAUAAUGGGGGCUUGGAUGUUGCUAGCAUUGUUGACUUUGGUUGGCGAAUGGCAUGGUCGUUGUUAUGGGUGUUUGCAGGAAGAGAGGAUUGGUCUCUUGGAGAUCCAAUCUUUGAUCGACCCAGAUGGCUUUUCCUUGCGAGAUUGGGUGGACAGUAGUAAUUGUUGUGAGUGGCCUGGGAUCAAGUGUGAUAACACUACAAGGCGAGUGAUCCAGCUCUCUCUUAGAGGUGCAAGGGAUUUCCGCUUGGGCGAUUGGGUUCUCAACGCAUCUUUGUUUCAGCCUUUCAAAGAAUUGCAAAGUCUUGAUUUGGGAGAUACUGGAUUGGUUGGUUGCAUGGAGAAUGAAGGUUAGUUCAAUGUUUCUGCACUUAAUUAUAAUAAUAAAAUAAAUGAAGGUUGGUUGGUUGGUGUUUAAUGUCAAUUAUCUUGCUUUGAUGGUUCUCUUUCCAGGCUUCGAAGUCCUAUCAUCAAAACUGAGGAAACUUGACCUGAGUGGCAAUCGAUUUAAUGAUAAAAGCAUUUUGUCAUGCUUUGACUGGGCUUUCCACCCUCGAGUCUUUGGAUCUAUCAGCCAAUGGGUUGACAGCUGGAUCAGGUAGCUUCUAUGGUAACCUUUUAAUUAUUUUUCUUUGAAACAUUCUUCUCGUAUGAUUUUUUUCUAUGCGUUUAUUUCCUUCCAAUAUGCUUUUGAGAAACAUCAUGCAGGUUUCAAGGUCCUGUCAUCAAGGUUGAAAAAGCUGGAGAACCAUCUCUAACUGGAUUUUCAUCUCUCAAGUCUUUGGAUCUAUCAGAUAAUGGGUUGACAGCUGGAUCAGGAGGUAGCUUCUAUGGUAACCUUUUAAUUAUUUAGCUUCGAAACCUUUUCUUUUCUCCUUCUCAUAUCAUUCCUAUGCUUUUGAGAAACAUCAUGCAGGUUUCAACGACUUGUCAUCAAGGUUGAAAAAGCUGGAGAACCUUGACCUGGGUUGGAAUCAUUGCAACGAUAGCAUUUUUCCAUCUCUAACUGUAUUUUCAUCCCUAAAGUCUUUGGAUCUAUCAGGCAAUCAGCUGACAAGAUCAGGUAUAAUACACAGUUUCUAUCUACCUAAAUGCUUCACAUGACAUUCUCUUCAUUAUAUUGUUUCUUUAUCAAGAAAAAUGAGGAAUUUAUAUCCAUGCAAAGAUCAAUUUUGUCACAACUCGAGUUCUAGAUCUAUAACCGACAAUGUAGAAGCGGUGUUAAAAGGACAUUCUAUUUAUGCUAUGUCGUAUAACAAACAUAUUAAAAGAAUAAGUUAUUUAAAAAUACAUAACAUUUCAUAAUCUUAAAAAAUAUUAUAUUAUUUAAAAUUAAUAAAACCAAAUAAAAAAUAAUUAAUUUAAUGAUAAUUAAAACAAGAAAGAUAAUCAAUAACACUCAUUAUAUUAUCAUGAAAAAUAAAGAUUUUAUAUCUAUGUGAUGAUCAAUUUAAUGAUAGCAUUGUAUCAUGUUUGACCAUCUUUAACGACUUUAUAUCCUUAAUUUUUUUUUUCAAUAAGAUCAAAAUUAGAAUGAUUAAAAAUUAUUUCUUAAUCUUUGAAGUGUACACAACCUAUUAUAUAAUUAAAUAUGCGUUCGUGAGCUCAUUAUAAUUAAAUAUAGCAUUUUAUCAUUCUUUUUAUGUAUAAUUCGAGAAUCAUAUAUCAAUUGAACAACAGCAUCUCAUCAAUUCUAUUUAUCUUUAGUUUCUAUCUAUUAUGCAUAUCGUGAUUAUGACUUACUCUUAGAAACAACUCUCUUGCAGGUUUUGAGAUCAUAUCAUCACAUUUGUGGAAACUCGAGUCAUUAGAUUUAUCACGCAAUCAGCUGACAGGAUCUAUCACUAGUAAGUUACAUUCUCUUUAUCAAGAAAAUUGAGGACUUUAUAUCUAUUUAAUAAUCAAUUUAAUUAUAGCAUUUUAUCAUGUUUGACUGAGCUUUCAUCUCUAAGAAUUUAUAUCUAUAUUCUUUCAUGUAUCAUUUUAAUAUCUAAAAGAUACUUUCAUCACUAUUUUGAUUAUUUCAAGAUAAACUGUACAGGUUGGUGUGAAUUGAAGAAUCUAAAGCAGUUAGAUCUCUCUGGAAAUAAUUUAGCAGGUUCACUCCCAGAUUAUUUGGGAAACUUGUCAUCUCUACAACUGUGAGAUGUUUCUGAAAACCAGUUUAUUGAAAAUAUUGUCUCUAGUCCUCUUACCUACCUCACAUCCCUUGAAUUCCUCUCACUAUCAAAUAACCUCUUUGAAGUUCCCACUUCAAUGAAGCCUUUUAUGAACCACUCAAGCCUCAAGUUCUUCUCCAGUGAAAACAACAGACUAGUAACAGAACCUUCUGCCUUUGAUAAUUUGAUUCCAAAGUUCCAACUAGUUUUUUUUAGAUUGUCAAAAACAACGAAAGCACUCAAUGUAGAAAUUCCUGAAUUCCUCUAUAACCAAUAUGACUUACUAUUCCUUGAUCUCUCCCACAAUAACAUCACCGGAAUGUUUCCAUCAUGGUUGCUUAAGAACAAUACACGAUUGGAGCUGUUAUAUCUGAGCGAAAACGCCUUUGUUGGUACUUUGCAGUUGCAAGAUCACCCAUAUCCGAAUAUGAUCGAAUUAGAUAUAUCCAACAAUAACAUGAGCGGUCAAAUUUCAAAAGAUAUUUGUUUGAUCUUUCCAAAUCUAGACACCUUAAGGAUGGCUAAGAAUGGAUUCACAGGUUGUAUUCCUUCUUGUUUAGGAAAUAUUAGCUCUUUGAAAAUUUUAGAUUUAUCCAACAAUCAAUUGUCCACGGUAAAACUAGAACAACUAACAACAAUAUUGUCACGACCCGAAUCCCGGAUCCAUGACCGGCACAUAGGCAAGGUUCCCCUCCAGGGUUCCAUACCUAUGCGAACCCAAACUUACACACAAACUUAUCCUAACUCAAUCAGAGUUCAACGCAGCAUUAAUAACAAAAUCAACUUCAUAAUAUAAUUGAAUUGUCUUAAUACAAGAGUUUAUAUAAGUUCAGAGUUUUGGAGCACUAACUAGACAUAAAGGAAAAGGUACAAAUUACAACAAAAAAACAGGCUCGAAAGGUUCAACAAAAGUGACAUGCUAUCAAGCUAUAAGCCUGAAAAGGAUAAAUAAUGAGAUGGUGAGUUCAACAACUCAGUGAGUAGAUAACGUUCAAUAUACACACACGAGGUAAUACAACAAUGAGAAAUAUAUAUACAAGUAUGGCUUUAGGUUCUUAUGGAAGUGUUCUCAAAUUGACCAUAACAAGAAUGUCAUAUGGUAAAACUCGUCAGAAAAUCAAAAUGCAAUGAGCAUGAGGCUCCGUAUUGUGGGAUGAUCAGUCCACACAGGUUGGUGACUCCCCCGAGCAACUAGGGUUCAGAUACGAUAUGCACAAAGACUAACACUACCCUGUUAGCAUGGGUAUUCUGACUGACAUACCAUAGGUNNNNNNNNNNNNNNNNNNNNNNNNNNNAACAGACAUAUUCAUAUCUUAAGGCUCAACUCAUGACAUCAAUCAAAUGAGGAGCUAUCAAUUCAGAAUUCAAUUCAAAAUAUAUACUGGUUCAUAUCAAGAAUUCAGAUUCAACAAUUGAUCAUGCUUUAUCAAAACAAGGAUAAUAAUCAACAUAUAUAUUAUCAAGAAGCAUGAUCCAAUUCAUAUUAACAAAUCAAAUAUUUAUAAUAUUUCUCAUGCAUAUGGAAAAUUAUCCACUCACCUAACUCGAAAGCAACAAAACUCAAAGCUGAUAUCGAAGGAAAUCCUAUUGACGUCCCGCCGGUAGAAUAUCAGGAUUAUCUGAAUAUAGAGGAGACAUAUUCAAGAAUGACUCAAAAGAAUAUAUAACCUAUUUAAUACACUUAUCUAAGGGUGUAUUCCAUAAUCCUAUAUAUUUUUGAACUCACUAGUCAAUUUUCUCAAAAACCCAAAAAUCUAACGGUUUUCCCGAAAUCUAAUCCAUAAUAAAACAAAUAAUAAAAUUGGCAAUAAUUCACUAAAUAAACCUUAAUUAUUCAUCAAACUAAUCUGCAAAAUUUAAUAUUACAUCUGGGGACUAAUCUGUAAUUUAUCAUAUUUUUAAGGGUCAAAUUGCAACUUUUGUCAAAUUGAAGGACCAAACUGAAAUUGUCAUAAAUCCAUUACUAUACUGAAAUUCUGACCAUAAUUAGUCCUCAUUUCUGUCUAGAUCAUCUCAUUAUAAUCCAAGGACCAUUCUGGAAUUUUACCAAAUUUUUAGGGUCAAAUUGGAGGACUAAAUUGAAAGUGUUAAAAUUUCAUAACUAUACAGGAAUUCUGCCCAUAAUUCAUCUUUUAUUCUGUUCAGAAUCUCGGAAUAUGAUCCAGGGACCAAUCUGUAAUUUUCCAAAGUUUGGGGACUAAACUGUAAUUUUCCAAAAUUGAGGGACCAAACCGAAAUUUUGUCAUCUUCAACCUCCAACCCAGAAUUUUAACAGAAACCUACUGUCCUCUCCAAAUUUCUAACACAAUUUCACCAUUCAAACAAAAAUCAUAACUCAAAAUCAUCAUCUUUCAAUUCAAUCUCUCAAAAUCAACCAAAUAAUCAAAUACCCACAACAAUUAACCCAUAACAUUCAACUUAAUUCAUCAAUUAACCCAAAACACAAAUUUUCAAAACCCUAACAUUCAUCAAAACUGAAAUUAAAGCUUAAUUAACACAUAUUUAUACAUAAUCUUACCUUUAAACUUAUUUCCUUCAACUCCUUUCUAUUUCCCUUCUAAUUUCCCUCUUUUCUCUUCUUCUUCUUCUUUCUCCCUUUCUCUCCUGCCGGUUCUCUCUCAAAAUUCAGAUCCCUCUUUCCUUUUUUUUUUUUUUACUUCCUAUUUAUAAUUAUCAUCUCUUUAUUCAACUACUACUAUACCUCUCAUUUAAUUUAUUCCUACAUCUAAGCAUUCAAGGGUUUUAUAGCCUUUUCCUAUGUCUUUAUAUUCAAAACAUCACAAAUAUGGUUUCUCGACCUGUCAAACAACAAUUUGGGUGGGAAAAUACCGACCUCGAUGUUCAAUUCUUCUACCUUAGAAUUUCUCUACCUAGGUGGUAACAACUUUUGGGGUCAGAUAUCAGAUUUUCCAUUAUAUGGGUGGAAAAUGCUUAGAGCAUUGAAUUUGAGUAACAAUCAAUUUUCAGGCAUGCUUCCAAGGUGCUUCGUAAAUUCUACGUGCCUUACAACAAUUGAUUUGUCCAAAAACCAUUUUAAAGGUCCGAUCCCAAGAGACUUUUGUAUGCUUAACCAGCUUGAAUAUUUGGACCUUUCUGAAAACAACUUGUUUGGAUAUAUACCAUCUUGUUUCAGUCCACCACCUCUAAUCCAUGUGCAUCUAUCCGAAAAUAGAUUGAGCAAUCCAUUAACAUAUGGAUUUUAUAACAGCUCUUCCUUGAUUAUGAUGGAUUUUCGAGAUAACAGCUUCACCGGCUCCAUCCCAAAUUGGAUUGGCAAUCUUUCAUCAUUGAGUGUUCUUCUCCUGAGGGCUAAUCACUUUGAUGGUGAGCUCCCUGUUCAGUUAUGCUUGUUAGAACACUUAAGCAUUUUAGAUGUUUCACAAAACCAGCUCUCUGAUCCACUACCCUCCUGUUUGGGCAAUCUUACUUUCAAGGAAAGUUCCCAAAAAGCAUUCGCGCAUCUCGGAGUUGUUUUUCGAUCAUCGCCCAUAGAAAAAGCUUAUUAUGAAACAAUGGGUCCGCCACUAGUGGAUAGUAUGUAUAAUUUGAGAAAGGGUUUGUGGCUUAACUUUACAGAAGUGAUCAAAUUUACAACUAAAAAUAUAUAUUAUGGUUACACAGGGGAAAUUCUUAGCUACAUGUCUGGUAUUGAUCUCUCCAAUAACAACUUCAUAGGAGCAAUCCCACCAGAAUUUGGAAACUUAAGUAAGAUACUGUCAUUAAACUUAUUACACAACAAUCUCACUGGAUCUAUCCUUGCAACAUUCUCAAACCUAAAGCAGAUUGAGAGUUUGGAUCUUUCUUACAACAACUUGAAUGGUAUCAUCCCUCCACAACUUACUGGAAUUACCACACUGGAAGUUUUUAGUGUGGUGUACAAUAACUUGUCAGGUAAGACACUCGAGAGAAAAUAUCAGUUUGGGACCUUCGAUGAAAGCUGUUACGAAGGAAAUCCUUUCUUGUGUGGACCUCCAUUGCAAAACAAUUGUAGUGAGGAAGCAGUGUCGUCGCAGCCAGUGCUUAAUGAUGAACAAGGAGAUGAUGGUUUCAUAGACAUGGAGUUUUUCUACAUCAGUUUCGGUGUAUGUUACACAGUUGUGGUGAUGACGAUUGCAGCAGUUCUCUACAUCAAUCCAUAUUGGCGACGCAUGUGGUUGUACUUCAUCGAAGAUUGCAUAGAUAUUUGCUACUAUUUUGUGGUGGCUAGUUUUCGCAAGUCCUCCAACAACUUCAGAAGGUGAAUUUGUUACUGGGGAGAUGGUCGACGUUCCUAGUUUGGGAUGAUUGUAUGUCCUCAGCUAUUGGGUGCUUAAUUUGUAGUGUACUGUCUCUAAGCUCAGCCUUUCUAUUUGAUUAGUUAUUUGGGCUAAAUAUAUAAGAUGGACUUCUCAUUCCUGAACCAUUAGGAAGGGAACUGAUUUAGACUGGUCAUUAACUCGGCUGUGAUUAUUCUUUCAACUCUCAAAACUUGUCUGAAAAUAAAUUGCCAAAACCACUACUAAGUAGAAACAAAAUAUUCUAUGCCUCUGUUUCAAGGGCUACCCCACCUCAGUUAUUCAAUCAAAACAUUGAAAUCAGAGCAAGAAGAUCCACCUUCGUCAACAGCCUUCCUGGCCGUUUCUCCUAGCUUCUUUGCUCUGCUCCUCAUUUCCUCUGCUUCUUCACCCAUCAUAAUUUGAGUGAUUGCCUCCUCUACAGCUUGCCUGUUGAAACGCUGAAGAUUUGAUCGGCAUGUGAAGCCCAAUCCAGGUCAUAAAAGAAACCGAGUCAUUACAAUUGUGAUCGGCUCCAAUUCGAUUGAAUCAGAACCUAACAGACAUUGGUGUGGUAUAGAAAUUAAGAACACAUCACAGGGAAUGUAUAAAAUGAAAAUAAUAGAAGAAUCGGAAAUCACCAAGCUUAUAUCCAUCUACAAUCUAGAACAAAAUGGAAUUACAUUGCAGGACUUUGGUUUCUUAGAUCAAUUUUCUUCAGAGAUCACAGCUAGGACAAUAAGCUACUUCCAGUGCUACCGUAGAGAAAUAGCAUGAUCCCCGGUUAGCUGCUCUUUACUUAGAUGAAGCUGAUGUCGUGGGAAUUGAGAACUCAAAACAUCUUCUGGUUUCGUGGUUUGUGGAAGGAGGAGAAAAGCUCUCCAGUAUCUCUGUGGUUGGAAUGGGUGGGAUGGGAAAAACAACCCUCGUAAAUAGAGUUUAUGACAGCCACCCCAUCAGAAGAAGCUUUGAUACCCAUUCUUGGGUUACAGUUUCUAAAUCGUUUGCAUCCACGGAGCUCCUGCGAGUUGCUCUGCAGGCGUUUCUGGUGACAGCCAACGAACCUGUUCCGGAUAAUUUGCACUGAAUGACUGACUUCCAAUUAAUUGAUGCUCUAAGAAGUUAUCUAUGGAGAAGGAGGUAUGUCAUUGUUUUGGAUGAUGUAUGGACUGUAAACGCUGGGGAAACAAUAAAGAACGCAUUUCCUGAUUGUAACUGUGGUAGUAGAAUUAUCUUCACUACACGUUUAAGUAACUUGGCUGAAUCUAUAGAGAACACUAGUCAUGUUUAUGAACUCCAACCUUUACCAGAAAAUGAAGCUUGGACCCUCUUUUGUAUGAAAGCCUUUAGAGGGGAACAUAAGGCUGUAUGCCCUCCAGAACUGGAAGAGAUGUCUCGAAAUAUCUUAAAGAAGUGUGAGGGACUGCCACUUGCAAUGGUAGCAAUAGGAGGCCUACUGUCGAAGAAGAAAAAUGGAGGUUUAGAAUGGAAGAAAGUCCAUGACUGCCUGGCUACAGAAUUGAAAAGUAACGACGACCUUGGGAGUCUACGUAGAACACUUCAACUAAGUUAUGAUAAUCUUCCUUACUACCUCAAACAGUGUUAUUUGUAUUUAAGUGUUUUUCCAGAGGAUUAUUUGAUAAAAAGAAUGAAGUUGAUCCGGCUAUGGAUAGUUGAAAGGUUUGUGGAAGAGAAGCAAGGCUUUACAAUGGAGGAAGCAGCAGAGGAAUACCUUAAUGAACUCGUGAAUAGGAGUUUGAUCCAAUUGGUGGAGAUGAGUUAUUUUAACAGGGUCAAGACAUGUCGUGUUCAUGAUCUAAUGCGAGAAAUCAUUCAAAUGAAAUCCAGGGAACAAUCUUUUGUUAUGAUAGCAAACGGAACAAGAAUCAGCAAGAAUGAGAAAGUUCGGCGUCUAUCAAUCCAUGAAAACUCCGAGGAAGUUCAAUCAGAUAUGAUAUUUCCUUAUCUGUGGUCUUUGUUGUCAUUUUCUUCGCAUCAUCCUUUUGAGCAUGGUCUUCGCAAUUACAAGCCGUUAAGAGUAUUGAAUUUAGAUCGUGCUCCCCUUCCCAGCUUCCUACCUGAAUUGGCUGAACUGAUUCAUUUGAGAUAUUUGAGUUUGAGAUCGACCAUGAUAAGGGAGCUUCCAGAGUCCAUAAGGAAGCUGAAGUACUUGGAAAUACUUGAUUUGAAAAGGAAUCAUGUAUCUUCUUUGCCUGCUGGGAUCACACAACUGACAUGUCUUUGCCAGCUCCGAAACUAUCGACAGUUUCCAGUCCAUAUUGUUCUUCCCAGACAUUCAUGGAAUGAGAGUUCCAUCAGGAAUAGGAAGAUUGACUAGCCAGCAGAAAUUGGGAAGCGUUGAUGUGAAUGAAGAUUAUGAGUUAGACAGGGAGUUGGGAAGGCUAACUCGGUUGAGAAGGCUGGGCAUUUUAAAGCUAAGAGAAGAGCAGGGAAUGGAUCUCUGUUAUACUUUGGACAGGUUGAAACACCUUACUGCUUUGUAUCUUGUUUCACUAAACAAAACUGAAUUCUUACAAUUUGACUCUCUUUCAUCUCCUCCAAAAUAUCUCCAACGACCAUAUCUCAAAUGUAGUCUUCCAGCUUUACCAGGAUGGAUAACUUCACUCAAGUAUAUUUCCAAGCUAGUGCUUCAAUAUUCUAAUUUGGAAAGUGAUCCUCUCAAGGCCCUCCAGAAAUUGCCUAGUUUGAUGCUUGAACUCCGUCAAGCUUAUGCAGGGGAAGAACUGUGCUGUGAUCCUAGUGGAUUUUCAAAGCUGAAGAGGAUAGGUCUCCAUGAACUCGAGAGAUUGCAGCGCAUCAGAAUAGCAAAAGGAUCAAUGCCUGGGUUAGAAAGGCUAGACAUCACAGCAUGCACGGUGCUAGAAACUGUGCCGGAUGGGAUUGAAAACCUGAAGAAUAUAGAAGACCUGGUUCUGUGGCAUAUGCCUUCAACAUUCAUCAAGACAAUAGAGAGGUACCGCGGUGAAGAUUUCUGGAGAGUUCAACAUAUCACAACAAUCACCCGUAUCUACAAGAGCCAGGGGAGAUGGGUCCCUGAAACUCUUCUGUAAUUAGAGGGGUAAAAUACGGAGAGGACUGCAGUUUCUGGAAAAUCAUGAUCCCUGCCAAGUUCCUCAGGUCUGUACAGACGUUUCAUCAUGUAAUGCUGAGCCUCAGAAAAUCGAAAACUGCUGCUCUUCCCUCCUCUUCUCUGCUCCUUUGUCUCUGUUCCGCUGUUGUUGAAUCUUCCAACCUGCUAUCUUGCCCAUGUUUGUCACCCCUAAAUUUUGGACACCGUCAAUUUCUAGACAUCAAUACGAGUGAGUUUAUUUGGGAUUUGUCAAAUGUUUAUUUUAUAUUUUAUCAAAUUUCACAACUUCAGUUCGUUUUGCAAGUUCACAUCAACUUUUUUUAUUCUGGUUUUGUUUUAUUCGUUUUGUAGUAAUUUAUUUAUAUUUUUUAAUUUAAAAAAAAUGAUGAGAAAAAAUUAAAAUAACUUAAGAUUCAAAAAGAAAAAAAAUUUGUGAAAUAUUUGCUACAAUAUCCUCAUCGUUCUCUCUUCCCCCUUUUCUUUUCUUAAAAUCUCUCAUCUCGCAUCAUCGUGAUUGAUUGUGACAUAGAAACCCCAGAUAAAGAUGAAAGAGAACCAUGCUGCAAGCUUGACAUAUUGUUCUGCUGCAUCGUUGGUAUAGAACCAUGCACAUUCAAUGAUUGCAACUGGGGAUUUAAUUGAUUUUCAUGGGACUGCAAUUGAGGAACUGGAGACUGGGGUUGCUGCAUAGGUUGCACAUGAGGCUGGGGAAGUUGUCCUAGCUGUAGAUUAGGAAUUGACCUCCUGAAUCUGCUUGGUUUUAGAAAACUUACAAUCUGCUUCUCAUAGGAACCCAAUUUCUCCUUGAAACUAGGUGUGAUGUUGUUUUUAGAGACCUGUAAGAAUGUUAUCAAGCACUCCAACAUGGCCUUGAAUACCUUCAGCUUUUCAAGCUGUUCUGACUUUGGUUGUUGCGGAAGAGAGUCAAGCUGGAAAGCAAAGUUAACAUACGCGAGAAUUAAAAAUUGCAUGAUUAGUGCAAAAUAUUAGUGAAAAAUAAUGUUUCUAUUCCAAUUCUUCUGUGUCGAUGCAUGAUUAGUGCAGAUGAUACAGUGACAGGCAAUGCUGAUGAGGAAAACAAAUUAAUACAAAAGCUCAACAAUGCAGAUGAUUUAGUGACAGGCAAUGCUGAUGAGGAAAACAAAUUAAUACAGAAGCUCAACGUGGGGAAAUUGCAAAUAAUCAUGCAUGGGCAGAUACUUCGGAAGAAAUUGCAGAGACAAUUUACCUGCUGUAACUUGGCAGCAAUUCUCUGGUACAUUUCAUUUAUUUCAGGGAAAUAAGUCUUCUUCAUAACUUUGAUCUAGGAAGUACAAAUAACCAGCAAAACAUUAUUGGCCAUACACUUGAUUUCUUCAGGUGCCGGUCAGAAAGAAACUAACACAAACAAACUUUAGGGAAUUGAUAAAUAAAAAAAUAAAAAAAAGGGCACACAACGAUAGGACCCGUUGGAAAUAAAUAAUAAAAUAAUAAUUCACCACACAACAAAUAUAGGGGAAAAAAUCGAAAGGGAGAGGUUUGCAAUAAAAAACUGUCGUGCCAGAACCAAGAAAGCAAUCCUCUUGACCUAGAAAUCUGAAUAUUUUUACCUUCAUUCAUCUUAUCAAUGAUUAAUCAUUUGUUAGUUGAUGCAUUCAUGGAACUUACAAUGCUUCCUAACUAAUCCCAACCAUAGCUGAAUCAAAUUCCUUGGACCAAUCUCAGGAGACCCUUUUCCAUUGAAAUCUUCCCAGACUAUGGCAUGCAUGAACUUCAUCUAAUGAACAGUAAAUCACAGAAAUUACCUUUUGAUAGAUCUCCUCUUGCCAAUCAGCGCCAUUUGCAUGUCCAGUCUGUGCUGUAGAAUCUAGGGAUGCUACAAAAAUUUCAAAGCGGGCAACAAAAGAUUAGAAUUCAUGUAUUUUUGUGUGUUUUCCAUAUACAAGGGUAUUUCUGUAAUUCUCACACUUGCUGAAAAUUAUGAAAUAUUGCAGGUCUCAGUUUUAUUUUCCAUGUAGUAUUUAAUUAUUCCCGUAGUAUAGCGAGCUUCAUUAGGUUUUUCCUAUUCUAGAUAGGACUAUUCGUAUUUUCCUAUAUAGGAAUACAAGUCCUUUUUGUAUUAGGAACUUCAUCUAAAUGUUAUGUAAUCAUUCAAACAGAUGGAGAGACCCUAUAAAUUCAGAAUGACAGGGUGAACAAAUGCAUGUGUGAACAAGUGCAAUGCACUGGAGGGCAUCGUGUGGUUGCAAUAGUUCCAAUAGCAGUGGCAUUACCUGGCAUUUGUCUCUGAGAAUUAGCAAACAUAGUGGAGGGAAUCCCCUGUCCCAUUGAAUUCCCCACUGAGUUCUGUGAAACACCGGGGAUACUCUGCAUGUUAGGAUUCUGGACAACAGUGUUGGGGAUAGUCUGGGUUACACCAGAGACAGGAGGCGGUGCCGCUUGUAAACCAGCAUAACUUUGAACUCCAUUAGAUGCCAUGCAAUUCUGCAUGUUCUGUGAUACCCAACUGCUGACGUGCCUGAGACUGAUCUGUGGACAAUAGGAUAGGGAGAAACAGCCCUUGAUUCUGAACUUGAGGGGGCAUACUAUAGGAUGCUAUUCAAGAUUAAAGGCAAAUGGGAAAACCAUGUCAAAGAAAAAAAGAAGGCACUGAACAAGGAAGACAAAUGAAACAUUGGCAGUUCACACAUAAAGUUAUGGGCGAAAGAAUUAAGAUGGAUUUGAUUCAAAGCAUAAAAGUGUCCUCUUGACAAUUUUCGGGUUGGGGGAAGACGAGGCAGCUGAAAACAAAAAUAAUAUGAAAAUUUUUAGGGUGGGGGGAAAAAAAGGAGGAGGCAGAAAACGAAAAUAAUCUGUAAUAUUCUUGCCUAACAUUCAUCAAUUACUCAACUUUUUAUUAAAGCAUGCUAAACACAGCAAUAAAAUGUAAAAGAGUUUGAUAACAAUGCGACAAACAAAACAAAAGGUAAGAUGUUUAGAAAUUCAAUGCACGGCAACAUUAUUUUAUACGAAAAAAAGAUCAAAUACUUUCUCCGGGAAGAAAAGCAAGAAAGUGACGUCUUAUCUCCUAAACAGGAAAAUCUUUAAAAUCUAUCAUCUCAAUCAUAAAAUAUAAAAUAGCCAUGCAUCACAGUCCUUGUUCCUUAACAAGUUAAAGAUGAAACCCUUCACAUGCAUUACAGAAUUAGCAUAGUGGAGGUGAUGAUGGGAUUUUUCCAGCAAGGCGAUAUACAUAGCAAUAUGCAGCAAUAAAAUGUAAAAGAGUUUCAUAACAAUGCGAGAAGAAAAACAAAAGGUAAGAUGUUUAGAAAUUCAAUCCUCGGCUGCGUUAUUACCUGUUGGAUCCAUGGGGGCAGUGGGCAUGGCAUUUUGAGACCUGAUCUCCAUCGAAAGCAUCUCCAGAGAUAUUUUACGCAGAUAAUCAGACUGAAAUCAGAUAUUAAUACAAAACAUUAGAUCUCAGAGCAAUCCAUGUUACAAAAGGAGGGAAAUGGAUAUAUGCUCUAUCAUUUCAUCUUCUGUGAGGAUAUCCUUCUGUUUCCUCUCUUUUUAUUUAAUUAUUUAUGCAUUGAUUCACUAUUUGCUUUUUGCACACUUCCCUUGCACUUGAACUUGGUUACUCUAAAUAAAACACUUGUCAAGAGAAUUAACAAAAAGAUGCGAACUCUCAAUCAGCCUUGCAUAUAGAAUGAACGGUGAGGAAGUGUAGGCACACUACACACACAUUUGUACAUGCAUAAAUGCAUGUGUAUAUUCAUGUCUAAAGAAUAUCAUAAUUAUUGACCCUCGCAUUAGGCAAAUACCUGAUUGGUGGCGGUAGUGUAAAUCUUUUCCUCAACACGUAUGGCAAAUUUCUUGAGUUCUUGUAAUGCCUCUUGACCAGAAAACAGAAGAUGCCUCUUUAAUGUCUCCAUUCUGUACAUGCAAAUCAUUACAUUUUAUUUUUAAUGACUAGGCAAGUAUAUAAAAGUUAGCAGCAGCAAACAAGAACCCUGAACUCAUAAACCACACCAGUAUUAGAAAUGUGUGGAAUCAUUAGCAAAAAGUAAAAACAAAUAAUGAGAUAAGCAAGAGUUGGUCAAGUAAUAUAAGACAUCAAAAUACAUAAACAUCCUUUCCCUGUAUUAUUCCAGAGGUACAGAGUAUAGGAGAUUACUUUAAAAAAUGUAGCGUCGAGCUUCAUGGUUAAUUUUCUUGAACUAGAAGAACCUUUCAUUUAUGGCUAUGUUCCAAGAUAUAUAAGUGAAUUAGUUGAAAACCAGGGGAGUCUAUGUGAAAACAUUACAAUAGCAUUUAUUCUGAGUAAGAACACUUCUAUGCAUGUGCUGUAAUUGACACAAGAGGUCAUCAUCGAAAGAAGAGAUUACACAAGAAGUUCCAACAAAAAUUACUUCCCAGCAUUUAAGUUUGCUUCUUGUGAGAAACACAUGAGAAGAUGAAAAAAAAAAAAACAAAAAAAGAGGCGUGUGCUACAUGAGGUUGCCUCAUGGCAAUCCUGCUGAUUUUAAUUAACCUUUUUCCCUUCUCCUUUUCUUUCAUAUAAAUAAAAAAUUUGCUAUUUUGCAGCACUUGCACAUAUUAGAAAACAACUACUUACAUUUUGUCGACUAUUCUUUUCCAUGAGUCAGGCUGCAAUUGAAUUCUCCAAUCACCCGUAUCCAUGACAGGUUCUCCGCCUGGGACAGUGGGCCAACCAAAAAGAAGAAAAAAAUCAUAUUGCAAGUAAAAAUAGACCCUAAAAAGAAAGUCAGGAACGACAAGAAGAGUAAAAGCACAUCAAGAUCAUGAAAAAUGGAAUAUCAGUUUAUUCAGACUUGAAUAGAUUUAAAAAGAACUUCCGUCUAAUAUCAUGUACUUUAUUAAAGAAUUCAGCCAAAAUAUGGAUGCAUAACAAAUAUACACAACCAUUCAGGACAAGGUGCAAGGAUCCUGGGUAUUCAGCCAUUCUAAGCAAAGAUUUGGACCUGAAUCUUCAUGGUGCUUCUAAACCAAAGAAGCAUUCCCUUUUAAGCAAAUACUUACUGUCAAACCUCCUGUUCAUGUUCUUGUUAUUUAUGUAUAUAUUCACUUCUCUGAAAGAAUAAAUAUUGUAGGGAGCAAGUAGUGUAAAUAGAAAGAGGAAAAUACCACAUCCCCAAAAGAAUAAAGAAAUAAGAAGAAAACAAAACAAAGUCAUAAAACGAGGCAUUUCAAUCCCCGAAGAAUACCAGCAGACUAAAUACCACAGCACAAAUAGAAGAUGAAGAGGCCAGAAACACUAAACCAUCCCAAAGAGAUUGUCUAGGAUGUUUUAAUCUAGGAAGAAGAAGAAGAAAACAACGAGCAUUAACAAUGAAUAUUUCAUGUUAUCAUCAACUCUAAAGAGCAGACUGAUAAGAAUCAACUUAACAAAUUUACAGGCACAUCUUUCUUUGAAUAGACAACACAAUAACCCUGACCAUACUGAAUGCUCCACCCACAGUAGAAUCGGCUGAUUGCGCCUUUCUUCGUGUUGCGUUCACGAGCAGUGAUUUCAUCGAUCCGAUUAUAUAUCUUUUUAAUUUACUUAUUAAAAUCGAAUUUCUCUCUCUGGAUAGUGAUUUCAAUUAAAUAAAUGAAAAUGCAGACGUAUAUCUUUUUUUAAAAUAAAAAACAUGAUAGAAAAGGAAGCACCUGGUGGAGAUUUGAAGCCUUAUUGGUUGAUGUGGCGGCGGUUUCCUAGAGCGGAGGAGGGAAAGAAAGAGAGCUCAGGUGGGGAGAGGUGAGGAAUGUUGGAACAAAGUGAACAGAACUUGACAGAUGACUUUAUUCUUUUCCAGAUUCGCUAACAAACUAAAAGAUAUGCAUUCUUGUGCUGCUUCACUGUUCACAACUAACAAACUAAAACUAUAUAUAUAUAUAUAUAUAUAUAUAUAUAUAUAUAUAUAUAUAUAUAUAUUGGAGCAGUUUAAUGACAGUUCAGCCCUUAAUACAAAGAGUUGUAAUGGCAGCAGGGGAGGGGUGGGGUUGUCUUUUUACUGGGGUACAUUUGGCAUUGAAAAGAUGGUUGAGGAGAAAAUUGUCAGUAUAAGUUUUAGUGGGGAUGCAAGCCAUGGGAAGCGAGCACCUGUCACUAGUGUUGCCCGGGCAAGGACAGCUGGCACUUCUGCUGCCCGACCCUUCCACGGGGCAGACCAAGCGCCACAUGGUGCAUGGGCGCCCCUGCCCUUGCGCGGGGCAGACCCGGGUGCCACUUGGCGCUGGGGCGGCUCCAGGACACAGGGCGGACACUAGCACCACCUGGCGCUUGAGUCUUGGCAAAAGGCCUAAUUAGCUAUGGCUGCUCUAGCGCCACAUGGCACUUGGGAAAAGGUGGGUGUGGACACUUCCAUGCCCAACCCCAAAGCAAGUUGGGUAUGGACGCGUUCAAGCCCAACCCCAAGUUGGGAAAGUGUUCAAAUCAAAAAUAGUAUUAUUUGUGUUAUAAAUAUUAUUAUUUUUAUUAUAACUCAAAGUAUUGAUAUAAAAAUUAUUAUUAUUUGUGUUGUAAUCAUCCUUGAAAUUCUUAAUAUAACUAUUUAUGUUAUAAAUAUUAUUAUUUUUAUUAUAAUUAAUAGUGUGAAUAUUAAAAAUAUUAUCAUUGGUGUUAUAAAUAUUAUUAUUAUUAUUAUUAUUAUUAUUGAUAUUAUUAAUAAAAUAAUUACUAAAUGUGAAAAACAAUUAUUAGUAAUAUUAAAAAAAUUAUUUGUGUUAUAAUUAUUUUUAUUUUUAUUAUGGUUAAAAGUAUUAAUGAUAAAAAUAGUAUCAUUUUUUAUUAUGAUUAAAAGUAUUAAUAUUAAAAAUAGUAUGAUUUGUAUUUUAAUUAUUUUUAUUUUUAUUUUUAUUAUAAUUACAAGUCUGGGCGCGUCCACUCCCAACCCGACAUUGGGCCUGGACGCGUCCACGCGCAACGCCGAGUUGGGUCUGGACGCGUCCACGCGCAACCCCGAGUUGGGCAUGGAUGCUUCCUCGUCCACACCCAAGGCGGGUGUGGAGGCGUCCACGCCCAACCCCAAAUUGGGGUGAACAUGUCCACGCCCACCCCUAAGUUGGGCCUGGACGCGUCCGCGUCCACCCAUAUGUGUUAAUAUAAUAAUGUGUUAUAAAUAUUAUUUUUUCUCUUAUAAUUCAAAGUGUUCAUAUCAAAAAUAAUAUUAUUUGUGUUAUAAAUAUUAUUAUUUUUAUUAUAACUCAAAGUAUUGAUAUAAAAAAUAUUAUUAUGUGUUGUAAUCAUCCUUGAAAUUCUUAAUAUAAUUAUUUAUGUUUUAAAUAUUAUUAUUUUUAUUAUAAUUUUGAAUAUUCAUAUAAAAAAUAGUAUUAUUUGUGUUAUAAAUAUUAUUAUUUUUAUUAUAAUUAAUAUUAUUAAUAAAUUUAAAAAAUAUUAUUUUUUAUAUUAUAAAUUUUUAUAGUAGUUUUUUAUAAAAAUAAAAAUAAACUCGCUAUGUAACAUUGGCAUCCAACUAGUAUAAAACUAAGAGUGCUCAUUAAAUUUUUUUGCGUACAGUGUGUGAAUCCAUCCUGUGGCUUCACAGUCUUUACCGUGCUCCCUCUCUGUUUUUCCCGUUUCUUCUCGCGCGGUGGGUGUUCCCGUGCUUUCUUCUCGGCUGCUGAGGCUCCCUAGCGUCUUUCCAUCGACUUUGUCUGGUGCAUGUUCAGAUUGAGGUGGUUUGGCUGGUGCUAGGCGCGCGAGGAGAUGUCAGCCGACGGGUAAUCACCUUCAUCGGCUGGGAUGGCUUCAUUGAAGCUGUCCUCUUGGUCUGUGGCGGGACUUCUCAUGUAACUGAGACAAUUCUAACUUGUUUUUGUUAAUUAAAAAAAAAAUUAUUCUAAUGAGACAUUGUUUUUGUUUUUAUAAACUCUUUUCUAUUAUAUUUUUUAUCAAAAAUUUUAUAGAAAAUAUCAUAUAAAUUCUAGUUCACUGUUUAUUCUUAAUUAUGAUAUCAAAAAUAAAAUAUUGAAUAAAUCAAAAAAUAAUAUUACAAUCACACUAUUAUUAGUACCAUUGCUAAGAGCUUGAGAUUAAGAAGUUUGCUCUCCCUAUAGUUUCAGGUUCGAACCCUGUGGUUACUAAUAUGAUGGUCACUAGAGGCUUACAUGGUCGCUAACUUUAGGGCGCGUGAAAUUAGUCGAGGCGCACGCAAGCUGGUCUGGACACCCACGUCAAUUAAAAAAAACAAAUUACGAAUUGAUUAUUACCUCAAUCUAAUUUUUAUUCGAGUAUUAAUUUAUAUGCAUAUUUAUAUUACGUGGAAACUUCAUCAUUAUAGUAAAAGGGAACAAUAAUUUUAUGAACUAUUUAAGGUCCUCUAACAAUCUUAAAACAAUUUAUUUUUUAGUAUAUUUGUUCUGUGUAUAUGUAUAUAUCUUCAAGAACAAAUUGAUUAUAUAUUAACAUAUAUAGAUUAAAAAAAAAUAGUUUAAUUUUAGUAGGAAAAGUAAAGUGCAUAUAUUUUCUCUUAAAUUUCAUGACUAUGUUAAAUUUCUUGUUGUCUGUUAUCUGUGUACUUGUUGCAUUGAUUCUACGGGAAAAUAAAUUUUAUGUUGCAUGGUAUUUUCCUUCGUUGUUGUAUUGAUAUGAAAAGAACAAAAAAACAGCCGAUCGGAAAAAAAAAGUUGUAUAUCUGGAUAAUAAUUACCGGUGAAAUAAUAUAUGUUAAGUGCAAUUCUAUUUAACUGUAACUCUUUUGUUUAAGUUGCAUAGCGACAACUUUACUACGUUUCAACAACUAUAAAUAGUUAAUUUUUUUUUAAAAAAUACAUAUAUAUAGUUCUCUUUUAUAUAAGAUUAAAAAGAAAUUUUGAAUAGAUAUGAUAUAGAGAAGUUACAAUUAAUGAAAAAUCAUCAAUCAUAAUAAUUUUGAUAUAUUUGUUAACAUGGUAAGCCUAGUGGAGUUAAUGAUUUGGGUUGUGUAUUUAACGAGUUAACCUGUGGAACUCGAGUUAAUAUAAUAUAUCAUCAUCUUAAUAUUAAAAAAAAUAUCAUCGUGAUUUUUUUUCUUUAAAAUCCAAACCAUGCUUUUAUUGGUGAUUUGAAUUGCCUUAAUUUGCAUAUAUCAAGGCAACUAGAUCAAGUACAAACAAUUCCCUUGUAAAUUAAUUUUAAUAUUAUUGCUAAAUUAUGUUUUUUUACCGGUCAUAUGGAUUGACUUUGAAUCCACCACAUUAACUAUGUCAUGUUAGGGCAACUUUCAUGUUGGUUAAUUUUAAACUUGAUAUAAAUGAGGAUCGGUCACAUAAAUUUAAACUAAAUUAUUUUUGUCGAUUUUAUUUUUAAUAUUGAGAUGAUUGAGAAUUUAAUUUAAUUUUUUUUCUUUUUAGUUUGCCUUUCUAUGUGGUUUGCGAGUUUGUCGAGGUAACUCGAGUUACUCCAGUUUACGGAUUUUGUGUGGUUUUUUUAAUUGAACUUGGUUUUUUUUAUAGUAUAUUUUUUUUGUUAUAUUGUUAGAAAAACAGUUUUAGAGAAAAAAAACAUGUUAUUAAACUUUAUGAAGUAAGAAAAAUUAAAGAAUACGAGGAAAACAACCUUCAUUCAUCUUAUCAAUGAUUAAUCAUUUCUUUGUUGCUGCAAUCAUGGAUCUUACAGUGCUUCCUAACUAAUCCCAACCAUAGCUGAAUAAAAUUACUUGGACCAAUCCCAGGAGACCUUUUUCCAUUGAAAUUUUGCAAGACUAUGGCAUACAUGAACUCCAUCUAAUGAACAGUAAAUCACAGAAAUUACCUUCUGAUAGAUCUCCUCUUGCUAAUCAGCGCCUUUUGCAUGUCCAGCCUGUGCUGUAGAAUCUAGGGAUGCUACAAAAAUUUCAAUGUGGGCAACAAAAGAUUAGAAUUCAUGUAUUUUUUUGUGUUUUCCAUAUACAAGGGUAUUUCUGUAAUUUUCACACUUGCUGAAAAUUAUGGAAUAUUGCAAUUCUCAGUUUUAUUUUCCAUUUAGUAUUUUAUUAUCCCAAAGUAUAGAGAGCUUCAUUAGGUUUUUCAUAUUCUAGAUAGGACUAUCAGUAUUUUCCUACAGAGGAAUACAAGUCCUUUUUGGACUAGGAGUACUAGGAACUCCAUCUAAAGAAAGUCAGGAACGGCAAGAAGAGUAAAAGCACAUCAAGAACAUGAAAAAUGGAAUAUUAGUUUAUUCAGACUUGAAUAGACUUAAAAAGAACUUCCGUCUAAUAUCAUGUACUUUAUUAAAGAAUUCAGCCAAAUAUGGAUGCAUAACAAAUAUACACAACCAUUCAGGACAAGGUGCUAGGAUCCUGGGUAUUCGGGCAUUCUAAGCAAAGAUUUGGGCCUGAAUCUUCAUGGUGCUUCUAAACCAAAGAAGCAUUCCCUUCUAAGCAAAUACUUAUUGUCAAACCCAGGGCUUCCCCUCCUGUUCUUGUUAUUUAAGUAUACAUUUACUUCUCUGAAAGAAAAAAUAUUGUAGGGAGCAAAUAGUGUAAAUAGAAAGAGGAAAAUACAGGAAAACAAAGCAAAGUCAUAGAACGAGGCCUUUCAAUCCGCAAUGAAUAUUAACAGACUAAAUACCACAGCAAAAAUAGAAGAAUAAGAGGCCAGAAACACUAAAUCAUCCCAAAGAGAUUGUCUAGGAUGUUUUAACCUAGGAAACAGAAGAAGAAAACAACUAAAGAGCAGACUGAUAAGAAUCAACUUAACAAAUUUACAUGCACAUCUUUCUUUGAAUAGACAACACAAUAACCCUGACCAUACUAAAUGUUCCACCCACAGUAGAGUCGGCUGAUUGCGCCUUUCUACGAGUUGCGUUCACGAGAAGCGAUUUCAUCGGGUCCGAUUAUAUAUCUUUUUAAUUUACCUAUUAAAUCAAAUUUCUCUCUGGAUAAGAAUUUCAGUUAAAUAAAUGAAAACGCAGACGUAAAUUUUUAAAAUAAAAAACAUGAUAGAAAAGGAAGCACCUGGUGGAGAUUUGAAGCCCUAUUGGUUGAGGUGGCGGCGGCGGCGGUUUCCGAGAGCGGAGGAGGGAAAGAGAGAGAGCUCAUGUGGGGAGAGGUGAGGAAUGUCGGACCAAAGCGAACAAAGCUUGACAGAUGACUUUAUUCUUUUCCAGAUUCGCUAACAAACUAAAAGAAUUGUAUUCUUGUGCUGCUUCACUAUUCAUAACUAACAAACUAAAACUAAAGGAAUUAUAUAUAUAUAAUAAGAGUGCUCAUUAAAACACGGUGCACUGUGUGUGAAUCCUGUGGCUUCACGGUCUUUACCGCACUCCCUCUCUGUUUUUCACGUUUCUUCUCGCGCGGUGGGUGUUUCCGUGCUUUCUACUCGGCUGCUGAGGAUCCCUGGCGUCUUUUCAUCGACUUUGUCUGGUGCAUGUUUAGAUUGAAGCGGUUUGGCUGGUGCUAGGCGCGCGAGGAGAUGUCAGCCGAUGGGUAAUCACCGUGGCGGGCCUUCCUUUUAAUGAAAAAAUUAUUCUAACUGAGACAUUGUUUUUGUUUUUAUAAACUCUUUUCUAUUAUAUUUGUUUUAUCAAAAAAUUUAUAAAAAAUAUCAUAUAAACUCUUGAAUAAAUCAGGAAAUAAUAUUAUAAUUACACUACUAGCACUAAAGAUCAGAUAAUAAAUUAUAUAUUGACAUAGAUUGAAAAAAAUAGUUUAAUUUUAAUAGGAAAAGUAAAGUGUAUAUAUCUUCUGUUAAAUUCUAUGACUAUGUUAAAUUCCUUGUCAUCUGUUAUUUGUGCACUUGUUGCAUUGAUGCUACGAGGAAAUAAAUUUUAUGUUGCAUGGUAUUUUCCAUUGUUGUUGUGUUGAUAUAAAAUAAGAAAAUAGAAGAUUGGGAAAAAAAAGUUGCAUUAAUAUAAAUAUAAUUAGAAGGAUAUAACUAAAUUUUCAAAGGCUUGAUGUAAAUAUUAAAGUUCAAGAGAGAGAAAAGAUGAGGAGGAGAAAACAACUUUGUCACCGCUGAACCACCGUGAAAUAACAACACACGCUACACCAUUAACUACACCUUCACAUUACACGUUGAACUAUCACACGCCUCCUGAAUGAUGUGGUGGACUAUCACGUGUUAUACACAUGUCGGUCUUUUUAUUGAUUUAUUAAUAUUUCAAUACUUUAAAUUACUAAAUAGCCCCUAAGAGCAUCUAAAUAUUACCAAAAAAAUGUUAUCCCAAACCAGCUUUAGAUUUUUUUUAUUCUAAGGUUAACUUUAUCAUUUUACAAUAACAAAACAUGGAAAAGACUAAAAAAUGCCUCUUGUCAAGGUCAAUAUUUUUGAACUGUAAACCCCGGGAAAAAAAAUAAUAAAUAAAUAAAAGUGAAGAAAUUCAUGCAUAUGGUUAAAUAAAAACAUAAAUUCAGAAAUUUUUAAAUAUAAAUUUCCGGGCGAAAUAAUUCGAGACAUUAUAAUAAACCCGGUACUGUUGAGGGUUGGAUUUAAUUGAAGAGAAUGAUACACUUAAAGGAAAAUAUAGAGUAUAAAUACUCUCUCCUCACCAAAAAAAAAUAUGUAGGAACCAUAAGGAGAGAAGAUAGUGAGUUUUAUACCCAUUCUUGAGAAAUCAAGAGAGAAACACUAAAAUUUCAAGAACCCAUCCAAGAUUAAGAGCUUAUAGAUGGGAUAAACACUUGAGAGCAAAGGAUUACCAAGAAAUUGAACAAGAAGAAAAGAAAUGACGGAGUUGAAAAUCUUCAACUGGUUGAAGAUCAAAAUCUUAAUUUGUACCGGGUAAGGUAUUCUAAACAUGAUCUUAAAAAAAUUCAUUUUUAAAUUCGAUAAAGAAUUGAUGCCUUGAUAUUGAAUCAUAGGUUAGGGUUCUUAGAAAUAAAUUGGGGAAAAAGUACUUAUUGUUGAGAUUAAGUUAAUUCAUGUGUGUGGUAUGUAGUUUAUGAAAGUAUUGUGUGAAGGGGAGGGGGAGACGAAUCUGGACAGACUUGUCUCCUAACUUUCGAUGAGAUUUUGGGUAGGAGGAUGAGGGGAUUAGGAUCGGGUUCCUCAUAGAAAUUGUAGAUUUGAAUGUUAGCUAACCAAGGAAGCUGGUCUUGCUCAAUUUGGAGAUGUAGAACUCCAGUUAUGGGUUACCAACUGAGACUGAGUCGUGACUGAUUAUGUAGGGCAGUAAGACUAAUUAGUAAAUGAACAAUUUUGACUAUCUUGAAGGCAAAACUGGGUUCUACUCCCUCAGAGAACUAGUAGCCUCGUGUCUUAGCUUUCUAACGAGAUCAAUCUCACUUAAAAUGGAGUUUUAGAACUUUAGAUAUAGUUAAAAAUCUGAUGAGUGUUUAGACAGUAACAGUUGGAAAUUGGACAGUAACAGUUCAAAGUCAAACAGUAACGGUUGGAAAAGUCAAACAGUAACAGUUCAAAGUCAAACAGUAACGGUUCAAAGUCAGACAGUAACAGUUGGAAAAGUCAAACAGUAACAGUUCAAAUGUCAAACAGUAACAAUUCAAAGUCAGACAAUAACAGUUGGAAAUUGGACAGUAACAGUUCAAAGUUAGACGGUAACAGUAUACUUUCACGUGAAUACUAUAAAUAAGAAUAUAAAAGAAUUGAGUCAUUCUAACACUUGUAUAUUGAGAUACUAACUCUGAAAAUAUACAUGAUAUAUGUAUGUAUGUUAUUAUGAGGAAAUGAACAUGCAUAGAAAGUAACAUAUGAGUAAUGGAUGAAUAUGAAUUCUCUAUAAUAUCGGCUUGAAGGAAUCAUAACCAAAAAAAGAAAACUUCCUUGUGAUUCAGGAGGAGCAACCAGGAUUGGAUCUUCUGUUAGGGGAGGUCGCGAGACAGGCAAAGCAGGUGCGUGAUUUUCCCUCCUAUUUGCACUUAUACAAUUUAGAAGCCUUCUGGUGAAUGCAAUUAUAAUAAAUAUCGUGUUCAAUGUAAAUGAAACCUAGUGUAUCUACAAGAUUAGCUCCGGCUAAUGGCAUCCGUGAGAGGAUUGUCGGGAUAUGAUUUACACGAUUAGCUCCGGCUAAUGGCAUCCGUGAGAGGAUUGCUGAGAAAUGAUUUACACGAUUAGCUCCGGCUAAUGGCAUCCGUGAUAGGAUUGCCAGGAUAUGAUUUACACGAUUAGCUCCGGCUAAUGACAUCCGUGAUAGGAUUGCCGGGAAAUGAAUUACAGGAUUAAACCUUGCAAGGUCACCCAGUUUAUGCAAGUAAAUAAGAUUAUUCAAUUAAGAAUAUACAAAUGAGUGUUAAUUGGGUUUAAAAGAUUUACAAGCAAAAUAUAAGUUCUUUGUUAGAAUUCUCAUGGAUUCGAUAGAAAGCUAUUACUUCAUUCGUAUUCAUUACAUGAGCAUACAUAUAUUCUUUAUCAACAUAAUGGUAUGUUUAUUAAUGUAACAGGUCCAUCAAACAUCCAGGAAGAUCAUUAGUUUAGGACUCUACUUUGUGAAGCUUAUGUAAAUAUUAACUUAAAACAAAAGGGAAUUAACGUGUUUAUGUAGUAUACUUUUGUGCAAACCUUGAUGUAUUUAUAAAGGUUCAGCUUAACAUGUAGUAUUUUAGUUAUCUUGUAAUUAACCCUUUUGAAAUAUUUAAGAACACUUCUUAUAUUGUAAAUAUUUUCUUUGCAUGUUAGUAUUUCUUUUCCUUUAGAUUUUAUGAUAUGAUGUGUUGGACUAUGUUCAUAUUGAACUUACUCGUAGGAUAUAUAUAUAUAUAUAUAUAUAUAUAUAUAUAUAUAUAUAUAUAUAUAUAUAUAUAUAUAUAUAUAUAUUGUGUGGAUUGUAUGAGGUGUGGAAUUAUGAGGUUUGAUAUAAGGUCCGGAAUUAAGGACCUUGUGAUGAUGUGUUGAUUGAGUAAACUGAUAGUAGUCGAUAACUUGGGAUGUCCUACAUGCAAACGAAACUCUGCCGAAUUUUUGAAAAUAAAAAAAAAAUUACCCUAAAAUAAAGAGGAUAUGUUGGAAUCUUUAACAUUGAUCGAGUCGUACAGUUCGGACUAUUACAUGAACUCUUAAGGGUAUUGACCUCAUUUUACGGUGCAAAUAAAAUAGAAAAGACAAAAUAGACCCUAAACAAAAGGCCAAUUGUUUUUUUGCUUGCAAGGGCAAUGAUGUAGUUUUAGUGUGCAAAAAAAGAGCAAACCUACUAAAUUAUUCUCAAUCAAUUUACGAAUAAGCUUUAGAUCACUUGAAAAAGACAACUUUACCUCGUUAAUAAGUCAAUUGUUUUGUGUAGAUAAGGGCAAAAGGUAAAUAUAUUGUGCUAAUCCACGAUAUUUUACCUCACAGUCUAUAAUGAAUCACUUGAAUCAUUGAUCUCUUUUAAGUUUUUUUUAUAUAUAUAUAAUUCCACUUUGUUUUAAUUCAUGUUUAGAUUUUUAGCAUACAUUCUCAAACCAAAUCUCUCUUCUCUUGCACGCAUAUAAUUGUUUUUCUCACACUCUGCCAGAAAAUACCACAUCCCCAAAAGAAUAAAGAAAUAAGAAGAAAACAAAACAAAGUCAUAAAACGAGGCAUUUCAAUCCCCGAAGAAUACCAGCAGACUAAAUACCACAGCACAAAUAGAAGAUGAAGAGGCCAGAAACACUAAACCAUCCCAAAGAGAUUGUCUAGGAUGUUUUAAUCUAGGAAAAAAGAAGAAGAAAACAACGAGCAUUAACAAUGAAUAUUUCAUUUUAUCAUCAACUCUAAAGAGCAGACUGAUAAGAAUCAACUUGACAAAUUUACAGGCACAUCUUUCUUUGAAUAGACAACACAAUAACCCUGACCAUACUGAAUGCUCCACCCACAGUAGAAUCGGCUGAUUGCGCCUUUCUUCAAGUUGCGUUCACAAGAAGCGAUUUCAUCGGAUCCGAUUAUAUAUAUUUUUUAAUUUACUUAUUAAAAUCGAAUUUCUCUCUUGAAAGUAAUUUCAAUUAAAUAAAUGAAAAUGCAGAUGUAAAUUUUAAAAAACAAAAACAUAAUAGAAAAGGAAGCACCUGGGUGAGAUUUGAAGCCUUAUUGGUUGAGGUGGUGGCGGCAGUUUCUGAAAGUGGAGGAGGGAAAGAGAGAGAGCUCAGGUGGGGAGAGGUGAGGAAUGUCGGACCAAAGUGAACAGAGCUUGACGGAUGACUUUAUGCUUUUCCAGAUUUGCUAACAAACUAAAAGAAUUGUAUUCUUGUGCUGCUUCUUUCUCUGAAUGUUAAAUGCUUUUUAUUUUAUUUUGUGUCAUUUGGUAUCAUUCUUCUUUUACUAUUAGUUAAUGGAUAUUCGACCUCUUGCUCGUUUUUAAUAUUGUUGUUUGGCUCACUUGUAUAUUCUUUUUAUAGAUUUUUUGCCUGACUUAAUAUUCAAUAAGUAUGUUAAUUGAGUAUGCAUUCAAUUUGCAAAAAUAGAUACAUACAUGACUUUUAUUAAUUAAUAAGAUUGAUUACAUUAAAUAUAUUCUUAAACUUGUUUUAUUUAAAUAAAUAUAUAGAAUUAUGAUAAUUCAUAAUUUGAUGAUUAGAUAAUAUUUGUAUAAUAAGAAUACAUGAUGCAUGUAUUGAGUUCAAUGUUUUUUUAAAAGAAAUUUUUUAAUUGAUUAAUGUAUAAGUGUAUAAAUUUAUUUAGUAAAUAAUAUCUUGAUUAAUUAAUAAAUUUCAUGGUCUCAAUGAUAUUAAUUUAUAGAUGUUUAAAUGUAUAUUGUAUUAAUCUUUUAAAAAAUAUAUAAAUUUAAAUGAUAAAAUUAAAAACACUUAACUCCAUAUAAGGAAAAUAUUUAUUUUUUUAAACGACAAUACAAAAUAUAUGAUAAUACUAAUAUGUAAAUUCAAAUCUAUCUCUAAUGAGGCAUAUGUCAUUCCGGCAACAAUUGGUUUAGCCAAUUAGCUUCCAUUGGUUUAGCCAUGCAUUGCCUCUUUCAUUUCUUAACUGAUCGUUUUUAACAUUCCAUGUUAAUUUUAUUUGUAGAUGAAGCUCUCAAAUGUACUCUUGGAAUCAACAACUUAGGUUACAUGAACAUCACCCUUUUUUCUCACACUUACAUAUAAAAGAACAUUGGCAUGCUUAACUGUCUUACUAUGGCUUUGUCUAAAAUAUGAUGACACAGUGGCGACCAAACACAUCACCACUGACAUGGCCAGCCUGAGUAUUUCUGGUGAUUACAAGGAGGCAAGGACAUCUCUGGAUAAAAUGGCAAGAUUGUUUAGGACAUUCUCAUUAUCAAAAAAAAAAAAAAAACAUAAAACAAAUAUCUUAACGUUGUUCAUCUGUUUAUAGGAUUAGAGUUUGUUUAAUACUGUGUUAACAGUAUUUUUUAAGUUUUUUUUUUAAUUUUAAAAUAAAUUGAAAUAAUAUAUUUUUUAUUUUAAAAAAAUUAUUUUUAAUAUUAAUACAUGAAAAUAAAUUAAAACCACUAAAAAAUAAAUUUAAAAACAAAUUUAAAAUAUUUUUAAAACACUGACUUGUGCAUAAUGGCACUUCCGAGAGGAAAAUGAGACAUGUUGUUGACACUACUGUCACCUGAUUACAACCUAUUUGAUUAACUGAAUGCCUAGUUCAAUUCUUGAUAAAAUGUCAUUCUAUCAGAAAUUGUAUGGUUCUCCUCCUGAUUACAAUUUCUGAUAGCUUUGGAUCAGCUUUGUAUCAGAAAUUAUUUGAUUAGCUUUGGAUUUAUUUAUUUUUCCUGUUAUUGUUUCUGAUUUGGGUAUUUGAUUUGUCCUUCUUGUUUUUGUUCUUUUUUGCAGUGUUGUAAAAAAGGAAGCUUUAGAGCAAGUAAGCGAAAAAUGGGUUUUCAUCAGCUGUAGAUAUUCCAGCAAUGCAGGUAAAUAAAAUCACUUUUAAAAUUGUUGUUGUAAUUGCUUUUUUUGGAUGUACAAGUAUGUUAUGGUGUUGUGGUUGUUUUGCUGGGUAGGAAAUUAUGUUGGAGUUUCGUGCUGGUUCGAUGGAAAAAAGUUUGUUCCUGAUUCUCGAAAAGGACUUGUUCGCAUUGGAAGGGUAAACUGGUGUCUUUUGGUUUUUUUGUGUUAUAUAGAGUUCGUGCCUGUGUAAAGAUUUUUAGUUACUUCUGUUGUUUUGGUUUAUCUUAAGUACUAGAUAGUGUGUUUCUAGCAUCUUGUUUCCUGUUCGAAGUCGAAAUUUUUGAAUUGUUCCACGGUGAUGAGGGUUUGCUUCAUUUCUAGUGGCUUGAUAGGAAUUUGAAUGCUGUGGAAGAUGUAUCGUAGUUAUUAUUAUGUUUUUGAGCCUAGGGAUUUUGUUUCUCUCUUCCAACAUUGGUUUUUUAUUUCUUUUUCUGUUGUUUGUUUUGUUAAUAUUGUUUUGAGGUGAGAACUUGGUAGCUUUUUCUUGACGUGUUGAUUGACAGGAUCAUAUUAUUUUUUUCUGAAGAGGCUGUUUUUGAGAAGGUACACUUUUCUCUCUUAGUUUUUUCUUAGAUGGGAGAUAUUUGACUCUAAUAAUUGAUUGUAAUAUCAUAUAUUCAUAAUUCUUUGGGUUAUUCAGGUUAAUCAAGCAUUGGGAAGAGUUUACAUCUUGAAAUUCAAUAUAGGUGAUCGAAAGUUUUUCAUUUAGAUGCAGUUCAGGUUCAUUUUCUAUGUUUUUCACUCUCUUAUGUGUAACAUUGACUCAGCUGUUAGUUGCAUGAUUUUGGAAAAUUGUCUAACAUGUUUGCAGGAGCCAAAAGCUAAAGAUGAUUCACAAUUGUGUAGCUCUAUCAACUAUUAUAUUAAUCGUCCAUUUGGUAAAUACUUUUGUGUUUUGAGUCCUUUGUUAGCCAUGCUACUUUUGUGUUUUUUUUUAUCUUGCAUCUGCAUUUAUCUCCUCUCAUCUCCACAAUUUCAUAAAGAAAACCUCUAUUUAACAGAAAGAUCAUAUUAGACUAAUUGGAUUUCCUGUUUAUUUAUUUUAGUUACACACUCCGUAUGUGUGAAUUGGUCUUCCUAAAAUUUUACUAACCAGUUUUACUCCUUCAAACUAAUGACCUGGCUUAUAACUUCAGCACUCAUUCAAGAGUGAAGUUUUUCCAUCAGCAACGUCGCUGCUUUAUCUUAUUGCCUGGCAGAGUUCCUUGAUGAAGAAGAGCCUGAUGCUUCUAUUCCUUUCCAAGUUUUUGAAGACGUGCUUAAAGAUAAUAUCUCAUCAAGCUAUAUUUAUUAUAACAAAUAAGCAUACUUAAAGAUGAUACUUCAACUCUAAGAGUUGAUAUAGCAAGAGUGAGUAAGGAUAUAGGGCUAAGUAAUUUUUUGUUCUUUGAGACUAAGAGUCUGUGGAGCAGAAUGAGCCUCCCUUCUCUCCUUCUGGUCAAUCAUCUUGGAGAGCCUAUGUUCUUGCAUUGGAGAGCCUAUGUUCUUGCCUUGAUGAAGACUCCUAUCUUAUUUAUUCAAGAAAUAUCAAGAAAUUUUCCAAAAUCAUUUCUUGACAAAAACAUCUCAACCACCUUAGCCCAUGUCAAAUCCUUCAUCCCCUUAUGCUCUUGCACAGACUUGCCCUCGGGGUAAAUUUUAAAACUUGGGGCAUCUUUUAUAUGGAAAUUUAGAUUCAUAAAUUGGUGUUUGUCCAUGUAUAUACAAGUUUAAUGCUUGUAAUUCAUUGUAAAAUAACUUCAAAAAGGUUAAGGAGCACUUUUAUUAUCAAAAAGAAAUGGCCCAGUAUUACGUGGCCAUUUUCUUUUAUUCUGAUGAGAUUUUUGCUCAUAGCUCUCAAGACUGGAAACUUAGUUGUCCCAGACCUUGGUGCAGAAGUAAUGAAUGAUGUAAACUCUUCAUCAGAACCAGUGAAAUUGGAAGACUUGCAAAGAAUCCUGAGUAAUAUCUGUGUUAUGCUCAGAUAGUGCAAUUGACCAUAUCCUUGUUUGUUGUACUUAGGGUGGCCCGCGCCGUGAUGUGAUGAUAGAUGUUGCAGGUAGUUUGGCCGAUCCAGAUGAAGGUAAUUGUUAAUGCCUAUUCUAUACGUAUUGUAAGCUGUGAAAGAAUUGUACAACCUUUUUUUUCUGCUAAUUAUAUGCUCUGGCACGGGGUGCAUUACUGUAAAAUCAUUUUUUUUUCAUGAUGUUUUCUUUUGCUGUCCUAGGCUUGGGAGUAGGGGAUAUACUGAAGCCUGAUUUGAUAAUGUCGUUGAUUGAGACAUUGCCGCUUGAAGAAGGAUUAACAUCUCACUUACCUGAGGUAUAUUAGCCUGAUUUGAUAAUGCUUAUUCUAUACGUACUGUAAGCUAUGAAAGAAUUGUACAACCUUUUUUUUUCUACUAAUUAUAUGUUUUCUUUUGUUGUCUUAUGUGUUGGGAUUUCCUAUGUGCUUUACAUUGGUGCAUUCUGAGGUAAAUAUGAGGUUGUAGGGUCACUAAACUCCAGAUGAUAUUUUAGACUUGUUGCAGAGUCUUCCUUUCCAUCAGCAAGUGGAUUCUUUUACAUAUGUAAGAAAUGCGACGCGGAUCCUUCUUGUUCUGUUUCUUGUCCUUUUGAUGAUAGCCAAUUUUACAAGGUUUAAUUCUUCUUUUUGUUUGAAGGUUCUCCGAACUGGACAAGUAGAUUUGUCUGAAUUUGGGAUCAACCCCACUAAAUGUGAGUGGUUUGUGGCUCCUGAACCUGUAGCUUAGAAAUGGUUCUUAAAUACAUGGUUUUCUCUUUAACAAAUCAUUUACUUAUGUUCAUCAGCAUUAACUAAAGUCUUUAGUUAAUUCUUUCUUGAGAAAUCCAAGUAUUCCAAGUUCUUGAGAUGAAGGAAGCUUGCCACAAUCAAGAAAUUAUAUUAAAAUAAAUUAAAAUUAUAAAGGAAAUAAAAGAGUUAGCAAGAAGCAACUAAUUGAAUGAAUAAUAAGGAUCUCAAUUGAGUUUAAAUUUGGAAUUUAAGUCUCUCUUAUUGAUCAAUUUGCUGUUGUAAGCAAAUUGCUAAUAAGUUCUGGCACUGGACAACAUGUGAUUCUGGUCAAUUAUUGGUUGGGUAGUGUACCUUUUAUGCUUUUCUUCUUUUAUCUUUUGAGGGUUUUUUUUUAAUUUAAUUGACUCUUAAUUAGUUUUUAUUUUUUAAUCUAAAUAUAAUAAUUUAAGGGAUAAAAAUCCCUCUAUAAUAUAAUACUGUUAUCGAAACAAUUAGAUUCUAAGUCAAAGAUCUCUAAAUUGUUCAAUUUCUGUAAUUCAUAACUACCUAUAUAAAAAAACCAAAUUAAGACUUCAUGUAAAAGAAUAAAAAAAAGAUAUUAUUACAGUAAUUUAAUUAUGAUUGAUCAAGAGAUAUAUAAUUGCUACGGUGACGCCACGUAAAGAGGUUGGGACGGUGAAAAUACAAGUAAGAGGACUUAUUGUUACGGUGAUUAAUAAUAUAAUAUAAGGAAUUAAACAACACCUUAUUACUAAAUAUGUUUUCUAUUUUCUUCGAUGGAGAACCAAAAUGUUACUAAUUUGAUUAAUUUUAAAAAAAAACUAAUAUAAAUAAUUUGUAAUACAAAAGCGAACCUUUCUUCUCAACCCAACCAGCUAUACGAUUGGGUUUUAAUCUGAAUAUCUUGAAAUUGAAACAAGGAAGGAAGAAACAAGGAGGUAUUUUUUUUAUAAUGCUUUUAAUCUGAAUAUCUUCUUUUAGAAAAAAAAAUGGUUUUAUUUUGUUUUGAAUUUUUGGGAUUUUAUAUUUUAUAAUUUGAUUUUUAUAUCAACUUUAAUUCUUAUUUAUUUUUCUCUUAUUUUUUUAAAUUAAAUAUUUUAAUUUAUUAUAUUUGAUUUUUUUUAAUCAAUAUUUAUUUUAUUUAAAAUAAUUUAUAAAAUUAUAAUUAUUUUUUUUAUUUUUUAUUUUUUUAUUUUUUUAUCUAUCAUGUGAAGCUAGCGUCCCUAUCCCUAUGUAUAAAAAAUGAUUUGAUGGUGCUUGGAUUGGGUGUAUGCCUACGUACUUAGUUUUCUGCACAGACCUUGAGCUUUAUUAGGGCAGAAAAUAAGCCGCCUGGCAUUAACCUUUUAUUCAUAUUUUUUUUUCAAAAAGACUCUGACUUGUAGUCAAUUUUUUAAUAUCUUGUUUGUUUUUGUAUUUUAAAAGUAUUAUUAAAAAAUUUAAAUUUUUUUUUAUAUUUUUUACUUUAAAUUAAUAUAUUUUUGAUAUUUUUAGAACAUUUUGAUAUGAUGAUGUUAAAAAUAAUUUUUAAAAAAUAAAAAAAUUUUAUUUUGGUGCAUUUUCAAGCGAAAAGAACUUUGAAAAGCAACCGCUACCACACUCUCAAACACUCCUCGAACGAAGAAAUACAAGUUUUCUGUUAUUUAUUUUAAGCUUUUUUUUUUCUCUCAGUGUCAGUUUUUAAAAGAAUUAGUUUUUAAAAGAAUUAGUUUUUAAAAUCUUAGUAAAUUAUACAAUUGGAUUUAUUUUGAUGUUUAUCACCCGUGUAUUAUAUAUUCAAUUCUUUAAUAGUUAGAAAAUACAAAGAGUUAGUGGCACUUACAAAGAGUAUUUGUAUCUUGUUUUUUCUAAUUAAAAACUUGAAUUGAUUUAUUUUUAAAAAAAAUUUGAAUACUUGCUCUUAUAAAUUUUUAUCAAUCAAAGUCUCUAUAUUAGUUUUGUUGCCAUAAUGCAAAUAACAUGAUUAAUAGUAUUUUAUUUUCAAUUUUUUUCAAGGCCUAAAUUUUCCACACGUAAUUUAGAAAGGAGCAAGUCUUGUAUAUCCGUCAUCGUCAUGUGUCUAGCAUUAACUGUAAACCCCCGUAAAUAAAAAUUAAUAAUAAUAAUAAAAAGAAAAAAAAACAACACAUAGGAUCGAAGUAAUGAUGUUUCGAUGAGUAAUAAAUAUUCGGUAGGAAAGAAAUGAAUAAAUAGUAGGAAUGACAAUAAAUAUGUCAUGUGAGAGAGAAUAAUCUCCAUAAAUAAAUUUAAAAGCAUUGUUGAAGUCGAAAAGAGAGUCAUGAUUUUUUAGUUUAAAACUUGUAAUGUUAGUGAAACCAGUGACGAGUUUCAAUGGAUAAAAGAAUAAGAAAAAAAACCAGAAGAUAUGUAAACCCCGGUCAAAACACGUAUUUUGACAAAUUAAUGAUAAAUGUGGUAAUAUUGAAUUUAUUGAGUAUAAAUUAAGGGGAAAUGUCACGAGGAUCUAAGUAAAUAAAUUAAUGCAUGAAAUUCAGAUUUUAGCGUAAUAGACAUUGAUUGUCUAGUUUUACGGUAUCGAUGAUAUAUCUCAAUCCGAUCGUUGGAUCGGGCUGAAAUUUUAUAAGGAAUCUCCAGAAAUAUUAUUUUAUAUUAGGUUCAAAUUUCGUGUCAAUCGGAGUUUGGGAAGGAUUUACGAGAGCACUGAAAAUCGGGUAAAUUGAAGAAGAUGACACAAGGGGCAUUAACAAGGGUAUUUUUGUAAUUUUAUCAAAACAAAUACUCUCCUCUCCUCUCUUUAAAAACAGAGCACGUCCUCUGCAAAUGGAAAAACAGGAGGGAGACCAUUUGUUUUGUCCCAUUUUCUUCAUUUGUAUAUCCAUCAUCGUCAUGUGUCUAGCAUUAACUUUUUAUUCAUGUUUUUUCCAAAAAAAAAAACUUGACUUGGGGUCAACGUUUUAAGAAGGAAUAUAAGUUUUGGUUAAUCAUGCAAUUCAUUUUUUUUCUGUACUCUAUGGUUUCGAUGAACAUGACUUUCUUAAGCUAGUUGUAGUAUAUAGAAAUUUCUUAUAACAUUUUAGAAAUAUAAUUCACAUCUCAAUUGAUAAAUUCACAAAUUAAUAUAAUAGGUUUUAAUAUUUAUUUUUAAUAUAUAUUUUGAAUUUAAUAUUAAUAGUUAUAGAGUUUAUUUAGUUAAUAAAAAUUGUUCCACUUUUGUUAUAUCACUUUCCUUUUAAAGGGGUUGUGUGCAGCCUUGCAAAUUAUUUUAAAGUUUAUUUAUUUUGAAUUUAAUAUAUAAUUUUUUUAAUAGAUAAACUUUAUUUUUGAAAAUAAAAAAAAUUAUUUUCAAAUAAUAUUUCCAAUAAAUGAACCCUGGCAUAUUAUUAUUAUUUUUUAUUUUAUUCAAUUAAUUUAUAAUAUGUAUCUAUUUUUAUUAUCGUUUGAUCGAAUUAAAAAAUUAUUUUAAUUAGAAAAUUUAGAAAACACAACUGUAAUAUCAUGUUUUGUGAAAUUAAAUAUUUUGAUUUAUAUUUGUCUAUUGAUUUUUCCAGUUUUUAUUUUGAGUCAUCAUUUAUGGUUUUUUUUCACUUAUUAAGACACAUAAUUCUUAAUUUAUUUAACUAUAUUGUGUAUAAAUUUUUUAAUUUUCACUUAAAAAUUUUUUAAAUAAAAAAUUUAUUGAAGAAAUCUAUAUAUAAUUUUUUUUAAUUAAAACAAUUUAACUUUUGGUGAAGCUGUGAUCAAAUAACUAAGUCUAUGUACUAAAAUGAGUGGCACUUAAAGGUUCACAUGUCUUAUCUUCCAAGCAAGAAGAGACAAUAAAAGUAGUAGGUGGUGUUCUUUUCUUCAGCUGUAAAUAGAUGAAGAGAUUAAUAUCAAAAACAUGGACAAAAAUUGAUGUGGACCCACACCACUUUGAUUAUUCUUCAUUUUCUUCGUUUUUCCUGUAUUUCACUACUUGAUGAUUCAAAAUUUAUCUAUUUAAAACAAUUUAAUUUUUUAAAAAUAUUUUUAAAAUACAAAAAUAAAAAGGUAUUAUUAUGUCAUAUUGCUAAAUUUAUUCUGACGUUAUUCACAAGAGAAUUAUAUAUUCAAUUUGUUAAGUGUUAGCAAUGCAAAAGAGACAAUGAGAAGUGCAAAUUAUUUGUAUUUUAUAAUUUUUUUUAUUUAAAAGCUUGCAUCAAUGUUUUUUUUUUCAAUUUGAAUACUUAUAUUCACAGAAUUUAAUCAAUAAAAUAUCUUCAUUAGUUUUAUUAUCAAAAUGAUGAUGUCAUAGUUAACUCUUUUUAGAUUAGUCUGGAUUGCUUUUAUUUUAUUUUUAAUGUAUGAACAAUAAAGAUAUAUAAAAUGCUUAUAAUUUAUAUUUUUUUUAUUCAAGUACUCUAAUUGAUUUUAUUUUUCUAUUUAAGUACUUGAUAAACUAAUGUUUUUCCAUAAAUUUGUUUACAUUGAUUUCUCUAAUAAAAGUAUAUAAAAAAAUUCAAUAAAACUAUAUUUUAUUAAUAGAUUUGAACUUAAGUGUUGUUACCUAUUUUUAGGACCCCACACAAAAAAGGAGAAAAUACAAAAAGUAAGAGUCGAAAAAAAUUAAAUAAAUAAUAAUAAAUAAAUAAAAAUAUAUGUCGCAGUGAGAAAAGCUGUUGGACAGCCCAAAAUGGCUAAAAAUUGGUUGAGAGGUUAAAAAAUACAAAGAUUGAAAUUUGACAGUAUAUCGUUGACUAAUGAGAGCCAUGUUGACAAAGAAAAUUCAUUUAAAAAAAAUAUAUCCAAAAUCAUAUGUUUAUGGACUAAAUUAAAUUUUAUUGAGGGUUUAAUUGAAUUUAUGGAGGGUUUGAUUGAAAGAAAAAUUGAGUUUUAUGUUGAUUUAGGCUUUUAUUGGAAGAAAUUAAAGUUCUAAGGUACAAUUAUAAUUUUGAAGAGUUGAUUAGGUCAAAUCAGGAGUUUAAUUGCAUAAUUAUUAAAGUUUUAUGGGCAAUUAGGGACUUGAUUGAAAAAAUACAAAACCAAGGACCAAAUCAAAAAAGACACGUAAAUAGAGAGGCUGCAAUUGACCAACUCAAGGGCUAAAUUGAAGAAAUUAGAAAUUUAUUGAUCAAUUGAGGGUCAAAUUGCAUGAAUCUAGAACCAAAGAUUGUCUUGUAAAUGGGGCUAAAAUCUAGGGAUCGAAUUACAAUUUAUGUGAGGGCUUAAUUACAAAAUUGCAAAAAAUCCAAUGACCAAAUCGAAAAUAUUCAUUUUGAAUUUUAAAACGGUACCGUUUCCUUGACAACUGUUCAUUACCUUCUUCAUCAACAACGGUUUCUACAGUAAAAGGCAGUGAAGAUGUUAGCGGUGGAGUUGCUUCAAUCAGGGGAGCAUGUCUCACAGCUGAUAUCCUUCUCCACCAUGAUGCACUCCGGCCGUUACAACCUUCCUGCAAUAAAUCCCGAAAAGCAUGCAUCCUCUCGCUAUAAAAAGCCAGAGGAGAGACGGACAGAAAAAAAAAGGAGACAAGGAGGGAGAGCCAGCAGGACAAGAGAGAAAGUGGGAUGUAGCACGAGAGGGAGACAGAAACGAGUAGAAGGAAAGAAUGUAAGCAGAGGAAAUCAUUGAGACUAGAACCAACGUUGCCAUCGUCUUCGUCAUUUCAAAAACCAGAGAUGAAGAAGAAGAAGAGUGCAAAUAAGAAUUGAACGAAAAGGAGAAUCAGAAACGAAAACAGUAGCAUAAGGAAAGAAAGAAACGUUGCCCGAUCAAAGCACUGAUCACCAUCAACUUUGUCUUCAUCUUCAGGCAGCAGCUCCAGGGGACGUUUGAGAGGACCAGAGAGGGAGAGAGAAUAAAACAGGGAACAAGAGGAAGAACAGAGCAGAAGAGAAAAAAAGUAGAAGGGAAACGCAGAGAAAGAAAGAAGAACCAACGGCCAGUCAGCACCACGGUCCGCAGCCACAACACUGUCCACCGCCACUGGCAGCACCGCUAGGCCGUAGGUCUGCUUCUUCCUCUUCCUCCUCUUCUUCUUAGUCUUCUCCAGGCCGCUCCACUGUUCACGUUGCAUGUGAACAGUAGAGAGUCUCUCCACUGUUUGUUUUAGUUUUUUGACCCAGACAACGCCUACCUAGUAAAAAAAAAUCAUUUUAAAAAAUCUGUGAUUUUCCCGCAUAUUUUUUUAUUGAAUUUUUCUUAGUAUUGAUUUGUAUUUUUAUAUCGUAAAGAUACAAAUUUGGAAUUAAAAUAUCCAAUUUUUGUCAAAACAUACUGUUCACGUUGCAUGUGAACAGUAGAGAGUCUCUCCACUGUUUGUUUUAGUUUUCUGACCCGGGCAACGCCUACCUAGUCAAAAAAAAAUAAAUUUCUUCAAAAAAAAUCAUUUAAAAAAAUCUGUGAUUUUCCCGCGUAUUUUUCUAUUGAAUUUUUCUUAGUAUUGAUUUGUAUUUUUAUACCGUAAAGAUACAAAUUUGGAAUUAAAAUACCCAAUUUUUUUCAAAACAUUGAAAAAUAAAAAAAAAACAUGUUUUUAUUUUCAUGCAUACGACCAAGUAUCUCAAAGAAAAAAAAUCAUAUCAUAUUUUCAUACAAAAAAAAUUCAAAAAUAUAUAUUAACAUGCAUUUUGGUUUUAAUAACUAGUUUAUUAAAGUCACGAGAACUAGGCCAAUAUUUCAAAAAAUCCAAAAAUAUUUUUUUUUCUUUUAGUAUUUGGGGUUACGACCUUAUACGUAAGAUGUAUUCCAGAUAUUAAAUUCUUUUGUUGACGUUAAAACAGUUAGGUUUUAUUCGAUAAGAUAAGGAUCUUCUUAUCGAGAAGGAUAUUAAAUUCUAACCAAUCAUUACUAAAUUGCUAUUGGUAUAACUAUCUCUUGCAAAUGGCAGCGAGGAGUUUAGGCUUCUAUGAAGCAAGGUUGUCAAUUCCAUUUUAAUUGGUGUUUUAUUUUUUUUAAUUGUAACAAUAUAUUUUUGUUUUUGAGUAUUUUGAUGUGUCAUUUUGGAUUGUUCUAUAUAUACUUUGGACUCAUCAAAUCGAAUGGGUCAUAUCGAUUUAACUCUUUAUUUUUACGUAUAUUUGAAAUUUAAAUUGUAUAAUUUCAAGUUAGUUUAUUUUUAAAUGUCAAUUAAAAUUAUGUUUGUUAAAAAUAUUGAGACAACGACAUAUUGGAUUGACUCGGAUUAAUCUAGGUUAAUCUUUUAAAUCCGUGACCCAGAUCAUGAGACCAUAAUAAUCCGAAAUAAAAACAAAUUAUGAAUCUCAAUUUUUAAUAAACCUAUUGUUGAAUUAUGAAAUUGAAAAAACAAAUCAAUCUAAAAAAAGACACAAAAAAUGACCUUACGAAACCAAAUUAUAAAUUUAAAUAAAAUUAUGAAAAUGUCAUCAGCAAUCUCACAAAGUCUUUCUAAACUCUAAUUGUUCUAAAAUUUUAAUUUGCGAUAUAAAUAUAUGUUAGGAGAUUCCUCAUAAAAUUUUAGUCUAAUUCAACAGUCGAAUUGAGAGAUAUAAUUAAUACCAUAAAACUAGACUAUAAUUUUUUUUAUAAAAGUAAAACAAUACAUUAUUUGAUCAUAAUAGAAUGGCUGGAAUAGAACCAAAAUAUUCCGGCAAGAAUUUAGGUGAAAUUCAUGAAAUAAGAUAAGAGUCUAAACGAGAUGAAAUAUCUUCUAAUUUAUUCCAUUGUUUAAAUUGAAAUAAAAUAUACUUGCCAUUAUAGAUGUGACAUAAUAAAAUUAAAAACCAUAGCGUUUUAGAGCCCCAAGCGUACGGCCCCAUCUCGUGGGAAAAAAUUGCAUGAUGACAAUGGUAUCACUGACCCAUCUCGUGGUGUAUAAUUUGUUGCAAUGUCUUGAUCUCCAUCAAAAUCCUUUUUGUUUUGAAAAGGACUUUAUAUAUAUUAGUUUUGAAGUUUUGAGAUAUAAGUUCAUAGCUCUUAAAGACAAGAAAUAUACCAAAAGAUUUAAAACUAUUUUAUACUUCAUUAAAAUAAAUAAAUAAAUUACUUAUAUGGUUACAAUAUUUUUUUCUUAUGAGAAUAAAUUGAUUUCAUGUGUUAAUAACAUUUAAGGAUUUCUUCCAAUCAAAUAAUCAAAUUUAUUUUAAUUAAAAAGUUUCCAAUCAAUAACAACAUUCCCAAUUGAACCAAAGUAUUUCCACGAACCCAUCUCGUGGAAAAAAUGCAUGAUAGCAACGGUCUCAGGGACCAAUGUGCAAAUGGAAAUGGUCUCACGAACUCAUAAAUGCUUACGGGGCAAUGGUCUUAUAGACCAUCUCAUUGGCGUGGAAAAAAUUGCAGAUGGCAAAAGUCUCACAAACCCAUCUCACACUGCAAAUUCCCAUCCAUUUUACGUGUUGGUUGUGUUACAAAAAGAAAACUCUUUAGAAAGAAAAAGAAGAAGAUUUAUUGUCAUGACAAUGACAAGAAGUAAUUUAGAAAUAAUUCAAUCUAAAAAAGAAAUAAAAAAUGACAUUUCGUAACAAAAUUAUAAAUUUGAAUAAAAUUAUGAAAAUAUCAUCGAUAAUUUCACAAAGUUUUUCUAAACUCUGAUUGCCUUAAAAUUUUAAUUUGCGAUAUAAAUAUAUGUUAGGAGAUUUCUCGUAAAAUUUUAGUCCAAUCCAACAGUCGAAUUGAGAGAUAUGAUUGAUACCAUAAAAUUAGACUAUAUUUUUUUUAUAAAAGCAAAACAAAAUAUUAUUUGAUCAUAAUAAAAUGGCUGGAAUAUAAUCAAAAUAUUCUAGUUAUAAUUUAGGUGAAAUUCAUAAAACAAAAUAAAAUUUUAAAAAUGAAAUAUCUUCUAAUUUAUUCUAUUUUUUAAAUUGAAAUAAAAUAUACUUGUUAUUCUAGAUGUGAUAUAAUAAAAUUAAAAACAAUAUCUUUUAGAGCCCCAAGCAUACGGCCCGAUCUCGUGGAAAAAAUUGAAUGAUGACAAUGGUAUCACGAGGAUAAUUUGUUUCAAUGUCCUCUCCAUCAAAAUCCUUUUUGUUUUGAAAAGUUGUAUAUAUAUAUAUAUAUAUCAUCCAUGGCCGUCUUCGAGAAAUCACAUGAGAAACGCACAGUUUCGUUGAUUAAUCAAACAAUUAAUUAAUAAAUAAAUAGUAAAAUGGUAAGACCAAGACUUGUGACUAUGACUGGCAAUGACAGGUUUGGCCCUUCACAUGACAGGAUAAAUAGAAAGCUUGUUGACCAGUAAUCAAAUGCAAACACACCACUCAAAAUGGCAACGACAUUUUCCCUUUUCUAUGCGCACUGCCAAACAGUCCCUUUACAUGUCAUUUUCACCAUCCCUCUCUUUUCCACGUGCUUUUCAGGAUUCAAAAUACGUGUUUAGGAAUAUUGAUGAAAAAUUAAAUAUAACCAGAAAACAAAUACAGUAAAGCAUUCCCAAUUAAACCAAAGUAUUUCCACGAACCCAUCUUGUGGAAAAAAUGCAUGAUGGUUGGAAGAGGAUGUCUCACAGCCUCUCCUCGAGAAAAAAUGCAUGAUGGCAAAGGUCUCAGGACCAAUGUGCAGAUGGAAAUGUUCUUAUGGACCCAUCAUUGCACACCCAAGAGAAUGCUUUUUUUUUUUUAUUAUUAUUAUUAUUAUCUUUCUUUCAAAAGAUAAGGUAAUUGGCUGUCGUGUGAUUUUUACAUGGCUUGUGUGUUUUGACUUUUAGCAUUCUUUUAGAUUCUUUUUGUUUCAACCCUCUAUCAAUUCAAUUGAAGCUUAUGAAGAACCCCAAUUGUUAGUGUUUUGACUUUUAGCAUUCUUUUAGAUUGGCUUGUGGUGUUCCUCCAAGAUUCUGCAUAAGGAAAUCACAAGGAUAUCACUGCAUGGUUGUGUUUAAAAAUCAAAAUGGCACACAGCAAGUCAAGCAUCCGUGUUCACGACCUUUCUUGGCAAUAUCCAUUGUCUCAUCAAUUACUUAAGAUUUGUGGAAGAUAUGAUACAAGAGAUAAGAAAAUAAUUGCUAUUAUCCACAAUUUCUCUGUUAUAUAUAUAUAUAUAUAUAUUAGACGGAGUUCCCAUUAGAUAAUCAAUAAUGUAUAUAUUAUUCUUGGAGAAGUAACUCAUUAGAUAAUCAAUAAAGUUUUUUUUUGUUCAUUUACCACUAGUUUACACUUCAAUCAAAAACUAAAUUUGCUUUUACUACUAUUUUAAUUUUUAAAAAAUAUUUUAUAUUGUUUUAUAUUGUUUAAUGCAUUAAUUUCAAGAAAUAAAUUCCUUUUAUCCUAAAAUCUGGACUUGAAAAACCAGAUUUAUUUUAUAAUUAGGGAGAAAACUAGAAAAUUGACUAGUCUUCUCAUUCUAAUAAUAUAAAUGGUAUGUCUUUGACUCAAUUGAAAAAAAAAUAUUUAAUAUUGAAAUGUAAUAAAAACAAGUCAAGAAUACCUUUCCGAACAUAAAAACAAAAGUGUGUGUAUAAAUGUUAUGUAUUUGAAGUUUUUGUGUAUAAUAUUAUAGCCACACAAUCCACAGGGAUAAGAUUUAUAAUUAUUCCGUGUUUAUUAUUAUUGAUAAUUUAUACAUUUAAUUAUAUACAUGAUAGUGAGAUGACACCAUGCAAGUAGGCUCCUAAAUGAUUCUAAAUUAUAACGAGAAAAGUACAAUUAUAAAGUUAAAAAGAUCUUACGCGGAAUCACAUUUAAUUAUAAUUCGCAUCCGAGUAAAUACCUUCACAAAUUAAUAUAAUAGGUUUUAAUAUUUAUAAAAUGAAAGAUAUUAAGAGUUGAUUAAUAUUGUUAAGCCAUAUAUGUUUAUAAAAGUCAUUUCUUUUUAAACCACAUGAUAUGUUUACAUAUUUGCAAUAUGUACAUAUUUUGAAUUUAAUAUUAGUAAUUAUAAAAUUUAUAUAAUUAAUAAAAACUGCUCCACUUUUGUUCUCUUCUCUUUCUUCCAUUAUUGUUUUUUUUUUCUUUUGAACUGCCUAGUCUCUCUUUCUUUUCUGUUUUCCAUCUUUCAAUCCUUCAAUAUUCAAAAUACAUAGCACGUUAGGAAUAUUAAUGAAAAAUUAAAUAUAACUAGAAAACAAAUACAAAAAAAAUGAUAUUCUUGUAGAAAUAAUAUCAUUAAUUUGUGGUUCAUUUUAUCAACGAUACUCUUUGAUUUUGCCAUCACCAUCAAAAUUAAGACAUUAUUUUAAUAUAAUACAAGUUUUUGGUUGAUUACUUUUAUGCAAUUCAAUUUUUUUUUCUAUAAUGUGGUUUUAAUCAGUGUUAUUAAAUUUAAUUUAAGCCUAACAACGUUAUUAAAUCAUGAAGUAUUGCAACAAUUUGUUUAUUUUUUUUAUAAAUUGGAUAAUUAGAAACCAAAAUAUAAUUAAAUGCAAAUAGGCUAAGUGCUAAACAAUAAAAUAAAAUAAUAUUCAAAUCCAAGAAUAUUCCAACCCUAAAUUAUGACGAGAGAAGUACAAUCAUAAAGUUAAAAAGAUUUUACACGGAAUCACACACGAAUGUCGAUAACAAUGUUGAAGUACUGCAACAAUAUUAUAUAUAUAUAUAUAUAUAUAUAUAUAUAUAUAUAUAUAUAUAUAUAUAUAUAUAUGAAAAAAAUGAAGUUGCAAUUGCUAAAAAUUUAAAAAUCUUAUAAAUAAAUCAACUAAAAAUUAAUCUCAUAUGAAAAAAAAAAUCUCACAACAACAUUUAUACAAUUAUUAAGAACAAAAACAAUUAAAAAUAAAAUAAAAAACAAAUAUAGUGAAAAAAAUCAUGAAAAAAGAAGGAAAAAAUUACCUUAAUUUAGUUGCAAGUGAAGCUAAGGAGAGAAAAAAAAAUUUCGUAAAGCAUAUUAAUUAAAAAUAAACUAAGAGGAUAAAAGAAGAAAGAAGAAGAAGACAUACCCGAGCAUGGAGGAAAAGAGAAGGAGAUGAGGAGAGAAAAGAAGAGAAAGAAAUAGAUAUUGAUGUUUUUUUACAUAUAAUGAAGAAGUAGAAGAAGAAGAAAAAGAAGUAGAAGAAGAAUAAUAAGAAAUGAGUCUGUCUCUUGUGAAAUAAGAGAACUCAAGCUUUUUAUUGGGACGCGUUAGCGACGGAUUUACCGACGGAUAAUUGAAUAUUAAUAUUUUUUAAUUAUUCCAUCGGUAAUUCCAUCGGUAAUAUUUAAUUUCAAUUUUCAAUUUUGUAAAAAGUUUUCAGAAACUGCCAACAAUUACCGAUGAUUUUUCAAUCCGUCAAUGAUUCCGUCUGUAAUAUUUAAAUGAAAAUUUUAAAUCAAUUGAAUUUUUUCAGAAAACCGUCAAAUAACACCGAUGACUUUUCAAUCCGUCGGUGAUUUUGUCCGUAAAGAACAACAAUUAACAGUGCAAUUGGAAAGUGAACAGUUAUGGAGCUCUACGGAAAAUUCCGUCGGUGAUUCCCUUUGUAAUUAACAUGAUGAACAGUGUUCACAAUUUACCAACGGAUUUACCGACGGAUUUUAUUCCGUCGGUAAUUCCGUUGGUAAAAAUGACACAUCAUUGUUUUUUUUUGCUUUAUUUUAAUUUUUUUUCCCACUGUAAUUCCCUCGGUAUAUACCGAGGGAAUAUUUUCGUCGGUAAAAUCUCUCGAAAAUUUAUCGACGGAAAUAUUUCCUUGGUAUUUCUGUUUGUAUUUAUCGAUUUUCUGGUAGUUUACUGCAACAAUUUUUUUAUUUUAUUUUUUUAUAAAUUGGAUAAUUAGUAACCAAAAUAUAAUUAAAUGCAAAUAGACUAAGUGCUAAACAAUAAAAUAAAAUAAUAUUCAAAUCCAAGAAUAUUCCAAAAAGAAUUAAAAUAAUAUUCAAAUCUCAAAACAUGGAACCCUAAAUUAUGACAAGAGAAGUACAAUUAUAAAUUCAAAAAAAUCUUACACGGAAUCACACACGAAUAUCGAUAAUAAUGUUGAAGUACUACAACAAUUAUUUUAUUUUAUUUUAUUUAUAUAAAUUGGAUAAUUAUUAACCAAAAUAUAAUUUAAUGCAAAUAGACUAAGUGCUAAACAAUAAAUUAAAAUAAUAUUCAAAUCCUAGAAUAUUCCAAAAAGAAAUAAAAUAAUAUUCAAAUCUCAAAACAUGAAACCCUAAAUUAUUACGAGAGAGAAGUAUAAUUAUAAAAUCAUGAAAAAAAUCUUACGAAUGUCCACAAUAUUUUUUUUUUAAAAUUGGAUAAUUAGUAACCAAAAUAUAAUUAAAUACAAAUAGACUAAAGGCCGAACUGAACAAUAAAAUGAAGGCCGAACUGCACAAGAUAAUAUUCAAAUCUAUAUUAUCGACAAAUACACCAUAAAGGCCGAAGUGUCAGGCUUUCGCACUUCUAGGUUAAUUCCGUUGGAUCAUGUUGAAUUGUCAACAAUGGUGCGAGGUACUCUAGGAUGCUUAGACCCUGAGUACUUGCACACAAGCCAACUGACGGACAAAAGUGAUGUUUACAGUUAUGGAGUGGUUCUUGUGGAACUACUAACUGGGAUGAAGGCAAUUUCCUUCGAUAAGCCCGAGGGCCUUUAAGUGCUAAACAAUAAAAUAAAAUAAUAUUCAAAUGCAAGAAUAUUCCAAAAAAAAAAAAUUCAAAUCCAAGAAUAUUCCAAAAAGAAAUAAAAUAAUAUUCAAAUCUCCAAACAUGGAACCUGCACAAGAUAUGCAGAUAAAGUCAAGGAAAUUAAAUGGCCAAAGUGUAGUAUAAAUAGGACCUCUAUGGUUGCCCAAAGGCACAUAACAAACAACAAUAUUCUACGUAGUACGUAGUUCAUAGAAUUAUCUAAGAUGAUGAUGAAAAGAAUGGGGACUUGGAUGUUGCUAGCAUUAUUGACUUUGGUUGGCGAAUGGCAUGGUCGUUGUUAUGGGUGUUUGGAGGAAGAAAGGGUUGGUCUCUUGGAGAUCCAAUAUUUGAUCGACCCAAAUCACGUUUCCUUGAGAGAUUGGAUGGACAUCAAUAGUAGUUGUUGUGAGUGGGAUUGGAUCAAGUGUGAUAACACUACAAGGCGAGUGAUCCAACUCUCUCUUGGCGGAGAAAGGGAUGAGAGCUUGGGCGAUUGGGUUCUCAACGCAUCUUUGUUUCAGCCUUUUAAAGAAUUGCAAAGUCUUGAUUUGGGAAUGACUAGUUUGGUUGGUUGCUUGGAGAAUGAAGGUUAGUUCAAUGUUUCUGCACUUAAAUAUAAUAAUAAAAUAAAUCAAGGUUGGUUGGUGUUUAAUGUCAAUUAUCUUGCUUUGAUGAUUCUCUUCCAGGCUUCGAAGUCCUAUCAUCAAAACUGAGGAAUCUUGACCUAAGUGCUAACGGAUUUAAUAAUGAUAAAAGCAUUUUGUCAUGUUUCAAUGGUAACCUUUCCACUCUCAAGUCUUUGGAUCUAUCAGCCAAUGGGUUGACAGCUGGAUCAGGUAGCUUCUAUGGUAACCUUUUAAUUAUUUAGCUUCGAAACCUUUUCUUAAUUUUAAGUUUUUUUUAUCUUGUUUUGUAAGUCUAUCAUAACUUAGCUUCCAUCUUUAAUUAAAUAUGCGUUCUUUGAAGUGUAUCAUUCUUUUUAUGUAUAAUUUGAGAAUCAUAUAUCAAUUGAACAACAGCAUCUCAUCAUUUCUAAUUAUCUUUAGUUUCUAUCUAUUAUGCAUAUCGUGAGCUCAUCAUGACUUACUCUUAGAAACAACUCUCUUGCAGGUUUUGAGAUCAUAUCAUCAAGAUCAAGAUCACACUUAGUUUCACUACUUACUUGAUUGCCUGUUUUCAAUUCUACACAUCAUAGGUUUAAGGAAGCUGGAAUUCCUGCAGUCAUUGCCAUCCCUGAAGACCCUAUCUCUCAAGUAUACUGAUUUAAGUCAAGGUUAAUCAUAGUUUAGUUUCUUAAAAUCUUAAUUAAUAAUAUUGAAUGGAAUGACUAUUCUGUACCACCACUAUUUUCAUCAUAUCUUUUUUCUUCUUCUUUCUUUUUAACAGGGACUUUCUUCAAUUCGAGCACCCUUGAAGAAUUGUAUCUAGAUAAUACUUCUCUCCGAAUAAACUUUCUCCAGAACAUUGGAGCAUUGCCUGCUCUUAAAGUUUUGUCUGUUGCUGAAUGUGACCUCCAUGGCACCCUACCCGCUCAAGGUAAAUUAACAACUCUCCAUCCGCCUAUAAUUACAUCAUCAAUAAAAGAUUCUUUCAACAUUGUUUUGACUGUUUCAAGAUAAAUUAAACAGGUUGGUGUGAAUUGAAGAAUCUGAAGCAAUUAGAUCUCGCUAGAAAUAAUUUUGGAGGUUCACUCCCAGAUUGUUUGGGGAACUUGUCAUCUCUACAACUAUUAGAUGUUUCUGAAAACCAAUUUACUGGAAAUUUUACGUCUGGUCCCCUUACCAACCUCAUAUCCCUUGAAUUCCUCUUACUAUCAAAUAACCUCUUUGAAGUUCCCAUUUCAAUGAAGCCUUUUUUGAACCACUCAAGCCUCAAGUUCUUCUCUAGUGAGAACAACAGACUAGUAACAGAACCUGUUGCCUUUGAUAAUUUGAUUCCAAAGUUCCAACUAGUCUUUUUCCGUUUGUCAAGUAGUCCAACAUCGGAAGCACUCAAUGUAAUUCCCGACUUCCUCUAUUACCAAUUGGACUUAAGAGCCCUUGAUCUCUCCCACAACAACAUCACCGGAAUGUUUCCAUCGUGGUUGCUUAAGAACAAUACACGAUUGGAGCAACUAUAUCUGAGCGCCAACUUCUUUGUUGGUACUUUACAGUUGCAAGAUCACCCAUAUUCGAAUAUGGUCGAAUUAGAUAUUUCCAACAACAACAUGAGCGGUCAAAUUUCAAAAGAUAUUUGUUUAAUCUUUCCAAAUCUAUGGACCUUAAGGAUGGCUAAGAAUGGAUUCACAGGUUGUAUUCCUUCUUGUUUAGGAAAUAUUAGCUCUCUUUUAUUUUUAGAUUUAUCCAACAAUCAAUUGUCUACAGUACAACUAGAACAACUAACAAUACCGGUUCUCAAGCUGUCAAACAACAGUUUGGGUGGGCAAAUACCGACCUCGGUGUUCAAUUCUUCUACCUCACAAUUUCUCUACCUAAAUGGUAACAACUUUUCGGGUCAGAUAUCAGAUUUUCCAUUAUAUGGGUGGAAAGAAUUGAAUGUAUUGGAUUUGAGUAACAAUCAAUUUUCAGGCAUGCUUCCGAGGAUCUUUGUUAAUUUUACGGACCUUAGAGUACUUGAUUUGUCCAAAAACCAUUAUAAGGGUCCGAUCCCAAAAGACUUUUGUAAGCUUGGCCGGCUUCAAUAUUUGGACCUUUCUGAGAACAACUUGUCUGGAUAUAUACCAUCUUGUUUCAGUCCACCACCUCUAACCCAUGUGCAUCUAUCCAAAAAUAGAUUGAGCGGUCCAUUAACAUAUGGAUUUUUUAACAGCUCUUACCUGGUUACGAUGGAUCUUAGAGACAACAGCCUCACCGGCUCUAUUCCAAAUUGGAUUGGCAAUCAUUCAUCAUUGAGUGUUCUUCUUCUGAGGGCUAAUCACUUUGAUGGUGAGCUCCCUGUUCAGUUAUGUUUGUUAGAACAAUUAAGCAUUUUGGAUGUUUCACAAAACCAGCUCUCUGGUCCACUACCCUCCUGUUUGGGCAAUCUUACUUUCAAGGAAAGUUCCCAGAAAGCAAGAAUGGAUCUCGGAGCUAGUAUUGUAUUAGAGUCCAUGGAAAAAGCUUAUUAUAAAACAAUGGGUCCACCACUAGUGGAUAGUGUGUACUUAUUGGGAAAGGAUUUUCGGCUUAACUUUACAGAAGAAGUGAUAGAAUUUAGAACUAAAAAUAUGUAUUAUGGGUACAAGGGGAAUAUUCUCAGCUACAUGUCUGGUAUUGAUCUCUCCAAUAACAACUUUGGAGGAGCAAUCCCACAAGAAUUUGGAAACUUAAGUGAGAUACGGUCAUUAAACUUAUCACACAACAAUCCCACUGAAUCUAUCCCUGCAACAUUCUCAAACCUAAAGCAGAUUGAGAGUUUGGAUCUUUCUUACAACAACUUGAAUGGUGUCAUCCCUCCACAACUUACUGAAAUUACCACAUUGGAAGUUUUUAGUGUGGCGCACAAUAACUUAUCAGGUUGGACACCCGAGAGAAAAUAUCAGUUUGGGACCUUUGAUGAAAGCUGUUAUGAAGGAAAUCCUUUCUUGUGUGGACCUCCAUUGCGAAAUAAUUGUAGUGUGGAACCAGUGUCGUCACAGCCAGUGCCUGAUGAUGAACAAGGAGAUGUUGGUUUCAUAGACAUGGAGUUUUUCUACAUCAGUUUCGGUGUAUGUUACACAGUUGUGGUGAUGACAAUUGCAGCAGUUCUCUACAUCAAUCCAUAUUGGCGACGCAGGUGGUUGUACUUCAUCGAAGACUGCAUAGAUACUUGCUACUAUUUUAUGGUGGCUAGUUUUCGCAAGUUCUCCAACUUCAGAAGGUGAAUUUGUUACUAGGGAGAUAAUCGUUUCUAGUUUGUCAUGAUUGUUUGUUUAGCUAUUGGGUGCUUAAUUUUGUAGUGUAUUGUCUCUACAUCAAAUAUAUAAGUGGGACUUCUCAUUCCUGAACUAUUAGGAAGGGAACUGAUUUGGAUUGGUCAUUGACUCAGCUGUGAUUACUCUUUCAACUCUCAAGACUUGUCUGAAAAUAAAUUGCCAGAACCACUACUAAGUAGAAACAAAAUAUUCUAUGCAUGUGAGCAACACUUACAUCUGCCAAUGUUUCAAGGGCGACCCCACCUUAGUUAUUCAAUCAAAGCAUUGAAAUUGGAGCAAGAAGAUCCACCUCAGUUAUUCAAUCAAAGCUUGGAGUGGUCGCUGAUUAAGGCUACCUGUCAAAACGCUGAAGAUUUGCCCGCAGCAUGUAGGAAUCAAACCAAAACCCCUUUUAAGAAAAUUUAAUCUGCCUGUCGAAACGCUAAAGAUUUGCCCGCAGCUUGUAGGAAUUAAACCAAGCCCCUUUUGAGAAAAUUUAAUCCCUGUCGAAACACUGAAGAUUUGCACUCAUAAAAAUCUGCCUUGUGUUUUGAAGAAACACCUCCCUUCUGUUUCCUCAACAUUUCAGGUAAUGUUUGAUGUUUGAUGCUCCAGGCAGGAAAAAGGACAAAAUUCUAGAAGAGAUGAUUCAACAUGACAAGCUCAAAUAUUUUGGCUUAAUAUUUUGCUUGGAUUUGUAGUAAAUCCUGUGAAAUUUUUGCUACAAUAUCAUUCUCUCUUCCCCCUUUGCUUUUCUUAAAAUCUCUCGUCCCACAUCAUCAUAAUUGGUUGUGACAUAGAAACCCCAGAUAAAGAUGAAAGAGAACCAUGCUGCAAGCUUGACAUAUUGUUCUGCUGCAUUGUUGGUAUAGAACCUUGCACAUUCAUUGAUGGCAACUGGGUAUUCAGUUGAUUUUCAUGGGACUGCAAUUGAGGAACUGGAGACUGGGAUUGCUGCAUAGGUUGCACAUGAGGCUGGGGAAGUUGUCCUAGCUGUAGAUUAGGAAUUGGCUUCCUGAAUCUGCUUGGGUUCAGAAAACUUACAAUAUGCUUCUCAUUGGAACCCAAUUUCUCCUUGAAACUAGGUGUGAUGUUGUUUUUAGAGACCUGUAAGAAUGUUAUCAAGCGCUCCAACAUGGCCUUGAAUACCUCCAGCUUUUCAAGCUGUUCUGACUUCGGUUGUUGCGGAUGAGAGUCAUGCUGGAAUGCAAAGUUAACAUACAUGAGAAUUAAAAAUUGCAUUGAUCCUUUGUAGCAAAACAUUAGGGAAAAAAAAUGUUUCUAUUCCAAUUCUUCUGUGUCGAUGCAUGGUUGAAUGCAAAAGCUCAACUUGGGGAAAUUGCAGAUAAUCAUGCGUGUACAGAUAAUCCGGAAGAAAUUGCGGAGACAAUUUACCUGCUGUAACUUGGCAGCAAUUCUUUGAUACAUUUAAUUUAUUUCAGGGAAAUAAGUCUCCUUCAUGACUUUGAUCUAGGAAGUACACAUAACCAGCAAAGCAUUAUCGGUCAUAUGCUUGAUUUCUUUAGGUGCCAGUCAGAAAGAAAGUAACACAAACAAACUUAAGAGAAUUGAAAAAAAAAAAAAGGGUAGAGGACAUCAUAAAUUAGUUGAGAUAAAAAUAGCAGAGUGGAAUUAACGCGGAAACUCAAGAGGAUGCCGAUAUUGAUGGAAUGGAAAGAUGCAAAGGGCUGUGUAAGUACACCUUUAGACAAGAUUCAGGGGCUGGUUGAGUUCAGUUACUUUGUCUCCCUGAAAACUACUCAUCAUUGUUUUCUGCUGUUCUAGCUCAAGUCAAUGGAUGUCGCAACUUUAACAACGCUUCUUAGCCUUAGAUCCUAAGCAUGACCCCAUGUAUCAUUAUCAACAACCAUUCUUAUUCCCGUUUUAAUACUCUCCUAAGCACAAAAAAAAUGUCCUUAUCAAAUAUGCAGUUAUGAGUUGAGACAUUCAGAAUUUCAACCACAUUUUCUAUAAAAUUCAACAAUACUGGAUAUGGUCAUGAUUCAAUGGAAUAAGUCCCACUUAAUUUCUUUUUCUUCCAUUGUCACAUGUUUCAGAACAAGUUGAUUGCAAUCGUGCAAAUAACUCUUCACUUAACCAGAGAUAAACUGUAAGUCAUUCAGAAAUAGUGCACUCUUAUUUUUAAGUCUGUCUAAUGCAAGUACGGACAAUAGGGGAAAAAAUCGAAAGGGAGAGGUUUGCAAUAAAAAACUGCCAUGCCAGAACCAAGAAGCAAUCCUCUUGACCUAGAAAUCUGAAUGUUUUUACCUUCAUUCAUCUUAUCAAUGAUGAAUCAUUUCUUAGUUGCUGCAAUCAUGGAACUUACAGUGCUUCCUAACUAAUCCCAACCAUAGCUGAACAAAAUUCCUUGGACCCAUCCCAGGAGACCUUUUUCCAUUGAAAUCUUGCAAGACUAUGGCAUGAAUGAACAGUAAAUCAUAGAAAUUACCUUUUGAUAGAUCUGCUCUUGCCAAUCAGCACCAUUUGCAUGUCCAGUCUGUGCUGUAGAAUCUAAGGAUGCUACAAAAAUUUCAAUACGGGCAACAAAAGAUUAGAAUUCAUGUAUUUUUGUGUGUUUUCCAUAUACAAGGGUAUUUCUAUAAUUUUCACACUUGCUGAAAAUUAUGAAAUAUUGCAAGUCUCAGUUUUAAUUUAUUUUCCAUUUUGUAUUUAAUUAUUCCCAAAGUAUAGCGAGCUUCAUUAGGUUUUUUCUAUUCAAGAUAGGACUAUUAGUAUUUUCCUAUAUAGUCCUUUUUGUAUUAGGAACUUCAUCUAAAUGUUAUGUAAUCAUUCAAACAGAUGGAGAGACCCUAUAAAUUCAGAAUGAGAGGGUGAACAGUUGGUGCAAUGCACUGGAGGGUAUGAUGUGGUAACAAAUGCGUGUGUGAUUGCAAUGAUUUCAAUCAAGAUUGUUAAAAUCGCGAUUUUAACACGGCACGGAAAGCCGUUCACAAACUCGGAUCGUAAAAACGGAUCGUAAAAUCGUAAAAUCGUAAGGAAUUUUAAAAUAUAUAUAAAAAAAAAUUCAUGAUUUAAAUAAAAAUAAAGAUUUUUUUUUAAAUUCAAGGCAUUUGAAAUAUGUAGAUAAAAUAUAUUUCUUUAAUCUAAACUUUAUUUUCUUAUUAAUGCAUCUCUUAAUCAUUUUAAUGAAAAUAUUUUUUUUUAAAUUGCAAACACGAUUUUCUAAACAACAAUCUAUCAUAAUAUUAAAAGUAAUAUUUGCCUCCUGAUAAAUUUUGGUCCUUGAAUUUUAAAUUUUUUUUCAAGCAAUGAAACUAAAUUGUUUUGUUUAAAAUUGAGCAUUAACCCAAUGACAUAAUCUUUUUUGACAUUAAGAUAACCACUUAGAGAAAAAGUAAAAUAAAGUUUUAAGCUUAAUUCCUUGUGAACAUUACGUAGAAUAACAAAAAUGAAAAAUAAAUCAAUAAACAUAGUAGAAAAAAUUUAAAGGACGGAAAAAAAAAAUUAAAGGACGGGAAAAAAAAAAACAUUGUUGUUUCUCCUUUUAAUACCUCCUAGUAUACAGUAAAAACACCUUUAGAUAUUUUUGUUAAUAAUUGCAUGUUGUACAAUAUGCACAGAAGAAACCAAAACGUGAACGGCUUUCCGUAUUUUUCUUAAACCAAAUCCUAGGGAAAGCAAAUCGUGCCCGCGAAGCUUUUGCUCUUACCAAAGCAUCUGACAGCUGUCCAAGAGGGGGAGAUUUUGUUUCAGGGCCUCAUUUUAUCAAAAUCGCAAAAUCGGUCCUGAAAUCAUGAUUUUGCGCGAUUUCAUCCGAUUUUUGCGAUUUCACUUGAUUUCAACCCGAUUUUACCCAUUUUCAAUUUUUUCAAGCGAUUCAACCCGUAAUGCAUGUUUUGACUCGUAAAAUCGUACAAUUUUACGAGUCAAAACACGAUUUUAACAACCUUGGUUUCAAUAGCAGUGGCAUUACUAAUGCCAUAAAUGGCAGCAGUAGCACAUAAAGCUACCUAAAAGAGCAUUGCUGACUCGAACCAUUUAUAGUUAUUAAACCCGGACCGGCCUAGUGGGUUGACCCGGAACCCGGUAGCUAGACCGGUCCGGGUAAGGCAAAAGCCCGGGAUAAACAAAAACCCGGCAAAACUCAGUUAACCCGCAGGUUUGACCCAUGACCCUGGCAACCUAGCAAAACCCGGUUAGGAUCCCUUUUUUUUCAAAUGUAUUUUUUCUUCUAAUUAGAGACCCCUCUUUUUUUUUAUAUUUUUUAGUUCGUUAUUAAACCUUUUCAAAGUUUACUAUAUAAAGACUAGAAGAAUAUUUUAUUUUUUUAAUGUGGAAUUUGAAACCUUUUAGAAUAUAUAAUUCAUGUUCACAAGAAAAAAAAUGUUUUUUCAAUGUGAGAUAAAAAAAAUUUUGUUUAAAUACUUCAACUUAAAAGAAUAACAUACAACCAUAGUAUCUUUUCAAUGUAAGAUAAAAAACUUUUGAAAUAAUCUUUUAAACUUUAUUAUUUAUAACAUAUAUAAUAUAUAUUUACAUGGAUUGUUUCUUAAUUUUUUCAUAUAUAACAUUAAAACUUCAAAUAUUUUUUUAAAUUUUUUCUGGGUUGACUCGGGUCAACCUGUGUAACCUAGGACUCAGCUCCUUGACCGGGUCAACCCCGAAUCGGGUUUGAAAACUAUGUAACUAUUAUAUGAGGUGAACAGUUGGUGCACCGCACUGGAUGGCAUCGUGUGGUUACAAAUGCAUGUGUGAUUGCAAUAGUUCCAAUGGUAGUGGCAUUUCUAAUGCUAUAAGGGGAAGCAGUGGCACAUAAAGCUACCAAAAAGAGCAUUACCUGGCAUUUGUCUCUGAGAAUUGGCAAACAUAGUGGAGGGAAUCCCUUGUCCCAUUGAAUUCCCCACUGAGUUCUGUGAAACACCGGGGAUACUCUGCAUGUUCUGUGAUACCAACUGCUGACGUGCUUGAGACUGAUCUGUGGACGAUAGGAGAGGGAGAAACAGCCCUUGAUUCUGAACUUGAGGGGGCAUACUAUGGGAUGCUGUUCAAGAUAAAAGGCAAAAGGGAAAACCAUGUCAAAGAAAAAAACAAGGCACUGAACAAGGAAGACAAAUGAAACAUCGGCAGUUCACACAUAAAGUUAUGAGCGAAAGAAUUAGGAUGGAUUUGAUUCAAAGCAUAAAAGUGUCCUUUGACAAUUUUUGGGGUUGGGGGAAGAAUAGGUGGCUGAAAACAAAAAUAAUAUGACAAUUUUCAGGGUGGGGGAAAGAAAAGGAGGCAGAAAACAAAACAAUCUGUAAUAUUCUUGCCUAACAUUCAUCAAUUACUCAACUUUUUGAUUAAAGCAUGCUAAACACAUAGCAAUAUGCCGAAAUAAAAUGUAAAAGAGUUUGAUAACAAUGCGACAAACAAAACAAAAGGUAAGAUGUAUAGAAAUUCAAUGCACGACAGCAUUAUUUUAUACAAAAAAGGAUCAAAUACUUUCUCUCAGAAGAAAAGCAAGAAAGUGACGUCUUACCUCCUAAACAGGAAAAUCUUUAAAAUUUACCAUCUCAAUCAUAAAAUAUAAAAUAGCAAUGCAUCACAGUCCUUGUUCCUUAACAAGUUAAGGAUGAAACUCUUCACAUGCAUUACAGAAUUAGCAUCGUGGAGGUGAUCAUGAGAUUUUUCCAGCACGGCGAAAUACAUAGCAAUAUGCAGCAAUAAAAUGUAAAAGAUUUUAAUAACAAAGCAAGAAGAAAAACAAAAGGUAAGAUGUUUAGAAAUUCAAUGCUCGGCUGCAUUGUUACCUUCUGGAUCCAUGGGGGCAGCGGGCAUGGCGUUUUGUGACCUGAUCUCCAUCGAAAGCAUCUCAGAGAUAUUUUACGCAAAUAAUCAAACUGAAAUCAGAUAUCAAUAACAAAACAUAUUUACUUCUCUGAAAGAAUAAAUAUUGUAGGGAGCAAAUAGUGUAAAUAGAAAGGAAAAAACCACAUCCCCAAAAGAAUAAAGAAAUAACAGGAAAACAAAACAAAGUCAUAAACGAGGCUUUUCAAUCCCCAAUGAAUAUCAGCAGACUAAAUACCACAGCACAAAUAGAAGAUGAAUAUUUCAAAGAGGCCAGAAACACUAACCCAUCCCAAAGAGAUUGUCUAGGAUGUUUUAAUCUAGGAAAAAGAAGAAGAAAAUAACGAGUAUUAACAAUGAAUAUUUCAUGUUAUCAUUAACUCUAAAGAGCAGACUGAUAAGAAUCAACUUAACAAAUUUAUAGGCACAUCUUUCUUUGAAUAGACAACACAAUAACCCUGACCAGACUAAAUGCUCCACCCAUAGUAGAAUCUGCUGAUUGCGCCUUUCUUCGAGUUGCGUUCACGAGCAGCGAUUUCAUCGAUCCGAUUAUAUAUCUUUUUAAUUUACUUAUUAAAAUCGAAUUUCUCUCUCUGGAUAGUAAUUUCAAUUAAAUAAAUGAAAACGCAGACGUAAAUCUUUUUAAAAAAUCAAAAACAAAAUAGAAAAGGAAGCACCUGAUGGAGAUUUGAAGCCUUAUUGGUUGAGGUGGUAGCAGUUUCCGAGAGCAGAGGAGGGAAAGAGAGAGAGCUCAGGUGGGGAGAGGUGAGGAAUGUCUGACCAAAGUGAACUGUGCAGUGCGGUAGUUUUAAAAUAUAUUAAAAUAAUAUUUUUUUUAUUUUUUAAAAAUUAUUUUUGAUAACAUCACAUAAAAAUAAUUUAAAAACAUAAAAAAUAUAUUAAUUAAAAAAAAUAAAAAAAUUAAUUUUUUUAAAAAAAGCUUCUGAAAUGCAAUGACAAAUACACCCUAAAAGUAUGUUUGAGAUUGAAAUAACGAUGACGGUUUAAAAUGCUUUUCGUUUAAAAAAUUAUUUUUGACAUCAACACAUCAAAAUAAUCUGAAAUUUAAAAAAAAAUUAUUUUAAACAAAAAAAUAAAAAUUUUGAAAACUCUAACUAAAGGAAUUUUAUAUGUGUGUGUGUCCUGUGGCUUCACAGUCUUUACGGCGCUCCCAAAAAUAAUUUCAUGAACUAUUUAAAGUGAUCUAACAAUCUUAAAAUAAUUUAUUUUUUAAUAUAUUUGUUAUGUGUAUAUGUAUAUAUCUUCAAGAACAAAUUGAUUAAAUAUUGACAUAGAUUUAAAAAAAUAGUUUAAUUUUAAUAGGAAAAGUAAAAUGUGUAUAUUUUUUUUUUGUUAAAUUCCAUGACUAUGUUAAACUCCUUAUCGCUUGUUCUCUGUGUACUUGUUACAUUGAUUCUACAGGGAAAUAAAUUUUAUGUUGUAUUUUAAAUAUUGGUAUUUUUCUUUAAAAAGACAACUUUAUCCCCAUUAGCAAGACAAUCAUUUUGUGUAUAGAAAGAAAAAAAAUAAAUAUAUUGUACUAAUCCAUAGUGUUUUAUCUUAUAGUCUAUAAUGAAUCACUUGAAUCAUUUACCUGUUUUAGUUUUUUUUAAUUUUUAUAAUUCCACUUUGUUUUUAGUUCAUGUUUAGAUUUUUAGCAUGCAUUCUCAAAUCAAAUCUCUCUCCUCUCUUGUACAUGGAUAUUUUUUAAAACUUUUUUUUUCCUCACAAUCUAACAAUGUUGAAACUUUUUUUUUUUGCUUUUAAAUAAAUAGAAUAACCCAUAAUGCGGGUCACCUAUAUAGUUGGAUAUUAUAAUGGUGUUUCAUUUUUAUAUGAAUAGUGAAACACUUUAAUUUUUUAAAUUAGAUUUUUUUUUCUUUUUGAUUUGGUUUUGUUUUGUUUUGUUUUUCUUUUUACAAUUUAGUCCUUUUUUAUUUAAUUAUUUUUUGGCCUAAUUAUAUGAGAUAAAGUUUUCAAUUUAAUUAAAAAUAAACUACUAUACUAAAAAAUUUAUGUUUCUCUACCUUGAAUAUUUCAUGUUAUCAUCAACUCUUAAGAGUAGACUGAUAAGAAUCAACUUAACAAAUUUACAAGCAUAUCUUUCUUUGAAUAGACAACACAAUAACCCUGACCAUAUUAACCCAUGGUAGAAUCGGCUGAUUAUGCCUUUCUUCGAGUUGCGUUUACGAGUAGCGAUUUCAUCGAUCCGAUUAUAUGUCUUUUUAAUUUACUUAUUAAAAUCGAAUUUCUCUCUCUGGAUAAGAAUUUCAGUUAAAUAAAUGAAAACGCAGACGUAAAUUUUAAAAAUAAAAAACAUGAUAGAAAAGGAAGCACCUAGUGGAGAUUUGAAGCCUUAUUGGUUGAGGUGGCGGCGGAGGCGGCGGUUUCCUAGAGCGGAGGAGGGAAAGAGAGAGAGCUCAGGUGGAGAGAGGUGAGGAAUGUCGGACCAAAGUGAACAGAGCUUGACAGAUGACUUUAUUCUUUUCCAGAUUCGCUGACAAACUAAAGGAAUUGUAUUCUUGUGCUGCUUCACUGUUCAUAACUAACAAACUAAAACUAGAGGAAUAUAUUUAUGAGAGUGCUCAUUAAAACACGGUGCACUGUGUGUGAAUCAUGUGGCUUCACAGUCUUUAUCGCGCUCCCUCUUUGUUUUUCACGUUUCUUCUCGUGCGGUGGGUGUUCCCGCUCUUUCUUCUCGGCUGCUGAGGCUCCCUGGCGCCUUUUCAUCGACUUUGUCUGGUGCAUGUUCAGAUUGAGGCGGUUUGGCUAGUGCUAGGCGCGCGGGGAGAUGUCAGCCGACGGGUAAUCACCUGCAUCGGCUGGGAUGGCUUCAUUGAAGUUGUUCGCUUGUUCUGUGGCGGGCCUUCUCAUUAACUGAGACAAUUCUAACUUGUUUUUGUUAAUGAUUUUUUUUUUCUAAUUGAGACAUUGUUUUUGUUUUUAUAAACUCUUUUCUAUUAUAUUUUUUUUUAUCAAAGGUUCACUUUUAUUAUUGGUUGUAAUAUCAAAAAUAAAAUAUUAAAUAAAUCACGAAAUAAUAUUGUAAUUACACUAUUAACACUAAAGACCAGAAGAUAAAUUAUUUUAAGGUUAAAGAAUUCAUCAUUAUCUCAAUGUAAUUUUUAUUUCCGUUAUUGAUUUAUAUACAUGUUUUAUGUUAUGUGGAAACUUAACCAUUAUAGUAAAAAGGAACAAUAAUUUUAUGAACUAUUUAAGGUAUUCUAACAAUCUUAAAACAAUUUAUUUUCUAAAAUGUGUGUUUGUGUGUGUGUGUAUAUGAUGAUCCGGUUAUAUAUGGAAUAGAUAAUCUAUCGAGAACAAAUUGAUUAUAUGUUGACAUGGAUUAAAAAAAAUAGUUUAAUUUUAGUAGGAAAAGUAAAGUGUAUAUAUCUUUUAUUAAAUUCCAUAACUAUGUUAAAUUCCUUGUCGUUUGUUAUUUGUGUACUUGUUGCAUUGAUUGUACGGGGAAAUAAAUUUUAUGUUGCAUGGUAUUUUCCUCUGUUGUUGUGUUGAUAUGAAAAAAAAAUAGAAGAUCGGGGAAAAAAAGUUGCAUUAAUAUAAAUAUAAUCCGAAGGAUACAAUUAAUUUUUUAAAGGCUUGGCGUGAAUACUAAAGCAUAAGAGAGAGAAAAGAUAAGGAGGGAAAAAAACCUUUGACGCCGCCAAACCACUGCGAAUAUGACAACACACUCCACACCAUCAACUACAACUUCACAUUACACGUUGAACUAUCACACGUCUCCUUGAUGAAGUGGUGGCCUAUCAUGUGCUGACACGUGCUAUGCACAUGUUAGCCUUUUUAUUGAUUUAUUAAUAUUUUAAUACUUUAAAUUACUAAAUCGCUUCUAAGAGCAUCUAAAUAUUACAAACAAAAAGAAGCUAUAUUGCAAGGAUGAAAACGUUAUCCCAACCAACUUUAGAUUUUUUUUUAUUCUAAGAUUAACUUUGUCAUUUUACAAUACACAAAAAAUGAAAAAGACUAAAAAAUGCCUCUUGUCAAGGUCAAUAUUUUUGAACUCUCAAGGGUAUUAAUGUCAUUUUACUAUGCAAAUAAAAUAGAAUAGACAAAAAUACACCAUAAACAAAAGGUCAAUUGUUUUUUUGCUUGCAAGGGCAACAAUGUAGUUUUAGUGUGCAAAAAAGAAGUUAACCUUUUAAAUUUUCCCCAAUCAAUUUACAAAUAACCUUUCACUUGAAAAAGAUAACUUUACCUCGUUAGCAAGUCAAUUGUUUUUGUGUAGAGAAGGGCAAAAGGUAAAUAUAUUGUGUUAAUCCAUGAUGUUUUACCUCAUAAUCUAUAAUGAAUCAUUUGAAUCAUUGAUCUCUUUUAAGGGUUUUUUUUUAAUAUAUAAUUCUACUUUCUUUUAGUUCAUGUUUAGAUUUUUAGCGUGCAUUUUGAAAUCAAAUCUCUCUUCUCUUGCACGUAUAUAAUUGUUUUUAAAAUAUAUUUUUUUUAACAUUUGACAAUGCUUUUGCGUUAAAAAAAUUAGGAUAGCAGGUAAUGUAGGCCACUUGUCUAGUUAGGUACUAUAAUAGUGUUUCAUUUUUAUAUGAAUAGUGAAACACUUUAUUUUUUAAAAUUUUUUCUUUCUUUUUUAUUUGGUUUUGUUUUUUUUUUUUUACAAAUUAUUCCUUAUUUUUUAUUUAAUUCUUUUUUUGGCCUCAUUAUAUGAGAUAAAGUUUUUAAUUUAAUUAGAAAUAAACUAUUAUACUAAAAAUUUAUGCUUCUCUUUAUAUAUAUUUUUUGUCUUUUUAAGUAGUCCUUAUAUUUUUUUUCACUUCUUGAUUAAGUGUUUUUUUUCAUUUUAUUUCCUUUCAUUUUUUUACAAAUCGGUCUUUAGACAUUCUUUCCUUUUUUAUUUAACUUUUUUUGGGUCUAAUUGUAUGAGAUAAAGAGUUUAAUUUAAUUAAAAAAAUAUUUAUUAUACUAAAAAAGUUAGGGUUUUCCCCCUACUUCACUAUUCAUAUCCUCUCCUUUAAAACAAAUAAUAAUCUAUCUUCUAAUUUUUUUCUUCUUUUGAUUGAAUGAUUUUUGUUUUUUUUUUCCUUUCAAUUUCACUUUAAUAUUUUGUUGAUUUUGAAUUGUUCAUCUUAAUUUGUUUUUGUUUCUUUUAUAUGUAGUUAUCAUAGUCUCAAACCGACAUUUUUAAAUUUGUUUAGUGCUUAAUUCUGUAAGUGUCUAUUUUAAUUAUCACAUCAUUAUAUAAAAAAUAGUUUUUAAAUCCAGUGGAGUUCAUGAUCUGGGUUGUACAUUUGAUGAGUUAAAUUGCGAAGCUCAAGUUGAUCUAGUAUAUCAUCAUCUCAAUGUUAAAAAAAGAUAUCAUCUUGAUUUUUUUCUUAAAAUUCAAAUCAUGUUUUUAUUGGUCAUUUGAGUUGCCUUAAUUUGCACAUGUCAAGCCAACUAGGUCAUGUACGGACAGCUCCCUUGCGAAUUAAUUUUAAACUUAUGUUAGGUAAGAAGUCAAGUCAAGAGGUUUCAAGGUUGUCAACGGGAUCAGGUUUAAUAACAAUGUCAUAUUGUUCCUUUGUUUUUAAACUCUACCUUCCAAUUUUUUCUUUCUUUCAAUUGAAUCUUUUUUGGUUUUUUUUUUUAUUUUAUCCUUUAAUAUUUUAUUGGUUUUGAAUUAGUCUUGUUUCGGUUUGCUUUCUAUGAUAUUAUUGCAGUAUCAACCAAUUGUCCUAACAUUUGGUUGAUGCUCAAUUUUACAAGCAUCUAUUUUUGUUAUCAUAUCAUUAAAUAAAAAAUAAUUAAAAAAAUGCUUAAAUAGUUAAAAGCUAAAAUAAUAAAAUUUUAUCAAAUUAUUAAAUCAGAUCCUUUGAUUAAUAUUUUUAUGUUAUCUUUAAAAUCUUUUUAUAAUUAUUACUAAUAUUAAAAGAAGACUCAUUUAAGCAAAAUGAUUCAUGUACUUUUACUUUUUAUUCAUCCCCAUAUAAUUUAAAUUUUAAAAAAAAUAAAUAAAUUAUUAAAUUAGAUCUUUUUUAUCGGAGAGUACUCUAGGUUAUUGUGAUACGUUAUCUUUAACUUUUUUUUUAUAUGAAAUUAUUUGAUAUUUAGAAAAAAAUAAAUAUAAAGAUUUUAUUCGUAACUAUAUCUUUAAUAUGUGUUUAACAUAUGUUAAAAAAAAAACUCUCUAAAAUAGAAGGAAAUGUAGAAACUAUAAUGCCAAUAUAUUAAUAUUAAAAGUCACAUCAUAUAACUAUGUAUUUCUGUUAUUAUAUGUAGAGUUUAUUUGAAGUAAUUCAUAAAUAUCUUAAUAUAAUAGCUAUAGUAGAAGGAGAAGAUAUUUUAAUAAUAAAAUAUAAAUAUUAGUAUAUGAGAUCCAAUGCUAUAUCAAUUUCUAUUUCCUUGGAUUUUUUAAAGAUUUUUCGAUUUUAGAAAUUUCUAAAUAUAAAUAAUCAAAAUUGAUAAUUAAAAAGAAAGAUUAUGAAUUAUAGUAUUUUUUUUUUAUUUUUUUAGUUGUUACUCAUAUUAAAAAUCCCCCUUAAACAUAAUGAUUCAUAAAAUUUAUCUUCAUGCUUGUAUUCUUAAUUUCUAUUCACUUCACAUAUAAUUAAAAUUAAAAAUUAAUAAAAAUAUUUCAAAAUUUAGAAAAUUAUUGAAUUAGUCCUCAUUGUUUUUUUUUAUAGGUAGUCCUUGGUUCUUAUCAUACAUUAUCUUGACUACUUUAGAUAAAAAUAUUUAUACUUUUUGAUAGAUUUUACUAAUAUAUAAAAGGAUUUCUUAAUUUAAAGAUAACUUAAAAUUUUUAUCCAUGCCUAUAUCUUUAAUAUUAUUCCCACAUUUAAUAAAAAUAAACUCUUUAAAAUAAAAUAAUUCAUAAAAAUAUAAAUUUUGAAUAAAAUUUUAUUCAACAGGUACACUUUAUUUUUUUAAGUAAUACAGAUUUUAUCUAAAUAAAAAAAAUCUUUUAAACAAAAGUAAAUAAAAAUUUUUAUAAUAUAAUAGUUAUUUUUGUAGGGGAAAAAAUUUUAAUUUUAUAAUAUUAAAAUAUAGAUAUUAAAAAAAAUCCAAAUUUUCUUUUUUUUUUAUUUGCAGUUUUUUUCAAGAUUUUUUAACUUUAUAUAUUGAUAAUUAUAUGUAAUUAAAAGAAAAUCCAAUGAUUUCUUAUUUUUAUCAUGUUAUCAAACUAACUUUAUUUUUUUUUAAAUGACAAGAUAUAUUUUUUUAAUUGAAAAAAAUAUUUAUUUAUGUUUGUGGCAAGAAAAAAUGUCGCUCUCUUUUUCUUUUUUAUUUUUGAAAAAAAAGAUAAAAAUUAUGAUAAUAUAAUAUAAAUAAUUUUGUUUUAAUUUUUAACAAUGCUUAUAAGAAAAUUAAACAAAAUUUUUAAAGCUUAUUUCUCGAAGUCCAUAUAAUAAAUUCACAAACACAUAUACAUUGUUGUUACCCAUUUUUGAAUUCCCCAUAAAAAAUGAAAAACAAAUACAAAAAAAAUACAUAUAAAAAAUAUAUAUAUAUUAUGAAGGAAUAAAAAGAAAUAGGAGUGAGAAAAGGAUGCUGGAACUCCCAUAAAAUGGCUAGGAAUUGGUUGAAAAUGUUCAGAAAUACAAGAAUUGAAAUUUGGCAUUAUAAAGAGCCAUGUUGACAAAGAAAAUUCAAGUUGAGAAAGAAAAGUCUAAAAUCAGAUGUUUAUGGACUCAAUUAAAUUUUAUCUAAAGUUUAAUUGAAUUUAUAGAGUGUUUGAUUACAAGAAAAAAUUUAUUUUUAAGUCAAUUUAGGUUUUUAUUGGAAGAAAUUAAAGUUCUGAGGUCUAAUUAUAAUUUUAAAGAGUUGAUUUGGUCAAAUCAGGGGUUUAAUUGUAUAAUUAUUGAAGUUUGGUGGUCAAUUAGGGACUUGAUUGAAACAAUCUGAAAUGAAGGACUAAAUCGGAAAAGGCACUAAAAGCAAGGGAUCCAAUUACAAUUUAUCCGGAGGGCUUGAUUACAAAAUUGUAAGAACAUCCAAGGACCAAAUCAGAAAUAUCCAUUUUGAUAGGAAGACGGCGCCGUUUCAGAGCACUAUUUCAUCACCUUUCUUCACAGCUGUUUCAGCAGACAGUGGAGCCAUUUCAGCAACAAAAACAGCAGAUUGCUUCAAUUAUGGGGAAUGUUUCACGGCUACUAUUCCUCAACAUGCCGUUACCAAGCCGAACGUUACACCACAGGGCAUUCAUUGGCUUAUAAAAGCCAGAGAAAGACGAUGAAUGAAGGGGGAGAAACACUGGAGAGGGAACGAGACAGAGGAGAAAGAAAACAGAGAAGGUGAAACGUAAAGAGGAGAAAACAGGGGGGAGAGAGCAGAUAGAGAGGAGAAGUGGCAUUGAGGAGAAAAAAGAAGUAGGAGACAGUGAGGAGAACGAGAGAGCAGAAAGAAGAAGAGUAAGGGAGAGCAGGAAGGCAGAAAGAAAACGGGGAGAACAGAGGAGGAGAGAAGAAGUCAGUAGACGAGGACGGCAUCACCAUCAACUUCCCCUUCUCCAGAACCAGGAACCAGACCGAGCAAGACAGGGAGCGGCAUCAUAGCUUCUUCUCAGAAUCCGAGCUACAAGAUUAGGAGGGAUUUCUCCCAGCAGCGGCUGUGAACCAGGUAAGCUUUUCAUUCCUUUUCCUUCCGUUUAUAAUUGCAUGAAUACUGUGCAGGUGCGAUUUAAUUACUUUGUGGCUGUAGCUGGCGUGCGUGAAUUGUUCACGCACGCUUGCGUUUAAAAGCCAGUCGGGUCACUGGUUUGGGCCAGUGACCCGACCAGGCUUGCUGGGUCCAGCCCGCCACAUGGGCCGGGCUGGGCCCAGCCCAAAAAAUUCUUCAAAAAGUAUUUUAAAAAAAUAUGUGAUUUUUUUUUUGUAAAGUUUUUACUGCAUUUUGAUCAAUAUCGGUUUGUAUUUUUAUACUGUAAAGAUACAAAUCCGGCAUUAAAAAUACCCGGUUUUCAUCAAGACAUUAAAAAAAAUAAUAAAAAAUAUUUUGUUUUCAUGCAUACGGCCAAGUCUCUCUAAAAAAAAAUCAUAUUGCAUCUUAAAAAAAAAAAAGUUUUAGCAUGCAUUUUGGCUUUAAUAACCGGUUUAUUAAAGUCACGAGAACUGGCCAAUAUUUCAAAAAUUCCAAAAAAAAUUAUUUUGUUUUAUUUUAAUAUCUGGGGUUACGACCUUAUACGUAAGACGUAUUCCGGAUAUUAAAUUCUUUUGUUAGUGUUAGAACGGUCAGGUUUUACCCGAUAAGACAAGGACCUCCUUACCGAGGAGGACUUUUCUUAAACCAUAGACGGACCAACAACUAGAAAACAUGACAGGACCUUAGAUUUUAUCAGACAAUAAAACAAUGCAGUUUACCUUAGGUAGGGCGUAUUUGGGGUGCUAAUACCUUCCCUUUACGCAACCAGUCCCCGUACCCGAUCUUUGAGACCAGUUAGGGUUCCUAGUGACCAAAAUACUAGGUGUCGACUCCCAUUCUAUUUUUUCACUAAUAAAAGACAAGAAUUCCUUGUCUUCCCCCACAUAUUGCCACAUAAGAUAAGAUUUUAAGGGUGGAUGUUUUCGCCACAACGCCGCACACGUGCGACAUACAUAAUUUCUUAUUUUCAAAUUAUUAAUUAUUGAAGCAAUUCAUAAAAAAAUAUUAAAUAAAAUUUUAAUAAUACACGUUGCUGAAAAAACUAGUAUAAUAAAAUACACUAUAUAUAUAUAUAUAUAUAAACACACACUAUUUGACCCGUGUUUUUCCGUGGAUUGAAUAAUUUUAUUUCUAGGUAAAAAAAUAAAUGUACAGGUUUUUUUAACAUUUUUUUACCAUAAAACAAUUCCUAGUAAAAAAAACCAUAGAUUAAACUUGAAAAAUAAAGAAAUAAAUAUAAAUCAAGAAAUUUGAUCUUGAAACAUGGAUCAUGUACUAAGUAAGAAAUUUGAUCUCAAAAUAUGGAUCAUGUACUAAAUUGUGUCUAAUAACUUUGUUUUUAAGAAUAAACUAUUUAUUUAAUCAAAUGAUAAUAAAAACAAACACAGAUGAAAACAAUAAAUGUAAGGUUGCACAUAUUAAAAAAAAUGUUAUAAUUUUAUGUGAAAAUCAAGUAAAAAAUAAAUGAUAUUUAAUCCAAGACUAAAUAAAUUUUUUUUGAUAUAUAUAUAUAUAGCUGUAAAUAUCUGAUCUCGAAACAGGAACCAUAUAUUUAAUAAAAUGAUAAUAAAAAACACGGAUAGGAGAACAAUUGAAAAAAAAAUGAAAAAAAAUAGGUCUAAAAAAAUGUCUCCUAACAUAAAAAAAAAUUGAUAAGAUCUUUACUAUAAAAUAAGUAAAAAUUAAAUCAUAUUUUAUUAGAAGAGAAGAGCUUAAUAAUAUGUACACAUAAAAAUAUUUGAUCUUGACAUUAUUUAAAUUUUUCUUCUAUUUAAUUACCUAUCCUUUUUGAAUAUUGUUAUAAAAGCAAAGAGAAAAUAGUAUUUAAUGCUGAUAUUUUACAGUGUAAGAUCGAUUCUUGUACUGCUGAAUCUUUAUUUGGUUUUGUUUCUUUCAAAAAAAUUCUGAGCAUGGAAUGAUUGCACCCUCAGGCAACAACUGCUAUAAUGUAGGUUGUUGGUUCAACUCUUUAGAACUGGGAUUCAAUAAGCAGGGAAAGGUUGCAGAUAUCAAUCAUUACUGCUUCUCAUGAACGCUAAAGAAUCAACAGAUUUUUGCAUAGGAAAGCUGGAUACUACCUCUGGCUUUUUCACUGGAAACAGUAGCUAAAAUUUGUAGAGGAGAAAGAAGAGCCUCCCCAUUGUUUCUCCCUUCUUCUUUAGUCCUAACACUCUUAAUAACAGGUUCACUAGCAGGAUUGGUUAGUCUACCAUCUAAUAGGGCAGCAUAUUAACCAAAAUUAUGGAAGUUAGACCUCCUUUUCUUCCAUAUCAUUACUAGGAACAACAUAAGCUACUCAGGACUUUGUAUUCAGUUGAAAAUUGUUGCCAGCAAGUGAUGCGUGCAUACGGUUUCUCGAGAUGUUGAAGGCUUUCCAAGUUCUGUAUCUCUCCAGCAAGUGAAGUGCUGUGCAAAAAUCCCUAAAGCAAAUUGCAAUGGAAUGAGAAAUGAAGUAAAAAAAAGAAAAACUGAAAUCAAAUGAAAACAACAGGAAAAGUCAGAGUUAAGUUUACAAUGUUUUAAGAUCCAAAUAAGUCACCCAAAGUAGGACUAAUUAACCUCAAAUUAAUGUCUGAAAGCUCUCUAAGAAAAUCAAUAGGUUCCCAUAUUAUCGGUGAGUUAUCCUCCCACCCGAGAUCCAAGCUAGUAGACUGCUGAAUGACCUGAAGUGCUGACACCGCUGCAAAAUUCAACAACCAAUAGAGAAAGAAGAAUCAAUUAUAUCCAGGUAACAACAAAUCCGAGGUGAAAAUUCACGCGGACCCUAAUUUUAAUAUUUUUCUUGUUUUCUGAAUCAAAAUAGAAAAAGCAUUAAAGUUAUGAACAAACACAACACCAGAAGUUGGAACACAAAAUGGCCACAUGCUAAUUGCUUCGACCCCAUAAGGACUCUGAUCUACAACAAUUUCUCUCAUCCUUUGGAUUUCCAAUAGACUUUUCCCAGCUUUUUUAAGAAAAAGAAAACAAAAUAAUGCAGCGGAAAUUUUCCAAUAGGGAAUGCGCUCAAUGAAGUGUGAAAGGAUUUAUUUGCUGAAGCAUGCAGCAGCAACAGUCGCACCUAUCACGAGUGGAGGAGUGGACAACUCAGAGGAGGGCAAACUACAGCUCAAGGAUUCUAGAAUGGCACUUCAUUCCAAUUGGUGGCUUGUCAAGUUCUUCUUCCACCGCAUAAAAAUCGGCUCUCCAGAGUCCAAUAGGAAACCAUAAAGGUGGAUUUUAAUUCUGCUCCACAACUUGAGGGGCUUGAGACUUUGGAGAUAAUCUUUACCACUUCCCCUUAUUUGUCCUGUUGACGGCAGAGUUUUUUGGGGUUUUAGUAUAGUUAAUAAAAAAAUUUGUAAAGUAACACGGUAAAAAAAAUAUUUGAGAAAGUAAUACAGCUUAACAAGUCUAUAAUAUCACAGUUUUAAUCUGCAGCUUUAUACAAAAUUUCUUUUCAUUUCUCCUCUUUUUCUACCCUCUCUAUCUCCUUGUUGUGUAGAGAAGGGCAAAAGAUAAAUAUAUUGUGUUACUUCACAAUGUUUUACCUCACAGUCUAUAAUGAAUCACUUGAAUUAUUGAUUUCUUUUAAGUUUUUGUUUAUAUAUAUCCGACCAUUUUUGGCUAAUGGAAGAACAAGACAUGCAUAGAUUGCAUGUUGUGAAAAAAGAAUAAUGGUGUUUCCGACCAUUUGUGUCGAUUGGAUGAAUGAACAUCGAAGUUUCUAAGAGAUGAUCGAGUCGAUUUUGAAUUAUCUUACAUAGUUUUGAUCAAUUUAAAUCAAGUGAGCCCCGCACGUGUAUAGCACCGGUCUGCGGCCCUUUUCCUAAAAACAUAAAAAAAAUUCACCGAAUAUAUCAAUCUUUAGAGUGGAGUAGAGUGAGUCAUUGAAAAAUCAUAAUUUUUAGAGGCAGAGUCAUAAAAAUAAAUUGAAAUAAAUUAUAAAAUAUAAUACUAAAAAAAUCUAAUAUUAAAGAAUAAAAUUAAAAAAAAAUUAAAUUUAAAAUUAAAAAAAAUCAACAAAAAUUUUGAGGACCAAAAUAAAAUUUUUGUUAAUAUUUACACCUUCAAGUGCCCCUUGCUCUUAUCUUGUGCAGCACAAAAGAUUUAAACGUGUAUUUGUCCUAACAAAUAAAUUAAAUUGAUAUUUUUUAAAUUUUUUAAAAAUAUAUUAAAAAUAAAAAAAAUAAAAUAAUGGCACAGAAUCUCUUUAUUAAAAUAUUGAUAGCAAAUUAUGCCGUAUAUGGAUAAAAGGCAACAGCAUUAAUUGCAUUAUAAGGUUGUUUGCAUGUCAAAUUAGAGAAUUGUGGGGGUGGUUAAGAGUUUAUUAGCUGUUUUGGCUUGUUUUUAUGCACAACUAGAUUUAAAGUGUUUUUUAAAUUAUUUACCGUCAAGAAAAUAUUGUUGAGAGCUCAACAUUUUACUAACAAAAAGCUAAUGAAGGGACAUAACAUGGUUUGUUAUCUCAUAAGGUAAGGUAGUAUAGAUACAAAGGGUUGUAUUCAAAUAUAUUCCUCUUGUAAUCAUUCAAACUAAUAAAAAAAUUAUUUAUCCUCGAUUUAGCUGCCUUGAAUGAAUUUUUUUUUUAUCUUUUAAAUAGUUUUUUAAAAGGUUUUCAAUACAUCAUAUAAAAAUAUAAAUAAUAUAAAAUAAACUUUUUAAAUCACCCUAAUUUUAUACAUUAUCUUAUGAGCAUUUUAUUUUCAUUAUUAAAACUCUAAAAAUGCUUAUAUAAUUAAAAGCUAAAACAAUAAAAUUUUAUCAAAUUAUUAAAUCAGGUCCUUGAUUAUUAUUUUUAUCUUAUCUUUGAAAUCUUUUUAUAAUUAUUACUAAUAUUAAAGGAAGACUCCUUUAAGCGAAAUGAUUCAUGUACUUCUACUUUUUAUUCAUCUCCAUAUAAUUAAAAUUUAAAAAUAAUAAAAUUAAACAAAUUAUUAAAUUAGAAUUUUUUUUAUAGGAGAAUAACCUAUUGUGUUACGUUAUCUUUAACUUUUUUUAUAUGAAAUUAUUUGAUAUUUAGGAAAAAAUAAAUAUAAAGAUUUUAUUCGUAUGUAUAUCUUUAAUAUGUGUUUAAUAUAUGUUAAAAAAAAACUCUCUAAAAUAGAAGGAUAUAUAGAAACUAUAAUGCCAAUAUAAUAAUGUUAAAAGUCACAUCAUAUAACUAUGUAUUUCUGUUAUUAUAUGUAAAGUUUAUUUGAAGUAAUUCAUAAAUAUCUUAAUAUAAUAGCUACUGUAGUAGGUGAAGAUAUUUUAAUAAUAAAUAUAAAUAUUAGUAUAUGAGAUCCAAUGCUAUAUCAAUUUCUAUUUCCUUGGAUUUUUUAAAGAUUUUUUGAUUUUUGAAAUUGUUAAGUAUAAAUAACCAAAAUUGAUAAUUAAAAAGAAGGAUUAUUUAUAGUAUUGUUUUAGUUGUUACUCAUAUUAAAAAGCCCCCUUAAACAUAAUGAUUCAUAAAAUUUAUCUUCAUGCCUAUAUUUUUAAUUUUUAUUCACUUCACAUAUAAUUAAAAUUAAAAAAUUAAUAAAAAUACUUCAAAAUUUAGAAAAUUAUUGAAUUAGUCGUCAUUGUUUUAUUUUUAGAGGUAGCCCUUGAUUCUUAUCGUACAUUAUCUUGACUACUUUAGAUGAAAAUAUUUAUACUUUUUGAUAGAUUUUACUAAUAUAUAAAAGGACUUCUUAAUUGAAAGAUAACAUAAAAUAUUUAUCUUUAAUAUUAUUCCAACAUUUAGUAAAAAUGAACUCUUUAAAAUAAAAUAAUUCAUAAAAACUAUAACUUUUGAAUAAAAUUUUAUUCAACAGUAGAUUUUAUCUAAAUAAAAAAAUCUUAAAAACAAAAGUAAUUCAAAAAAUUUAUAAUAUAAUAAUUAUUUUUGUAGGAGGAAACAUUUUAAUUUUAUAAUAUUAAAAUAUAGAUAUUAAAAAAAUCCAAUUUUUUUAUUUGUAGUUUUUUUCAAGAGUUUUUAGUUUUAUAUAUUGAUAAUUAUAUGUAAUUAAAAGAAAAUCCAAUGAUUUCUUAUUUUUAUCAUGUUAUCAAACUAACUUUAUUUUUUUUAAAUGACAAGAUAUAUUUUUCUAAUUGAAUAAAAAAUAUUUAUUUAUAUUUGUGGCAAGAAAAAAUGUCGCUCUCUUUUUAUUUUUUAGUUUUGAAAAAAAUUAAAGAUAAAAAUUAUGAUAAUAUAAUAUAAAUAGUUUUGUUUUAAUUUUUAACAAUGCUUUAUAAGAAGAUUAAACAAAAUUUUUAAAGCUUAUUUCUCGAAUUCCAUAUAAUAAAUUCACAAACACAUAUACAUAAUUUCUUAUUUUCUAAUUAUUAAUUGUUGAAGCAAUUCAUAAAAAACAAUAAUAGAAAAUAUUAAAUAAAAGUUUAAUAAUACACGUUGCCGAAAAAACUAGUACAAUAAAAUACACUACACACACACAUAUAGAGCCGUGCUUUGCCAUGGGUAGAAGAAUUUUAUUUCUAAGUAAAAAAUAUAUAUAUAUAGGUUUUUUUAAAUUUUUUUACCAUAAAAACAUUCCUAGCAAAAAAACCACAUACUAAACUUGAAAAAUAAAGAAAUUUAAUCUUGAAACAUGAAUCAUAUACUAAGCAAGAAAUUUAAUCUUGAAAUAUAAAUCAUGUUCUAAGUUGUAUCUAAUAACUUUGUUUUUAAGAAUAAACUAUUUAUUUAAUUAAACGAUAAUAAAAAUAGUUAUACAUGGAAACGAUUGAAUAAAAACGAGGUAAAAAAAAUAUUAUGUAACAUUGUAUCUUGGAACGAAUGUUUUAUUUAAUAAAAUGAUAAUAAAAAACAAAACAAGGAUAGUAAAACAAUUGAAUAAAAAUGAAAAACAAAUAGGUCUAAAAAAAAUGUCUCCUAACAUAAAAAAAUGAUAAGAUCUUUUCUAUAAAAUAAGUAAAAAUUAAAUUAUAUUUUAUCAAAAUAUACAAUAAAAAUUUGUUAAAAUUGUAAAAAACAAAAUAGUUGUUAAUACUAACUAAAAAUUAAAGAGAAAAGCUUAAUAAUAAAUACACAUAAAAAUAUUUGAUCUUCUUGACAUUGUUUAAAAUUUUAUUUUAUUUAAUUACCUAUCCUCUUUGAGUAAUGUUAUUAAUGCUAAUUGAUAAAGAUAUCCCAUACAAGCUUGAAGUUUAAUACCACUCAUGUUUUUUUUUAUAGCAUGAUUUUUAUUGUCAAGGUUGCCAUGACACGACUUUUUUAAUGGCAAAGAGAAAAUAGUAUUUAGUGCUGAUAUUUUACAGUGUAAGAUCGAUUCUUGUACUGCUGAUUCUUUAUAUGGUUUUGUUUCUUUCAAAAAAAUUCUGAGCAUGGAAUUAUAGCACCCUCAGGCAACAACUGGGAUUCAAUAAGCAGGGAAAGGUUGCUGAGUCAAUUUUUCCUCAGUCAUAUCUAAAACAUGAGAGAUCAUUGAACAACAAAAUGCAAUAAGAGAUAAACGUUGACAUAUGAUUCACUUGUUUAACAAAGUAAUAUCUAGAGCUUAUAAGAGCAAGGAAUUUCUCAAGAAUAUAUGAAAUAUAAACAUACCAAGCCUAUAGCUCCACUGGGACUCGCAGAAUUUGUCACCAUCACAUGACAUCUCAUGAACGCUAAAGAAUCAACAGAUUUUUGCAUAGGAAAGCUGGAUACUACCUAUGGCUUUUUCACUGGAAACAGUAGCUAAAAUUUGUAGAGGAGAAAGAAGAGCCUCCCCAUUGUCUCUCUCUUCUUCUUUAGUCCUAACACUCUUAAUAACAGGUUCACCAGCAGGAUUGGUUGGUCUACCAUCUAAUAGGCAGCAUAUAUUAACCAAAAUUAUGGAAGUUAUGUUGGGAUAUUGCCAUUUAGUGGCAAUACCCCACCACUAAUUAUGGCUUAGUGGAAGCAUCACUAAUGCCACAAUUAGUGGCAUGAUUUCGGGACCUAUUGUCCCCUUGCUAUUGCUGGAGAAAGCUCACCAUGUUUGCCUAUAAAAGAGGCAAUUAUUUGAGAGCAAAGUUGAGAGAACGAGAGAGUGUGAGAACGUGAGAAUAGAGAGAAAGAGAGAGCUGCAAUGGCAGCAGCCUUGCUGCCAUUGCAGCAGCUGCAACAGCUGUGUGUGUGAGCUGGGAGUAGAGUAGAGUGGAUGUGAUCCUCCUCCUCCAUGUAUUUAUUGUAUCCUUUCUCUAUCUUUAAUAAAAUGAACCUCUCCCGUGGAUGUAGGCAAUUUGCCGAACCACUUAAAAUAUUGUGUCAGUGUGCUUAACCCUUCGAUGAGCAAUAUCAGAACACCCCCGGUCCGCGCAUGGGGGUGCCAGAAUCCCCAACAAUUGGUAUCAGAGCUAAUGGUUUAAAGGGGUGUUUGAUUUUUGCUCAAAAAUGAAAGUUGUCCAAAUUGUGUUUUGACCAUACCACUGUGUAGAGGAGGAAGAGACGAAGCCACUGUUGAAAACCACGUCGAAAUAGGACGUCGGAAACCUCCGCACCCACUGUCACGCGUCGACGAGGAGACUGCCCACGCGCACAGACGCGUGCCACGCGUCUUCUUCACCCGGAUGAGUUGACCCGACCCGAAUACCAGACGACCCGACCCACGUGCCAGAUCCGGAUAAGGAUGACAUCAUCAUGACGCAAUCAUGACGUUAGUAUACACAGUCAGCAGACGUGACAGCGCCCAGUUAGCACGCCAUGUCAUCGUCCAGUCAUCAGACACGUCAGCACUGUGGGACCCACAUGCCAUGUCGCCAGACGCGAGCCGAGCCACGCUGAGCCGAGUUGAGCCGAGCCUAAUUGGAGCCGAGCCAAGCCGCGAGCCGAGGGAUAGGAUCCAGUGUAGCUGAUCCUACGUGCAACCGGAUCUGAGAUUGAAUCGGAGCCGUUGAUCAAGCCAGAAUUGUUUUGAUCAAAUCUUAGCCGUCUGAAGUGCGAUUUGGACGAUUUGAGACUUGUUUCCAGCUAAUUUGAUCGUUCCGGAUGCAAUGGUACGGUCCGAUCGUUGAGAUUUAAGACCAAAAUGGAGGUGGUGAAUUAACAAAAGAGAUUGCCUGAUCAGGAGGCAUCUGAAGGUCAUCAUGGUGGUCGAUGGAGAUGAAGAAGAACAUGUCACACAUGUUUACCCAAUUACAUGUGCUGAACUGCUAAGUGGAGAGAAUUUUAAUUGCCUUGAGGGAAGGCAAAAUUGGGACACUCUGGACACCCGAUCAAGUGGACAAUUAGAGGUGUAGAGUGAAAAUUGAUGAAGACCAAUCUUGACGAAUCUAAGAACUGGUAGUCUCGCCAAAUGUUGAGAAAUCAUGUAUUAAACCAGUAUAUUCCAGAUCACUUGUAAAGGAAAGCCGCAACAAAGCUAGCAAAUGGUUGUAUAUACGGAAAGACAGUACGAUGGAUAGAUAUGGCCUAAGAAGUUCUGUCUAGGAGGUUAGGUUUUAAGCGGGACCAGUGUGACCCCUCCAAUCUUUCCUGGGAACUUGCUUAGUGGAAGGAUUAUCCAUACGUUACUAUUUUCGUAUAUAUAGCAGUUUGUAAUGAAACAGUUGAAGACUAGAAGGAUGGCGGCACAAGGGAACAGUUGGAUUCCGUAUGAUCAAGGAUCUGAUGAAGUGGUGAUUUCUCCAAAGAAGUUAGAUUCGGUGACUGUGAUUUCUCGAGGGGAGAAUUGAUGAAGACCCUGAUAAUGAAAGAGGAAUACAGCAAGGGGAUAAAGAUUGGCACCCUAUUUUGACUUGGACAGGUGUUAUGACAGGAUGAGCUGCUGUCAAACAUAAGCAAGGAAUAGGGAAAAAUCUGGAGAACAGAAAUUGCACGAGGGCACACGGAGAAUGUGCAUGAGUACCCGUAAGAUCCAACGAGGUACUGUAAUGAGACAACAGGUGCAAGGAGAAGAAGUGUUCCCAGAUGAAGCUCAGAGCAGAGACUGUUAAAGUUUGUACAACAGGAAGUCUCUUAUGCUCUUAAUGAAGACAACAGGCGAAGACCUUUUCAAUGCAUCCAAGGAUGGAAAGAGAGCUGUUGCAGAGGCACCUAAUUGAGGGGGUGCAAACGCCUGUGAUAAAAGGCGACCGCCUAUGAUGAAAGGCGAAGACACCAAAGAGAGUUGGUGUAGGUGGAGCUGUCAAGCAGAAAGGCACAGAAGCUCCAAACAUAGAAAUCGAGGUGGAGGAUUGCGAGGAGUAUACCGCAACUUUCUCUUUCUAUGUAGUCAGUGGCAGUAAUCUCUCCCAUAAGUGCACAUGGUGGUAGAGACUUUUGGAGCCACUUUGAAGCAUCUCAGCUGAAGGAGGAUGCGACCGCCCCAUGACAACGGGCGAAGACACCUUAGAGAAGGUGUGAGGGCCUUGAUAUAAGCCCAAUAUCAGACCGCCCCAUGACAACGGGUGAAGACACUUUAGAGAAGGUGUGAGGGCCGCGAUAGGAGCCCCAUUUCAGACCGCCGCAUGAUGACGAGCGGAGACACCUAAGGAGAAGGUGUGUGGGCCACGAUAUGAGCCCAGUUCAGAACAACCCCAAAGCCGAUGUGAUGGCUAGAUAUAAGUGGACAGGUGUAUGGAUAGCCAAUGAAGUGGCUAUGAUGAGUAUGGAGACAAAUGCAGGAUUGACUUUCAUGGAUAUUGCCCCCAUGCUAAAGAUCAAUGAGCUAGAAGACAUUUGCCUUGGACAAUAAGUGUGUGACUUGUGGAGCAUUAAGACGCGGCUGCUAUAAAGAAGCAGAAGGGCAUGCGCAGGUUUCGAGAACGAGUUGACUCUUGUCAAGGUGGUGAGCUCGGUAAUGGCAUUGUAAUACUCAGAGUAUGAAGACAUAUAUGGAUCAACCUUUAAUGGGCUGCCCCCAUGGUUAAAGGUGGAGAGCUACCUGGACUCUUACGACUAAGAGCGAGAGACUCACGGAGAAGUAAGGCGCGGUUUCUAGGGUGGAACAGAGGGCAGGCGCAACUCCUGGAUGAGUAGACUCUUGGAAGAGUGGUGAGCUUGUGAUCACAUUGAAAUACUCAAUGACUGUCGCACUUGGGAAUAUUCGUUUGAGGGGGUGUUGUAAGCCUUGGUGUAAGGCUUGAAAAAUCAUUCCGGACCGAGCAUGAUUGAUACACUCGAAGGGGAAUGUUGUGUUGAAGACGCUCUCAAAAUGGAAGCUUGGAAGAACUGCAGAAUGCAAGCUUGUGCUGAAGAAGCAAGAAAAACAAUUACCCACACAAAUGGCAAAGGGGGUGAUUGUUGGGAUAUUGUCAUUUAGUGGCAAUACCCCACCACUAAUUAUGGCUUAGUGGAAGCAUCACUAAUGCCACAAUUAGUGGCAUGAUUUCGGGACCUAUUGUCCCCUUGCUAUUGCUGGAGAAAGCUCACCAUGUUUGCCUAUAAAAGAGGCAAUUAUUUGAGAGCAAAGUUGAGAGAACGAGAGAGUGUGAGAACGUGAGAAUAGAGAGAAAGAGAGAGCUGCAACAGCUGUGUGUGUGAGCUGGGAGUAGAGUAGAGUAGAGUGGAUGUGAUCCUCCUCCUCCAUGUAUUUAUUGUAUCCUUUCUCUAUCUUUAAUAAAAUGAACCUCUCCCGUGGAUGUAGGCAAUUUGCCGAACCACGUAAAAUAUUGUGUCAGUGUGCUUAACCCUCCGAUGAGCAAUAUCAGAACACCCCCGGUCCGCGCAUGGGGUGCCGGAAUCCCCAACAAGUUAGACCUCCUUUUCUUCCAUAUCAUUACUGGGAACAACAUAAGCUACUCAGGACUUUGUUUUCAGUUGAAAAUUGUUGCCAGCAAGUGAUGCAUGCAUGCAGUUUCUCGAGAUGUUGAAGGCUUUCCAAGUUAUGUAUCUCUCCAGCAAGUGAUGUGUUGUGCAAAUCUCUAAAGCAAAUUGCAAUGGAAUGAGAAAUGAAGGAAAAAAAAAGUGAAAUCAAAUGAAAACAACAGGAAAAGUCAGAGUUAAGUUUACAGUGUUUUAAGAUCCAAUAAGUCACCCAAAGGAGGACUAAUUAACUUCAAAUUAAUGUCUGAAAGCUCUCUAAGAAAAUCAAUAGGUUCCCAUAUUAUCGGUGAGUUAUCCUCCCGCCCGAGAUCCAAGCUAGUAGACUGCUGAAUGACCUGAAGUGCUGACACCGCUGCAAAAUUCAACAACCAAGAGAAAGAGAAGAAUCCAUUAUAUCCAAGUAACAACAAAUCCGAGGUGAAAAUUCACAAAAUGAACAAACACAAAUUUUAAUAUUUUUCUUGUUUUCUAAAUCAAAAUAGAAAAAGCCCAACAUGAAUUGACAAUAGAAGUAAAAAAUCCAUAACUGCCAAAAAAAACUGAAACCAAAUGAAAAAUCAACAGGAAGAUACACUCAUCUUGUUCCAUUCAGUCAGGCAAAUAACCUAAUGAAGAAAUACCAAGGGAGAACCAAACAUAACAACAGUCCUAAACUAAAUAGAAAGAAGGAGGUGAGGCCAAUGUUGGGAAGAAACCCAAGGCGAGGCCAUGUGGGUUUAUGCAUUAAAUACAUAAUGAUGCUGUUGUCCCAAUCAUAGAAAGGAGCCACCACAUUAGCUCAAUUUAGAGAAGAAGCUGAGUCAGACCCAGGGAUCACCUCUCCCCCAAAGCUUAGCAAUCCACAAAAGCUGGAAAUUACAACCACCUCUCAUGAGCGCCAGAGUCGACAAUGAUCCAGGGAGAAAGCAGCUUGACCAAUCCACACAAAGCUCAGCCAUCCUUCCAGACCCAAAAGCAAGCACAUGGUUGGCAAGAAGAGCAGCCAAUAACCCGCGCUAAUUAGACAGAAACAAACCAACAACGACACCAAAAAAAAAAAAUCAAAGAAGCCACGUAAGCCACGCCCAGAAGUGGACCAUCGACACCUAAAAUGAGAAACGAAUGAAGAACUGUUCUAAUCCACAUGAAGUACAAUAUGGAUGAACAAUGAUAAUGUCACACCUCUAAAACUCAAAAUCACUGGCAGAAUGACAUAAUGAAUACGACGACAACCAAAAGGCAAUGAAAAGACGAAGAACCUGGGAAAGAAGAACAUCCACUAAGGAAUGAAAAGCUCCAGCAAACCAACCGAAAAAAGAUCCUGCAGAGAUAGUGAUAACAACACAAACCUACAUUAAAAGAAAAGAAACUAAAAAAUCAGGAAGAUAAACUCAAUGAAAUCAACAGAAAAAAAAUAAAAAACAAAAGCAAGUUAAUCAAAAUAAAGGAAGAGGAGCUCUAGAAAAAUGAGUACCAAUGGUAGAAAACCAUAUGAACAGAAAAGAAAGCAAAAAAAACCCAAGAGAGAGGCAUGAAAGAAAACCAAGACAAAAUGCAAAUGAAUCUAUCUACUUCCAACCCACAAAAAUUUUGUGAAAGCAUGGGAAACCCAAAGAUAAGAGAAGAAGCAAUGGAGGAAAAAAAAAGAAGACUACACUGAUGUCGUAGCAACAAAUGGCCUGAGAGUGAUGCCCAGACUUGAAAGCAAAAGAAAAACAAAAAAAUGAAGAGCUAAUUGGAAAUUCAAGACCCAGCCUCAAGAAAAGUCCUUGCUGCCCCACUCAUUUAAUACACAAUGAUUCUGCAUUGACAUCAAAAGCUGAGCCACAGCCAAAGAGCAACUCUUUCUAUAAGGAAGUUGAGCCAAGCCAGACUUGACGCAAACAAAAAGACCAGCAGAGAAGCCAAGACAACCUGCAAUAGACCCAGCAGAAAUGCAGCCCAAGGAUCCCAAAGCUGCAACAGCCAACUCAGUCGUGACCGAGCUGAGCAUAGCAGAAACAAAGCAGGGGAAAAGGGCUUGAUUCUGCAUUGACAACAAAAGUUGAGCCACAGCCAAACAAAAACUCUCUCCACACCCCAUCAAUCCUUAGAAAAACAGGUGAUGAAAGGCCAGCCAAGCAGCUGCAACAGCCAACCCACCCGUGUCAAAUUUGAGAUGCCUGAGCAUGGCAGGAGUUGAGCAGAGGAAAAAGAAGAGAAAAAGCACUGCUGUAUCAAGGACUGUUCUAAUCCACGCCAGUCUUGAUAAACAGUAAUUUAACCACAUGAUUUAGUUUAUAGUAGUUACAUGGCCGCAUGAUGCUGCGGAUUAAUUUUUUUAUAUAAAAAAUAUCAAAAAAACUAAGAUCUAAAAAUAUUAAAUUUUUUUACGAAGUUAUAUCCACGGCAAUAUGCAGUCCACAGUUAAAGGUAUAAAAACAGUAAAAAAACAAAAAAAAAACUAAAGGCAUCAGCCAAUAAUUCAAUAGAAAAAAAUUAAAUAUUGAUGAAUGAAAUUAAAUAAAAAAAAUUAUUAAUUAAAAAGAAAAAAAUAAAAGAAAAAAAACUUAUAAGAAGAAAAAAAUUAAUGAAGAAAAAGAAAAAAAAAUCUAAAUUAACUGGGUUAACCCGUCAAAUCUGAGAUUCGUGUCAUGAAAGUCUGAUAACUAAAUAGAAAAAAAAAUUAAUAUCAACAAAUUAAAUAAAAAAAUUAAUUAAAAAGAAAAAAAAAGGCAUCAGCAUUUUCACCGUGAACUGCACUGUGCAGUCUUAUAGUGAAAGGCAUAAAAAGAAAAAAAGAAGCAAAAAAAAAACUAAAGGCAUCGGCUUUUUAAUUGUGGACUGCAUACAAUAUUUAAAGAUGAAAUCGAAAAAAAAAAACUAAUGAGGAAAAAGAAAAAAAAUCUGAAUCAACUGGGUUAACCCGUCAGACCUGGGAUUCGUGUCAUGAAAGUGUGAUAACUAAAUAGAAAAAAGAUUUAAUAUUAAUGAACUAAAUUAAAAAAAAAAUUAAUUAAAAAGGAAAAAGCAAAGAGAAAAAAACCUACAGGAAGAAAAAAACUAAUGAAGAAAAAGAAAAAAAUUUGAAUCAACUGGGUUAACCCGUCAAACCUGAGAUCAGUGUCAUGAAAGUCUGAUAACUAAAUAGAAAGAAAGUUAAUACCAACAAACUAAAAUAAAAAAUAAAUAAAUAAAUAAAAACAAUGAAAAAAGACCAAAAAAAAUAAAUAAAUGCAUCAGCUUUUUCAUUGUGGACUGCACUGUGCAGUCCACAGUAAAAAGCUCAAAAAGGAAAAGAAAAGGAAAAAGAAAAAGAAAACAAAGGCAUACGUCACGGGUUAAAUUUUUUCUUUCAUAAAAAAUAUCAAAAAGGCUAAGAUUUAAGAGUGUUAGAUCUUUAUGCAAAGAUAUACCCAAGAGUCUUGGGUCUAGCUGCAACGAUUGACCCGAGAGUAAUAUUUACAAUAUUAAUAAUAAUAUUAAACUUACAUUACUCAAGUUUAAGUGAGUCUGGCUGCAACACCGGACCCAAUAGCCUUAGAUGUGGGUCUGGCUGCAAGGUCGUGUCGUAAAAAUGUGAUAAUUAAAUAGAUUAAUUAAAAAGAAAAAAACCAACAGGAAGAAAAAAACUAAUGAAGAAAAAGAAAAAAAAUCUGAAUUAACUGGGUUAACCCUUCAAACUAGGUUAACCCAUCAAACUUGGAAUUUGCGUCAUGAAAGUUUGAUAACUAAAUAGGAAAACAAAAUUGACAGAUUAACCCAUAAUUAACUAGGUUAACCCGUCAAACCAGGUUAACUCGUCAAGCCGGGGAUACGUGUCAUGAAAGUCUAAUAAUUAAAGAGAAAAAUAUUUAACAUUAUCAAACUAAACUAAAUGAAAAAAAUUAAUUAAAAAGAAAAAAAGCAAAAAUAAAAUUCCGGGUUCACUCGUCAAACCAGGUUAACCCGUUAAACCUGGGAUCCGUGUUAUGAAAGUCUGAUAACUAAAUAAAAAAAAAUUAACAUUAACAAACUAAAUUAAAAAAAAUUCAUUAAAAGAAAAAAACACAAAGAAAAAAGAAAAAAUAAACUUUAAAGGCAUAAAAAACAAAAAAAAACAAAAAAAACAAAAAAAAAUUGCUCAGCGUUUAACUGUGGAGUCCACAGUUAAACGCUGAGCAAUUUUAGUAUAUGUUCCAAUAUAUAUAUAUAUAUAUAUAUAUAUAUAUANNNNNNNNNNNNNNNNNNNNNNNNNNNNNNNNNNNNNNNNNNNNNNNNNNNNNNNNNNNNNNNNNNNNNNNNNNNNNNNNNNNNNNNNNNNNNNNNNNNNGUUAGCGGAACAUAUAGUCUCUCAUAAACGAACUAUCGCCGGCCUACCUGAAGAGUUAACUUUUGUAUCAUGUAACAAUAUACUUUGUAUUAUAAUUUUUUGCAUUUUCAUUGUAUUAAAUCAACAUUGAAGGAAAUUUAACAUGCUAAAGUAAAUUAUAAUUCAUUAUCCAUAAUAAUUAAUAAUCCAUAUGGAUGAAAACAAUACCAAGAAACUAACACAAGCAAGACUGAGUGUUCCAAUCAUAAAAAUGAUAUUAGUUUUAGUAUAAGUAACAAAUUUGAGGUUCCGCACUACUCCGUAAGCAAGGUUUUUUUUAUUGGUUUACAAAAAGUCUGGAUGAUACAAGCGUUUUAAAAAAGUAAAAAAAAUAUAACUUGGGACAUAGACCUGACUGAGAAAAAAACAAGUAUAAUCUAAUUAAAUAAAAAAUAAUAAUGAUAAUUAACGGUACAAUUUAAAAAAAAAAAUCAUGGGAACCUUCAAGAAAAAAGGUCACUGAAACAAAAAAAGACGAAGAAGCUAGGAUCCCAAUCAAUCAAAUUAAAAAAAAAAGAUUAAAAAAAGGAAAAACAAUUUACUCAAGUCAACUUCAAUGAGCAUGUCAAAUAUACAAAUCAUAUCAUGAGACUAAGAUAAGACACUAAAGCUCAAAUUAAAAAAAAAUCUAAAGUGACUAAGAUAACUCAGGCUAUUUUCAAAAUUAGCAAAAAAUUAUAUAGAAAGAAAAUAAAUAAAAAUAAUAGAGCUCGAUAUCCAAUUGAAUAAAUAUUGAAGGAUGAAACUGAAAAAACAUGAGUUUAGAAAAAAAAUAAUUAAGCAAACCCAGGUGAACCUUGAGUUAAUCUUUAAAACACGCAACCGUGAAAUCCUAAACAUGGAUUCAAUCAAUAAGAUCAAUUCCCAAUCAAUUUAAUGUUGACCGUGAAUUAAAAAAAAAACUUCAAAAAAACAAUCAAAGUGAAAAAGUAGCAAUCAAAAGAAUGAUGGUCAAAUUUGAUAGGAAAACAAAAUGAGGAUGAAACUAUAUAUAAAAAAAUUAAUUUAAAAAAUUAUUUUAAAUAAAACAAAUAGAAAUCAAAAGAAUGAGAACUUAAUUUUUAACUAAUUUAAUGUUGAAGAAUAAAAUCAGAGAAAAAAUCAAUUUAAAAAAAAUUACCAAAGUGAAAAAAACAACAAUUAAAAGAAUUAAGAUCAAAUUUGCUAGGAAAGAAAACCUAAGAAGGAUAAAUUGUAAAAAAAAAGAAAAAAAUUUAAGAAAUUAUUUAAAAUAAAACAAAUAGAAGUCAAAAGAAUAAAGAUCAAAAUUGAAAGAUGAAAAAUUUAAAAGGGGAUAAAAAUAAAAAUAAAAUAAAAUUUAUAAAUUACUUCAAAUAAAAUAAAUAGUAAUAAAAAAAUAAAAACCAAAUAUGAAUAAAAAAAAUCAAAGAGUUGCUUUAAAAUUUUAUAAGGCAUGAUUGAAAAUAAAAAAGGAUAGAUAAAAAGAAAAAAACCCUACCAACACCAAACUAAAAUAUUGACUACACGCGUUGUCGCAUAAAAAAAAAAAAAACGCUAGGAUAAUUCAAAUGCUUUAAUGAAAGGUUUGUUCACUUAACAGCCCUGCAAAUAACACUAGAAAGGCAUAUAAGUCAAAAUAUUUUAAACCAACUUGACAUUAACUAAAAAAACAUAUUGAAUUUAUGAAAGGAUGAUAAAGCUUGUACGUAGAUUAAUUUUAGUGUGCUAGAAAAAUUGAAAAGACUUAAAGCCUUGGAUUUAUGUUUUUUUUGUUUAAAUUUCAGGAUGCAAAAUCAUUUUUGUCUAGCCUUCGGAAUGAGGCUGGAAGUGGAAGGACACCGUGGCACUGCUGUUUCUUUUCCACCGCUAUGGCAGUGGCAGUCACGGUAGGAAAGAAGAAAAUUUAGGGAAGAUGAAGAUGAAGUUUUCAUGUGGCUUUUGGUCUUUUACGAUGAAAAAAAUGAGGGGAAACGGUUUAUGGUGGAGCUACUGUGGCUGGUGUAUUUGGGUCUAAAAGAAACUACCUCGGUGGGAGUGUUGGCUGCCACUGGUAUUGCUGGUGGCCAGGAGGAAGAAAUGGAAAAGCUUGGUUUGCUCCUGGCAUGGUGUCGACAGUGAUAGGGAAGAAGACUGUGAGAGAGCUAUAUUUUUAUUUGUGAGUUUUAUGUUUUUGACAAUAAUGGAGUAAGGGAUGAUUUUUGUUGGUGAAAAAUAGGUUUAUGAUGGUAAUGAAGAUAGCUUGGAAUGGGAGGAGACGAAGGGUCAGGUGCUUUUGUGUGAGUGGCGGCUGGGUUAGUAAUUUUUAGUGGCUCCCCUAUUUUUAGGUUAUUUUUUUAUGGCCUCCUCUCUUUGCCAGAAGUUUUUAAUAUUUAUAGGUAAUUUUUUUUAUUUUUUUAAUUGCUUGAUUCUCAAGAAAUUUAAAUUCACUUUAGUUCUUUAUUUUCUUUCUUUAUGCCUUUGAUCUUUUUUUUUUUCAUUUUUCCUUUUGUUUUCCUAUUUAUUUUUGUAUUUUGAUUUAAAAAAAUAGCAAUGCCAACACUAACUCGAUGAGAAAAAUUAAUCAAAGAUAUUGAAAUGAACAUGUUAAUAGUUGAACGCAUUAAAACAAAUUUUUGAAUUUUGAAUUCUUUCGAAAAGACAUUGAAAAUUACAUAAAUGUAUUAAAAAUAUAUUUUUAGGGUUUUUUGUUUUUUUUAUUGCUAUAUUUAGAUUUAAAAAAAAAAUAUUUUGAAAAGUGGAUCAAAAUUGAGUUAUGACAAUUACCGUAUUUUUACAACACUUACCGUAUAAACUCUUGUAAAGAAUUUUAGAAAGUAAAUUUAUAAAAAUAUAUAUAUAUGAAAGCCUUCCGAGGUUAGAAGAGAAAUCCGGGGUUUUGAUAUUAAUAAAUCAUGAGGCGGUUAUUCUUGUAGAUAUUUCAAUCUCAAUUAUUUUGAGAAUAAGGGUUUUCUCUUUGUUCUAAAAAAUAGUGUAAUUGAGGCCAGGGACUCCCUGUUGUGUGAAGAAUAUAUAGGAUUCUUCAUGAAAAGUUUGUUUUCGGGUGACUUGCUCGAGAUUUGCGAUUAGAUGACCUACUUGUUGUGCGACAAAUAUCUAGGGUUUAAUUGGAGAGUCAUUUCCGGUUGCCAAACAAGUGGGUUCGUAGUGUGGGUUGGAACUAUUAACUUAAAUGGUGUCAAUGGGGUAUUUAUCAGUUUCAGGUAAUGUCAGUGUUAGAACUACUGCUUUAGCUGAAGACUGUGUGGUAGCUAAAAUGGCAAAGCUUGUGGAAGAAGCUCAAAACAGCAAGUCUAAAACUCAAAGAUUCAUAGACAAAUCUGCUCAGUACUAUACUCCAGUUUAGGCAUACUGCAGUCCAAUUACUCAUCCAGUUUUAUAGGCUUUCACUGAAGUAGAGUAUCGAGAACAAGUAUUUGGACAGCCCUUCACAUCAUUCGUUUAGAAUGAAUCGUCAGCUCCAUUGCUAGACAAUCCUUUAUAUCCCAUUAUAUAUAUAUACAUAUAUAUAUAUUGGUAAAGGAAGAUUGCUCACAGACAAAUUAUUAUUAUUUUUAUUUAUUUUAAAAAAAUUAAAAAUUAGGUUGUCACACAUGAUAUAUCGUUGGUUUAAAGGAAUCGAUUGAUUUACACAUAUCGGAUUACAAAUAGAGAGGAAUCAUGGUUAUUUUAUAAAACUGCCAAAAACUUUCAAGACCAAAGUUAUUCCAUAGAUGUAGUAUUCAUGCGUGUUUGAAAUCUGAAUCACAGUGUUUAUUCUUACUGGGAUAUAAAGGCUUUCUACCUGUUCCGGAAAUUCUGUGAGCAAUCUUCCUUUACCAAUAUAUCUUCCUUCCCUGGCAAAAUUAAAAUAGCCAUUUCAGGUGAAAACAGCGCCGUCUCAAAACAAGCUAUUCAUCUCCUUCAUCCCACCGAUUCAAAGGAAACGGCAGCAGAUCAUUGUCACGUAUCUCUCCCCCACGAUGUGACACUAACAGUCCAGUAAUGGGUAUCCUUUUUUUAUCAUGCACGACUGAACCGUGCUAAUCUCCACACUAUCCUGGGACAGAUGAAGGGGCAUUCUCUUGCCCUAUAAGACCACAACACACAGAGACGAAGAGGCAGGGGGGAAGAAAAACAGAGGCAGAGAGAAGACUGAGAGACUUGUGACCUUCUUCCAGCAAAAGGGAACUUCAACUUCCCCUCACCGUAGGUUGUUGAUCCAACCAACCAAAUACAUACCCAGAGAAAUCAGGACGAACAGACAGAAGCCACAAAGGAGGGGAGAACCACAAACACAUAAUACAAAAAAACACAGACGAAAAAUGAACAAACACAGAUAAUACAGAGAGAGACCAAGAGGAACAAGAACAGAGAGAGACAGGGGGGACAAGAGAAACAAAAAAGAAAAAGAGAACAAGCAGAGAAAAGCAAGAACAGAGGUGAAGUGAACGAAAAACAGAAGUAGAGGGGAAGAAAGUAACAUUGGUUAGCCAGCGCUCCAUCACCAUCGUCUUUGUCUUUAAGUAGCAGCUCCAGGUAAGUCUUUCUUUCUCUUUCCCCCGCUUUGCACUUCAAUUCUUAAUAAUAAUUGUAAUAAUAAUAACAAACAUGGAUUGUGGAUCAUAAGGAACAGCAAACGAAAAGCCUUUUGUCAUGAUAUAUAUAUAUAAAUAACAGUAUGUAAGAAAUGGUUACGGUGGCGAAUCUAGAUGACAGACCAGUAACAGUGGCUGUGGCAGUAAAGGUACUAUGAUGGGGGAUCAUGAGGUAGCAUGUUGAUGGCAGUGUAGCGCCGCACCAUAUGGGAUUCUGUAGGCCUAAAAUGAUCUACAGGCUCCAUGCAAUAAUUGCGACAAUGAUUGAGCAUAACCUCUCUAGAUACAUGUCUGCAUAGCUUUCUUCUUCAACCCUGAGUCAGUGUCAUAGAAUAUCAUCACAUUUCUGUAGAAGUAGACUCAUAAUGAAACAUACAUCACAAGUAGAAUUUAUCUGACACAGACGAGUGAAAGAGCAUAUUCUUUCUUUCCCUGGCAAAUUAGAAUGGCAACAGGAAGAAUUGUAAUCUAGAUUGAUUCAAAAUCAAGAGUCAAAGAUGUUAAUUACCUCAAUGUCUAGGAUUCAAAGCUUUCCAGAAUCCACACACCAAUUCAAAGAUCCAACAAACCAUCUUCAUUUGCAUCCAUACUUCCAAUAGCUCUUUCCACUCUAUAAACGAAUUUCAUACAAAACUUUAACUAUAGCAAUCUGAAAAUGGAAAUAUAUAAAGUGAAGCAUGAAAAAUGUUUCCCAAGACUUCAUUACAAGAUAAAAAAAAAUAAUGGCAACUGAGAAAGCUCCACAAUAACAGGCAAGAUGACACAGUACCUGAAACACUAGAUUUUGGUACUUCUUUCAGAUUCAAAUUGAUCCAGGUAAAAAACCAAGGUUUGGAUUGAAAAAUAAAGCACUAAUAAUGGAAAGUACUUUAUUAUGAAUGAAAUAAGUACAUGUCAAAACACCCAUACAUGAUCCAAGGACAGAGGAUCGAACGGAACAAUCUACAAAUCCUCAAUUGAACAACAAACAAAAAACAGAUCAAGCUUUGAUGGGCCCAGCACCAUCCAAUGUGUCUACUUGUAGUCACCUUGUGAAUAAUACAUUUGGUAACUUGACAUUCUUGAUGCAAAGAGAUCAAGCCAUCCAAACUUCAUGUCAGAGACAUUGCUAUCCCAAAUUCCAGCUGCAAAUAUAAAGGAAAGCUCAGCAGUUGAAGAGAUGGUGCAUUGUUUCAUAGCAAUUAUUGCCAUGAAAAUAUUCAUGAAUAAAAACAGUAGAACAUGCAGAAUAAUCUCUGAAAGUGAAGUUGCUAUACCAAUUACUUAGCUGAAGAAAUUCUCAUCAAUCAUGAUGUGAAUGUGCUACUUAUUUCUUGAAGUUACCAAUUUGUUAAUAUUGUUGCCGCUCAAAUCCAGCUACUCCAAGCUGCUCAAAGAUUCUUGAUCUUUAUAAAAAUAAUAGUUAAUUAAAUCAUUGCAACUAAAAAAUUGUAGUCAAUAAGAAAGAUAUGGACAAACCGUGCGAUUCACAUGGAUUGAACCCCACAUUACACACGAGCAGCACGUGCGUCAGCGAUUAUAUUAUAACAUACUCUAAAUGGUGUGGGGGAAUCACUAUUCCCCCACACCUAAAUCACUGGAUUACAUAAGUAAUCCACAGUGAUUCUCCCUCUUUUUUUUUUUAAUUUUUCUCCUUUUUUUUUGUUUUUUUUUCAAAAUCAUUUUUUUUUCAAAAUUACCUUUUUUUUUCAACUUUCCUAUUUUUUUUCAUUUAUUUUUUUUUCAAAAUUUUUUUUGUUGAUUUUACUUUUUAAAUAUUAACCUAGUUAAAAAUUUUAUUUUGUAAUUUUUUUCUUUAAAAUACUAUGGAUUGCUGUGAUAUUUUUUCACAUAGUUUUUCUAUUUUAUUUCUUUAUUUUUCAAAAUUAUAUUUGUCGAUUUUUUUUAAUAUUAAGCUGAUUGAUAAUUUAGUUUUGUAAUUUUUUUUCUUUAAAACAUUGUUAAUUGCUACAGUGUUUCUCCGCAUAGUUUUUCUAGAUUCCUUCUAAAAAAAUUAACGAGGAAACACUCGCUCGCUCGCACGCACGCAUGUAUCUGUAUUUUUGUUAAGCAAACAGAUUAAUUCCUCAAGUUGAUUUAAAUAAUUAAUUGAUCCUUUAAUCAUAUUUUACCAUCAAGUUAGCGGCACAAACUAAGGAAAUAUUGCUGACAGCUCAGCAUUUUUCUAACGAAAAAUUAAUGAAGGGACUGAAUUGUAAACGUAUUUAAAAGUAUAGGGAUUAGUUAGAACAACUAGUUAUCAUUGUCUCUGAGAAUUAAUAUACAACUCAGCAUUUUGUUGAAGGACCAGGGGUGCAAGUGUCUUUAGUAUUGCAGUAGCUGUUGUAGUUAUGGUUUGAAAACAAUUAUUUUAUAAAAUGUACUUUUAGUUGAGGUUGGUUUGAAAAAAUAUAUGUUUAGUUAAAACUGUGGUUGAAAUUGAGGUUAAACAAAAAGUAGUUUAAUAUGUUUGAUUAAAAAUGCUUUUGAAAUUGAGAUUAUAAAAUAAUUUUAAAAAAUAUAUAUUAAUAUUUAUGGUUUUUAAUUUAAAUAUUAUAGAUUUAACUAUUGUUAUUACAUCAUGAAAUAAAUAAUACUUUAUAUGAAAUAUUUUUUAUUAUUCCAUUAAACUAUCUACAAUUCCAUCACGUAUGAAAUACAUCCAACAAGGACUACAGUUUCAUAAAUUUCUUACGAGCGCAACAACAUCAGGUAAAAUAUAAUCAGAAACAAAAUUAGGAUUGCGAUCAAAUUCUGUAAAUGCUACGUCAUCAAGCGAUCUCCGUCUAAUUAAUGUAGUGUCAUUGAAUAAUAUUUAACACUAGUUUUUCGAAUAAAACACAAUAUCUGUGAAAUUUUUUUGGAUUUUUUUAUUUUACUAGGUCACACCCGGUUCAAUGCAUUUAGGUUUGGAAUGGACCCGGGUCAAUGCAUUUAGGUUUGGGUCGGACCCGGUCCGACCCAUAUGGGUUGGGCUAAACCCAGCCAGCCUGGCCCGAUCACUGGCCCAAGCCAGUGACCCAGCUGGGCAAAGCAACAUGCGUGUACUAAAUUCACGCGUGUUGCUACACUGUUCAAGUGAAUUAAAAUUCACUUGAAUAGUAUAAUGUUGAUAAAAGCAAAGUGGGAGGAAGAUGAAAGUUGAGCACUUUUCUAUUCCUCUGUUCUGCUCCUUCUCCUCUCACAGUGUCUGCUUGGUGAUGGAGUUGGACUUUUUCCCUGUUUUCCCCAGCCACUCAUUCUCCUUCUUCUUCUUCUUCUUCUGCACUUCCAUGUCUCCAUUGUUCACGUGAACAGUGGAGACAUGGAAGUGCAAAAGAAAAAGAAAAAACACGCGCUUCUGGUUACUGGAAGAAGAAGAAAAAACGCGCGCUUCUGGUUACUGGAAGGAAGUUCAGUUGCGCGCCUCUGGUUACUGUGCUAUAACAUAGUUUGCAAAAAAAGCAGCUCCAAGCUGCUUUGUUCUCCCCCUGCGUUGUAAACGCAGUAAACAAUGGGGCCCAUGCAGAAUAAAUCUUGUUUUUUUCUUUACCAAACAACUUAAAUCUACAGUUUACUUAAAAUGCAACCGCAGCCGCAUAAACAAACGGACUCAAAGGUACAUUUAUAUAUUAUCUAGUUUUACAAUAUCAAUCAUAUCUCUCAAUCCGACUAGUGGAUCAGACUGAAAUUUUAUGAAGAUUUUCCUAACAUAUUGUUAUAACUAAGGUUGAAAUUAAUUAUAGGGAAAUUGGAGUUUAAAAAGGCUUUGUGAGACUGCUGGUGACAUUUUCAUAAUUUUGUUUUGAAAGGUUUUUUUUUUUGUUCUUUUUUUAGAUUAAUUUUUUUUCCAAUUUAACCAUUCAAUAAUAGAUUUAUUUAGAAUUUAGCUUUAUAAUUUGUUUUGAUUUACUUUAUUUAGUGUUAUUAUGGUCUUAUAACCUGGAUUACAGAUUUAGAAGGUUAACUUGAGUUGACCUGGGUUGAUCCAAUUUGUUGUCAUUCCAAUAUAGUUUUUUUAAAAUAUGCUAUCUUAAAUUUUUUUGAGUCAAAUUCUAUUUUUACUAGUCGUUCAGGUUGUCUUUGGACCCAUCUAGUUGAUCGGGUUAUAUCGGUUCAACUCUCAUUUUUUUUCUUGUGUUUGAAAUUUAAAUUGCAUAAUUUCAAGUUAGUUUAUCUUUAAAUUUGAAUUGAAAUUAUAUUUAUUAAUUAAUAUAUAUAUAUAUAUAUAUAUAUAUAUAAAAUCCCGAAACAGCACACCGAAAUACUUUAAAACCAAAACAUACCGUUUCAAUUAAAAAAAUAAAACACUAACCGGUAUGAAAUUGAGAACUUGACAUGAUAUGUUUAAAAUGAGCAUCAUCGAACCAUUCAGAGCAACCGUGUACAUAACAAGGGCGUCCCCUUCUCCGUCCAGAGAUUAGGCACUGAAUCCUUCGUUACAGUUAGAGGAGGCGAAGCUUGUCAAGCUUACAAUGGCGCGAAUCUUACUCUAGUCAUCGUCACUUGAUCACUAUUGAUUUAUUUUUCAUCAACACUACUGAUCACUUGUUUGUAUGUAUGCUGUUGUUGAUGAUGAGAAUUGAGGGUGGUAGAAUUUGAGGAUUUUUAUUCUGGAAUAACUUGGUAUGGUUUAAAAUAAUUUAUCAAUGAAGAUUUUAUUCUGGAAUAGUUGUGGGUUGGGUAUGUCUGCUAAGAGGGCCUCUAUUAGGAAUACAAUAACGCAUAAUGAUAUUGAAGUGUGUUUCUUGCUUGAAACCAAGAGGUCACUAUAACACUAGGGAUAAAAUCUAUUACAAACAUCUUGAAACUCUUUCAAAAUCGCACUUACUUUUUCAAGUGGUUUCUCUAAAACUUUCUUAGCCACUAAAGCAAAUACAACGAACUAGAUCUUUCUACUCUUAAGAGUGAAAUAGUAAGAAUUUGACAUACCAAAAAUGAUGAUGUCUAUAUCACAGAGACAUUGUAUACCUAACAUAUCCUACAUUUAUUGGAGUCACAUCACACUCUCAUCACGGUAACUUGAGAAAUUAAUAGGAAAAUACAUAUCUCUUUGAUUGUUAUGGAAGUGUUAUUAACCCAUGAUUUUUAUCAAUAAUGUAGUUUAUACCCAGCCCUUUUUGUUUUUUUUUUGGAGGAACCACCGAUGCCCAUUUAACAUUGCAUAGUUUUUUUCCCUCCUUCCUCCUAAGAACCAAAGAAAGAUAUGAUAUGUUUCUCAAUUUUGGUAGCAACAGUGGAUGUGAUAGGAAAUAAAGAAAGGUUGUAGAUAGGGAGAUUAUUUAUAAUUGAUUUAAGCAAGCACACUCUCUCACCAAUAGAUAAGUGACGCCCUUUCCAGGCAGCCAACUUGCUAUUGAUUCUAUUAACAAUAGUUUUCCACAUGAGAUGAAGAUGCACAAAUAGGCAGGCCCAAAUACUUAAAUGGCAUCCCCUCCAUUCUACAUAUUAGAUUGCUAGCAGUUGAAGAAGUAAUAAUAGUUCCAGUGAUUGAGUACUUGUGGAAAUUAACCUUCAGCCUAUAAAUCAACUCAAAACAUCACAUAGUUCUUUUGAUGUUUUGAAGAGAUGGAAAAUCAUAUGAACUGAAGAUGAGUGUCUCAUCUACAAACUGAAAGUGAGUAAUUUUCAGUUGAUCAUGACCAAAACAAAUACCUUUUAUAAGUCCCAAAUCACAUCUCUUUUUAGCAUUCUAACCCUCAGUUGCUAUAUUGAAAAGAGAUGUUGAUAAAGAGUACCCUUGUCGCAAUCCCUUUUCCAUAAAGAACUCUUUAGUUGGAGAGCCAUUCACAAGAAUUCAAAGUUUUGUUGUCGAAAUUAAUACAUUAUUGUAUCCAUCAUCUCCAUCGUAAACCAAAACCCACACAAGCCGUAACUGUUGAAAUACCUGGGCAGUAAUUGUUGUGCGUGGUCUAGGAUCGUGUGUGAUACCACCGGAAGGCGAGUGAUCCAACUCUCUCUUGGGGGUGCUGGGGAUUGGGGGUUAGGCGAGUGGGUUCUCAACGCAUCUUUGUUUCUGCCUUUUAAAGAAUUGCAAAGUCUUGAUUUGAAGGCUAAUGAAUUAGUUGGGUGCCUUUGAGCAUCAAGGUUGUUUCAUAUUAUUGUGUUAUACUAAAAUUAAAACUGAUGAAAUGGCUGCUGUUUAACGCUACUUAUUUUGCUUUGAUAUUUCUCUUGCAGGUUUCGGAGUGUUGAAGCCUUGUACGUAUUAAUUUUCGUAAGUUCUCCAACUUCAGAAGAUCUUAGCAUGGGAGUACUGAAUUUGUUGUUGUUGCUGGUGGGGGAAUAAGUGGUUUGCUUCUUGCAUUCUGGGCCCAAAAUUGUGUUAGUUCGAAACUUGUCGGCAAUUUUCUUGAAUGUGUCCAGCUAAUGGGUGCUUUAAGUGUUGACCUCAUAGCUUAGCCUUAUUGUUGAUCGUUUCAAUAGAGAAGUGUUGUAACUAUAUUUAUCUGUGGAAUCCUAAGUCUGUCUUGUUUAAUUACUUUGUGUUCGCUAUUUUUUUUUAAAAAAAAAUUUGCACUGACCAUCAUGUUGGAGUAUUCUGAUCAAGAAAUUAACAAUGAUAGAGUCCACCUUCAAGUUCAGUUUCUUAUUAAUCUCUUCCUAAUUUAACAUAAAAAAUAAAAAAACUAUACAGAAAACUCCUACUAAAACUAACUCUUUCAACUUGUCUGAAGGUGUAUGCACUACAGAUAUUCUCUUUAAUGAUGAAGAUCUGUUGCUUGGAUCAAAAUUCCAUAAACAUUAUUUUUUUUAUUAAAAGAUAUAUUAAUGAAGAGAUGGUAAAUUGUAUCUUGAUGGAUAAUCAUUCAACUAUUAAUAUACUAGCUCUUAAGAUUAUAAAAGAGCUCGAGAUUUAUAUUUAUGUUUAUAUAUAAAAAAACAAUGUCAUUUUGACACACAAAUAUAAAAUUAGAUUGAUGCAAGUAGACCCUAUAAAAAACCAUGAUACAAAUCUUACUCGAGGUUAAACCACGAGCAGUGUCUAACGAGGAUUGUUUGGAAAAGGAUUCUGGAAGCCCACCAGUAUGCGUAAGGAAAUCACCAGGAAAUUACUCAUCUUGGCCAGUAGUGCUAUAAAGAAGAGAAAGUGGUAUAUCUACUUUCUCAUCAAUUACGACAAUAAUUGACUCCCAGUCAAUACGAUCCACGCAAAUUGUUUGGUGAGGUUUACAUGCCAACAAAACUAAUUUGAAUAUUUUUAACGUGGGUAAACUAUUAAAUGUUGUAGUGAGGUAACAUUAUGUUUUCUUUAUUUCAAGAUAAAAAAAAUAUUAUAUUUAGAAAGGUUUCCGAUUAAUUAAAUAGGUUAUAAAAAUAUAAUUGCUUAGUGGUAUAGAUCAUGAAAAUAUGAUUGCUUAGUGGUUGUUUAAUGGUAUAGAAGUAUGAGGUUGACAAUUAGACAACAAAGUUAGAAGUUGUUAGUUUAAGUAUUUUAUAGGGCCACUGUUUGAUCCAAAAAAAUGAUUUGAAUAGAUACAGUUUUUUACCCAAAUUUUAUAUAUAGAAAAAGCUUGUUCUCUCUGGUUUUUAAACGGUGCAUUAAUCCAGUUUUUAUAGAAAUAGCUAUGAUGAAAAUAGUAAAGAAUACGUUGACUAUCUGUCAAUAAUGCUCAGGAAUGAUUUCAGGGUUUAUUAUAAAUUAUAUAUAAAAAAAUUGCUAUCUAAAUUAUAUACAUGGAUGAAGACUAGUUUACAACUCCAAAAGCAUAAUAGAAUUCUGAAUGUUCUAGGAGCUGUGAUUAGUUUAUUAGGUAUCAUGCAGUUAACAAAUUAUUGUAGUUAAGUGUUGGAGGGAUUUUAAGAGGUUAUAUGCUUGCCAAUAGGUUUUUUGAGCUAAGAUUUUAGACCACGCAAAGUAUAGAGAAGUUAGUAGCAGCGAGCAAGAACCCUGAACUCACUAGCCACGCUAAUAUUAGAAAUGUGAGGAAUCAUUAGCAAAAAGUAAAAACAAAUAAUGACAUAAGCAAGUGUCAGUCAAGUAAUAUACAACAUCAAAAUACAUAAACAUCAAAUAGUAAUUUUGUUGAAUCAGAAGAACCCUUCAUUUAUGGCUAUGUUCCAAGAUAUAUAAGUGAAUUAGUUGCAAAACAGGGAGUCUUUGUGAAAACAUUACAAUAGCAUUUACUCUGAGCAAGAACACCUCCAUGCAUGUGCUGUAAUUGACAAAGAAAAGAAGAGAAAUCCUUUCAAUUUAUGAAAAUGCAAUGAGUUAACCUUAUCUCACACUGCAAUAUAUACUCUACAGUAUUCAUGUAUGAAAACAUUUGAACGGGAAUAAAUAAAAUAAUUCAUCAAACAAUAUGAGAGUUGUUUGGAAAAAGAUUCUGGAAGACCACCAAUAUGCAUAAGGAAAUCACCAGGAAAUUACUGCAUGGUUGUGCUUAAAAAUCAAAAGGGCACACAGCAAGUCAAGCAUCCGCGUUCACAACCUUUUAAUGCUUUAAAUCAUCUUCGCCAGUAGUGCUAUAAAAAAGAGAAAGUGAUAUAUCCACUUUCUCAUCAAUUACUUUAGAUUUGUGGAAGAUAUGAUACAAGAGAAAGUGGUAUAUCCACACUCUAUAAUGGGUGGCAAGCUCCUUGCUUUUCACGUGAUGAUGCGGAUAAGAUGUUGCUUGUUCUUACAGGGAGAGGAAGCCCAGCUCCAGACAGCAGAAGGGAGAUCGUUUUCCUACAUCUUCAUCAUUAGAGCACAGCAAUAACUCAAAGCUAUCUUUAAAUUACAAGGGUUUAUUAAUCAAUUUUAUUAAAUUAUAUGGACUGGGUUAUAUAUAUUUAUCUCCUAUAUACUUUCCUGUCAUUGUUCAUCGGUGAGGUGAUAUGACGGAAGCUCAUCAUGCAUGAAACCACAUUCGAUAAUUUUGAUACCGAAAAUAAAAUCAAUAAUUUAAUGUUUUUCAUUCAAAAAAAAAAACAUCAAGACUCAUAUGUAUCCAUUCACAUGAAAAAAAAAAAGAAAUGAAAUGAAAUGAAUUAAGUAGGAAAAAUUCUUUUUUUUUUUAUAGAUACAAAUGAUAUUGAUAAUGCGUGAUCAUAAUAGAUUUCAAUCAUAUGAUCACGCAUUAUCAAUAUGGUAACUACUACUAGUACUUUAAGUAGCAAAAAAAAACAAUUAAAAGGUUGUAAUAUCACGCUUUUUUUUUUAUGCAUGUCUUUUCUUGUGCUUUACAGGUUUUUUUUCUUAAAUGAUAUUAUUAUGGUAAAAAAAAUCAGGUUUUCAACUAACUUAACCCUAGUUAAAAAAACCUUACUACGAAACAAUAAAGGAGAUCUUUCUACGAAAAAAAAUAAAAAUAUUAGAGAGAGAGAGAGANNNNNNNNNNNNNNNNNNNNNNNNNNNNNNNNNNNNNNNNNNNNNNNNNNNNNNNNNNNNNNNNNNNNNNNNNNNNNNNNNNNNNNNNNNNNNNNNNNNNNNNNNNNNNNNNNNNNNNNNNNNNNNNNNNNNNNNNNNNNNNNNNNNNNNNNNNNNNNNNNNNNNNNNNNNNNNNNNNNNNNNNNNNNNNNNNNNNNNNNNNNNNNNNNNNNNNNNNNNNNNNNNNNNNNNNNNNNNNNNNNNNNNNNNNNNNNNNNNNNNNNNNNNNNNNNNNNNNNNNNNNNNNNNNNNNNNNNNNNNNNNNNNNNNNNNNNNNNNNNNNNNNNNNNNNNNNNNNNNNNNNNNNNNNNNNNNNNNNNNNNNNNNNNNNNNNNNNNNNNNNNNNNNNNNNNNNNNNNNNNNNNNNNNNNNNNNNNNNNNNNNNNNNNNNNNNNNNNNNNNNNNNNNNNNNNNNNNNNNNNNNNNNNNNNNNNNNNNNNNNNNNNNNNNNNNNNNNNNNNNNNNNNNNNNNNNNNNNNNNNNNNNNNNNNNNNNNNNNNNNNNNNNNNNNNNNNNNNNNNNNNNNNNNNNNNNNNNNNNNNNNNNNNNNNNNNNNNNNNNNNNNNNNNNNNNNNNNNNNNNNNNNNNNNNNNNNNNNNNNNNNNNNNNNNNNNNNNNNNNNNNNNNNNNNNNNNNNNNNNNNNNNNNNNNNNNNNNNNNNNNNNNNNNNNNNNNNNNNNNNNNNNNNNNNNNNNNNNNNNNNNNNNNNNNNNNNNNNNNNNNNNNNNNNNNNNNNNNNNNNNNNNNNNNNNNNNNNNNNNNNNNNNNNNNNNNNNNNNNNNNNNNNNNNNNNNNNNNNNNNNNNNNNNNNNNNNNNNNNNNNNNNNNNNNNNNNNNNNNNNNNNNNNNNNNNNNNNNNNNNNNNNNNNNNNNNNNNNNNNNNNNNNNNNNNNNNNNNNNNNNNNNNNNNNNNNNNNNNNNNNNNNNNNNNNNNNNNNNNNNNNNNNNNNNNNNNNNNNNNNNNNNNNNNNNNNNNNNNNNNNNNNNNNNNNNNNNNNNNNNNNNNNNNNNNNNNNNNNNNNNNNNNNNNNNNNNNNNNNNNNNNNNNNNNNNNNNNNNNNNNNNNNNNNNNNNNNNNNNNNNNNNNNNNNNNNNNNNNNNNNNNNNNNNNNNNNNNNNNNNNNNNNNNNNNNNNNNNNNNNNNNNNNNNNNNNNNNNNNNNNNNNNNNNNNNNNNNNNNNNNNNNNNNNNNNNNNNNNNNNNNNNNNNNNNNNNNNNNNNNNNNNNNNNNNNNNNNNNNNNNNNNNNNNNNNNNNNNNNNNNNNNNNNNNNNNNNNNNNNNNNNNNNNNNNNNNNNNNNNNNNNNNNNNNNNNNNNNNNNNNNNNNNNNNNNNNNNNNNNNNNNNNNNNNNNNNNNNNNNNNNNNNNNNNNNNNNNNNNNNNNNNNNNNNNNNNNNNNNNNNNNNNNNNNNNNNNNNNNNNNNNNNNNNNNNNNNNNNNNNNNNNNNNNNNNNNNNNNNNNNNNNNNNNNNNNNNNNNNNNNNNNNNNNNNNNNNNNNNNNNNNNNNNNNNNNNNNNNNNNNNNNNNNNNNNNNNNNNNNNNNNNNNNNNNNNNNNNNNNNNNNNNNNNNNNNNNNNNNNNNNNNNNNNNNNNNNNNNNNNNNNNNNNNNNNNNNNNNNNNNNNNNNNNNNNNNNNNNNNNNNNNNNNNNNNNNNNNNNNNNNNNNNNNNNNNNNNNNNNNNNNNNNNNNNNNNNNNNNNNNNNNNNNNNNNNNNNNNNNNNNNNNNNNNNNNNNNNNNNNNNNNNNNNNNNNNNNNNNNNNNNNNNNNNNNNNNNNNNNNNNNNNNNNNNNNNNNNNNNNNNNNNNNNNNNNNNNNNNNNNNNNNNNNNNNNNNNNNNNNNNNNNNNNNNNNNNNNNNNNNNNNNNNNNNNNNNNNNNNNNNNNNNNNNNNNNNNNNNNNNNNNNNNNNNNNNNNNNNNNNNNNNNNNNNNNNNNNNNNNNNNNNNNNNNNNNNNNNNNNNNNNNNNNNNNNNNNNNNNNNNNNNNNNNNNNNNNNNNNNNNNNNNNNNNNNNNNNNNNNNNNNNNNNNNNNNNNNNNNNNNNNNNNNNNNNNNNNNNNNNNNNNNNNNNNNNNNNNNNNNNNNNNNNNNNNNNNNNNNNNNNNNNNNNNNNNNNNNNNNNNNNNNNNNNNNNNNNNNNNNNNNNNNNNNNNNNNNNNNNNNNNNNNNNNNNNNNNNNNNNNNNNNNNNNNNNNNNNNNNNNNNNNNNNNNNNNNNNNNNNNNNNNNNNNNNNNNNNNNNNNNNNNNNNNNNNNNNNNNNNNNNNNNNNNNNNNNNNNNNNNNNNNNNNNNNNNNNNNNNNNNNNNNNNNNNNNNNNNNNNNNNNNNNNNNNNNNNNNNNNNNNNNNNNNNNNNNNNNNNNNNNNNNNNNNNNNNNNNNNNNNNNNNNNNNNNNNNNNNNNNNNNNNNNNNNNNNNNNNNNNNNNNNNNNNNNNNNNNNNNNNNNNNNNNNNNNNNNNNNNNNNNNNNNNNNNNNNNNNNNNNNNNNNNNNNNNNNNNNNNNNNNNNNNNNNNNNNNNNNNNNNNNNNNNNNNNNNNNNNNNNNNNNNNNNNNNNNNNNNNNNNNNNNNNNNNNNNNNNNNNNNNNNNNNNNNNNNNNNNNNNNNNNNNNNNNNNNNNNNNNNNNNNNNNNNNNNNNNNNNNNNNNNNNNNNNNNNNNNNNNNNNNNNNNNNNNNNNNNNNNNNNNNNNNNNNNNNNNNNNNNNNNNNNNNNNNNNNNNNNNNNNNNNNNNNNNNNNNNNNNNNNNNNNNNNNNNNNNNNNNNNNNNNNNNNNNNNNNNNNNNNNNNNNNNNNNNNNNNNNNNNNNNNNNNNNNNNNNNNNNNNNNNNNNNNNNNNNNNNNNNNNNNNNNNNNNNNNNNNNNNNNNNNNNNNNNNNNNNNNNNNNNNNNNNNNNNNNNNNNNNNNNNNNNNNNNNNNNNNNNNNNNNNNNNNNNNNNNNNNNNNNNNNNNNNNNNNNNNNNNNNNNNNNNNNNNNNNNNNNNNNNNNNNNNNNNNNNNNNNNNNNNNNNNNNNNNNNNNNNNNNNNNNNNNNNNNNNNNNNNNNNNNNNNNNNNNNNNNNNNNNNNNNNNNNNNNNNNNNNNNNNNNNNNNNNNNNNNNNNNNNNNNNNNNNNNNNNNNNNNNNNNNNNNNNNNNNNNNNNNNNNNNNNNNNNNNNNNNNNNNNNNNNNNNNNNNNNNNNNNNNNNNNNNNNNNNNNNNNNNNNNNNNNNNNNNNNNNNNNNNNNNNNNNNNNNNNNNNNNNNNNNNNNNNNNNNNNNNNNNNNNNNNNNNNNNNNNNNNNNNNNNNNNNNNNNNNNNNNNNNNNNNNNNNNNNNNNNNNNNNNNNNNNNNNNNNNNNNNNNNNNNNNNNNNNNNNNNNNNNNNNNNNNNNNNNNNNNNNNNNNNNNNNNNNNNNNNNNNNNNNNNNNNNNNNNNNNNNNNNNNNNNNNNNNNNNNNNNNNNNNNNNNNNNNNNNNNNNNNNNNNNNNNNNNNNNNNNNNNNNNNNNNNNNNNNNNNNNNNNNNNNNNNNNNNNNNNNNNNNNNNNNNNNNNNNNNNNNNNNNNNNNNNNNNNNNNNNNNNNNNNNNNNNNNNNNNNNNNNNNNNNNNNNNNNNNNNNNNNNNNNNNNNNNNNNNNNNNNNNNNNNNNNNNNNNNNNNNNNNNNNNNNNNNNNNNNNNNNNNNNNNNNNNNNNNNNNNNNNNNNNNNNNNNNNNNNNNNNNNNNNNNNNNNNNNNNNNNNNNNNNNNNNNNNNNNNNNNNNNNNNNNNNNNNNNNNNNNNNNNNNNNNNNNNNNNNNNNNNNNNNNNNNNNNNNNNNNNNNNNNNNNNNNNNNNNNNNNNNNNNNNNNNNNNNNNNNNNNNNNNNNNNNNNNNNNNNNNNNNNNNNNNNNNNNNNNNNNNNNNNNNNNNNNNNNNNNNNNNNNNNNNNNNNNNNNNNNNNNNNNNNNNNNNNNNNNNNNNNNNNNNNNNNNNNNNNNNNNNNNNNNNNNNNNNNNNNNNNNNNNNNNNNNNNNNNNNNNNNNNNNNNNNNNNNNNNNNNNNNNNNNNNNNNNNNNNNNNNNNNNNNNNNNNNNNNNNNNNNNNNNNNNNNNNNNNNNNNNNNNNNNNNNNNNNNNNNNNNNNNNNNNNNNNNNNNNNNNNNNNNNNNNNNNNNNNNNNNNNNNNNNNNNNNNNNNNNNNNNNNNNNNNNNNNNNNNNNNNNNNNNNNNNNNNNNNNNNNNNNNNNNNNNNNNNNNNNNNNNNNNNNNNNNNNNNNNNNNNNNNNNNNNNNNNNNNNNNNNNNNNNNNNNNNNNNNNNNNNNNNNNNNNNNNNNNNNNNNNNNNNNNNNNNNNNNNNNNNNNNNNNNNNNNNNNNNNNNNNNNNNNNNNNNNNNNNNNNNNNNNNNNNNNNNNNNNNNNNNNNNNNNNNNNNNNNNNNNNNNNNNNNNNNNNNNNNNNNNNNNNNNNNNNNNNNNNNNNNNNNNNNNNNNNNNNNNNNNNNNNNNNNNNNNNNNNNNNNNNNNNNNNNNNNNNNNNNNNNNNNNNNNNNNNNNNNNNNNNNNNNNNNNNNNNNNNNNNNNNNNNNNNNNNNNNNNNNNNNNNNNNNNNNNNNNNNNNNNNNNNNNNNNNNNNNNNNNCAGAUGGCUGGAAUAGACCAAAAAUUCCAGCAAGAGUUUAGGUAAAAUUCAUGGAACAAGAUAACAUUAUGAACAAGAUGAAAUAUUUUUUAAUUUAUUUAGUUUUUUAAAUUAAAAUAAAAUAUACCUGACAUAAUUAAAUUAAACACCAUAACUUUUAGAGCCCCUAGCAUACGGCCCCAUCUCGUGGAAAAAAUGCAUGAUGGCAAUAGUCUCAUGGACCAAUGUGCAGAUGGCAAUGGACUCAUAAAUGCAUGAUGGUGAUUGCCUGUCGAACCCAUCUUGAGGGAAAAAAAAAUGCAACGUUAGGAGGAUUGCCACCAUUUGUAGUGAUAUUUUCACUGUUAGAGACAUACAGUAGUUUUAUCAAGGAACGAAGAUAUUUUCGGAGAAUAACAUUUAUAGUGACACUUUUAUGCAAUUCAAUUUUUUCUUUUUUUUAGAUCAACAUGACUUUCUUAAGCUAGUUGUAGUAUAUAGAAUUUUUUUAAAAUAAAAAAUAAAAAUAUAAUUCGCAUCCAAGUAAAUACCUCCACAAAUAUAAUACCAUUGAAAGUUGCAUCAUGUAUUAAUCUAAGGUCCAUUGUCCGUUAAUUAAUCAGUGGUUGCAUUCUAACACUUGAGAUUGAAAGAUAUGAUUGAUAUCAUAAAAAUAUACUAUAUUUUUUUUAUAAAAGCAAAAUAAAAUAUUAUUUAGUCAUAAUAAAAUGGCUGGAAUAGAACCCAAAUAUUCCGGCUAGAAUUUAAAUAAAAUUUAUGAAACGAGAUAAGAUUUUAAACUAGAUGAAAUAUCUUUAAAUUUAUUCAGUUUUUUAUAUUGAAAUAAAAUAUACAUGUCAUUUCAGACAUGACAUAAUGAAAUUAAAAACCAUAGCUUUUAGAGCUCCAAGCAUACGGCCCCAUCUCGUGGAAAAAUGCAUGAUGGUUGGAAGAGGACGUCUCAUGGCCUCUCCUCGAGGAAAAAUGCAUGAUGGCAACGGUCUUAGGGACCAAUGUGCAGAUGGAAAUGGUCUCGAGGAGUUUAGGCUUCUAUCAAGCAAGGUUGUCAAUUCCAUUAGUGUUUUAUUUUUUUAAUUGUAACAAUAUAUUUUGGUUUUUGAGUAUUUUGACGUGUCAUUUUAGAUUGUUUUAUAUAUACUUUGAACUCAUUAAAUCGAUUGAGUCAUAUUAAUUUAACUCUUUAUUUUUAUUUAUAAUUGAAAUUUAAAUUGUAUAAUUUCAAGUUAGUUUAUUUUUAAAUAUCAAUUAAAAUUAUGUUUGUUAAAAAUAUUGAGAUAACAACAUAUUAGAUCGACCUAGGUUAAUCUAGGUUAAUCUUUUAAAUCCGUGACCCAGAUCAUGAGACCAUAAUAAUCUCAAAUAAAAACAAAUUAUAAAUCAAAAUUUUUUAUAAAUCUAUUAUUGAAUUAUGAAAUUGAAAAAAAAAUCAAUAUAAAAAAAGACACAAAAAAUGACCUUACAAAACAAAAUUAUUAAUUUAAAUAAAAUUAUAAAAAUAUCAUCGGCAAUCUCACAAAGUCUUUCUAAACUCUAAUUGUUCUAAAAUUUUAACUUGCAAUAUAAAUAUAUGUUAGAAGAUUCCUCGUAAAAAUCCAACAGUUGAAUUGAGAGAUAUAACUAAUACCAUAAAACUAGACUACAUUUUUUUUUUAUAAAAGCAAAACAAAACAUUAUUUGAUCAUAUAAGUUCAUAGCUCUUAAAGACAAGAAAUAUACCACAAGAUUUAAAACUAUUUUAUAUUUCAUUAAAAUAAAUAAAUAAAUUACUUAUAUGGUUACAAUAACAACAUUCCCAAUUAAACAAAAGUUCAUAGCUUUUUAUAAUGCUUCUAAUCUGAAUAUCUUUUAGAAAAAAAAUAGUUUUAUUUUGGUUUGAUUUUUUUUUAAUUUUAUAUCUUAUAAUUUUUUUUAAUUUUAAUUUUAUAUUAAUUUUGGUUAUCAUUUAGUUUUUUUUAUUUUUUUAAUUAAGAUUUUUUAUCUAUCAGAUUUAAUUUUUAUAAUUAUUUUUUUAAUAUUUAUUUUAUUUAAAAUAAUUUAUAAGAUUAUAAUUAUUUUUUUUAAUUUUAUCAUCUUUUAAUUUCAAUUUUUUUUUAUAUGUCAUGCACAGCUAAGGCACCCAUCCCUUUGUAUAAAAAAUGAUUUGACGGUGCUUGGAUUGGGUGUAUGCCUACGUACUUAGUUUUCUAAACAGGCCUUGAGCUUUAUUUUUUUCUAUGCAGUAUUAUAUAUUCAAUUCUUUAAUAGUUAGAAAAUACAAAGAGUUAGUGACACUUACACAGGGUAUUUGUAUCUUGUUUUUUCUAAUUAAAAACUUGUAUUGAUUGAUUUAUUUAUUUUAAUUUAAAUACUUGCUUUUAAUUAUGAAUUUUUAUCAAUCAAGUCUCCAUAUUAGUUUUGUUGCCAGAAUGCAAAUAACACGACUAAUAAUAUUUUAUUUUCAAUUUUUUUCAAGACUUAAAUUUUCCACACGUAAUUUCUAAAAAAAAAGUAGCAAGUUUUCUUUAUCUAUCAUCGUCAUGUGCCUGGCAUUAACCUUUUAUUCAUGUUUUUUUCAAAAAUAAAUAAAUAAAUAAACUUGACUCAACGUACGUUUCAAGAAGGAAUAUCAGUUUCGGUUAAUUACUUAAUUUUAUGCAAUUCAUUUUUUUUUUCUGUACUCUAUGGUUUCGAUGAAGAUGACUUUCUUAAGCUAGUUGUAGUAUAUAGAAAUUUCUUGUAGCAUUUUAGAAAUAUAAUUCACAUCUCAAUUGAUAAAUUCACAAAUUAAUAUAAUAAGUUUUAAUAUUUAUUUUUAAUAUAUAUUUUUAAUUUAAUAUUAAUAGAAUAAUAGUUAUAAAGUUUAUUUAGUUAACAAAAAAUGUUCCACUUUUGUUCUCUAUCUAUCACUUUUCCUUUUAAAGGGCUUAUGUACAUCCUGCAUAUAUUUUGAAGUUUAUUUAUUUUUAAUUUAAUAUAUAAAAUCUUUUUUAUAGCUGAAUUUUAUUUUUUGAAAAUAAAAAGAAAUUUAUUUUCAAAUAAUAUUUUUAAUAUGUGCAGCCUUGCAUAUUAUUUUUUCCUUUUAUUUUAUUCAAUCAAUUUAUAAUGUGUAUAUGUUUUUAUUAUUGUUUGAUCGAAUUAAAAAAUUAUUUUAAUUUGAAUUUUUAGAAAAUACAAUUGCGUAAAUGUCAUGUCUUUUGAAAUUAAAUAUUUUGAUUUACACCUGUCUCUUAAUUUUUUUAGUUUUUAUUUUGAGUCAUCGUUUAUGGUUUUUUUUCAUUUAUUAACACAUAUAAUUCUCGAUUUAUUUGACUAUAUUUGUAUAUAAAUUUUUUAAUUUUAACUUAAUGUUUUUAAAAUAAAAAAUAUAUUAAAGAAAUCUAUUAUAAUUUUUUUAAUUAAACAAAUUUAACUUGCGAUAAAGCUCUGAUCAAAUAACUAAGUCCAUGUACUAAAAUGAGUGGCACUCGAAAGUUCACUUACCUUAUCUUCCAAGCAAGAAGAGACAAGAAAAGCAGUAGGUGAUGUUCUUUUCUCCGAAUAUAAAUAGAUGAAGGGAUUAAUACCAAAAAUAUGGACAAAAAUUGAUGUAGACCCGCACCACUUAGAUUAUUCUUCACUUUCUUCACUCUUACUGUGUUUCACUACUCGAUGAUUCAAAAGUUAUUUAUUUAAAACAAUUUCAUUUUUUUAAAAUAUUUUACAAUAUGGUUACAAUAUUUUUUUCUUAAGAAAAUAAAUUGAUGUCAUGUGUUAAUAACAUUUAAGGAUUUUUUCCAAUCAAAUAAUCAAAUUUAUUUUAAUUAAAAAGUUUCGUAUCAAUAACAGCAUUCCUAAUUAAACCAAAGUUUCUCCACGAACCCAUCUCGUGGAAAAAAAUGCAUGAUGGUUGGAAGAGGACGUCUCAUGGCCUCUCCUCGAGGAAAAAUGCAAGAUAAGAUAUUGCAUAGAAGCAGCUGAUUCGAUUAUAGCCUCCAAAGUGCUGUCGAUGGCUUACUCUUCACCUUAUACUCCAUUUGAUUUCUUUCGCCGGUAUUGAUCAUUCGAUUAUAGGCUCAUUUUUCUAUGUUCCCCGGCAUGUGUCAUUAUUUCAUUUAUGGGGUCCAAGAGGGUUUCUGGGAAAUUGCCUGCCUCUCAGCUUUUUAAUUGAAACCACUAGUGAAACGACUUGGUCAGAUUUUGGUAGAUUCUCAGUUUGCUCCUUCAGAUUUCUCAAUUUCAUCUUGAAAUUUUAGUUUGUAGCAAUCGCCUUCUAUAGUUAGUAAAAAAGACGACGAAAUUUGAGAGAAUUAGUUUUUCUAGAAAUUUAUAGGAUAUAAUUAAUAACUUGACUUUAAUUUAAAAGGAUUAAUGGACAUCAUGAAAUUUCAACUAAUAUAUAUAUAUAUAUAUAUAGGAACUGCAUGGCCAAAAAAAAAAAAAGAGUAAGUAUUUUCAAUAUUUUAGCUAACCAAUGCCGACUUGAUCAUUGAUGAAUUGUUUAUAUUGGAUGUAAAUAUAUUGCAAACAAUUAUCCACAUCCAAAUUAAGUUAAGGGUAUGUUUAUAAAAAUUAAAUUUUUUACGACCCUCCUUUUCAAUUGAAAUCUUGAAGGAUAACACAAGAAGUAUAUAUCAUUUUCUGACAAUAUUAGUGUAAGGUAAAACUAUAGAGAAAAUGAAGAAAAUAUUGUUAGAGAAUAAUAUCAAUCAUAUUUUGGGACCUCAUCUAACAACUUAAGUUAUUGGGUUGAGAUGGUUUUUUGACAUGGUAUCAGAGCCUUUAUGACCAAGCGGUCACGAGUUCGAAUCUCACUAUCCCUAUUUAUUUGAUAAAAAUUAAUCAUAAGGUAGGAGGUGUGUUAGAGAAUAAUAUAAAUCAUAUCUUGGGACCUUACCUAACAGUUUAAGCUAUUGGGUUGAGAUGGUUCUUUGACAUGGUAUUUGAGCCUUGAUGACUAAGCAGUUGCGAGUUCGAAUCUCACCAUCUUCAUUUAUUUGAUAAAAAUUAAGCACAAGGUAAUGUGGACCUGUGCAAAUUUCAAGUCCAAAAGGUUUUUACUUGAGAGAGUGUGUUAAAGAAUAAUAUAAAUCAUAUUUUGAGACCUUACCUAACAGCUUAAACUAUUGGGUUAAGAUGGUUCUUGGACACAAAUACACUACAUUAAGAUUUAUUUUUUAUACAAGUUGAAAUUAAAGCAUAUAUCAUCCCUUCUCAAGCUUGAGCGGAAAUGGUGUAACGGACCCAUCUCGUAGAAAAAAACGCUUGAUAGCAAUGACCUUACCUCAACCUUUUAUUCAUGUUUUUCCACAAAAGACUUUUGACUUGGGGUCAACUUGUCGGUUACUAAAAUCACUUUAAUUAUUCUUUCAAUCUUCCCGUGUGAUUCACUGCUUGGUGAUUCUAAAGUCACCUAUUUAAUAUUUAGUACAUUAUACAACUAAAUUUAUUCUUUCACUCGCUAUUUAUUAUAUAUUCAAUUCGUUAAUAGUUAGAAAUACAAAAGAGACAAAGACAAUUACUAAUGUAUUUAUAACCAGAAAACUUAGUGAUUAAUAAAUUAUCUUUGCUAGUUUUGUUAUAAAAUAAUGAUGUUAGAGUUAAUUGUUUUUAGAUGAGUAUGGAUUAAUUCUGUUUUAUUUUUAAUUUUUGAAUUAUAAAAAUAUAAAUAAAUUUAAAAUAAAUAUCUUUUUACAAUAGUCUUAAAGUAAAAUUUGUACUUUUAAAAUAAAAAAUAUAUAAAAGCAUGUUUUUUAUGUUCCCACUAUUUUUGUAUUUUAUAUCAUGCUAAUUAAAUGUUGCCUGGUUAACAUAACACUAAAUCAUAAUAAAAUAAAUUAAUUGUGGAAUGGCAUGGUAGUUUUAUCUAUUUGAUUGAAUUAAAUCUUAAAAUAAUACAAUUUUUUAUUAAUACUAGUCAAUAAGCUAACUUGAUCCAAAUCUUGAUUCGAGUAUUAGGCCAAUCUAUGACCUAAACCCUCAUCUAGUUAAAAAUCUUGAUAUAUCAAUAGGUAAUUUGUGAAAAAUCUGGAUUUGAGGUUGAAGAUGAAAAAAUUUCAGUUUGGUCCCUCAAUUUGUGAAACUUUCAGUUUAAUCCCUAAAUUUUGAAAAAAAAAUCAGUUUGGUCCCUAGAGCAUAAUCCAAGAUUCUAAACAAAAUUAAAGAAGAUUAUGGGCAAAAUUCCAGUAUAGUUAUGAAUAUGACAUUUUCAUUUUGGUCUUUCAUCAAUUUGAUAAAAUUAUAAUUUGACCCUUAAAAAUCUGCAAAAAUUCCAGUUUGGUCCCUAACUAUAAUUAAUAUUAGCUUUUUCCUAAUUUUUUAAACCUAUUAACUCUUUCACUCUAUUAUAAUCUAAAUAUAUUGAUUUAAAAAAUAAAAAUCACUCCACAAAUAAUAAAAUACUGUUAUCAAAACAAUUAAUUCUCAAGUCAAUAUACUCCAAGAGGCAGCCAUCCUUGCAAGAAACCAUCAUUACUAAAACCAUCAGCAUCAGAAGGAACAGCCCCAUCUUAUAAAUGCUGAUCAAUUGAUAUAGAGGAUAGUAAGGAGGUUUAAGCUUUUAUAGAGGACUUUACGGACCCAUGCUGUGGAAAAAAAAUGCAUGAUCCCAUCCCACGGAGUCCAAUUACUUGUAACAGCAUUCCCAAUUAAAGCAAAGGUUUUUUUCGUGAUCUGAGUAAUGAGAAUAUAAUAAUUUUAAAUAAAAUAAAUAAAAAUAAAUUAUGAAUUUUAAUUUUUAAUAAAUUUAUUAUUAAAUUAAAAAAUUAAAAAAAAAUCAAUAUAAAAAAAACACAAAAAAUAACAUUUCAAAAUAAAAUUAUGAAUUUAAAUAAAAUUAUGAAAAUAUAAACAGUAAUUUCACAAAGUCUUUCUAAACUCUGAUUGCUCUAAAAUUUUAACUUGUGAUAUAAAUACAUUUUAUGAUAAUUGAGGAAUAUAUAUAUAUAUUAAUACCGAAAAAACACCCAAGUUUAAAUGACCAGCCAUUAAAAUUAAUGAAUCGGUUAUAUAUAUAAAAGCAAAACAAAACAUUAUUUGGACAUAAUAGAAUGGCCGGAAUAGAACCGAAAUAUUCUAGUCAAAAUAAAAUUAAAGCAUGAUUUCUAGACGUGAUUUCCAUAAAGAUAGAAGGGAGGGCUAGCAUCCAUCAUCUUCAUGGAAAGUGAGCUGGCCAUCGUCAACCAUUUAUUCAUGUUUUUCAACAGAAGACUUUGACUUGGGGUCAACUCGUCGGUUAAUUACUUUUAUGCAAUUCAAUUUUAUUUUUACAAUGUUAGUAAAAUCACUUUAAUUAUUCUUUCAAUCUUCCCGUGUGAUUCACUGCCUUCUGGGUGAUUCUAAAGUCGCAUAUUUAAACUUUAGUACAUUAUACAACUAAAUUCUAUCAAGAGGAAUUCAAUGAUCACUUAAUAUCUUUAUAUUAGUUUUCAAGUUUUGAGAUAUAAGUUCAUAGCUCUUAAAGACAAGAAAUAUACCACAAGAUUUAAAACUAUUUUAUAUUUCAUUAAAAUAAAUAAAUAAAUUACUUAUAUGGUUACAAUAAAUUCCCAAUUAAACAAAAGUUUUUCCAUGAACCCAUCUUAUGGAAAAAUGCAUGAUGGUUAACUGUCUCAGGGACCAAUGUGCAGAUGGAAAUGGUCUCACCAACUCAUAAAUGCAUGAUGGAAAUGGUCUCGAGGAAAGGCAACGCUACAGAUGCCAAUGGUCUCCGGGACUCAUAAAUGCAUGAUUUCCAUGGCGGAUGGGCGGAACCUUAUGAUUGUCUGUCGAACCCAUCUUGAGGAAAAAAAUUGCAUGACGGCAAUAUACCACAAGAUUUAAAACUAUUUAAUAUUUCAUUAAAAUAAAUAAAUAAAUUACCUAUAUGGUUUCAAUAUUUUUUUUUCUUAAGAAAAUAAAUUGAUUUCAUGUGUUAAUAACAUUUAAGGAUUUUUCCAAUCAAAUAAUCAAAUUUAUUUUAAUUAAAAAGUUUCUAACCAAUAACAGCAUUUCCAAUUAAACCAAAGUUUUUCCACGAACCCAUCUCGUGGAAAAAUGCAUGAUGACAACGGUCUCAGGGACCAAUGGGCAGAUGGAAAUGGUCUCACCAACUCAUAAAUGCAUUUAGAGUGAUAUUUUCACAGUUAGAGACAUACAGUAGUUGAGGGAGUUUUAUCUGGUGUUGCCUCUGACGCAGACAUUAUAAGGUCCCCCUCAUUUUCAUCAUCAACAACAAUUACUAACUGCAGAGAAUCAUCACACAUUAGUAACUUAAAGCCUUUGAAGUAAUGACGUAAGGCCUAAGCAUACGAGCUAGACCCAGAAAAUUAAAUAAUAAAUCAAGAGGGUGAGCCUUUCCUUGACGAAUAUCCUCAAUGGCCUCUGGGAUCGAAGCAAAUCCUCUGGCCACAAUUUAUUGUUAGCACGUGUUUGCAAUUUACAACAUAUAUUUUGAUAAGCUACUUGUAGAGUAAGGCGCUGUUUUUGUAUCUAGCUUUAGGUGAUUGCACCAAACAUAGACUGAACAAAAGGGACAUACAGUGGUGGAGAAAUUGGAUCCAGUUCCUUUUGAUACAUGUAACCAGUUUUGUAUUUUGCUCACUUUUCAAUUUGGUUUCGGUAUCGUGUUUUGCAAUUAUUACUUACUGCUGUUGUUUUGAAUUAACUAAUCAUUUUUUCCCUCGAACUUCCCAUAUCUUUUUGUUGGAAGCUCCAUUUGUAUAGCUUUCUUUUUUUAUUGUUUUUCUUAUUAUUGAUGUAUGUUUGACAUUUUUAAUAUCUUAGAAGAGCACACAGAAAGGUUUAUGAGGAUUCCAUGGGAGGCUACUGAUUUUUGCUCCCCAUGAGAAGAGCAUCUUCUAACAGAGCAUUGAAUGUCAUAACGAGAAAGAUUGUCUGUCAUUGCACACCCUAGAAAAUGCUUCUUUUUUUUUUUUUUAAUCUUUUUUCUCACAAGAUAAGGUAAUUGGCUGUCGUGUGAUUUUUAUAUGGCUUGUGUGUUUUAGAUGGGCUUGUGGUGAUCACCCAAGAGAAUGUCACUUUUAGCAUUCUUUUAUAUAUAUAUAUAUAUAUAUAUAUAUUUGAAGUUUUUGUAUAUAAUACUGUAGCCACACAAUCCACAAGAAUAAGAUUUAUAAUUAUUCCAAGUUUAUUAUUAUUGAUAAUUUAUGUAUUUAAUUAUAUAUAUAUAUAUAUAUAUAUAUGAUAGUGAUGAAACCAUGCAAGUAGGGUCCUAAAUGAUUCUAAAUUAUAACGAGAGAAGUACAAUUAUAAAUUUGAAAAGAUUUUACGUGAAAUCACAUAUAAAUGUCGAUAAAAAUGUUGAAGUACUGCAACAAUUUUUUUUUUAUUUUUUUAAAUUGAAUAAUUAGUAACCAAAAUAUAAUUAAAUGCAAAUAGAAUAAGUGCUAAACAGUAAAAUAAAAUAAUAUUCGAAUCCAAGAAUAUUCCAAAAAGAAAUAAAUUAAUAUUCAAAUCUCAAAACAUAGAACCUGCAUAAGAUAUGCAGAUAAAAUCAUGGAAAUGGCCAAAAUUGUAGUAUAAAUAGGACCUCUAUGGUUGCCCAAAGACACAUAACAAACAACAAUAUUCUACGUAGUUGUUCAUAGAAUUAUCUAAGAUGAUGAUGAAAAGAAUGGGGGCUUGGAUGUUGCUAGCAAUAUUAUUGACUUUGGUUGGCGAAUGGUAUGGUCGUUGUUAUGGGUGUUUGGAGGAAGAGAGGAUUGGUCUCUUGGAGAUCCAAUCUUUGAUCAACCCACAUGGCGUUUCCUGGAGAGAUCAUUGGGUGGACACCAAUAGUAAUUGUUGUGAGUGGCGUGGGAUCGAGUGUGAUAACACUACAAGGCGAGUGAUCCAGGUCUCUCUUUUUGGUGAAAGAGAUGAGAGCUUGGGCGAUUGGGUUCUCAACGCAUCUUUGUUUCAGCCUUUUAAAGAAUUGCAAAGUCUUGAUUUGGGAUGGAAUGGAUUGGUUGGUUGCUUGGAGAAUGAAGGUUAGUUCAAUGUUUCUGCACUUAAUUAUAAUCAUAAAAUAAAUGAAGGUUGGUUGGUUGGUGUUUAAUGUCAAUUAUCUUGCUUUGAUGAUUCUCUUCCAGGCUUCGAAGUCCUAUCAUCAAAACUGAGCAAUCUUGACCUACGUGUUAACCAAUUUACUAAUGAUAAAAGCAUUUUGUCAUGUUUCAAUGGUAACCUUUCCACUCUCAAGUCUUUGGAUCUUUCACACAAUGGGUUGACAGGUGGAUCAGGAGGUAGCUUCUAUGGUAACCUUUUAGUUAUUUAUUUAGCUUUGAAACCUUUUCUUUUCUCCUUCUCAUAUCAUGUUUUUUCUAUGCGUUUAUUUCCUUCCAAUAUGCUAUUGAGAAACAUCAUGCAGGUUUCAAAGUCUUGUCAUCAAGGUUGAAAAAGCUGGAGAACCUUCUUCUAUGGGGGAAUCAAUUCAACGAUAGCAUUUGUCCAUCUCUAACUGGGUUUUCAUCCCUCAAGUCUUUAGAUCUUUCACACAAUCAGCUGACAGGAUCAGGUAUAAUACACAGUUUCUACCUAAAUGCUUCACAUGACAUUCUCUUAAUUAUAUUGUUUCUUUAUCAACAAAAAUGAGGACGACUUUAUAUCUACCUAAAGAGGCACUUGGAAUUAGGUCCAAGAGGCAUAUAUUUUAUUCUUAUUUUGGCCCUUUUAUGCCAUGGGUGAUUUUAUGGUGAAAUAUUUGGACUUUGAGAAAUAAAACGUGAAAAAGUUUAUAAUUCUUUAAUGCCAUGGAUAAAAUAGGGAAAGUACUUGCUAGAAAACAGAGGCAGUUAGGAACAAAUUAUAAUUACUAAAUUAGUGACAACUAAGCAUCUUACUAACUAAAUAGAUAGAGGAAUUCAGUUACGAACGGAUUUCAACUUACAGAUUAUUAUUAUUAGAAUGAUAUUUAACGAUUAUUAUUCUUGUUUUAAUUACCGAUGGGUUGACAGCUGGAUCAGGAGGUAGCUUCUAUGGUAACCUUUUAAUUAUUUAGCUUUGAAACCUUUUCUUUUCUCCUUCUCAUAUCAUUUUUUUCUACGCAUUUAAUUAUUUCCUUCCAAUAUGCAGGUCUCAAAGUCUUGUCAUCAAGGUUGAAAAAGCUGGAGAACCUUCAUCUAUGGGGGAAUCAAUACGACGAAAGCAUUUUUCCAUCUCUAACUGGAUUUUCAUCUCUCAAGUCUUUGGAUCUGUCGUACAAUAUGUUGACAGGAUCAGGUAUAAUACACAGUUUCUACCUACCUAAAUGCUUCACAUGACAUUCUCUUAAUUAUAUUGUUUCUUUAUCAACAAAAAUGAGGACGACUUUAUAUCUACGUAAAGAGGCACUUGGAAUGAGGUCCAAGAGGCAUAUAUUUUAUUCUUAUUUUGGCCCUUUUAUGCCAAAAGUGUUGUAAUAUUUAGAUUAAAUUAGCAAUCAGAAGUUCACUUCAAAACUCUCCUAUAAAUAUAUAUUUUAUAUUUAUCUUUUUAAAUAAAUAUAUUUUUAUAUAUGUUUUUUCUGGCUUGAGAUACUUAGUCGAACACAACUCUAAGUUUUUUUUUUUUAAUGCAUUUGAGUUUGAAUGGGUUUUGAAUAACAUAAUAAGAAGCUCUCUCCUAGAAUAUUAUAAUUAAGAAAAUUGUAAUUAUUAAAACUUAGAGAAAUAUCCAAUACAAAUAACUAGACAGCCAACGAGAGACUGCCAAUUUCUUUAUGAGAAAAACUCUCGACUGUUUUAUAGCCAUUUAUUAUUUCCUCUCUUUUUAAUGGGUUUUAUAUUAUUUUGGACCUUUUUUUAAUCAGAAUAUCAUUCUGUGGUGGAGGAUGAUUUUAUGGUGAAAUAUUUGGACAAUAUGUUGCUAUCUAGGAUCGAUUAUUAUUCUUGUUUUAAUUACCGAUGAGAUCUUAAUUAUAAGUUUCUUUAUCUUGUUUUGUAAGUCUAUCAUAACUUAGUUUCCAUCUUUAUCGACUUUAUAUCCAAAAAUUGUUUUUUUUUCCAAUAAGAUCAAAAUUAGAAUGAUUAAAAAUUAUUUCGUAAUAUUUUAUAUAAUAUAUUAAAUAUGCCUUCAUGAUAUUUAAAAAUUGUUUCUUAAUAUUUCCAAUAAGAUCAAAAUUAGAAUGAUAUUUUAUAUAACGACUUUAACGACUUACUCUUGCAGGUUUUGAGAUCAUAUCAUCACAUUUGGGGAAACUCGAGAACCUGGACCUGAGCUCUAAUAAUAUAUUCAACGACAACAUUUUAUCACAUCUGCGUGGAUUUUCUUCUCUCAAGUCUUUAAAUCUAUCAUUUAAUGAGUUGACAGGAUCGACGACUGUCAAUGGUAAAGUUCUGUUAUUUACAAUACCUUUUGAAAUCUCUGGAUUUUUCAGGCAAUUUGUUGUUUAAAAACUUGAUCAAGAUAACAUUUAAUUUCACUACUUACUUGAUUGCCUGUUUUCAAUUCUACACAUCAUAGGUUUAAGGAAGCUGGACUUCCUGCAGUCAUAGUUUAGUUUCUUAAAAUCUUAAUUAAUAAUAAUGGCACAUGGCUAUUCUGCACCACCAUUAUUUUCUUCAUAUCUCUUCUUCUUCUUUUUUCACAGGGACUUUCUUCAAUUCUAGCACCCUUGAAGAAUUGCAUCUAGAUCAUACUUCUCUCCCAAUAAACUUUCUCCAGAACAUUGGAGCAUUGCCUGCUCUUCAAGUCUUGUCUGUUGGUGGAUCUGACCUCAAUGGCGCCUUACCCGCUCAAGGUAAAUUAACAACUUCCAUCCGCCUAUAAUUACAUCAUCAAUAAAAGAUUCUUUCAACACUAUUUUUGACUGUUUCGAGAUAAAUUAUACAGGUUGGUGUGAAUUGAAGAAUCUGAAGCAGUUAGAUAUCUCUGGAAAUAAUUUAGGAGGUUCACUCCCAGAUUGUAUGGGAAACUUGUCAUCUUUACAACUAUUAGAUGUUUCUGAAAACCACUUUACUGGAAAUAUUGCCUCUAGUCCCCUUACCAACCUCAUAUCCCUUGAAUUCCUCUCACUAUCAAAUAACCUCUUUGAAGUUCCCACUUCAAUGAAGCCUUUUUUGAACCACUCAAGCCUCAAGUUCUUCUCUAGUGAGAACAACAAACUAGUAGCAGAUCCUGCUGCCUUUCAUGAUUUGAUUCCAAAGUUCCAACUAGUCUUUCUUAGCUUGUCAAAAACAACGGAAGCACUCAAUGUAGAAAUUCCUAACUUCCUCUAUUACCAAUACCACUUAAGAUUCCUUCAUCUCUCCCACAACAACAUCACCGGAAUGUUUCCAUCGUGGUUGCUUAAGAACAAUACACGAUUGGAGCAAUUAUAUUUGAGCGAGAACUCCUUUGUUGGUACUUUGCAGUUGCAAGAUCACCUAUAUCCAAAUAUGACCGAAUUAGAUAUAUCCAACAACAACAUGAGCGGUCAAAUUCCAAAAGAUAUUUGUUUGAUCUUUCCAAAUCUACAAACCUUAAUGAUGGCUAAGAAUGGAUUCACAGGUUGUAUUCCUUCUUGUUUAGGAAAUAUUAGCUCUUUGGAAAUGUUAGAUUUAUCCAACAAUCAAUUGUCCACAGUAAAACUAGGACAACUAACAACAUUAUUGUUUCUCAACCUGUCAAACAACAAUUUGGGUGGUAACAACUUUUGGGGUCAGAUAUCAGAUUUUCCAUUAUAUGGGUGGAAAAAGUGGAUUGUAUUGGAUUUGAGUUACAAUCAAUUUUCAGGCAUGCUUCCAAGGUGGUUCGUCAAUUCUACGGACCUUAGAGUAAUUAAUUUGUCCAAAAAUCAUUUUAAGGGUCCGAUCCAUAGAGACUUUUGUAAGCUUGGCCACCUUGAGUAUUUGGACCUUUCUGAGAACAACUUGUCUGGAUAUAUACCAUCUUGUUUUAGUCCACCAUCUCUAAUCUAUGUGCAUCUAUCCAAAAAUAGAUUGAGUGGUCCAUUAACAUAUGGAUUUUCUAACAGCUCUUCCCUGGUUACGAUGGAUCUUCGAGAUAACAGCUUCAUCGGCUCCAUUCCAAAUUGGAUUGGCAAUCUUUCAUCAUUGAGUGUUCUUCUUCUAAGGGCUAAUCACUUUGAUGGUGAGCUCCCUGUUCAGUUAUGCUUGUUAGAACAGUUAAGCAUUUUGGAUGUUUCAAAAAACCAGCUCUCUGGUACAAUACCAUCAUGUUUGGGCAAUCUUACUUUCAUGGCAAGUUCCCAGAAAGCGUUUGUGGAUCUCAAUGUUGGUUUUGAAUCAUGGUCCAUAGAAAGAGCUUAUUAUGAAACAAUGGGUCCACCACUAGUUAAUAGUAUGUACAGCUUGGGAAAGGAUUUUAUGGUUAACUUUACAGAAGUGAUAGAAUUUACAACUAAAAAUAUGUAUUAUUGUUACAAGGGGAAGAUUCUCGGCUACAUGUCUGGUAUUGAUCUCUCCAAUAACAACUUCGUAGAAGCAAUCCCACCAGAAUUUGGAAACUUAAUUGAGUUACUAUCAUUAAACUUAUCACACAACAAUCUCACUGGAUCUGUCCCUGCAACAUUCUCAAACCUAAAGCAGAUUGAGAGUUUGGAUCUUUCUUACAACAACUUGAAUGGUGUCAUCCCUCCACAACUUACUGAAAUUACCAUGCUGGAAGUUUUUAGUGUGGCACACAAUAACUUGUCAGGUAAGACACCUGAGAGAAAAUUUCAAUUUGGGACCUUCGAUGAAAGUUGUUACGAAGGAAAUCCUUUCUUGUGUGGACCUCCAUUGCGAAACAAUUGUAGUGAGGAAGCAGUGUCAUCUCAGCUAGUGCCUGAUGAUGAACAAGGAGAUGAUGGUUUCAUAGACAUUGACUUUUUCUACAUCAGUUUUGGUGUAUGUUACACAGUUGUGGUGAUGACGAUUGCAAUAGUUCUCUACAUCAAUCCAUAUUGGCGACGCAGGUGGUUGUACUUCAUUGAAGACUGCAUAGAUACUUGCUACUAUUUUGUGGUGGCUAGUUUUCGCAAGUUCUCCAACUUCAGAAGGUGAAUUUGUUACCAGGGAGACGGUCGUUCCUAGUUUGUCAUGAUUGUUUGUUUAGCUAUUGGGUGCUUAAUUCUGUAGUGUACUGUCUCUACAUCAAAUAUAUUUGUCGGACUUCUCAUUCCUGAACCAUUAGUAAGGGAGCUGAUUUGGAUUGGUCAUUGACUCGGGUGUGAUUACUCUUUCAACUCUCAAGACUUGUCUGAAAAUAAAUUGCCAAAACCACUACUAAGUUAAAACAAAAUAUUCUAUGCAUGUGAGCAACACUUACAUCUGCCAAUGUUUCAAGGGCGACCCCACCUUAGUUAUUCAAUCAAAGCAUUGAAAUUGGAGCAAGAAGAUCCACCUCAGUUAUUCAAUCAAAGCUUGGAGUGCUCGCAGAUUGAGGCUGCCUAUCGAAACGCUGAAGAUUUUCCCGCAGCAUGUAGGAAUCAAACCAAAGCCCCUUUUAAGAAAAUUUAAUCUGCCUGUCGAAACGCUGAAGAUUUUCCCGCAGCUUGUAGGAAUUAAACCAAAGCUCCUUUUGAGAAAAGUUAAUCCCUGUUGAAACGCUGAAGAUUUGCCCUCAUAAAAAUCUGCCUUGUGUUUAAAAAAACACCUCCCUUCUGUUUCCUCAACAUUUCAGGUCAUGUUUGAUGUUUGAUGCCCCAGGCAGGAAAAAGGACAAAAUUCUAGAAGAGAUGAUUCAACAUGACAAGCUCAAAUAUUUUGGCUUGGAUUUGUAGCAAGUCCUGUGAAAUUUUUGCUACAAUAUCAUUCUCUCUUCCCCCUUUUCUUUUCUUAAAAUCUCUCGUCCCGCAUCAUCAUAAUUGGUUGUGACAUGGAAACCCCAGAUAAAGAUGAAAGAGAACCAUGCUGCAAGCUUGACAUAUUGUUCUGCUGCAUUGUUGGUAUAGAACCUUGCACAUUCAAUGAUUGCAACUGGGGAUUUAGUUGAUUUUCAUGGGACUGCAAUUGAUGAACUGGAGGCUGGGGAAGUUGUCCGAGCUGUAGAUUAGGAAUAGGCCUCCUGAAUCUGCUUGGGUUUAGAAAACUUACAAUCUGCUUCUCAUAGGAACCCAAUUUCUCCUUGAAACUAGGUGUGACGUUGUUUUUAGAGAACUGUAAGAAUGUUAUCAAGCGCUCCAACAUGACCUUGAAAACCUCCAGCUUUUCAAGCUGUUCUGACUUCGGUUGUUGCGAAUGAGAGUCAAGCUGAAAAGCAAAGUUAACAUACACGAGAAUUAAAAAUUACAUUGAUCCUUUGUAGCAAAACAUUAGUGAAAAAAAAUGUUUCUAUUCCAAUUCUUCUGUGUCGAUGCAUGGUUGUGGGGGCGGUUGGGGCGAGGGGUAGGUGAUUAGUGCAGAUGAUACAGUGACAGGCAAUGCUGAUGAUGAAAACAAAUUAAUACAAAAGCUCAACAUAGGGAAAUUGCAGAUAAUCAUGCAUGGACAGCUAAUCCAGAAGAAAUUGCAGAGACAAUUUACCUUGUAACACCCUCAAAUGUCAUGAAAUCUCAAACAUUUCCUUACUAAUGUCAAGUAUUGAAUAGUAUGUCUAAGAUUAUGAGAUUUUUAUUUUUAAAAAAAAUUUCAGCAGUGUUUCCUUUGUUUUCUGAUGUUACCAAGUUAUUGACUAGACUUCAUUCAAUCACAAUACUCAAAACUUCCACUUUGAUCCAACCAUCUUGGAUCAUAUCCCAUCUCAUCAAAUAAUAUUUCACAUAACUAUACUUCAUUGUAUUUUCUCAACCUUACAUCAUCAACAAAUAACACAUUAACUACAAACAAUUAUAAACUCAAAAGAUUCAUAUUGAACUAAUUAUUACAUUAACAUGCAUCCAUCUUUUAAACAUGCAUAAUUAUAAUUACUAAAUAUUCUUUUUGAAUAGUUUAGUAAUAUUAGUUCCUUACUAAUACAUUUUAAAUGUAUAAGUACCAAAAGCAACAUCUUCAUGAUACAUAUAUUACAAUCUACAUAUAAUACAAAUUANNNNNNNNNNNNNNNNNNNNNNNNNNNNNNNNNNNNNNNNNNNNNNNNNNNNNNNNNNNNNNNNNNNNNNNNNNNNNNNNNNNNNNNNNNNNNNNNNNNNNNNNNNNNNNNNNNNNNNNNNNNNNNNNNNNNNNNNNNNNNNNNNNNNNNNNNNNNNNNNNNNNNNNNNNNNNNNNNNNNNNNNNNNNNNNNNNNNNNNNNNNNNNNNNNNNNNNNNNNNNNNNNNNNNNNNNNNNNNNNNNNNNNNNNNNNNNNNNNNNNNNNNNNNNNNNNNNNNNNNNNNNNNNNNNNNNNNNNNNNNNNNNNNNNNNNNNNNNNNNNNNNNNNNNNNNNNNNNNNNNNNNNNNNNNNNNNNNNNNNNNNNNNNNNNNNNNNNNNNNNNNNNNNNNNNNNNNNNNNNNNNNNNNNNNNNNNNNNNNNNNNNNNNNNNNNNNNNNNNNNNNNNNNNNNNNNNNNNNNNNNNNNNNNNNNNNNNNNNNNNNNNNNNNNNNNNNNNNNNNNNNNNNNNNNNNNNNNNNNNNNNNNNNNNNNNNNNNNNNNNNNNNNNNNNNNNNNNNNNNNNNNNNNNNNNNNNNNNNNNNNNNNNNNNNNNNNNNNNNNNNNNNNNNNNNNNNNNNNNNNNNNNNNNNNNNNNNNNNNNNNNNNNNNNNNNNNNNNNNNNNNNNNNNNNNNNNNNNNNNNNNNNNNNNNNNNNNNNNNNNNNNNNNNNNNNNNNNNNNNNNNNNNNNNNNNNNNNNNNNNNNNNNNNNNNNNNNNNNNNNNNNNNNNNNNNNNNNNNNNNNNNNNNNNNNNNNNNNNNNNNNNNNNNNNNNNNNNNNNNNNNNNNNNNNNNNNNNNNNNNNNNNNNNNNNNNNNNNNNNNNNNNNNNNNNNNNNNNNNNNNNNNNNNNNNNNNNNNNNNNNNNNNNNNNNNNNNNNNNNNNNNNNNNNNNNNNNNNNNNNNNNNNNNNNNNNNNNNNNNNNNNNNNNNNNNNNNNNNNNNNNNNNNNNNNNNNNNNNNNNNNNNNNNNNNNNNNNNNNNNNNNNNNNNNNNNNNNNNNNNNNNNNNNNNNNNNNNNNNNNNNNNNNNNNNNNNNNNNNNNNNNNNNNNNNNNNNNNNNNNNNNNNNNNNNNNNNNNNNNNNNNNNNNNNNNNNNNNNNNNNNNNNNNNNNNNNNNNNNNNNNNNNNNNNNNNNNNNNNNNNNNNNNNNNNNNNNNNNNNNNNNNNNNNNNNNNNNNNNNNNNNNNNNNNNNNNNNNNNNNNNNNNNNNNNNNNNNNNNNNNNNNNNNNNNNNNNNNNNNNNNNNNNNNNNNNNNNNNNNNNNNNNNNNNNNNNNNNNNNNNNNNNACUUUUCUUCUCCUCCUAGUGUGGCCAGCCCUCCUCACCUUUCUUAUAUCUUCCUUCACUUGAUUCUUCCUUAAUUUAAUGUUCCAAGUCUUUCAAUCUUACAAGUUUCAAAGCUCUCUCUCGCUUUUUCUUGUUUUUCUCUUAACUUCUCAUGUUCUUUUCUUAUUUUCUUUUUUUUUCUUUUCACAUUUGUUACUGCCCAGUCAGCAGUUCAUAACAGAAAAGGGGCUGCCUUGUUUUAUUUUUAAUGGCAAAUUACCAUUUUACCCUUAUGAGUCUUUUUGCUUCCAUUUGACGGUCCUUAUUCUUUGAUAGCACUGCCGAGCUCCAUUCAUCCUAAAAUUUUAAAUAGAUUUUAUUUAUUUUAAGGUUCCUCAUAAAAUUUCAACUCAAUUUGAUGGUCGGAUUUAAAAUUACGUCCAAUAACGUAAAACUAGUCAAAUUGUGAUUUUUCGUCAAAUUUCUGAAUUUCUCUAAAACUUCUGAAAUUUUAACCCAAGCUAAGGAAUCAUAUUAGAAGGCUCCACGUAAAUUUUCAGAAUUUUCUGAUAACCCAAUCGAGAGUUACAAAUUGUUUUCUUUUUGUUUUACAUGAAACUAGUCAAUUUAUAAUUUUUCGCCUAGAGGUUUUACAUACCUGCUGUAACUUGGCAGCAAUUCUCUGGUACAUUUCAUUUAUUUCAAGGAAAUAAGUCUCCUUCAUGACUUUGAUCUAGAAAGUACAAAUAACCAGCAAAACAUUAUCGGUCAUAUGCUUGAUUUCUUCAGGUGCCAGUCAGAAAGAAAGUAACACAAAACAUUACCGGUAUCUUCUAUCAUAAGGAGCAAUAACAUAUUUCUUCAGGUGCAAGUAACCAUCAUCAACAUCAAUUCCAAAAGCUGGUAAAAGGCUGCUUGAAACUGAGGCUAAAUUCUUUGUGACAUCUCCACUCGACCGUCUUCGAAACAGUAAUGACAACGGUGACCUAGUUUCUGACGAUGACAUUAUUGACCGGAGCAAUAUUAGUGAGAGAGCUUAAUUUGUUCUCCUCUCUCUCUCUCUCUUUCUCUGUCUAUAUAUAUGAAUCUUCCCGACUUGAUGAACAGAGUUUCCUCUUUAGAUAAGGGGAUUCCUAGUAGUAGUAGAGGCAACGGAACCGGAGACGGGGUGGGGUUAUGAACUGGAGGCGUAUCUGGAUGUGGAGGUACAGCCGGAGGAGGUGAAGCUGGGUUAGGGAGUUCGAGUCAGGUCAGAUUAUCCAUGGUUGAAAAAGGGUUUUGAAAGUGGAUUUGAUCUGUUUUUUGUGUCUGGUCUGUCAGAUACAAUAUGCUUGGAAUUGCCUUGUGUUAUAUAGUGUUUUCAGAGAAAGCCUUCGUGAAAAUCCCAUGAAGUCCCAUGACCUUGUUGUGUGAAGCUUUUUCUUUCUAUUAGGAAAUACAGAUACCACGCUGGACAGUGCUGUACAGGUAAGUUGUAGCGUGGGUCCUUUAGAAUAUUGCCGGUGCAAAUUGAGCAUGUCCCAGGGCCUGAGCUCGCGGCCUGGACGGCUGAAGGUGACCUGAAUGCCCACCUUGUGUUUGAGGUUUUGACUGCGAGAGCAGCUGCAGUGCUUGGUGGUUCAUGUGCAUAUAUCAAACAAGGUAAUACAGUCAGUAACAAGACUUUCGAUCUAAGAGAGGUUUGUGAGAAUGUCCCAGCUAAACACCUCGCUCCACCCCCCCCCCCAACGCACCACCUACACGGCUCCUCCAAAAUCCUCAGACCACCAUGCUAAACACCUUUCUCAAAACAACAUAACAACCUCACCUUCUCAAAAAUUUCCGGAUACAAACCUUCCCAUACCUGUUCCAUCCUUUGCACCUACCUGCAAAACCCCUGUCCCUGCACCCUGUCCCUCCAUCACCAAUGAUGCAGCAGAACAUGUUAAGCUGUUCUUUGAGAGAUUUCCUUCAUGGGUGGACUAUCAAGAUCUGAAAAGGGCUUUUUUCAAACUUGGCCGGGUUAUCAAACUUUUUGUAUCAAAGCGAAAAACUGUUCUUGGAAGACGCUUUGGAUUUGUGGACAUUUCAUCCUCCUUAUCUGUCUCAACUCUCUGUGAUCAAGCCAGCCGGAUUUGGUUUGAUACAUACAAACUAAUAGUGAACCCAGCUAAACAUCACUCCCUUAAAACUUCCCCUUCACCACCAAAACACGUACCCAAGCCUGCAACACCAUACCACCCCCAGCUUUCUUUGAUAGAUCAUAGAUCUUUUGCUGAGGUACUCACAAACACAAAACCUCAAAUAGCCACUACGAGAAGAAGAAUGGUGCAAUAUGUAUCCACGGAGGAAGAUAAGGAAUGGUUAUAUAGGAGCUUGGUAGGAAAUAUUCUGCCAAAUGUUGACGUCGCAACCCUGGAGGCAACGAUAUUGAAAUCAAUUGCUAAUACUGUGAGCUUCAGAUUCCUAGGAGCUAGUCAGGUGAUCAUCACCUUUACGGACCAGUUGGCUUCAAAGAAAGAACAAGACAAUGAGGGGUCCAUUUUGAAAUCACUACUCAGCAACCUUAGACAGUGGGAAGGAAGGACUAGAGCUUAUGAUAGAUUUGCUUGGAUAGCCAUCUUUGGCUUACCAAUGGAAGGUUGGAACAGAAACUGCUUUGACACUAUUCUGCAGAGUUGGGGAACUAUUGCUGGCUACGACACAACAUGUGUUAGUCAGGGGUCAAUAUCAGGUAUCAGGGUUCUUAUUAGAACCAUAAAAAUGGAACCUUUGCAUGAUGAGGUGAGUCUCAAGCUUGACGGAAUACAAGUUGAGGUCCUUUUGAAUGAAAUCAAGGGUGAGUUCAUCCCUUCCCUCACAACAGUCAAACACUCUAUGGACGUCUCUCUUUACACAGAAUCUGUGCUAUCCGAUGAUGAAGAAGAGCAAACGGACACUAUCUCUGCAGCAACAAUCCCCAGGGCUACAAGACAAAAUACUGAGUUUGAAUUCAUUUGUACGUUGGGCAAUCAAGAUCAGAACGACAGGACAUUUCUCAACACUGGCAUAUCACCACUGUACCUGCAUCCAGAAAUUACGGAAUUCUGCAGCCAUGCAAUUUUACCUGAAGAGCUGGUGUACGAAGACGGUAACCAUUUGGCUUUGGUACUAUAUGAUUGUGCUGGGGUGGCUACAGCUGAUGUCAGAGAGGGAGAUGAGCAACAAGUCGUGUGUAUGCUGGAAAGAGAUGGGCUGGAUCAGCAGAAGGGUUAUAAUAGUGGUGAUGUGAAGAAGAUGGGCCGGGAAAAAAAGCAGAAGCCCUUCAGAUUGGACCAACAUAAGGGUAAUAGUGGUAGCUCAAGCAUUGGGCCAUCUUUUGCUAAUUUUAUUAUCCCCAUUGCAGACCAAACUGAACUCUCUGAUCUAGAAUUGCAAAAUAGGAGAUCUCAAAGGAACAAAGCAAAGAAGCUGUCACGUAAAGCACCGACUGUGAAGAGAAGAAAACCACGAAAAAUGGGAAAUCAAAGUUCCAAGAAAACUGAGUUAGGCAUUAUUGAUUACUCUGUCUCUGAUAAUGGAAUCAUGAAUAGAAAUGUCAUUAUUCGAUCUGGGAAGGAAAUAGCUGGCGAAGAUGAGGUCAGCAGUUCACACUCUCUUAUCUCUCCAACAUCUAGUGAUCCGACACGUGAACCAUUACAACCUGACCCCAGGGAAGAAGCAACUGCUUGCUGGGAUGUGGGAAAAGCGGUAUUGCAAGUCCAUGAUGAAAGCCACCUCAUGACACAGACACUGCAGAGUUUUAUAGAAAAAGAGCAAGAGGAGUGGAUGAGAAGGAAGGAGCAGUAAGGAUGUUGUUUCUGUCUCAAUGAAGGUAUGGUUAUUAAUCCUUGAUAUGGGUAGUAUUAUUAUUUGGAAUGCGUGUGGUAUAGGAGCCAGAGAUAAAAAAAGAUGUGUGAGGAAUCUUGUGCAAAAAUUCAGUCUGGAUGUUCUGGGUAUUUUGGAAACGAAAUUGGAAAAUAUUAAUGACUGUAUUGUUAAUUCGAUUUGGGGUAGACGUUCUAGGGACUGGUACGCAGUACCUUCCUUAGGUCUUUCUGGGGGUAUCCUAUGCAUAUGGAACCCAGCUUCUUUUUGUGUUUCCAAUUGCUCUGUUGCUAUGAAUGGUCGUAUUCUUCAUGUUGAAGGUGUGUUUUCUCGUUUCAAUAUGGAAUGUUUGGUGUCUUUUGUGUAUGCUCCAAAUGAUGGUUCUCUGAAGAAGGAACUGUGGGAAUACCUUGCUACUUUCAAAAGCAGCGUUAGCAAGCCAUGGUGUCUUGCAGGUGACUUCAAUGAAACUCUUUCCCCAUCAGACAGAAAAGGAGGCUCUAGAAUCUCUUCUGCCAUGAUAAGCUUUAAGAAUUGUAUUGAUUGUUGUGAACUUGUUGAACUUCCUUUAAAUGGGAAGAAGUUUACGUGGUCUAGGGGAAAUGUUGCGAGUCGUAUUGAUAGACUGUUUGUGUCGGGUGAUUGGCUUCAGUCUCUCCCAUCUUCUACUCUGUAUGGGCUGUCGAAGAACUUCUCUGAUCAUAGACCACUGCAUAUGCUGAUAGAUUCUACGAACUGGGGUCCAAAGCCCUUCCGGCUUAUGAACUGCUGGUGGCUCAUUCGUGGCUUUAGAAAGAUGAUUCAGGACUAUUGGAAUUCAACCUUGACAAUCGGUGGAAAAAAAAGGUUGGCCCCAGCAUUACGGUUAUUAAAAGACAGAUGCAAGGAAUGGAGCAAAGAUGUUGUGGGUAACACUUGCAGGAAAAUCAAAGAUCUAGAAAUGGAAGCAGAAUCUCUAGACUCUCAAAAAGAAAGCAGAGACUUAUCAGCUGCUGAAUUAUUCAGAAGCAAUGCCAUUUCCUUUAGCCUUAGAACCUUGUACAGAAUGCAAGAAUCUGCUUGGCACCAAAAGUCGAGAAUCCAAUGGUGUAAGCUUGGAGACAGAAACACUCGUUUCUUUCAUCUAUCAGCCACAACAAGACACAAAAGGAAUCAGAUUUUCUCCCUGGAUGUUGAUGGAACGACUCUAACUAAACCGUCUGAUGUGAAGAUAGCUGUAUUUGAUUUUUUCAGUAAGCUAUACUCUAAGCAUGACAGACCUAGAGCCUCUUGCUGUAAUCUGGACUUCCUAAAGCUUCAGCCCACAUCAUUGCAUGCUUUAGAAAUUCCGUUCUCUGCUGAGGAGAUAAAAUCUGCAGUUUGGGAUUGUGAAGGAAACAAAGCUCCAGGCCCUGAUGGUAUUAAUUUCUUCUUUAUUAAGAAAGCAUGGAACAUUCUAGGGGGGGAUAUUGUUCAAAUGGUUGAUGAAUUCUAUCGGACAAACCUCCUUCCUCCAGGCAUCAAUAGCUCCUUUGUUACUCUUAUCCCGAAGAUACAAGGUGCCAAUAAGUUGAAAGAUUUUAGGCCUAUCAGUCUGGUAGGAAGCCUUUACAAGAUCAUUUCAAAGAUACUGGCAACCAGGGUGAAGCAAGUUAUGUCAGAAGUCAUCAGUGAUCACCAAACUGCUUUCAUAAAAGGAAGACAAAUCCUAGACAGCGUUUUGAUAGCUAAUGAGGCGAUUCACUUCUUAAAGAAGAGAAAGAGAAAAGGAUAUCUCUUCAAGCUAGACUUUCACAAAGCUUUCGAUUCUGUUUUAUGGGAAUACAUUAAUGAAGUAAUGGCUGCUAUGGGUUUCGGGAGCAGGUGGCGAGGUUGGAUCAUGCAAUGCAUUUCAACAGCAAAGAUGUCCGUGCUUGUCAAUGGAUCUCCAACGGCAGAAUUUAACUUGGAAAAAGGGCUACGGCAAGGAGACCCCCUCUCUCCUUUUCUUUUCAAUAUUGCAGUUCAGGGAUUGAGUUGUAUGUUGCAGCGAGGCUGUGAUUUGGGUUUGAUCGAGGGUAUUAAGAUUGGCCAGGAUGGAUAUACUUUAUCUCACCUCCAAUUCGCAGAUGACACUCUUAUUUUCAGCUCAGACUCCUUAUUCAGCAUGCAGAAUAUCAAGCGCAUCCUUCUGUGCUUUGAAUUAAUGUCAGGUCUGAAGGUUAACUUUUGCAAAAGCAGCAUAUUUGGUGGUGGGUAUAGAUGAACAUAUAUGUAAUUACACUGCACAAAUUCCUCCGAUGUAAGCAGGNNNNNNNNNNNNNNNNNNNNNNNNNNNNNNNNNNNNNNNNNNNNNNNNNNNNNNNNNNNNNNNNNNNNNNNNNNNNNNNNNNNNNNNNNNNNNNNNNNNNUAAUCAUUGUGUUACAGAUAGUAGAUUGCAAGACAUUGUGAAACAUCAAUCUGUGAUGCUAGUUGGAAAUGGCAAGAGGAUUAAAUUCUGGCUUGAUGAUUGGACAACUACUGGUAGCCUGGCAGAUCAGUUUCCUGCCCUAUUCCGGUUAACUAAUGAUAAAGAAGCAAGCCUUGAUAAGAUGGGGAUAUGGGAUGGUCAUGCUUGGCACUGGCUAUUCACCUGGAGUAGACCCUUGCGAGGUAGAAACUAUGGCCUUCUAGACCGAAUGACUGCCAUUCUUUCAAAAGUGCAGCUGGACAAAGACGCAGAGGACAGAUUAAUUUGGAAAGCCAACUCCACCGGUAGAUUCUCGAUCAAAUCUCUAUGUGGGCUGUUAAGCCCCCAACCCCCAAUGGACACUAGCUUCUCCUUUACUGGGAUUUGGAGAGGCAUCGUUCCUCCUAAAGUUGAAGUAUUCUGCUGGAUGGCUAUCAUUAAAAAAAUCAACACUCGUAGUAUGUUGGUCAGAAGAGGUAUAUUGGACAUCUCAGCUGCUGCUUGUCCCAUUUGCUUAGCUGAGGAAGAAUCGGUUGAUCAUAUACUUCUGCAUUGUCACAAACAUUGGAUAGUUUGGUCUAAAAUUAUCAAUUGGUGGGGCUUAGCGUGGUGUUGCCCAAAGAACUUGGCAGCCCUUUUCUCUCAGUGCGAUUCUUUGGUUUAUGGAAAAUUUCAGAAAAAAGCUUGGUUGAUGCUGUUUUUUUCAGUGGCAUGGUCUCUUUGGCUACAUCGUAAUGAUGUGAUAUUCAAGCAGACAACCCCGAAUUAUGAUACUCUAUUUAUCCUUAUUAUUACUCGUCUCUGCUUUUGGAUAAAGGCUAUAGAACCUGAUUUUUCUUAUUCCGCUUCAGAUUUGCUAAGGUCAGCAGAAGGGCUGUUACGAUGGACUAAUUCUAAAAACCAAAGGGUAGUUGUUGUGUGGUCUCCCCCUAUGAUUAAUAGCUUCAAAUGGAAUGUGGAUGGCUCCUCUCUUGGGAAGCCGGGCCCUUCAGGUAUAGGCGGAGUCUUGCGAAAUCAUAAUGGGAUUAUUCUUGGUAUUUUCUCCUUGUCAGUUGGGAUCUUAGACUCCAAUGUCGUCGAGCUGAAAGCGGUUGUCAAAGCUAUUGAAUUAUUAGCCUCUAAUUGCCGCCUGCAUCAUAAACACAUUAUUAUUGAAUCUGACUCGGCCAAUGUCAUUAGCUGGAUGAAUAACCCCCAUAAUAGGCCUUGGCGGCAUCACAAUCUUUUCUCCUCUAUUCAGAGAGUAGCUUCAUGUUUUGGUUCUCUCACAUUCACUCAUUCUCUUCGUGAGAGUAAUCAUACGGCAGAUCACAUGGCCAAACAGGGAGUCUUUAGAAACACUGAAUUUGUCGCUUGGCUCUAAUUUGCUUGAUAUGCGGGUCUUCUAUUUCUUUAAUUUCUGGGUGCAGCUUUUGGGGAAUCUGGAUUGUUUUUCAGGUUGGUUCGGUCUCUUGCAGUUUUUGAUGAAAAGUUGCAGGAUUCUGUUUGGUGCGUGCCAAUGAUCUGUAGAUUGCUUUAGUUCUAGAAAGGAGCUGAAUCUCCAAGAUAUCCAGAGUGUGGUGCGCGAUCUUGCUCCUCUUCUUGUUAAGGUGUCAAAGGCUGAUCUCUGGAGAGGCCAUGACUGGUUGUUCGGUUAAGUUGAGGAAAGAUGGCAAUAUUUUGUUUAUCUCAAAUCUGGUUCAAGUUGGAAGUUUACUUGGCAAUUCAUCUUGGUGUGUGGCAACAAAUCUGCAUCUUUUAGCUGCUAUUUUGUUAUUUUGGAAUCAUAUUUGCUUCUCUUAGCUGCUAUUUGUAUUUUUGGUUUCUUGGGUUGGUUAUCAUUUCAUUUCUUAGACCUGCUAAUCGUGAGCUGUAAGCAGAUUUUUUAUGUUUUAUAUGUCUCCUCCGCCAGAUCUUGGCGUAUUCUAAUGCAAUAUUAUACUUCUCAAAAAGAAAGAAAGAAAGUAACACAAACAAACUUAAGGGAAUUGAUAAAAAUAAAAUAAUAAUAAAAAAGGGUAGAGGACAACAUAAAUUAGUUGAGAUAAAAUAGCAAUAGCAGAGUGGAAUUAAUGCUGGAAACUCAAAAGGAUGUCGAUAUUGAUGGAAUGGAAAGAUGCAAAGGGCUGUGUAAGUACACCAUAAGACAAGAUUCAGGGGUUGGUUAAGUUCAGUUACUUUGUCUCCCUGCAAGCUACUCAUCAUUGUUUUCUGUUGUCAUAGCUCAAGACAAUGGAUGUCACGACUUUAGCAACGCUUCUUAGCCUUAGAUCCUAAGCAUGACCCUAUGUAUCAUUAUCAACAACCAUUCUUAUUCCCGUUUUAAUACUCUCCUAAGCACAAAAAAAAUGUCCUUAUCAAAUAUGCAGUUAUGACUUGAGACAUUCAGAAUUUCAACCUCAUUUUCUAUAAAAUUCAACAAUACUGGAUAUGGUCAUGAUUCAAUGGAAUAAGUCCCACUUAUUUUCUUUUUCUUCCAUUGUCACAUGUUUCAGAACAAGUUGAUUGCAAUCGUGCAAAUAACUCUUCACUUAACCAAAGAUAAACUGUAAGUCAUUCAGAUAUAGUGCACUCUUAUUUUUAAGUCUGUCUAAUGCAGUAAGAAGUACGGACAAUAGGACUCGUUGGAAAUAAAUAAUAAUUCACCACACAACAAAUAUGGGGGGGGAAAUCGAAAGGGAGAGGUUUGCAAUAAAAAACUGUCGUGCCAGAACCAAGAAAGCAAUCCUCUUGACCUAGAAAUCUGAAUAUUUUUACCUUCAUUCAUCUUAUCAAUGAUUAAUCAUUUCUUAGUUGCUGCAAUCAUGGAACUUACAAUGCUUCCUAACUAAUCCCAACCAUAGCUGAAUAAAAUUCCUUGGACCAAUCCCAGGAGACCUUUUUCCAUUGAAAUCUUGCAAGACUAUGGCAUACAUGAACUCCAUCUAAUGAACAGUAAAUCACAGAAAUUACCUUAUGAUAGAUCUCCUCUUGCCAAUCAGCGCCUUUUGCAUGUCCAGUCUGUGCUGUAGAAUCUAGGAAUGCUACAAAAAUUUCAGUGCGGGCAACAAAAGAUUAGAAUUCAUGUAUUUUUGUGUGUUUUCCAUAUACAAGGGUAUUUCUGUAAUUUUCACUCUUGCUGAAAAUUAUGGAAUACUGCAAGUCUCAGUUUUAUUUUCCAUUUAGUAAUUUAUUAUCCCAAAGUAUAGCGAGCUUCAUUAGGUUUUUCCUAUUCUAGAUAGGACUAUUAGUAUUUUCCUACAGAGAAAUACAAGUCCUUUUCGGACUAGGAGUACUAGGAACUCCAUCUAAACAUUAUGUAAUCAUUCAAACUGACGGACAGACCCUAUAAAUCCAGAAUGAGAGGUUAACAGCUGGUGCAAUGCACUGGAGGGUAUGAUGUGGUAACAAAUGCGUGUGUGAUUGCAAUGGUUUCAAUAGCAGUGGCAUUUCUAAUGCCGUAAGUGGCCGCAGUGGCACAUAAAGCUACCAAAAAAAGCAUUACCUGGCAUUUGUCUCUGAGAAUUGGCAAACAUAAUGGAGGGAUUCCCUUGUCCCAUUGAAUUCCCCACUGAGUUCUGUGAAACACCAGGGAUACUCUGCAUGUUAGGAUCCUGGACAACAGUGUUGGGGAUAGUCUGGGUUACACCGGAGACAAGAGGCAGUGUCGCUUGUAAACCAGCAAAACUUUGAACUCCAUUAGAUGCCAUGCAAUUCUGCAUGUUCUGUGAUAACAACUGUUGGCGUGCUUGAGACUGAUUAGUGGACAAUAGGAUAGGGAGAAACAACCCAUGAUUCUGAACUUGAGGGGGCAUACUAUGGGAUGUUGUUCAAGAUAAAAGGCAAAAAGAAAAACCUGUCAGAAAAAAAGAAGGCACUGAACAAGGAAGACAAAUGAAACAUCGGCAGUUCACACAUAAAGUUAUGAGCGAAAGAACUAGGAUGGAUUUGAUUCAAAGCAUAAAAGUGUUGUCUGACAAUUUUCAGGGUUGGGGGAAGAAGAGGCGGCUGAAAACAAAAAUAAUAUGACAAUUUUCGGGGUGGAUGAAAGAAAAGGAGGAGGCAGAAAACAAAAAUAAUCAGUAAUUUUCUUGCCUAACAUUCAUCGAUUACUCAACUUUUUGAUUAAAGCAUGCCAUACACAUAGCAAUAUGCUGCAAUAAAAUGCAAAAGAGUAUGAUAACAAUGCGACAAACAAAACAAAAGGUAAGAUGUUUAGAAAUUCAAUGCUCGGCAGCAUUAUUAUAUAUGAAAAAAGGAUCAAAUACUUUCUCUCAGAAGAAAAAGCAAGAAAGUGACGUCUUACAUCCUAAGCAGGAAAAUCUUUAAAAUCUACCAUCUCAAGCAUAAAAUAUAAAAUAGUCAUGCAUUACAGUCCUUGUUCCUUAACAAGUUAAGGAUGAAACACUUCACAUGCAUUACAGAAUUAGCAUCGUGGAGGUGAUCAUGAGAUUUUUCCAGCAAGGCAAAAUACAUAGCAAUAUGCAGCAAUAAAAUGUAAAAGAGUUUGAUAACAAUGUGAAAAGAAAAACAAAAGGUAAGAUGUUUAGAAAUUCAAUGCUUGGCUGCAUUAUUACCUUCUGGAUCCAUGAGGGCAGUGGGCAUGGCGUUUUAAGACCUGAUCUCCAUCGAAAGAAUCUCCAGUGAUAUUUUACGCAAAUAAUCAGACUGAAAUCAGAUAUCAAUAACAAAACACUAGCUCUCAGAGCAAUCCAUGUUACAAGAGAAGGGGGAAAUGAAUAUAUGCUCUAUCAUUUCAUCUUCUGUGAGGAUAUACUUCUGUUUCCUCUAUUUUAAUUUUAUUAUUUAUGUAUUGAUUCACUAUUUGCUUUUUGCACACUUCCCCUAUACAUGAACUUGUUCACUCUAAAUAAAACACUUGUCAAGAGAAUUAACAAAAAGAUGUGAACUCCCAAUCAGCCUUGCAUACAGAAUGAACGGUGAGGAAGUGUAGGCACAGUACACACACAUUUGUACAUGCAUAAAUGCGUGUGUAUAUUCAUGUCUAGAGAUUAUUGUAUUAUCGAACCUCGCANNNNNNNNNNNNNNNNNNNNNNNNNNNNNNNNNNNNNNNNNNNNNNNNNNNNNNNNNNNNNNNNNNNNNNNNNNNNNNNNNNNNNNNNNNNNNNNNNNNNGGCGGUAGUAUAAAUCUUUUCCUCAAGCCGUAUAGCAAUUUUUCUUGAGUUCUUGUAAUCCCUCCUGACCAGAAAACAGAAGAUGCCUCUUUAAUGUCUCCAUUCUGCACAUGUAAAUCAUUACGUUUCAUUUUUAAUGACCAGGAAAAUAUAGAGAAGUUAGUAGUAGCGAGCAAGAACCCUGACCUCAUAAACCACACCAAUAUAAAAAAUGUAUGGAAUCAUUAGCAAAAAGUAAAAACAAAUAAUGGCAUAAGCAAGUGUCGAUCAAGUAAUGUAUGGCAUCAAAAUACAUAAACAUCUAUUUUUACUUCCUCCAGAGGUACAGAGUAUAGGAGUUUACUUGGCCACCCUUCUGUCUAAAAAUUCUAGCUAAGAGCUUCAUGGUUAAUUUUGUUGAACUGGAAGAACCUUUCAUUUAUGGCUAUGUUCCAAGAUAUAUAAGUGAAUUAAUGGCAAACCAGGGGAGUCUAUGUGAAAACAUUACAAUAGCAUUUACUCUGAGCAAGAGCACUUCUAUACAUGUGUUGUAAUUGACAAAGAAAAGAAGAGAAAUCCUUUCAAUUUAUGAAAAUGCAAUGAGUUAACCUUAUCUCACACUGCAAUAUAUACUCUACAGUAUUCAUUGGCCACUGCAAGUGCCAGCAGUAGCUGUCUAUAUGAUUUUGAAUGUAGAGAGGUCAACAAAACAUUCAACUUUAUGCUGAGAAACUAGGAAACCAUACUCUACAGUAUUCAUUGUGGCUAAUUGAUUUUUGUCUGCUGCUUUUCUACUUUAAGAUCACUAUCAUUUCAACCCUGUAGAAGUUAAAACAAAUAAAAGGCCCAAAUCCAACACCAUUCAUUUAAGUUCAGUUAAAACUCGAAACACGUAUGCUCAUGGCAAUAGAUUAACCUUGAAAUUUAAAGCGGAACAAGCUUCAUGCAGCCAUCGAAAGAAGAGAUUACAUAAGAAGUUCCAACAAAAAUUACUUCCCAGCACUUUAUGUUCCCUCAAGUUUGCUUAUUGUGAGAAACACAUGAGAAGAUGAAAAAAAAAAACAAAAAAAGAGGCGAGUGAUACUUGAGGUUGCCUCAUGGCAAUCCUGCUGAUUUUAAUUAACCUUUUGCCCUUCUCCUUUUCUUUCAUAUAAAUAAAAAAUUUACUAUUUUGCAGCACUUGCACAUAUUAGGAAACAAAUACAUACAUUUUGUCGACUAUUCUUUUCCGUGAGUCAGGCUGCAUUUGAAUUCUCCAAUCACCCGUGUCCAUGACAGGUUCUCCGCCUGGGACAGCGGGCCAACCAAAAAGAAAAAAAAAUCAUAUUGCAUGUUAGAAUAGACCCUAAAAAGAAAGUCAGGAGCGGCAAGAAGAGUAAAAGCACAUCAAGAUCAUAAAACGAGGCUUUUCAAUCCCCAAUGAAUAUCAGCACAAAUAGAAGAUUAAGAGGCCAGAAACAUUAAACCAUCCCAAAGAGAUUGUCUAGGAUGUUCUAAUCUAGGAAAAAGAAGAAGAAAACAACGAGCAUUAACAAUGAAUAUUUCAUGUUAUCAUCAACUCUAAAGAGCUAACUGAUAAGAAUCAUCUUAACAAAUUUACAGACACAUCUUUCUUUGAAUAGACAACACAAUAACCCUGACCAUACUAAAUGCUCCACCCACAGUAGAAUCGGCUGAUUGCGCCUUUCUUCAAGUUGCGUUCACGAGCAGCGAUUUCAUCGGAUCCGAUUAUAUAUCUUUUUAAUUUACUUAUUAAAAUCGAAUUUAUCUCUCUGGAUAAGAAUUUUAGUUAAAUAAAUGAAAACGCAGACGUAAAUCUUUUUAAAAAGCAAAAACAUAAUAGAAAAGGAAGCACCUGGUGGAGAUUUGAAGCCUUAAUGGUUGAGGUGGCGGCGGAGGCAGCUGUUUCCGAGAGCGGAGGAGGGAAAGAGAGAGCUCAGGUGGGGAGAGGUGAGGGAUGUCGGACCAAAGUGAACAGAGCUUGACAGAUGACUCUACUCUUUUCCAGAUUCGCUAACAAACUAAAAGAAUUGUAUUCUUGUGCUGCUUAACUGUUCAUAACUAACAAACUAAACUAGAAGAAUUAUAACGUCUUCUUUGUAUAAGCCUAUUCAUUUAUCCUUACAAAAUUUAAAAUUCUUUAAUUUGAUUGCUAAAAAAGGUCCUGAGAGAAUUCUGUGGAAUAAAAUAAUAAAUAUAAUUGAUGAAAUUACCAAUGAAGUUGGCUUUACAAGUUUCUUUGUAGGAGAAGGCAUAGAAUAUAUAGGAGGUGGUCACAUCUUUUUUUUAUCUCUUAUUAUAUUUAUUUUAUGUAUUAAUUUUUUUAUUAAUUUCUUUAUCUAUUUUUUCUUUUUUCUCUUCUUUGUAAUUUUUUUCUAUUACUAUUGCAAAGAAUCUUUUUAAAUUGAAACUUGAUUUUGUAACAAAUUCAUUAAUUAAGUUCAAGAAAUAACCCAUUUUUGUUGCAAAUGAUUCUUUAUUAUUUUCUAUUUUAAAAAAAACUAAGAGCGCUCAUUAAAACACGGUGCUCUGUAUGUGAAUCAUAUAGAUUCAGAGUCUUCAUCGUGCCAUCUCUCUGUUUUUUGUGUUUCUUCUCGCGUGGAGAGUGUUCCAGUGUUUUUUUUUAAAUUUAAUAUGGAUAGUGAAGCAUUCUAUUUUUGAAAAGAAAAUUUUUCCUUUUUGAUUUAGUUCUGUUUUCUUUCUUUUUUUACUAAUGAGUCCUUAUUUUUUCAUUUAAUUCUUUUUUUGGCCUAAUUAUAUAAGAUAAAGUUUUCAAUUUAAUUAAAAAUAAACUACUAUACUAAAAAAGUUAUGCUUCUCAACCUCAUUCACUCUCUAUGUAUUUUUUGCACUUCUUAAUUUGGUGUUUUUCAUUGUUUUCCUUAUUUCUUUUUACAAAUCGGUCUUUAAACAUUUUUUUUCUUUUUGAUUUAACUCCUUUUGGGUCUAAUUGUAUGAGAUAUAGAUUUUAAUUUAAUUAAAAAUUAUUUAUUAUACUAAAAAAGUUAGGGUUUUCCUCCUACUUCACCUUUCAUAUCCUCCCUUUAAAUAUAUAUAUAUAUCUUCUAAUUUUUUCUUCUUUUAAUUGAAUGAUUUUUGCCUUUUUUUUCCUUUCAAUUUCACUUUAAUAUUUUGUUAAUUUUAAAUUGCUCAUCAUAAUUUCUUUUUGUUUUCUUUAUAUGUAAUUAUUACAAUCUCAAACAAACGUCACUAGAUUAGUUUAGCUCUUAAUUUUAUAAGUAUCUAUUUUAGUUAUUAUAUCAUUAUAGAAAAAAUAGUUUUAAACUUAAAGGAGUUUAUGAUCUAGGCUGCACAUUUGACAAGUUAAGCAGCAGAGCUCAAGUUCAUCUAGUAUAUAUAUUUUUUUUUAAAUCAUGAUUAUUUUUUGUUAAAUCCAAACCAUGCUUUUAUUGGUCUUUUGGGUUGCUUUAAUUUGCACAUGUUAAGCCAACUAGAUUAUGUACAGACAACUCCCUUGCAAAUUAAUUUUAAACCUAUACUAGACUAGAAGUCAAGUCGAGAGAUCAAAAUCAAAUUUAAUAACAAUGUCAUAUUGUUCCUUUGUUUUUAAGCUCUACCUUCAAUUUUUAAUGUCUUUCAAUUGAAUGCUUUUUGGUUUUUUUCUAGUUUCAUCCUUUAACAUUGGUUAAUUUUUAAUUUGAUUUAUUUCGUUUUGCUUUCUAUAAUGUUAUUGUAAUCUCAAAUAAAUAUUCUAACAUUUGUUGAUGCUUAAUUUUAUGAGCAUUUGUUUUUGUUAUAUGUCAUUAAGUAAAAAGUAAUUAAAAAACAAAACACAAAGUUGUUAAAUCAGGUGCAAGCUAUUAUUCAGGUUGUGGGUUUGAAAAGUUGUGCCACAAAACUAGAGUCAAUCUAAUACGUCACCGUAUCAAUAUUAAAAAAAGAUGUUAACUUGAAAUUUUUUUAGAGUGAAAUUAUAAUUUCUUCCAGUCAUAUGGAUUGAAUUUGAACCCACCAUGUCGACAGAAUCAUGUUAGGAUAACUUUCACAUUUAUUAAUUUUAAACUUAAUAUAAAUUAGGAGUCGAAUAAGAGGGAAUUAAGAUUAGGGGUGUUCAUUUUCGGUUCGGUUCGGUUUUUAUAAAAAAAAUUAACCAAACCGAAUUAAAAAAAAACCAAAACCAGUUCAAACCGACCAGUUUCAAUUCGGUUCGGUUUGGUUUUUUAAAACAAAAACCGGUUCAAACCGGUUUGACUCGGUUUUUUAUGGUUUGGCUCGGUUUUCUUUAUUUGGCUUGGUUUUUUCGGUUUGGCUCGGUUUUUUUGGGUUCGGGUUUGGUUCGGUUUUUUCGAUUCCAGGCUUAAAAACCGAAACCGAACCGGUCGGUUUUUUCAAAAUUUUAAUUGGUUUUUUUUCACGUUUCGGUUUUUUCGGUUAUUUUUUUCCGGUUUAAUCGGUUUUUUGAUUUUUUUGAACACCCCUAAUUAAGAUUAAUUCACUAGAUCGAGUUUAAUUACAAUGACAAAUAAUUCCUUAAGCCUAGAUGAUUUAUUUAUGUUGCACAGAACAUAAAUGAGUUCCUUUCAAAAUAUUUACAAGUAAACACUCACGUAUAUGAUGAUAAAAAUUGGAGUAAAAUUUUAUUUAACCAGUGUCUGUUUUCUGUGAAACAAACAAAUUAAUCCCUCAAGUUUUUUAAAUAAUUAAUUGAUUCUUUGAUCACAUUUUACCGUCAAGUUAGUAGAACAAACUGAGGAAAUAUUGCUGACAGCUCAACAUUUUACUAAAGAAAAACUAAUGAAGGGACCAGUAACACCAGUUUAUUAACAUAAUGUAAAAGUACAGGGAAAAGAAUUAAAAGAUCUAGUUAUCAUCAACAAAACAGUUUAAAGACAGUAGAACCCAAAGAGUUUAAAGAUUUUCGGCCCAUCAGCAUGAUUCAUGGUAUCUACAAGAUCAUUGCCAAAAUCCUUGCAUCCAGACUGAAAACUGUUAUGCAAGAUAUCAUUAGCAUUAACCAAUCAGCGUUUAUAGCAGACCGCAACAUUAUAGAUGGCUUUAUGAUUGCAAAUGAGCUGGUGAGUGAUCUAAAGAAGCGAAAAGCGGCAGGUCUGAUUUUCAAGAUUGAUUUUCAUAAAGCCUUCGACUCAAUCUCCUGGGAUUACCUAGAUGAUAUCAUGGGUUAUAUGGGGUUUGGCAGAAAAUGGAGAACCAUGAUUUAUGAAUGUCUUUCUUCAACAAAACUCUCAGUCCUCAUUAAUGGAUCUCCUUCAAAAGAAUUCUCUGUUCGGCGAGGACUGCGUCAAGGAGACCCGAUUUCCCCUUUUCUGUUUGACAUAGCUGCUGAGGGCCUCUCAGUCCUCUUUCAAAGGUCAUCUAGUGGGAACAUUAUCAAAGGGCUGCAAUUUGCAUCAGGAAUUUUCAUCAGCCACCUACAAUAUGCAGAUGACACGUUAAUAUUCAUCCCGGCAGAUAUUGAUCAAUUAGUUCAAGUCAAAAGAAUUUUAAGAUGGUUUGCUUUGUCUUCAGGCCUUCAUAUAAACUUCCAUAAAAGCUCCAUUAUUGGUAUCAAUGUCGAUGAUCACUUGUGCCUGAGCUUGGCUACAUCUAUUUUCUGCAGGUCAGACUCCCUCCCAAGCAAAUAUCUUGGCAUGCCACUAGGAGCCAAUCCAUCUCGUAUCUCUACAUGGAAGCCAGUAAUAGAGAAGUUUCGUAAAAGGCUUCAUAUGUGGAAAGGGAGAUUACUAAGCAUGGCUGGUCGUCUAUGUCUCAUUAAAAGUGUCCUUAAUUCCUUGCCUAUUUAUUUUAUGUCUGUAUUUAAGAUGCCAAAAGGGGUAGGCAGGCUUCUUUCAUCCAUCCAAAGGCGUUUCUUGUGGUGUGGAUGUACCAAGCAAAGAUCUUUCUGCAAGAUCCAAUGGAGACUAGUGAUGCGUGAUAAGAAACAAGGAGGUCUCGGUGUAGGCUCCCUUAUAUCGAAAAACAGAGCCCUGCUGCUAAAAUGGAUCUGGAGACUCUCUUCCCCAGGUACAAGUUUAUGGAAAAUGAUUAUCUCUUCGAUGUACAAUCCGGCUUAUGAGAAUGGGGUUCCAAUUUUCUACAACCAACCCUCCAAGAUCUGGAAGGAUAUUAUUUCCAUUGUUCAAACUAACGUUCACCACGUCUUCACGAAUCAUUGCAAAUUCAUGGUGGGGAAUGGCAGUUUAACAUCCUUUUGGCUAGACAACUGGAUUGGUGACUCCGCUCUUAAAAUAGCCUUCCCUAGGCUAUAUCUUUUGUCUUCAUCUAAAUCUGCUUUGGUGGCUGACAUGGGUAGAUGGAGCAAUGGAAUCUGGCUCUGGUCCCUACAAUGGCGCAGACCUCUAUUUCAUUUUGAACAAGAACAACUUUCAAUUUUAUCAUCCUUGCUGGAAUCCAAGCCAAUGUUCUGCCACAAGAUGGAUAAGAAAAUCUGGACCCUAACCAGCGAUGGCCUCUUCAGUGUAAAAUCUUGCUCCAAAAUAAUGGACCAGCUGCUCUAUGGUGGUGCCAAACCAUUUCAAUCUUUUGUUUGGAUAAAACUAAGCCCACCGAAAGUGCAACUUUUCCUUUGGCUCCUUGUCCAAGACAAAGUAACCACAAGAGAUUUUCUAUUUCAGCAUGACUACCUAACCCUUCAAGAGUCAAGAUGCGCUUUAUGUAAUAAAAGCCUGGAAUCUACAAGUCACCUCUUCAUUCACUGCCACUUCACUUGGAAUAUAUGGAUGAAAUUGCUUGCUAAUCGGGGUGUUUGUAGUGUUUUUCCAAAAUCUGUUGAUGAUAUGUGCUACCAAUGGUCCUCUAUGGUUAAAGGCGAGCAACAGAAUCUCUCAUGGGAGCUUCUUUUCUCUUGUGUUGUUUGAAAUCUUUGGCUUCACCGAAAUGAUGUUAUUUUUAAUGACACUGCCCCUAACCUUCAAAUCUGUUUCUCCAUGGUGCGCCAAAGUAUUGCUUUAUGGCUGAGGCUUGAUUCCAACUCUUUAGACCUUAAUUUAGAGAAUGUUUAGUCGGGAGAAAUUGAUUUCUUAGGUUUUGUUUUGUUCCCUUUUUGUUGCUCUCCCUUGUUUCAUGCAACAGUUUUAAUGCUUUCCUUUCCUCUACUUGUUCAUCUGAUGUAAGUUAGGCUAUUAUCUUUGUAGCCUUUUUUCUUAAUAAAAUUUCGACUAUUAACAAAAAAAAAAAUCAUCAACAAAACAACCAAAACGAAACACUAUUUCACUGUUCAGUGUCUCAAUGUAGAAAUGGCACUUUGUAAUUCUAGGGAAGUUUAAUGUUUAUUUACGUGGAAAGAACACUUUGUGGAUCUAGGAAGAUAAAAAGUUUAAUGCUAUUUCACUAUUUAGUGUCUCCCUUUUAAAUUUCCAUGUUGAAUUUUAUUGUAUAUUCUUUUCAUAGAUUUUUUUGCUUGACUUAAUAUUCAAUGUAAUUUUAGUUUGUUGUAAAAAUAGAUACAUGGAUGACUUUUAUUUAAUAAAAUUGAUUACAUUCAUAAACUUGUUUUAUUUAAAUAAAUACACAAAAUAAUAAUGAUAAUUCUUAAUUUGAUGAUUAGAUAAUAUUCGUGUAAGAAGAAUAUAUGAUGCAUGUAUUAAGUUCAAUGUUUUUGAAAAAGAAAUACCUUCAUAAAACAAAAUAUUGAUUAAUGUAUAAAUUUAUUUAAUAAAUAAUAUCUUGAUUAAUUAAUAAAUUUCAUGGUCCCAAUUAUAUUAAUUUAUAGAUGUUAACUGUAUAUUGUAUUAAUUUUUUAAAAAAAUAUAAAUUUUACAUGAUAAAAUUAAAAAAACUUAAUUCCAUAUAAGGAAAAUAUUUAUUUUUUAAAACCACAAUACAAAAAUACUAAUAUGUAUAUUCAAGUCUAUCUCUAAUUAAGCAAGAUACUAACACGUUAAUAUAAUAUAGUCCCCUUUUCCAACAUAUGACAAUUUAUUCAUGUAAUUGUCAUUUUGUUAGCUUGGAUCAGGGAAAAUCUUUUUAUAGUUGGUAAAAAGAUAAUUUAGUUAAAAUAAAAGUUUAUCAAAAUUAGUAAACAUUAUCUUCUCUGUAAUAUUUGAUUAGUUUAAAUUACUAAGAGAUAAGUUUGAAUAAAGUAGAAAAAGUUAUCUAAAGAUAACUUUAUUAGUGUUUAUAUAAAAGAUAUUAGCAAUUUGUUACCAAUGUUACAUCCUAUGAAGCUUGAAGAUUAUCCUUAUUUUUAUCACAUAAAACAUAUAUAUAUAUAUAUAAAAGGAAUGUUAAGUUUGAAGAAAUGAGUGAGUUGUGCUUCAGAUGAGAGUUUUUAUAACAUAAAAGCAUCAAUUACAUUAAAGCAAGUGUGUCAAUCAGCGAAGGAGUUUAUGCAUAAUUUCACAACACAUACUCUUGACACACAAGGAGGGUGUAGGAAAUUCUCGAGGAGAAUUUGUAAACCCCGGGAAAAAAAAUAAUAAAUAAAUAAAAAUAAAGAAAUUCAUGCAUAUGGUUAAAUAAAAACAGAAAUUCAGAAAUUUUUGAAUAUAAAUUCCCGGACGAAAUAAUUCGAGACAUUAUAAUAAACCCGAUACUGUUGAAGGUUGGAUUUAAUUGAAGAGAAUAAUACACUUAAAAGAAAAAAAAAGGGCCUAAAUGCAAAUAAAAGAAAAUAUAGAGUAUAAAUACUCUCUCCUCACCAAAAAUCUGUAGGAACCAUAAGGAGAGAAAAUAGGGAGUUUUAUAUCCAUUCUUGAGAAAUCAAGAGAGAAACACUAAAAUUUCAAGAACUCAUCCAAGAUGAAGAGUUUAUAGAUAGGAUAAAUACUUGAGAGCAAAGGAUUACCAAAAUUUGAUUAAAAUUUUAUUUAAUUAGUGUCUGUUUUUUGUGAAACAAACAAAUUAAUCCCUCAAGAUUUUUAAAUAAUUAAUUGAUUCUUUAAUCAUAUUUUACUAUAGUUCUCAGACCCAGCCCGGUCCAAGGCUCGGGUUUCGGGUUUUGACCGGGUCACCGGGUUGCCUGGGUCAAUUCUUUUUUAAAUCAAAACGACGUCGUUUUAGUAAAAAAAAAAAACAAAAGUCAACGGGUUGCAACCGGGUUUUUGACCGGGUCUUGUCAGGUCAACCGAGUCACACCGGGUUUUUCCUUCCCCUAUUUUUUUCUUCAACCUGGCCCGGUUCCAGCCCCAGGACGGCCAGGUCCCGGGUCGACCCACCUGGCCGGGCCGGAUUUCAAAACUAUGCAUUUUACCGUCAAGUUAGUUGAACAAGCUAAGGAAAUAUUGUUGACAUCUCAACAUUUUACUAACAAAAAACUAAUGAAGGACCAGUUUAUUAGUUUUAAGAUCUAGUUAUCAUCAACAAAACAACCAAAACAAAAGGCUAUUUCACUGUUCAGUGUCUCAAUGUAGAAAUGACAUUUUGUAAUUAGAGGGAAGUUUAAUGUUUUUUUUUUGUUCGGGCCAGCUUGCACGCACCUCGACUAAUCCCUACGGGUCUUGAAUUAAACAACCAGGUAAGCCUUCAGUGGCUAUCAAUAUUAGCAAUCAUAGGGCUCAAACCUGAGACCAUGUAGGGAGCAAACUUUUUAGUCUCAAACUCUUAUUACUAGGCCACCUACUAGAUGAUUAAGGAAGUUUAAUGUUAUUUAUAUGGAAAGAGCACUUUGUGGUUCUAGGAAGAUAAAAAGUUUAAUGCUAUUUCACUGUUUAGUGUCUCACUUUGAAUUUUCCAUGUUGAAUUUUAUUGUAUAUUCUUUUCAUAGAUUUUUUGCUUGACUUAAUAUUAAGUAUUCUAAUUAAGUAUGCAUCCAAUGUAAUUUUAGCUUGUUGUAAAAAUAGAUACAUACAUGACUUUUAUUUAAUAAAAUUGAUUACAUUCAUAAACUUGUUUUAUUUAAAUAAAUACACAGAAUAAUAAUUUAUAAUUUGAUGAUUAGAUAAUAUUUGUAUAAUAAGAAUACAUGAUGCAUGUAUUAAGUUCAAUGUUUUUGAAAAAACAAUACCUUGAUAAAUUCUUUUUUAUUGAUUAAUGUAUAAAUUUAUUUAAUAAAUAACAUCUUGAUUAAUUAAUAAAUUUCAUGGUCCCAAGAUAUUAAUUUAUAGAUGUUUAAUUGUAUAUUGUAUUAACUUUUUUUAUAAAAAAAAUAUUAAUUUUACAUGAUAAAAUUAAAAACACUUAAUUCCAUAUAAGGAAAAUAUUUAUUUUUUAAAACCAAAAUACUAAUAUGUAUAUUCAAGUCUACCUCUAAUUAGGCAAGAUGCUAACACGUUAAUAUAAUCCCUAAAAUAUAAGCUAAUCCCUUUCCCAACAUAUGACAAUUCAUACAUGUAAUUGUUAUUUUGUUGGCUUGAAUUAGUGAAGAUUUCUUUAUAGUUGGUCAUAAAAUAUUUUAGUUACGAUAGAAGUUUAUCAAAAUUAAUUAACAUUAUCUUCUCUAUAAUAUUUGAUUAGUUUAGAUUAUUUAAGAGGUAAGUUUAGAUAGAUUAGAAAAAGCUAUUUGAAGAUAACUUUAUCAGUAUUUUUGUAAAACAUGUUAGUAGUGUGUUAUCAACAUUACAAACUAGGAAACUUGAAUAUUAUCCAUAUCUUUAUCAUAUAAGACAUGUAUAUAAGGAAUAUUAAGUUUGAAGAAAGGAGUGAGUUGUGUGCUUAAAAUGAGAGUUUUAUAACAUAAAAAUAUCAAUUACAUUGAAGCAAGUGUGUCAACUAUCUAAGGAGUUUACGCAAAGGAGAGUUUUAAGAUGACAAUAGCUUGAAGAUCGUCAUAUGUACUGACAAACUACUAUGUUUGGUGACAUAACAUGAUUUGUUAUCUCAUCAGGUAAGGUAGUAUAGACUCAAAGGAUUAUGUUCGGAGAUACUUCUCUUGUAAUCAUUCAAACUAAUAAAAAAUUGUUUAUCUUGGGUUUGGCUGCCCUAAAUGGUUUUUUUUUUUUUUUAUCUUUUAAAGAGUUCUUCGAAAGGUUUCCUUUCAUAAUCAAAUACCUUGGACAUUUGAAUUUUCUGCAUUCUUUAUUGAUUAGUGUUUACAAAGUGUUAUUAGAUCAUUUGUUAACAUGUAGUAAAUAAGAAAAUAGACUUUCAAUACAUCAUAUAAAAAUAUAAAAUAAAAUUUUUAAAUCACCCGCAAUUUAUUCAGUAUCUCAUGAAUUUUAUUUUCAUUAUCAAAACUCUAAAAAUACUUAAAUAAUUAAAAUCUAAAAAAAUAAAAUUUUAUCAAAUUAUUAAAUCAGAACCUUGAUUAUUUUUUUAUGUUAUCUUUGAAAUCGUUUUUAUAAUUACUACUAAUAUUAAAAGAAGAAUCCCUAAAGCAAAAUGAUUCAUGUACUUCCACUUUGUAUUCAUUCCCAUAUAAUUAAAAUUCAAAAAUAAUAAAAUUAAAUUAUAAUUUUUUUUAUAGGAGACUCUAGGUUAUUAAUGUGUUACGUUAUCUUUAACUUUUUUAUAUGAAAUUAUUUGAUAUUUAGGAAAAAAUAAAUAUAAAGAUUUUAUUCGUAUCUAUAUCUUUAAUAUGUGUUUAACAUAUGUUAAAAAAAAAACUCUCUAAAAUAAAAGGAUCUGUAGAAACNNNNNNNNNNNNNNNNNNNNNNNNNNNNNNNNNNNNNNNNNNNNNNNNNNNNNNNNNNNNNNNNNNNNNNNNNNNNNNNNNNNNNNNNNNNNNNNNNNNNNNNNNNNNNNNNNNNNNNNNNNNNNNNNNNNNNNNNNNNNNNNNNNNNNNNNNNNNNNNNNNNNNNNNNNNNNNNNNNNNNNNNNNNNNNNNNNNNNNNNNNNNNNNNNNNNNNNNNNNNNNNNNNNNNNNNNNNNNNNNNNNNNNNNNNNNNNNNNNNNNNNNNNNNNNNNNNNNNNNNNNNNNNNNNNNNNNNNNNNNNNNNNNNNNNNNNNNNNNNNNNNNNNNNNNNNNNNNNNNNNNNNNNNNNNNNNNNNNNNNNNNNNNNNNNNNNNNNNNNNNNNNNNNNNNNNNNNNNNNNNNNNNNNNNNNNNNNNNNNNNNNNNNNNNNNNNNNNNNNNNNNNNNNNNNNNNNNNNNNNNNNNNNNNNNNNNNNNNNNNNNNNNNNNNNNNNNNNNNNNNNNNNNNNNNNNNNNNNNNNNNNNNNNNNNNNNNNNNNNNNNNNNNNNNNNNNNNNNNNNNNNNNNNNNNNNNNNNNNNNNNNNNNNNNNNNNNNNNNNNNNNNNNNNNNNNNNNNNNNNNNNNNNNNNNNNNNNNNNNNNNNNNNNNNNNNNNNNNNNNNNNNNNNNNNNNNNNNNNNNNNNNNNNNNNNNNNNNNNNNNNNNNNNNNNNNNNNNNNNNNNNNNNNNNNNNNNNNNNNNNNNNNNNNNNNNNNNNNNNNNNNNNNNNNNNNNNNNNNNNNNNNNNNNNNNNNNNNNNNNNNNNNNNNNNNNNNNNNNNNNNNNNNNNNNNNNNNNNNNNNNNNNNNNNNNNNNNNNNNNNNNNNNNNNNNNNNNNNNNNNNNNNNNNNNNNNNNNNNNNNNNNNNNNNNNNNNNNNNNNNNNNNNNNNNNNNNNNNNNNNNNNNNNNNNNNNNNNNNNNNNNNNNNNNNNNNNNNNNNNNNNNNNNNNNNNNNNNNNNNNNNNNNNNNNNNNNNNNNNNNNNNNNNNNNNNNNNNNNNNNNNNNNNNNNNNNNNNNNNNNNNNNNNNNNNNNNNNNNNNNNNNNNNNNNNNNNNNNNNNNNNNNNNNNNNNNNNNNNNNNNNNNNNNNNNNNNNNNNNNNNNNNNNNNNNNNNNNNNNNNNNNNNNNNNNNNNNNNNNNNNNNNNNNNNNNNNNNNNNNNNNNNNNNNNNNNNNNNNNNNNNNNNNNNNNNNNNNNNNNNNNNNNNNNNNNNNNNNNNNNNNNNNNNNNNNNNNNNNNNNNNNNNNNNNNNNNNNNNNNNNNNNNNNNNNNNNNNNNNNNNNNNNNNNNNNNNNNNNNNNNNNNNNNNNNNNNNNNNNNNNNNNNNNNNNNNNNNNNNNNNNNNNNNNNNNNNNNNNNNNNNNNNNNNNNNNNNNNNNNNNNNNNNNNNNNNNNNNNNNNNNNNNNNNNNNNNNNNNNNNNNNNNNNNNNNNNNNNNNNNNNNNNNNNNNNNNNNNNNNNNNNNNNNNNNNNNNNNNNNNNNNNNNNNNNNNNNNNNNNNNNNNNNNNNNNNNNNNNNNNNNNNNNNNNNNNNNNNNNNNNNNNNNNNNNNNNNNNNNNNNNNNNNNNNNNNNNNNNNNNNNNNNNNNNNNNNNNNNNNNNNNNNNNNNNNNNNNNNNNNNNNNNNNNNNNNNNNNNNNNNNNNNNNNNNNNNNNNNNNNNNNNNNNNNNNNNNNNNNNNNNNNNNNNNNNNNNNNNNNNNNNNNNNNNNNNNNNNNNNNNNNNNNNNNNNNNNNNNNNNNNNNNNNNNNNNNNNNNNNNNNNNNNNNNNNNNNNNNNNNNNNNNNNNNNNNNNNNNNNNNNNNNNNNNNNNNNNNNNNNNNNNNNNNNNNNNNNNNNNNNNNNNNNNNNNNNNNNNNNNNNNNNNNNNNNNNNNNNNNNNNNNNNNNNNNNNNNNNNNNNNNNNNNNNNNNNNNUUUUUUAAAGAUUUUUCGAUUUUAGAAAUUGCUAAAUAUAAAUAACCAAAAUUGAUAAUUAAAAAGAAAGAUUAUGAAAUAUUUGUAUUUUAGUUGUUACUCAUAUUCAAAAGCCCCCUUAAACAUAAUGAUUCAUAAAAUUUAUCUUCAUGUUAUUCUUAAUUUCUAUUCACUUCGCAUAUAAUUAAAAUUAAAAUUAAAUAAAAAUACUUCAAAAUUUAGAAAAUUAUUGAAUUAGCCCUUGAUUCUUAUCGUACAUUAUCUUGACUUCUUUAGAUGAAAAUAUUUAUACUUUUUGAUAGAUUUUACUAAUAUAUAAAAGGACUUCUUAAUUGAAAGAUAACAUAAAAUUUUUAUCUUUAAUAUUAUUCCCACAUUUAAUAAAAAUGAACUCUUUAAAAUAAAAUAAUUCAUAAAAACUAUAACUUUUGAAUAAAAUUUUAUUCAUCAAUAGAUACACAAAUCUUGUAAACAAAAGUACUAAUUUAAAAAUUUUAUAAUAUAAUAAUUAUUUUUGUAGGGGGAAACAUUUUAAUUUUAUAAUAUUAAAAUAUAGAUAUAAACAAAAUGCAAUUUUUUUUUAUUUGUAGUUUUUUUCAAGAGUUUUUAAUUUUAUAUAUUGAUAAUUAUAUGUAAUUAAAAGAAAAUCCAAUGAUUUCUUAUUUUUAUCAUGUUAUCAAACUAACUUUAUUUUUAAAAAAAGACAAGAUGUAUUUUUCUAAUUGAAAAAAACAUAUUUAUUUAUAUUUGUGGCAAAAAAAAAAUAUCGCUCUCUUUUUCUUUUUAGUUUUGAAAAAAAAAGAUAAAAAUUAUGAUAAAAAUUAUAUAUUAACAUAGAUUAAAAAAAAUAUAGUUUAAUUUUAGUAGGAAAAGUAAAGUGUAUAUAUUUUCUCUUAAAUUUCAUGACUGUGUUAAAUUUCUUGUCGUCUGUUACCUGUGUACUUGUUGCGUUGAUUCUACAGGAAAAUAAAUUUUAUGUUGCAUGGUAUUUUCCUUCGAUGUUGUAUUGAUAUGAAAAGAAGAAAAAAACAAACGACCAGAAAAAAAAAAGUUGUAUAUUUAGAUAAUAAUUACCGGUGAAAUAAUAUAUGUUAAGUGCAACUCUAUUUAACUGUAAUUCUUUUGUUUAAGUUGCAUAGCAACAACUUUAUUAUCAGAGACGUGUCAACAACUAUAAACAGUUAAUUAAAAAAAAAACAUAUAUAUAAUUCUCUUUUAUAUAAAAUUAAAAAGAGAUUUUGAAUAGAUAUGAUAUAUGUCUCACCUGACAUCGCAGCGGCUCUAAAAAUAAUCCUUGAAUUAUGGAAAAAGAACAAAUAUCUGGCAUCUGGUUCUUUUGGGGGAAAAUGUCUUGUUUAAGGAGUCACCACCUAAUAUUAUGAUCACUAGGAACCCUAACUGGUUGACAGAGAUUCUAUGGUACGGGACUGGUUACGUAAAAUGGAAGAUAUUAUCACCCCUUAAACGUUCUGCCUGGGGCAGACUGCAUUGCUAAUUUUGUCUUAAAUUGCUAAAUAUUUAUUGGUUUAUGCUCUGAUGGUUUACUCGCAAUAUUCCUGACUCUGACGCCAGUGAAUAUUCAACUACGGAUAAUUCCAACUUUGUCGUUGGUAAAUAUUACGUAGCUAUAAAAUAAAUUAGAUCAAUAUUUUUUAAUUCCUGAUUCUAACGCUAGCGAAUAAACAAAUAAAAUAAAUUCAUUUAUUUACACAUUCACAUAUAUUUUUUAUUUUUUAUGUAGUUAAAUAAAAAAACAAAAAAAAAAUUAAAUCAGUAUUUUUAUUCCUGACUCUGACGUCAAUGAAUAAACCAAUAAAAUAAAUUUUAUUUUUCACGCAUGCACAUAUUUUUUAUUUUUUUGCUAAAUAAAAUAAAAUAUAAUGAAUAAAAAUAAUAUAAAUUUAAACCAGUAUUUUAUUCCCGACUCUGGCAUCGGUCAAUAAACUAACAAAUUUACAUUAUUUUUAUUCAUUCAUACACAUAUUUUUUCUCUAUAUUUUUUAUUUUUUAUUAUUUAUGUUUUUGGGGCUGGGCCCAGCUCAGCCCAUGUGGCUGGGCUGGACCCAGCAGGCCUAGCCGGGUCACGGGCUUGACCCGGCUGGCCAUUUUUUCUGUUUGUUUGACCCGCAGGCGUGCGUGAACUGCUCACGGACGCCUGUUGCAACAACAUGCAAUUAAAGUGCAGGGAGGGACAACGCCACUUACCUGUCGCUGCACUUGAAGACGGGGAUGACAACUGACCAGCGUUACUCCUCUCUGUUACUGCUUUCUGUCUACUCCUCUGUUUUAGCUUUCCUUGUUCUGUCGUCUUCUUCUUUUCUGUUUCAGUUUGUUCCCCUGCUCGUCGUCUUCCCCGCUCGUCCGCGUCCGUCUGUUUUUUGGUUCUUCUCGCCCACCGAUUCUGUCCUCUCUUUUCCGUGUUUCUUCUCAGUUUUUCUUCCUUCUCUGCCGCCUGCUCUGGCUUAUAAAGCCAGAGAAUGGCCUUUCUUCACGCGUUCGUGCCUCACAAUCGUGAGGCACGAACGCCUCUGUUUCUUUGAGAAGAAACAGGGGCAAACUCUGUAUAAUCUCCCUCCCCGGUUCUGUGAUUCCUCCUCCCAGUUUUUCCUUUUGUUUUUCUCCUGUUUUGGGUCUCUCCCUAUCACCGUUUCCCCCGUUUUUUCUUUAGUUUCCUCCCCCCCCCCCCCCCCUGUUCGUUCGUCUCCUCUGUUUCUUUGAGAAGAAACCAGGGGAACGAAAGUCUGCUCUUUCUUUUUUCUUUUAGUCCAGUCUUCUCCGUUCAAGGAGAAGACAAUGGUGGUAAAAGCACGAGGUGCUGCUGGUUGAUGGACCAAAAAUUUCCCCUGGUUCUGUUUCUCUCCCAGUCUUUUUUUGUAUUCCUCUUUCUUUCAGUCCCUCUGUGACCUUUCGUUCUCUGGAUUUUAUAGCCAGAGAACAAUCCGUUUCUUCCAACCAUUGAUUGCAGGUGUAAUGGUGGCGGUGGGCGUCCGUUGAAGAAGAUGAACAGCGCAUCCACAGACGGCGCCGUUUUGAUGUUUAAUGAUUAUUUACGUUUUGGCCCUUGAAGUUUUAACAGUUUUGUAAUUAAGCCCCUGGAUAAAUUAAUUCCAAGCUCAAAUAAGUCUAAAACUUAUCAAUUCUCCAAUUAAACCCUUGAUUUGAUUAAUUAAAUUAAUUCCAAGCUUAAUUAAGUCUCAAAACUUAUCAAUUCUCCAAUUAAACCCUUAAUUGGAUUAAUUAAAUUAAUUCCAAGCUCAAUUAAAUCUCAAAACUUAUCAAUUCUCCAAUUAAGCCCUUGAUUUGAUUAAUUAAACUAGUAAAAAAUUUAAUUAAAUCUUUAAACUUCCAAUCAUAUUGCCCUUAAUCCAAAUUUUAAUUCAUUCUUCAUUUAUUUUAUUUUUACUUGUUUUUCAUAAAAAAAAUUUCAAUAAAUAAAAUAAUUAAAAUAAAAAGGUCAAAAAUUGGGUUAUGACAAUAUAGAAGUUAUUCCAAUGAAAAAUUAAUUAAAAAUCAUCAAUCAUAAUAAUUUUGAUAUAUUUGUUAACAUGGUAAGCCUAGUAGAGUUCAUAAUCUGGGUUAUGUAUUUGACGAGUUAACCUGCGGAACUCGAGUUAAUAUAAUAUAUCAUCGUCUCAAUAUUAAACAAAAUAUCAUCUUAAUUUUUUUUCUUUAAAAUCCAAACCAUGCUUUUAUUGGUCAUUUAAAUUGCCUUAAUUUGCAUAUAUCAAGGCAACUAGAUCAUGUACAAACAAUUCCCUUGUAAAUUAAUUUUAAUCUUAUUGCUAAAUUAUGUUUUUUUACCGGUCAUGUGGAUUGACUUUGAAUCCACCACAUUAACUAUGUCAUGUUAGGGCAACUUUCAUGUUGGUUAAUUUUAAACUUGAUAUAAAUAAGGAUCAGUUACAUAAAUUUAAACUAAAUUAUUUUUGUCGAUUUUAUUUUUAAUAUUGAGAUAAUUGAGAAUUUAAUUUAAUUUUUUUCUUUUUAUUUUGCCUUUCUAUGUGGUUUGCGAGUUUGUCGAGAUAACUCGAGUUACUCCAGUUUACGGAUUUUGUGUGGUUUUUUAAAUUGAAUUUGAUUUUUUUUAUAGUAUAUUUUUUUCUUAUAUUAUUAGAAAAACAGUUUUAGAAAAAAAAACAUGUUAUUAAACUUUAUUAAGUAAGAAAAAUUAAAGAAUAUGGGGGAAAUAAUUAUUCACCCAACACCCAUUACAUUAUGGAUUAUAAUAGUAAUUCACCGUGUUUUGUUUUGUUUUUUUUUUAAUUUUUGUUAUAAUUAUUUUUGAAAUCUAUUUUUACAAUAGUUGAGAAUCUUGGUAAAACAAUUAAUUUUAAUCGUUGUUUUCUUUUUUUGGCAACUGUCUAUGGCCGCAUGACCAUUUUUAUAAGGGAAAAAGAAAGAAAGAAAACCCAUGACCUUUAUUUGCUCAGCAAGAAACAAAACAUAAAGCAGAAUUGGACCUAUCAACAGAUUGCUCUGUCAGGUGUAACCUUGCAGAGAUUACAAUAAAAAGACACAUAAGAAAAGCAAGAGGUUUAAUUGACUUGUAAAAUGUAUGUUUGUGAGCUAUGAUGUAGUGUUUUUUGUUCAAUUGUUGAGAGAAUUUCAUGAAACCAAUGGAAAAACAAAAAAAAUAAUAAGAGUAUAUUUUGACUGGUAAAAAUACUUGUAAGAAAAAAAAAAGAAUUUAUGUAAGAAAUACACCUGUUUAUUUUCGUGUUGUGUUCGUUAACCAAUUUCUUUUUAAUUUAUAGUUUAAGAAAAAGUAUGGAAUAAUUCUUUAGAGUGUUCUCCUUCUGGGGUUUGGAAAGCGUAGAGGCUUUCCAUUGGAACUGCCAUUCUAUAUUUAAUGUCAGUUCUUGAGAGUUUCAAGUUAAAUAUAAAUAUAUUAACAAAUAUAUUAAGUUGCUAAAACCUGAUUGGUCUAGUUAUAUUUUUAUUGAUUUAAUUAAUAUUAUAAAUUUAUUUUUAAAUAAAAUGAUAUUAUUUUAAUAAAAACAAUUAGUUUAUAUCCAUAUGAUACGAUGACCUCAAGGAUUUAUCUCCUUCUGGGGUUCACAGAUAUAAUUUCAAACUCAAACAAUCGAGAAAAAGACGUAGUAUACAUUGAUAAUAUUUAAAUGUUAUUUAGUCAUUGCAUUGCAUUGCAUUGAUAAUAUAAAUAUUUCUUUCUUUCUUUUCUAGAAACAGACAACCUAAAGAUCAAUAAAUCCGAGAAACGAACGACGAACCAACAAACUGACGUUACAACUAUCGACUAGUGGCUCAACGUCGCAUCACUUUAGCUUUACCUUUCGACCAUUUUUCUCUUAUAUGUUAUUUAAUUUAAUUGUAUAUAUUUAUACACUUAUUCACUAUGAGCUUGAUUGAUUAGAUAAAAAGAAAUUAGCAAAAUGUCUUAAAACAGUCUUUUAUCCCGAGGAUCCAACAUAAUAUUUUGUAUCUAUUUAUUUUACUAUACUGUGUUAUUAUGCGAGUUGAAUUAAAAAAAAUUCAGUAAAAAGGAAAUUUUCAGAUCUUUAGCAUUUAUUAAAUCCGAUUCAACAAAUUAAUAUUAAAAUUUUCUAGUCUAAUUUCUUAUUUAAUUAGCUCGAGUUUCAAAUUUAACUAUAUGAAAGUUAUUCUAAUAUGACCUAGUUGACUUAACAAGUUUGAAGACAACCCAGAUAAUAGAUAGAAAUGUGAUCUAGCUUAAUUUUUUUAAGAUAUAUUUUUUUUGUACUGAAACGACAACAUUUUAAAUUAAUCAGAGCUUCAUAACUUUACUUGUUGAAUCCGUAAUCCUGAUUAUGAACUCCAUUAAAUUUAAUAAAUCUAUUUAUAUUUGUUUUCUAUAAGAUCAUUGUAAUUUCAAACAAACUUUCUAGUACUUAGUUCAUAUAUGAUUUUACAAAAAUCUAUUUCAAAAUUGAAUUACCUAUUGGGUUUUUGCUAAUCAAUAAAGUUUAAGUUUCUAAUAUUAUAUUUCUACAUCAGAACCAAUUUAUUUUUUUUAAAUAGCAUUGAUUUGUUUAAAAAAUUAAUCUAGUUAACCCAAUAACUCACAAGUAGAUUAACAAUUCAACAAAAUAGAUUUUGAACAGGAUCAAAACCUGAACCAGGUUGGACGACCACGCCAUAAGUUGCAUCUUAUUUUUGUCUUUGCAAUACAAUAAUACUUACAAACAAUAAAUAACUAAUUUGUAUACAUCUUUUUGUCACAUCUUUAUAUAUAGUUUUUGUAGAAUAAAUUGGAACUUAUUAAGAUAAUAUUCUUUAAUUCUCAACGCUAUUUGUAAUCAAUAAAAAAGAUAUGGACAAGUGCGAGUCACAUGGAUUGAACGCCACAUCUUCCUCGGAAUCGACCACACAAUAACCCUGACCAUGCUCGACCUUGAGGUAAGUUCUAAAAUGUUCUUCCUAACUAGAUGCACAGCUACGCCUUAGGGAGGGAGGGAGGGCGGGGAGAGGUGAGGGAUGUUGGACCAAAGUGAAAUAGAUGACUUUAUUCUUUUCCAGAUUUCUUCUAAAAAUAUUAACGGGUAAACACUCGCUCGCACACCCGCGCACACGCACGCAUAUAAUGAUUAAAAUUUGAGUUAAAUUCUAUUUAACUAGUGUCUGUAUUUUUGUUAAACAAACAGAUUAAUCCCUCAAGUUGAUUUAAAUAAUUAAUUGAUACUUGAAUCACAUUUUACCGUCAAGUUAGCGGCACAAGGUAAGGAAAUAUUGCUGAGAAGCUCAACAUUUUCCUAACGAGAAAUUAAUGAAGCUACCAAAUUUUUUAUUUUUUAGAUUUGAUUUUUAUUAUUUUGAUUAUUAUUUAUUUUAUUUGAGAUAAUUUAUGAAAUUAUAUAUAUUUUUUUAAUUUCAUUCUCAUUCAACCUUUUAAUUUGUAAGAUUUGUUCCUCAUUAUUUUAAUAAACUUGAAAAAAAUAAAACAUUAAUAAGUUAUUUUACAGCUCGUUUUCCAUGACAUAACCAAACACUGGAAAGUAUUUUCCAACUUAUUUUCCAUUACACUACCAAACAUCGAAAAAUAAUUCACUUUCCCGGAAUUCACUUUCCAAAAAAAAACUACUUUCCAGCAAAUAAACGGGAGAAUUGUAUUCUUGUGCUGCUUCACUGUUCAUAACUAACAAACUAAAAGAAUUAUAUAUAUAUAUAUAUAUAAGAGUGCUUCACUGUAUGUGAAUCCUGUGGCUUCAGUCUUUAUCGCACUCCGUCCCUCUUUUUCGUGUUUCUUCUCGCGCGGUGGGUGUUCCUGCGCUUUCUUCUCAUUUGUGAGUUUGGAUAAACUCCUAGCAUUAGUGAUGUAUUGUCACCAAGAGAAAAAACUUCAAGUGGUAUAAUUUCUCAGUGUGAAUUUAUCAAGGGCAUUGUAUAUUUCACUUGAAUUAGUAAAAGAGUACAAUACUCAAGUACGGUUAGUACUUGAGGUGUGGAUGUAAGCUUACUGAACCACAUUAAAAAUCGAGUUUGCAAUAUCUAUUUCUUUAUCUAUUUACUUUAAACACUUUAAUUAUAUUAUUGAUUAUUGUGUUAUAUGUGUUUAGUGUGUUUAUUUGCAUUAUUUGACAUAAUUAGUGCAACACCUAAUUCACCCCCCUUAUAUGUUAUUGUUGCUUUAAUCCUAGAAUUACGUAAGUAUCAAUCAAAUUUGUUUUUAUCAUAACUUUAGAAAAGUGCAUAAUGUUUUUUUAUGUUGACGUGAAAGAAAAAUAUUUGUAAUUAUUUGUAUUGUUAUAGUUUCGAUUGAAAAUCCCAUUGUGUCUCAUAGAAAAACAAAUGAAUAAAAACAUAAUUGCAAAGUUAAAUUGUUUAUUAAAUUGUUUUUUUUGUGUGCAGAAUUAGUGUGUUAAAUUUUUGUGAUUCAUUUUAAUUAAUAUUAUUUGAGAUUAUAUAAGUGUGAUAUAUAAUUGCAAAGUUAAUCUUGUUAUUGAGAUAAUAGAUGGAUAAAACUAUCCAUAUAAAAUAAUAUUACAAUCACAUUGCUAUUACCAAAGAGCAAGUAAUAAAUUGUUUUAUGAUAAUUUAUUGUCAAUUUAUUGAUUUUAAUUUGUGGCUAUCCAUACAAAAUAGAUCUCCUAGACCUAUCAAAUUAAAAAUGGUAUUGAGAUUUCUAAAACUAGAAGUGAAUAUUCAGACAAUGAUAAAAAGUUAUUUUUUAUGGAUGUUAAAGCCAUGAAUAUUUUAUAUUAUGGAUUGGGUAAAAGUGAAUUUGAUAGAAUUAUAUUCUAUAAAAAUGCUUAGAAAUAUAUAGCAUACUUUAAAAGUAACUCACGAAGGAACUAAUAAGUCAAAAAAUCUAAAAUUUAAAUGUUAAUUCAUCAGUAUGAAUUGUUCAAAAUGAUUGGUGAAUUCAUAACUAAAAUGUUUAUUAAAAUGGCUAUAAUAACUAAUAGUUUAUUAGUUUGGAUGUUUUUAGUAAUGCUGAAAUUAUAGAGAAUUGAUCAUUAAGUUGAUUUUUUUAUAUGCAUAGAAAUCAGAUCAUUAUAAAUUUAAUAAACUAUUUAAAGUGUUCCAAUGGAAAGAAAAUGGGUGUUGUGAAUUUGAGUCUGUAGUUUUCUCUGCUUUCUUUUUGGAUUUUUUCGUUUGUCCCUUCCUGAAAAUUUGUGCUCAGUUUUCGCCUUCUACCUGCUGCUUAGUUCAGGGUAUUAAAUUUCUUUGUUUCAUCAGAAGAUGCCUUACUCUUUGUUGAUUGCCUUUCUGUUUCCCAGAUAUAUUCAGAAGUGAAUUAGUUGCAAAACAGGGGAGUCUCUGUGAAAACAUUACAAUAGCAUUUACACUAAGUAAGAAAACUUUUAUGCAUGCACUGUAAUUGACAAAGAAAAGAAGAGAAAACCCUUUAAUUUAUGAAAAUGCAACGAGUUCACUCUGCAAUAUAUAUCAGUGCUCAUUGGCUACUGCAAGUGCCAGCAGUAGCUGUGCCUGUCUAUAAGAUUUUGGAUGUAGAGAUAUCACCAAAACAUUCUACUUUAUACUGAGAAAGUAGGAAACCAUACACUAUAUAUCGUGGCUAAUUGAUUUUUGUCUGCUGCUUUUGUACUUUUAAGAUCACUAUCACUUCAACCCUGUACAAGUUAAAACAAAUAGAAGGCCCCAAAUCCAACACUAUUCAUUUAAGUUCAGUUGCAACUCAAGUUUCAAAUUGAAACACCAGUGCUCAUAGCAAUAGAUUAACCUAGAAAUUUAAAGCGGAACAAGCUUCAUGCAGCCAUCCAAGAGGUCAUCAUCGAAAGAAGACGUUACACAAGAAGUUCCAACAAAAAUUACUUAAGUGGUUGCUCUGUAACAUUUGACUUGCUAGAAACAGUUGUCAAAGCACCGCCAUGAGCACCAUCAGGACUGGUAAACUCUGCAAGCAAAGGUGAUGCAGAUAUCCCAGGAGUGCCAACUGCAAGGGAUGGAGCCUGUGCUUGUGCAACAGAUGGUUGGUGUACAAUAUUUCCAGUAUUUAAGAUUGAGGAAAUACCAGAAACUGGUUUGUCAGAAUCUCCUGGCAUAGGAGAUGGAGCUAAAGGAGUUGAAGGAGAUGGGACAACAAAAGGCGAGUUCGCAGAUUGCAGAGGUGUUCCAGUUUUGGUUACAGAAGACGGUAGAUUUUGCUGGUCAAUCUGAGGAGAUGAAUGUUGUAAUUGAGGGGAAGCAUGCUGAGGUAGUUGAGGUGAAGAAAUAGGAAAUGAAGGUGCUGGUUUCAUGUGUUGACGUGGGAAAGCUGUGCGUUGACCUGUUGGGAGAUGUUGUUGGAAGACUGCUGGCUUAAUUCCAAUCCCCUGUCUCAUCUCAUUUACAUCAUUCAUCUGUUGCGGCUGUGGAAUUUGGU